Molecule: long non-coding RNA, 282821 nt
Filed under: Triticum aestivum (bread wheat)
Lineage: Eukaryota; Viridiplantae; Streptophyta; Magnoliopsida; Poales; Poaceae
Description: long non-coding RNA (TAES_LNC023429)
Rfam family: MIR1120/MIR1122 microRNA precursor family (bases 190672-190806)
Source: RNAcentral
UUUUUCUCGUGGUUCCGAUAGGUGGUGCUAUCGUACUUCCACGUUGAUGGAGACUUCAACCCACGGAGGGUAACGGCUGCGAGAGUCCACGGAGGGCUCCACCCAUGAAGGGUCCACGAAGAAGCAACCUUGUCUAUUCCAUCAUGGCCUACGCCCACGGAGGGCUAGCCUUACUCGGGGUAGAUCUUCACGAAGUAGGCGAUCUCCUUGCCCUUACAAACUUCUUGGUUCAACUCCACAUCUCGACGGAGGCUCCCAAGCGACACCUAACCAAUCUAGGAGGCACCACCCUCCAAAAGGUAAUAGAUGUUGUAGAUGAUGAUGAACUCCUUGCUCUUGUGCUUCAAAUGAUAAUCUCCCCAACACUCAACUCUCCUCACUGAUUUGGCUGUGGUGGAAGAAAGGAUUGAGUGGAAAGCAACUUGGGAAGGCUAGAGAUCAAGCUUCAUAUGGUGGGAGUGGAGCAACUUGAUCUCAACACAAGGGUAGGUAGUUCUCUUCUCAGAAAUGUAAGGUAGGAGUGGUAGUUCUUUCUGAUGGCUCUCUCCACGAAUGAAGAGGGGGUGGAGGGGUAUAAAUAGCCUCCACACAAAAUCCAACCAUUACACACAUUUGAGCAAUCUCGGUGGGACCGAAGUUGACAACUCGGUGAGACCGAUAGUUCAAAUAAUGUGAACGUUGGGAUUUUCGGUGGGACCGAAAAUACAAUCUCGGUUAGUCCGAUUCGUGCAAUGACAAGAGCAUGCCAAUUUCGGUGGGACCGACUUCAUCAUCUCGGUGACACCGAUUUGAUGACAGAAGGUUACAGAAGCUUGGCAACUCAUUUUUCGGUGAGACCGAGUUCAGAAUCGGAAAAUCCGAGUUUGCUAGGGUUUGGCUUUAUGGCUGAGGUGGUUCAUCUCGGUGUGACUGAGUUUGGAAUAUCGGUGGGACCGAGACUACUUAUGAGUGUAUAUGGCAGUGAAAGUUGCUGAUAGUUUAGGAGAUGUAUCACUAAGCACUUGAGCAACCAGAUCAUCAUCAUAACCUCAUCCCCUUCUAAUAGUAUUGGCUUUUCCUAUGGACUCAAUGUGAUCUUGGAUCACUAAACCAAAAAUGGAGUCUUGAGCUUUUGCCAAUGCUUGCCUUAGCAUUUUGAGGGGUCCACUUCUUCAGUCCUUGCCAUACCCAUAUCACUGAACUCUCUGAAAUGAUUCUCAAGUAACUAUUAGUUCAAUGAUAUAUAUGUUGUUAUUAAUUACCAAAACCACCCGGGGAUUAGUUGCACUUUCAAUCUCCCCCUUUUUGGUAAUUGAUGACAACAUAUAGAUCAAAGCUUCGACAAAGGAUAUAAUCAAUGAAUAAUAUCGUCGCUUUGAGAAGUAUGUGAUAAGCAAGAGCUCCCCCUAAAUUUGUGCAUUAUUUAAGAUUUGCGUUUGAAUGCAAAUGCACAAUCGAUUAGGAUCAUGGGUCACUCUUCCAUAUCACAUACAUCUUGGUGGAGCGCACAAAAUGAUAAGAAUGAACAGCAUGCACCCAAUCACCAAGACAUGAGUAAAUGGUCAUACGAGAUAGGAAUGGCAUAUGAUAAUCAUUAAGCACACAUUAAAACAUAGUACGACCAAGCACUCAUUAAGGUAGAAUCAAACGUAGUAUCAAACACACUGAAUGUCUCGAAAACCAAAAGUAUCUCAAAGAAACCGCAAAAGAACGAAAGAGCAAAAGCGACAACAGCACUCUCUCUCUCGAAGUCCUAUGAUCUAUACAAUUUCUCACCCUUUGGCAACAAGUUACCAAAAAGUUCGAAAAAGCAUAGAGCUAAGCGUCACUGGGGACUCUGCUGGCGGCUCCCGUCUGGGUUGAUGUUGGAGUGGAUAUGACAGCAUCGGCGAAGACUUCAGCUGAUGUCUGUGCUGGAGGAGUGGUCACUGGAGUUGGAGUUGGAGUAACUGCUGGAACUGUGGGAGGUGCUGAAGCUGUAGUCCUGGUGUCUGUCACUGGAAUAGCAGCUGAUCGGGGUCCUGUGGGAACCGGAGCAGUCUGCUGAUAAGCAUCCUGGACUAAGUCAUCCUGCAUCUCACGCAUGAGCUCUUCCUUCUCCCGCUUUUCUUCCUCAAUGUCUGCCUCGAGCUUGUUGACAGUCACUCGCAUUUCAGUCAGCUUCACGUCCAGAGCGUGGAUCUUGUCCUCAACAAUCCUCUCUAGGCUCUCCUGAGACUGUACAAUGCUGGCCAGGCGUUGUUCAAUCCUUUGGGUAGCUUCAAGAAUCUUCUCUCCGAAACUCUUUGGUUUAGCUGCUGCUGCUGCUGCUUCCUUGUCAGCUUUGGCUUUCUUAGCAGCUUCGAUCUUGGAUUGACCUUCAACAGAUGUUGGAUCCUCCUCAUCCAUCACAACAACAUUGUCUUCAUGCUCUGGCUGCAACGGUAAAUGUUCUCUAUCCAACAAGAAUGUGCCCGUGCCAAACUUGGCAUUGAUAAGCAUCUGAAUCUGCGGGGCAAAUCCACACGACCAUUUCUGGUCAGCUGCAGUCCUCUUAAUGGUCUCUACCAUCAAGUCCAUCACCUUGAAAGGUGCUUUCUCAUCAAGUAGGUGCAGCAUGUUGAUAGAGUAUCCUCUGAUCAUGCGAUGAUCUCCAGACUUGGGCAUCAAGGUAUGCCUCAAAAUGGUAUUAGUGGUAGGUAAGCCUGCCUGGAGAUAGUAGACUGAGCCGAGCUUCCAAAUUCCCAAGUCCUUUGCUGGAACCUCUUUGUACAUGUUCUUCAUGGAUUCAUGAUUCUUCUUUGGAAUCCCAUAUACAUCAAUAUCAUCUUCUCGUUGCAUUGGAGCAUUCAGAAUUUCUGCCCAUUCUUCAACAGUAGAAGAAAAUCUUUGACCUUCAGUCAUCCACGUAAUCUUCCCAUCAGGGUAGAAGUGAGCUGUGGCAUAGAAUUGCAUUAUCAUCUCAUCGUUCCAACUGGUCAAUUUCUGACCAACAAAAUCUGCAACACCACAUGCAGUGAAACUUUCAUGCACAUGUGGAAAGAAAUCUCUGUGCUCUUCGCUUUCAAUGUACUUCCAGUCAACAUAUCUUGUGUCUGCGACUAUGGGCUUCUUGUCCAUCAGCACGGUCUCAUAGAAGUCCUGCUGCUCUCUGUUGUGAAAUCUGGGAUCUACAGCAGUUCUUCUCCUCACGGCAUAUGGGUCAGUUUGUCUCCAUAGCCUGAGACCUCUAUCUUUCAUUGCCUUCAUAUCCUCAGCUUGAGGAUGAGCAUCAUCAUGGACUGGCAGUUUUGGACGAAGUUUCAGCAAAACUGGUCCUUCAUCAUCUGACACAGCUGGUGGCACAUCAUCCUUGUUCUUUUCAGACGCUGGAAUGUUUCUGACGGUCUUCUUGGGCUUGGCAGCAGGCUUUGCUGGAGCUGCCUUAGCUGGAGCAGAUUUCUUGGGCUUUGAUGUGGCUCCAACCUUAAUGGCAUCACCCAUGAACAUAGGCUUCUGAGGAGGAGGCUGGGGUGCUCCCUCAUCCUCAUCUUCUUCUGCUGCAUCAUGCACUAUCCUCUUUCUCUUGGACGUUUUCUUCACUUUGCUUGCAGCUGCCUCUCCCAAAUUCAGCUUCUGAGCAACAGUUGACUGCUUGACUUUGCUGGUGCCCUUCUUAGUUUGUUGACCUUGUUUCUCUUUGGCAACAACCUUCCUUUUGGGCUUUGAGGUCACCUCUUCCUCAACGACAAAAUCUGAAUCUUCAUCAUCUGAAUUCCUCUUCUUUCUAGCUCUGGUGGCUGCAGGAGGCAAGCCACUUGGUGUACUCCUCUCACCAUCAUCAGAUGAGCUGCUAGGAUCAGGACUAGUGCCUGCCUCUGGAAUAUCUGCAAUGGGUGUCUCUGACCUGUUCUGACUGUCACUGGCAUCUGACAUGGCUGACAACCUGUGAAUAGAUAAGGUGUAGGCAGAGAAGAAGAGUCAUCACAAAAUGCAGAAGUUUUUGCAAAAAAUAUGAGUUCAAAUUCUAGUAUUAGGUUUUCACAUAAGACAUUUCGGUCAAACCGAGUUUAAGAUUCGGUGAAUCCGAAGUGUUAAACAGGAGCUGGCACACCACUUUCGGUUUGACCGAAGUGGGUUUCGGUCCUGCCGAAAACACUAGGGUUUCAUAGAAUUUUCAUUUCGGUCACACCGAUUUUGCACAACUCGGUUGGACCGAAAGGUGCAGUGCAAUGGCCAUAGGCCAAAUCGGUCAUACCGAAAUUAUAAAAUCGGUCUCACCGAGAUGUGUUCGGCGGAAACCUAACCCUAAAACUUUUACUCGAAUCUAGUCCAAACGAACUAAUCUGGUGUACAGGAGGAUUUCAAUCGUGGCAAGAUUCUAGGCAAUCCAAACGUGCAUUGAAUCGGAGCUGGGAGCACGAGUGGGAUCAAAACUCACCCUAACUUGGUGGAGUUUUUCUACGGCGGCAACGGCGCGGAGGAGAUGUCCGUUGACGGCGACGGAGACCUGCGGCGAGGGCGCACAGGCGACGAUGGCGAUGAUCCGGAGACCAAGGCGACGGCAGCAAGGGGUGUGGGGGCGAAACGUUUGAACGAGGAAUCAACACGCGUGGCCCUCGGAGUAUAUAUACCCCUUUGCUGUCGGUGGGACCGAGUUGUAAAACUCGGUGGCACCGAGAUGGAUAACUGCUAGGCAGUUAUGCACUUCGGUCAUGCCAAAAAUCACAACUCGGUUUCACCGAGGUGAAAACCUAGAUCAGUCCAAAUGCUUUCGGUUCGACCGAGUUUGAGUGAGUUGGUCUGACCGAAAUCAAUUAGAAGGUUUUGGAAGUUAGCCUUUGACGGAUCGGUGGCUCCGAGUGCUCCUCACCCGGAGGGUCCGAAAAUGACUUGUUCAAAAUUUGUGAUGUAAGCAUGAAUAGAAUUUGAGACAAGAAAGCAUAGAUAGCUAGGGGAGGUACUUAGGAUUCUUGUCCAUCCAUUUGGUCAGAAAAAUCAAAACGACCAAAGCAACAAAUGGAUGUCCUCGAAUGGAUAAAAUCAUGCAUCCAACAUGCUCCCACAAUAAGAUAGCAAAUGAAAUAUGUGUCAAACAUGCACAACCAAAACUCUAGGUACUAUCACACAAUUUGUCGAUGACUAGGUCAUCUUUAUAUGAGUAUAUUGACUUAGGAGCCAAAUGAGAACAUUUGAUCAUAGGUCAUACUCAUCGUUUAAGCACAAGUGGGGUUACCACUUUUACAUAAAGCAUUGAUGUGUUCACAUCAUUUGAAGAUGCCUUAGCUCAAUUUUUAGAGCAAAGCUCCCCCUAGAUGUGAGAACCCCUUUUAAAGGGUCAAACUAACCUUGGCAUGUCUUAGAAGACUUCAUGUAGAUGUUGAAGAUGUGGAUGCUCAAUGUUGAUGUAGAUCAUCAAGAGUUGAGAGCUAUCCCUUGGAUUCGGGCACUUUCAAUACCUACAUGGGUUAGUCCCACAAGGAACAAACAAGGAUAUCCAUGGACAUAGAUUGAAGUUCACAAUAGAUGAUGUCCAUGAAAGCAAUGAUUACCUUGUCCCUUGACUUACCAACAAGAGGGUUUGUGACUCCAUGAACUAGUGCACGAUGUGGAAGUUGAUUGCACAAGUUUUUGCCAAAAUGAAUGUGAGUGAAGUAUGUUGGCGGAGUCACCCUCAAGAACUUUCUAGUUCUUCUUCUUCGGGAUCCACAUCAUCUUGAUGGGAAUCCUUGGGGUUGUAGUUGAGCUUGACGAAGUAGAACUUGACGUUUCCUUGGGAACCCACUUGACCAUGGCUUGAGGUGCUUCAACAAAUGCAUCAAUCUCCUCUUGAAGCUUGUCCUUGCCUUUUAGCUUGUGGUCUUGUGGUGGAAGGUCAUCUUGAGCUUGUUCCACCUUGGAAGAAGUAGGAUCAUACUUCUCCUUUUGAGGAACAAACUGUGGAGUAGGAUAUUGACCUUCUUCCCAUUCAACACCUUCGGCGUUGAACUUUCGCUCAAAACCAAUUCCUUGAUUCUUCCGGUGCCUUCCUUGCUUGCGAACAAUUUCCUCAAAGUUCUUGCUUCCGGCAAGGCUCUUGUAGACACCUUUCUCUAUGAUCCCUUUCAAUAAACUAUUUUCUUGCUCAAGUGUAACUUGGCUUGAAACAUGGUUAGUGGAAUCAAGAGAACUACUAGAAGCAACAACAUUGGAUUUAGCAUGGUUAUUGUUACUACUAGAAAAGGAAUUUUUCUUAUGCUUGUCAUGCUUAGUCUUAAUGGGUGGCAAGAAAUUAGACAAGAGAAGUCAUUUGGCAAGAUAUGAAGAACUAUUCUUUCGAAGAUCGUCAUUGAUUGCUUUUAGAAACUCAUGUUCUUGCUCUAGAGUGAGCUUCUCGAAGCGUAGCUUCUCAUGCGAUCUUAGGAGCUCUCUAUGAUCUUCUUGAGUUGUUUCAUGAGCUAACUUAAGAGUUUUUAGUUCUUUAGUUAGACGCUCAAUCUCCUUCAUAGCAUUGUCAUUCGACUCUUCUCGACUAUAAAGACUACUAGCAUGUUCAUCGUUACUAGGUUCAUUGGAUUUAUCAAGUAAGAGCUCAUCUUCACCAAGCAAGUCAUCCUCAUCACUAUCGAAGUCAAUGAAUUUAGGGUGUGAUACCUUGGGGCCUUUAGCCAUGAAGCAUCUUCCAAUUCCCUCAUUUGGUGAAUCAAAUAAGUCGUAGGAAUUGGAGUUGGAGGAUACGAGAGCAAGACCGGCAACACCUUCAUCUUGACUGUAGUCGGAGUUGGAGUGAUAGCUUCCUUCGGAUUGAUUGUCGGAGUCGGAGCCGGAGACCCAUUCACCUACAUGAGCUUGAUGUUUUCUUCUUGUGUAGCUCCUUGAUGACUUGUCUUUCCUCUCCGAAUCCUUGCUUCUCUGAGAGGGUCUUCGUUCAUAACGAUCAUCUCUGCUCCUUCUCUCUUUCCGAGGUGACUCAUAUCUUGAGCUUCUUCUUCUUGGAGAUUCUUCUCUUCUCUUGUGGGGAGCCGUACACUCAUUUGAGUAGUGUUCGGGUCUUCCACAAUUGUAGCAGUUUCGAUCACGACUAGAAGAUCUCUUUUCAUCAUAUGAUCUAGACUUUGAGCUUCUCUCUUUGCCUCUAUUCUUGUAGAAUUUGUUGAAGUUCUUGACCAUUAGGCUUAUCUCUUCAUUGGAAACUAACUUGUCACUUGAGGUUGUGGGAGCAUCACUUGUAGCUUUGUAAGCACCACUUGACUUGUUGUGAAGCUCUUCCUUAUCCUUAAGUGUCAUCUCAUGAGCAACAAUUCUUCCAAUGACUUCGGUUGGCUUGAGAUUCUUGUAGUUUGGCAUCAUUUGGAUCAAAGUGCACACGGUGUCAUACUUUCCAUCCAAAGCUCUGAGAAUCUUCUUGAUGAUGAAUCGGUCGGUCAUUUCUUCGCUUUCUAAGCCGGCAAUUUCAUUUGUGAUGAGAGCAAGCCUAGAGUACAUUUCAGCGACUCCUUCACCAUCCUUCAUCUUGAACUUGUCAAGUUGACCUUGAAGAAUAUCUAGCUUUGACUCCUUCACGGACUCGGUACCUUCGUGCAUUUCAACCAAAGUAUCCCAAAUCUCUUUUGCAUUCUCAAGACGGCUGAUUUUGUUGAACUCCUCGGGACACAAGGCAUUGAAGAGAAUGUCACAAGCUUGAGCAUUGUUUUGCAACAUCCGCAAUUCUUCCGUUGUAGCUUCGCUAUCCGGAACUUUUCCUUCCUCGAAGAAUUCACCUUGCAUACCAACACAAAUAAUGCCCCAUGCGGCUGGGUUAUGACCAAGAAUAUGCAUUUUCAUUUUAUGCUUCCAACUAGCAAAAUUUGUACCAUCAAAGUAAGGACCUCUACGAAAAUUACCCUCACUAGACGCCAUACUCUCCUAGGUUGUGAAACCAAGCUUAUGGAGUCCAAUGCAAUGGAAACCAAUACAAUGGAGACCAAAGCUCUGAUACCACUUGUAGGAUCGAAAGUAUGUCUAGAGGGGGGGUGAUUAGACUACUUGACAAUAUAAAAAUUCUGCCUUUUGACAAAGAACAGUUUUUGGCAGAUUCACAAUUAUGAGCAAGUCAAGCAUCACCCUACACAUGCAAUUCUAGAGUAUAGGCAGCGGAAAGUAAAUUGCACAUGUAGUAAAGAGAGGUGGAGAAGAGCAAACGCAAUUUUGGAGACGCGGUGAUUUUUCUCGUGGUUCCGAUAGGUGGUGCUAUCGUACUUCCACGUUGAUGGAGACUUCAACCCACGAAAGGUAACGGCUGCGAGAGUCCCAGGAGGGCUCCACCCAUGAAGGGUCCACGAAGAAGCAACCUUGUCUAUUCCAUCAUGGCCUACGCCCACGGAGGGCUAGCCUUACUCGGCGUAGAUCUUCACGAAGUAGGCGAUCUCCUUGCCCUUACAAACUUCUUGGUUCAACUCCACAUCUCGACGGAGGCUCCCAAGCGACACCUAACCAAUCUAGGAGGCACCACCCUCCAAAAGGUAAUAGAUGUUGUAGAUGAUGAUGAACUCCUUGCUCUUGUGCUUCAAAUGAUAAUCUCCCCAACACUCAACUCUCCUCACUGAUUUGGCUGUGGUGGAAGAAAGGAUUGAGUGGAAAGCAACUUGGGAAGGCUAGAGAUCAAGCUUCAUAUGGUGGGAGUGGAGCAACUUGAUCUCAACACAAGGGUAGGUAGUUCUCUUCUCAGAAAUGUAAGGUAGGAGUGGUAGUUCUUUCUGAUGGCUCUCUCCACGAAUGAAGAGGGGGUGGAGGGGUAUAAAUAGCCUCCACACAAAAUCCAACCGUUACACACAUUUGAGCAAUCUCGGUGGGACCGAAGUUGACAACUCGGUGAGACCGAUAGUUCAAAUAAUGUGAACGUUGGGAUUUUCGGUGGGACCGAAAAUACAAUCUCGGUUAGUCCGAUUAGUGCAAUGACAAGAGCAUGCCAAUUUCGGUGGGACCGACUUCAUCAUCUUGGUGACACCGAUUUGAUGACAGAAGGUUACAGAAGCUUGGCAACUCAUUUUUCGGUGAGACCGAGUUCAGAAUCGGAAAAUCCGAGUUUGCUAGGGUUUGGCUUUAUGGCUGAGGUGGUUCAUCUCGGUGUGACUGAGUUUGGAAUAUCGGUGGGACCGAGACUACUUAUGAGUGUAUAUGACAGUGAAAGUUGCUGAUAGUUUAGGAGAUGUAUCACUAAGCACUUGAGCAACCAGAUCAUCAUCAUAACCUCAUCCCCUUUUAAUAGUAUUGGCUUUUCCUAUGGACUCAAUGUGAUCUUGGAUCACUAAACCAAAAAUGGAGUCUUGAACUUUUGCCAAUGCUUGCCUUAGCAUUUUGAGGGGUCCACUUCUUCAGUCCUUGCCAUACCCAUAUCACUGAACUCUCUGAAAUGAUUCUCAAGUAACUAUUAGUUCAAUGAUAUAUAUAUGUUGUUAUUAAUUACCAAAACCACCCGGGGAUUAGUUGCACUUUCAAUCUCCCCCUUUUUGGUAAUUGAUGACAACAUAUAGAUCAAAGCUUCGACAAAGGAUAUAAUAAUUGAAUAAUAUCGUCGCUUUGAGAAGUAUGUGAUAAGCAAGAGCUCCCCCUAAAUUUGUGCAUUAUUUAAGAUUUGCGUUUGAAUGCAAAUGCACAAUCGAUUAGGAUCAUGGGUCACUAUUCCAUGUCACAUACAUCUUGGUGGAGCGCACAAAAUGAUAAGAAUGAAUAGCAUGCACCCAAUCACCAAGACAUGAGUAAAUGGUCAUACGAGAUAGGAAUGGCAUAUGAUAAUCAUUAAGCACACAUUAAAGCAUAGUACGACCAAGCACUCAUUAAGGUAGAAUCAAACGUAGUAUCAAACACACUGAAUGUCUCGAAAACCAAAAGUAUCUCAAAGAAACCGCAAAAGAACGAAAGAGCAAAAGCGACAACAGCACUCUCUCUCUCGAAGUCCUAUGAUCUAUACAAUUUCUCCCCCUUUGGCAACAAGUUACCAAAAAGUUCGAAAAAGCAUAGAGCUAAGCGUCACUGGGGACUCUGCUGGCGGCUCCCGUCUGGGUUGAUGUUGGAGUGGAUAUGACAGCAUCGGCGAAGACUUCAGCUGAUGUCUGUGCUGGAGGAGUGGUCACUGGAGCUGGAGUUGGAGUAACUGCUGGAACUGUGGGAGGUGCUGAAGUUGUAGUCCUGGUGUCUGUCACUGGAAUAGCAGCUGAUCGGGGUCCUGUGGGAACCGGAGCAGUCUGCUGAUAAGCAUCCUGGACUAAGUCAUCCUGCAUCUCACGCAUGAGCUCUUCCUUCUCCCACUUUGCUUCCUCAAUGUCUGCCUCGAGCUUGUUGACAGUCACUUGCACUUCAGUCAGCUUCACGUCCAGAGUGUGGAUCUUGUCCUCAACAAUCCUCUCUAGGCUCUCCUGAGACUGUACAAUGCUGACCAGGCGUUGUUCAAUCCUUUGGGUAGCUUCAAGAAUCUGCUCUCCGAAACUCUUUGGUUUAGCUGCUGCUGCUGCUGCUUCCUUGUCAGCUUUGGCUUUCUUAGCAGCUUCGAUCUUGGCUUGACCUUCAACAGAUGUUGGAUCCUCCUCAUCCAUCACAACAACAUUGUCUUCAUGCUCUGGCUGCAACGGUAAAUGUUCUCUAUCCAACAAGAAUGUGCCCGUGCCAAACUUGGCAUUGAUAAGCAUCUGAAUCUGCGGGGCAAAUCCACACGACCUUUUCUGGUCAGCUGCAGUCCUCUUAAUGGUCUCUACCAUCAAGUCCAUCACCUUGAAAGGUGCUUUCUCAUCAAGUAUGUGCAGCAUGUUGAUAGAGUAUCCUCUGAUCAUGCGAUGAUCUCCAGACUUGGGCAUCAGGGUAUGCCUCAAAAUGGUAUUAGUGGUAGGUAAGCCUGCCUGGAGAUAGUAGACUGAGCCGAGCUUCCAAAUUCCCAAGUCCUUUGCUGGAACCUCUUUGUACAUGUUCUUCAUGGAUUCAUGAUUCUUCUUUGGAAUCCCAUAUACAUCAAUAUCAUCUUCUCGUUGCAUUGGAGCAUUCAGAAUUUCUGCCCAUUCUUCAACAGUAGAAGAAAAUCUUUGACCUUCAGUCAUCCACGUAAUCUUCCCAUCAGGGUAGAAGUGAGCUGUGGCAUAGAAUUGCAUUAUCAUCUCAUCGUUUCAACUGGUCAAUUUCUGACCAACAAAAUCUGCAACACCACAUGCAGUGAAACUUUCAUGCACAUGUGGAAAGAAAUCUCUGUGCUCUUCGCUGUCAAUGUACUUCCAGUCAACAUAUCUUGUGUCUGCGACUAUGGGCUUCUUGUCCAUCAGCACGGUCUCAUAGAAGUCCUGCUGCUCUCUGGUGUGAAAUAUGGGAUCUACAGCAGUUCUUCUCCUCACGGCAUAUGGGUCAGUUUGUCUCCAUAGCCUGAGACCUCUAUCUUUCCUUGCCUUCAUAUCCUCAGCUUGAGGAUGAGCAUCAUCAUGGACUGGCAGUUUUGGACGAAGUUUCAGCAAAACUGGUCCUUCAUCAUCUGACACAGCUGGUGGCACAUCAUCCUUGUUCUUUUCAGACGCUGGAAUGUUUCUGACGGUCUUCUUGGGCUUGGCAGCAGGCUUUGCUGGAGCUGCCUUAGCUGGAGCAGAUUUCUUGGGCUUUGAUGUGGCUCCAGCCUUAAUGGCAUCACCCAUGAACUUAGCCUUCUGAGGAGGAGGCUGGGGUGCUCCCUCAUCCUCAUCUUCUUCUGCUGCAUCAUGCACUAUCCUCUUUCUCUUGGAGGUUUUCUUCACUUUGCUUGCAGCUGCCUCUCCCAAAUUCAGCUUCUGAGCAACAGUUGACUGCUUGACUUUGCUGGUGCCCUUCUUAGUUUGUUGACCUUGUUGCUCUUUGGCAACAACCUUCCUUUUGGGCUUUGACGUCACCUCUUCCUCAACGACAAAAUCUGAAUCUUCAUCAUCUGAAUUCCUCUUCUUUCUAGCUCUGGUGGCUGCAGGAGGCAAGCCACUUGGUGUACUCCUCUCACCAUCAUCAGAUGAGCUGCUAGGAUCAAGACUAGUGCCUGCCUCUGGAAUAUCUGCAAUGGGUGUCUCUGACCUGUUCUGACUGUCACUGGCAUCUGACAUGGCUGACAACCUGUGAAUAGAUAAGGUGUAGGCAGAGAAGAAGAGUCAUCACAAAAUGCAGAAGUUUUUGCAAAAAAUAUGAGUUCAAAUUCUAGUAUUAGGUUUUCACAGAAGACAUUUCGGUCAGACCGAGUUUAAAGUUCGGUGAAUCCGAAGUGUUAAACAGGAGAUGGCACACCACUUUCGGUUUGACCGAAGUGGGUUUCGGUCCUGCCGAAAACACUAGGGUUUCACAGAAUUUUCAUUUCGGUCACACCGAUUUUGCACAACUCGGUUGGACCGAAAGGUGCAGUGCAAUGGCCAUAGGCCAAAUCGGUCAUACCGAAAUUAUAAAAUCGGUCUCACCGAGAUGUGUUCGGCGGAAACCUAACCCUAAAACUUUUACUCGAAUCUAGUCCAAACGAACUAAUCUGGUGUACAGGAGGAUUUCAAUCGUGGCAAGAUUCUAGGCAAUCCAAACGUGCAUUGAAUCGGAGCUGGGAGCACGAGUGGGAUCAAAACUCACCCUAACUUGGUGGAGUUUUUCUACGGCGGCAACGGCGCGGAGGAGAUGUCCGUUGACGGCGACGGAGACCUGCGGCGAGGGCGCACAGGCGACGACGGCGACGAUCCGGAGACCAAGGCGACGGCAGCAAGGGGUGUGGGGGCGAAACGUUUGAAGGAGGAAUCAACGCGCGCGGCCCUCGGAGUAUAUAUACCCCUUUGCUGUCGGUGGGACCGAGUUGUAAAACUCGGUGGCACCGAGAUGGAUAACUGCUAGGCAGUUAUGCACUUCGGUCACGCCGAAAAUCACAACUCGGUUUCACCGAGGUGAAAACCUAGAUCAGUCCAAAUGCUUUCGGUUCGACCGAGUUUGAGUGAGUUGGUCUGACCGAAAUCAAUUAGAAGGUUUUGGAAGUUAGCCUUUGACGGAUCGGUGGCUCCGAGUGCUCCUCACCCGGAGGGUCCGAAAAUGACUUGUUCAAAAUUUGUGAUGUAAGCAUGAAUAGAAUUUGAGACAAGAAAGCAUAGAUAGCUAGGGGAGGUACUUAGGCAUUCUUGUCCAUCCAUUUGGUCAGAAAAAUCAAAACGACCAAAGCAACAAAUGGAUGUCCUCGAAUGGAUAAAAUCAUGCAUCCAACAUGCUCACACAAUAAGAUAGCAAAUGAAAUAUGUGUCAAACAUGCACAACCAAAACUCUAGCUACUAUCACACAAUUUGUCGAUGACUAGGUCAUCUUUAUAUGAGUAUAUUGACUUAGGAGCCAAAUGAGAACAUUUGAUCAUAGGUCAUACUCAUCGUUUAAGCACAAGUGGGGUUACCACUUUUACAUAAAGCAUUGAUGUGUUCACAUCAUUUGAAGAUGCCUUAGCUCAAUUUUUAGAGCAAAGCUCCCCCUAGAUGUGAGAACCCCUUUUAAAGGGUCAAACUAACCUUGGGUUGUCGUAGAAGACUUCAUGUAGAUGUUGAAGAUGUGGAUGCUCAAUGUUGAUGUAGAUCAUCAAGAGUUGAGAGCUAUCCCUUGGAUUCGGGCACUUUCAAUACCUACAUGGGUUAGUCCCACAAGGAACAAACAAGGAUAUCCAUGGACAUAGAUUGAAGUUCACAAUAGAUGAUGUCCAUGAAAGCAAUGAUUACCUUGUCCCUUGACUUACCAACAAGAGGGUUUGUGACUCCAUGAACUAGUGCACGAUGUGGAAGUUGAUUGCACAAGUUUUUGCCAAAAUGAAUGUGAGUGAAGUAUGUUGGCGGAGUCACCCUCAAGAACUUUCUAGUUCUUCUUCUUCGGGAUCCACAUCAUCUUGAUGGGAAUCCUUGGGGUUGUAGUUGAGCUUGACGAAGUAGAACUUGACGUUUCCUUGGGAACCCACUUGACCAUGGCUUGAGGUGCUUCAACAAAUGCAUCAAUCUCCUCUUGAAGCUUGUCCUUGCCUUUUAGCUUGUGGUCUUGUGGUGGAAGGUCAUCUUGAGCUUGUUCCACCUUGGAAGAAGUAGGAUCAUACUUCUCCUUUUGAGGAACAAACUGUGGAGUAGGAUAUUGACCUUCUUCCCAUUCAACACCUUCGGCGUUGAACUUUCGCUCAAAACCAAUUCCUUGAUUCUUCCGGUGCCUUCCUUGCUUGCGAACAAUUUCCUCAAAGUUCUUGCUUCCGGCAAGGCUCUUGUAGACACCUUUCUCUAUGAUCCCUUUCAAUAAACUAUUUUCUUGCUCAAGUGUAACUUGGCUUGAAACAUGGUUAGUGGAAUCAAGAGAACUACUAGAAGCAACAACAUUGGAUUUAGCAUGGUUAUUGUUACUACUAGAAAAGGAAUUUUUCUUAUGCUUGUCAUGCUUAGUCUUAAUGGGUGGCAAGAAAUUAGACAAGAGAAGUCAUUUGGCAAGAUAUGAAGAACUAUUCUUUCGAAGAUCGUCAUUGAUUGCUUUUAGAAACUCAUGUUCUUGCUCUAGAGUGAGCUUCUCGAAGCGUAGCUUCUCAUGAGAUCUUAGGAGCUCUCUAUGAUCUUCUUGAGUUGUUUCAUGAGCUAACUUAAGAGUUUUUAGUUCUUUAGUUAGACGCUCAAUCUCCUUCAUAGCAUUGUCAUUAUGUAGAAUAUGUAGGAACCAAUAUGAGCAUCCAGGUUCCGCUAUUGUUUAUUGACCGGAGACGUGUCUCGGUCAUGUCUACAUAGUUCUCGAACUCGUAGGGUCCGCACGCUUAACGUUCGAUGACGAUUGGUAUUAUGAGUUUAUGUGUUUUGAUGUACCAAAGGUAGUUCGGAGUUCCGGAUGUGAUCACGGACAUGACGAGGAGUCUCGAAAUGGUCGAGACAUAAAGAUUGAUAUAUUGGACGACUAUGUUUGGACAUCGGAAAGGUUCCGGAUGAGUUCGGGCAUUUACCGGAGUACCGGGGGGUUAUCAGAACCGCUUGGGAGUGUAUGGGCCUUAUUGGGCUUUACUGGGAGAGAGGAGGAGGCGGCCAGGUGGAGGCCCCCCCAAGCCCAAUCCGAAUUGGGUCGGGGGCUGGCCCCCCCUUCCCUCUCUCUCCCCCUUCCUUCCUCUCCUACUCCAACUUGGGAAAGGGGAAUCCUACUCCCACUGGGAGUAGGACUCCCCCCUUGGGCGCGUUAUAGAGGGCCGGCCCUCCCCCUCCCCUACUCCUUUAUAUACGGGGGAGGGGGCACCCCUUAGACACACAAGUUGACAAUUGUUUAGCCGUGUGUGGUGCCCCCCUCCACAGUUAGACGCCUCGGUCAUAUCGUCGUCGUGCUUAGGCGAAGCCCUGCGCCGGUAAAUCCAUCAUCACCGUCACCACGCCAUCGUGCGGACGAAACUAUCCGUCGGCCUCAACUGGAUCAAGAGUACGAGGGAGGUCUCCAAGCUAAACGUGUGCUGAACACGGGGGUCCGCACGUUUGGUGCUUGGAUCGGUUGGAUCGCGAAGACGUUCGACUACAUCAACCGCAUUAACUAAAUGCUUCCGCUUUCCGCAUUAACUAGAGGGUACGCGGACACACUCUCCCCUCUCGUUGCUAUGCAUCACAUAGAUAGAUCUUGCGUGAUCGUAGGAUUUUUUUUUUUGAAACUACCGCGUUCCCCAACACUUCCAUCCCUCCCAAUGCCGCCGCCCAUGGCUCCCAUGGCUCUCAUGCUUGUUUCCAUGCGCCCCAUGGUAGCUCCCAUGACUCCCAAGCCUCCCAUGGUAGCUCCCAUGACUCCCAAGCCUCCCAUGGUAGCUCCCAUGCCUCCCAACUCUCACGUGGUAGCUCCCAUGCAUCCUAGGCCCAUCAAUCUUUUUUGGACAAGGACUUGAUCAUGACAAAGGUUGAUGUACUCCUUUUGCCUAUCAUCGAAGUUAGCUGUGUCCAUGACGAAGAAGUACUUCUCAUAUUCCAAUAAGCUAGCUUGCUCCUCCGUGGCUAAUUUCUUCUCCUCCAAUGCAACCUUCCUCCCCUCGGCUGCCAUCGUCCUCUCCCCAGCCUCCGACUCUUGGCUUCUUCUUCUUCUUCUUCUUCUUCUUCUUCUUCUUCUUAUUCUUCUUCUUCUUCUUCUUCUUCUUCUUCUUCUUCUUCUUCUUCUUCUUCUUCUUCUUCUUCUUCUCUUUUGCUUGUUUACCUCCAUUUGGUCUUUUUGGCUUGGAGUAGGCAAACGAGUUUGUUGUAGGGCUCCUCUUGCCACCAUCACUUGAUGCAUCAUCAUCAUCUUCUUCAUGAUCAUCAUCUAAGACCAUAUCAAUAGUUGACUUGCCUUUAUUUGGCACCUUUAGGCAAUCUCUGUUGAUCAUCGACCACCAGGAUCGAAUAUAUCUAUCGGUGCGCUCAAUUCCAAUCUUGUUGUGUGCAUCAAAGUACUCCUUCAUCCUAAACCAAUAUGUAUCUCUAGUCCGUCGCAACGGUGGCAUCCAUAGAUACAUUCAACCAUGUAUUGCUUAGCCAGAUGUCUUCAUCCACGGUGUAGUUGGAUGCCCUUCCUUUCGGUGCAUCGACCAUACCCUCACCCUCCUCAUCCACUUCAUACUCAUGAUCAUCUUGAUGCACUCCAUUGGAUUGAGAUCAAUGGGAAUUGUUGGAGCCAACACCCAUAGUUGACAAAUAUGUGUCAUCAUUGAAACUACAGAGUAUGAUAAAGAAAACAAAUCAAGAUAUCCAUAUGUACACAUUUAUCUAACAACAAAAAAAAGAAAAAGAAAAGCAUACCUUGUGGGCAUUUCAUCAAACACCAUCUGGGCAUUGGCCGCCGAUGCACUAAAUUGCGAGCUAUCCGGCGCUCUGGGCGGCGUAGGCGCUACUGGAUUCCUCUUCACGCGCCUAGAAGCGCCAUCCACUUUCCUCUUCAUUUCGACCGUAGCCAUUGGUCGCUUGGAGAAGGAGCUCCGUCGCUUCUAGCUCUGUUGUGGUUGAUUGGGCUGGUAUUGUGAUCGGGCCGGUGCACUAAAUCCAUUGGCCUGUUUAGAUGGCCCACACCUUCUUUCAUCCCCGCACCCCUGUCCCUGCUCUCCCGUCCAUCUUCGGCCGUCACAGACGCAGUCGUUCCCCUCCUCUUCGCCAGCACCGCUCAGGCAGCCACCUCGCCUAAAAAAUAAGAUCACGAAAAAAAUCUCAAUUGGUGCCAGGCAUCUCCUCUAAUGCUCCCGUCAUAGGCGGGCUUCGAAUAUAGAGCAGGCAGCGACGGAUCGGCCUGGGCGGGGAAGUGCAGCCGACCAGGUUACGCCAUUGUGAUCGCCUUGAACAAUCAGGUGGAGGAUGUGGCUCGGUUUUUCUGGUGGGUGCCCGAUGGACCUAUUCCGCUGCACGGCAUUGCCACCAGUGUGGGAGGGCAGUUACACUGGCGUUGGUGUAAGAAGGCAGAGCUUCCGAGAGCGAUAGGAUGGCGGUUCCCCUAGGACGUGCGAGAGAGGAGAGGUCGACAUCGAGGUGCACUUCCACUCCGGCCGCCCAGAGCUCCCACGCCACUGCCUCCGUCAGGCGCUUCUCUGUGCUGGGCGAUGGGAAGAUGAAGAUGAGAUGCGGAUUAUGGGAAGGCACAUAAAACUGGGACUGGGUUGAGGACUUAUGCUUGCCGCAACUGUUCGCGGCCAAUGUCUCCUACUAACGUGCUUGUGUGGCUUGCGGGCAGACACAUGUUCAAAUACCCAUUGACUCAAAUAUCACGGGCAACAAGGAAUCAUGGAUGACAAAGCACAAUGUUGUACUAGGCGUGAGGUAAUUUUAUUCUGCACCUAUUCGACACUUCAGUUCUAGCAAGCAUUUUUUGUAAGCAUGGACGUUUUUCAGUUUUAUGGCUCUUGCCAGGGGAUCCAUGUGGCCAGUCACAUGGCUUGAUCGAGCGGCCUCCCAUAGAACUUGCACUGCCUGCGCCUAGAUUCCUUUCUUGGUCUGUGCUACGUCUUGAGCUUGCGUUGGUUUUCCUUGAAGAGGAAAGGGUGAUGCAGCAAUAGUAGCGUAAGUAUUUCCCUCAGUUUUUGAUAACCAAGGUAUCAAUCCAGUAGUAGGCUCCUCAAAAGUCCCACGCACCUACACAAACAAACAAAGAACUCGCAACCAACGCAAUAAAGGGGUUGUCAAUCCCUUCACGGCCACUUCCGAAAGUGAGAUAUGAUAGAGAUAGUAUGAUAAGAUAAACUAGCAAAAGAGCCCGUGCAUUGCAACGGGAGAGAAAACAUAACACACACUCUUAACUUAACAACCAUCACUCAAGACCACAAAUAGGUCCAUCUCUUUUAUUUUUGCGAGGCAUCAUAUUUGUGUUGCCGCUUAUCCUCCUUCUCACCCUCGCCGACGAUGGCCUCGGUGUUCACACAAAACAACAAAAAACGUGUGUUGAAUAUGGUUAAUCCUAAGGCGUCUCUCUCUCCCUCCCUCCUCCCUCUCCCUCUCUCUCCCGCCUCUCUCUCCCGCUCGCUUUCUCUCACUCCCGUGAUGAGAAAUCUGUUGUUUUCCCUUGCGACAUUUUUCAGAGGUAUGCACAUGUGGUUAUCGAUGUUUUCUUUUCCAUAUAUGGUUAUAGUGGGGUAUUUAUUUGCAAUCCAGAUCGCCGCCGGUAUGAAAAAACGGAUCUUGCGCUAUAAAUUAUAAGUUUGCUUCCAUAACAAUAUUUUAAAAAUAUGUAACAGAUAAAAUUAACAUGAUAUUUAGAUUCCACACAUUUUUCUAAUAAAAUUUCGUAUAUAAUAUGUUAAAAUCGAAGUUACGGUUUAAAAGAUACUGAUAAUUUAGAAAAUCAUUUGGUUUGACUCAAAUAUAUUCCAAAAUAAUAUUUAAAAAUACUUAACAGGUAAAAAUAAUCUCAUAUUCAUAUUCUACAUAUUUUUCUAAUCAAAUUUCAUAUAUAACAUGUUCAAAUCGGAGUUACGGUUUAAAAGAUAUGGAUGAUUUUAAAAAGCAUUUGUUUUACUUAAAUAUGAUCCUCGGAUGAUUUACCUAAAACAUUAGGGGGGUUUUCAAAAAAUGUAAAAUAACGGUUCGGGUGUGACUUAAAUCCGGACGGCGGGUUGAUUUCAAGAGAAGACAGGGACUUUUGUGUAAAAUAUGAAAAUAACGCUUCGUUUUAACUUAAAACAGGACUGCGGGUUGAAUUCUCUGAAAUAGAGGGACUUUUCUGAAAAAAAUGUCAUGACGGACAAAAGAAACCCAAUUUGCUUUAUUAUUAGGUUAAGAUAUAUUUUUGGUAUUUUAUAAUAUAGAUGCAAAAAGUAAAGACGCAAAUAAAAGUAGAUUGAAAGCUUAUAUGAUAAAAGAUAGACCCGGGGGCCAUAUGUCUCGCUAGUGGCUUCUCUCAAGAUAGCAUAAGUAUUACAGUGGGUGAACAAAUUACUGUCGAGCAAUUGAUAGAAAAGCGAAUGAUUAUGAGAUUAUCUAGGCAUGACCAUGUAUAUAGGCAUCACGUCCGCGACAAGUAGACUUACUCUUGCCUACAUCUACUACUAUUACUCCACACAUCGACCGCUAUCCAGUAUGCAUCUAGAGUAUUAAGUUCAUAAGAACAGAGUAACACAUUAAGAAAGAUGACAUGAUGUAGAGGCACUACUAGGGAAAAGCCUAGCAGCAGCGCGGGUUUUGGGCCUAUUAGUAGCGCGGGGGCCGGCCCCCACGCUACUACUACGUCCUUUAGCAGUAGCGCGGGUGCCAACCCGCGCUACUACUAAUCUCUAAUCUUUGAUUUUUUUUGAAUUUUUUCGAAAAAAGAAUCAAUUUUUUCCCUAAUUUUCAAAUUUCUAAAUUAUUUUAACCUCAAAUCUCUAAUCACCCCUCAUCGCUGCUCAAUUAAAUCUCUAAUCACCCCUCAUCAUUCCAAAUUAUCUAACUUCCCGGACGGUCACCCAUCCUCUCACUACUCCAGCCUGAGCACGCUUAACUUCCGGGUUCUAUUCACCCUCGUUUCCAAGUGUGCACUUGUUGUUUUCCUGACAAUAGUAAAAUGUCAAUCCUAUUAACCUCAGGAAUUUAGCUUGAGCAUGAAGUUACACAUUUCACUGUUUGAGUUUGAAACUAUUGUUCUAAAAAAUAAGUAACACUAAUAUUUCUUGAAUAAUUAGUUUGACCAUAGUUUGACCAGAUUUGACCACAGUUUGCCAUAGUUUGACAAGAUUUGACCAAAAUUCAAAAAAACUAAAAUAAUUAUUAAGUAACACUAAUAUUCUUGAAUAAUUAGUUUGACCAUAGUUUGACCAGAUUUAACAAAAAUUAAAAAAAACUGAAUUUUUUUUUUAAUUUUUUUGCCUCCAGAUCUUAAAAGCCCUGUAACUUUUUUUCUGUUAGGUUUUUGAGGAUUUUAAAAAUGUUUAACGGGGUUCCCCCUGUUAAAUUAGGAUGUAACUUUUCGAGUAGAUGAUUUUUCAUAUAAAAAACUUUUUCAUCCAAGUUAGUAUGCAAAAGUUAUGCCCAUUUUUACAAAUUCUCGAGAGAUUUUGCAAAUAAAGUCAAAAUUCAUAUUUGCAAAUUUUCCCAACAACUAGACCACAUAUCACAUGGGAACUUAUUUUCUUUUAUUUUUUUUUGACAUUUUCAUCAUUUUCUUUUAUUUUUUUUAAACUGAAAAGGCGAUCCAGGGGGGUAGAGUUUGAAAAUGGGACCUUUAGUAGUAGCGCGGGUUUUAACCCUCGCUACUGCUAUGGCACCACUUAGUAGUAGCGAGGGCUAAAAACCGGUGCUACUGCUAUCUCCCUUAGUAGUAGCGAGGGUUACAAACCCGCGCUACUACUAUGGCAUGUCCCGGGGGGCACGGUAGAGACCGCUUAGUAGUAGCGAGGGUUAAAAGCCCGCGCUACUGCUAUCAACUUAGUAGUAGCGAGGUUUAAAAACCUGCGCUACUAGUUGAUAGCAGUAGCGAGGGUUUUUAACCCUCGCUACUAGUAAGAUUCUUUGUAUAGGCUUUUCCCUAGUAGUGAGGGAUAAACUCAAGCAAUAUGAUAUAAACCCCAUGUUUUUAUCCUCGAUGGCAACAAUACAAUACAUGCCUUGCUGCCCCUGCUGUCGCUGAGAAAGGACACCGCAAGAUUGAACCCAAAGCUAAGCACUUCUCCCAUGGCAAGAAAGAUCAAUCUAGUAGGCCAAACCAAACUGAUAAUUCGAAGAGACAUGCAAAGAUAACUCAAUCAUACAUAAAAAAUUAAGAGAAGAUUCAAAUAUUUCUCAUAGAUAAACUUGAUCAUAAACCCACAAUUCAUCGGACCUCGACAAACACACCGCAAAAAGAGUUACAUCAAAUAGAUCUCCACAAGAGAGGGGGAGAACAUCGUAUUGAGAUCCAAAAGAGAGAGGAAGCCAUCUAGCUAAUAACUAUGGACCCGAAGGUCUGUGGUAAACUACUACUCACAACUCAUAGGAGGGGCUAUGUUGUUGAUGUAGAAGCCCUCCGUGGUCGAUUCCCCCUCCGGCGGAGUGCCGGCAAAGGCUCCAAGAUGGGAUCUCGCGGAUACAGAAGGUUACGACGGUGGAAAUUGUGUUUCGUUGGCUCCCUGGAUGUUUUCGAGGUACGUAGGUAUAUAUAGGAGGAAGAAGUACGUCGGUGGCCGCUCGUGGGGCCCAGGAGACAGGGGGCGCGCCCAGGAGGGGUGGGCACGCCCUCCUAUCUCCUGGACGCCUCGUUUGCUUCUUGACAUGCACUCCAGGUUCUCCGGAUCACGGUCGUUCCAAAAAUCACGCUCCCGAAGGUUUCAUUCCAUUUGGACUCCGUUUGAUAUUCCUUUUCUUCGAAAUACUGAAAUAGACAAAAAAACAGGAAUACGGGCUGGGCCUCCGGUUAGUAGGUUAGUCCCAAAAAUGAUAUAAAUGUGUAAAAUAAAGCCCAUAAACAUCCAAAAAGGGUUAAUAUAAUAGCAUGGAACAAUCAAAAAUUAUAGAUACGUUAAUGUUGGAGACGUAUCAAGCAUCCCCAAGCUUAAUUCCUGCUCGUCCUCGAAUAGGUAAAUGAUAAAAACAGAAUUUUUGAUACGGAAUGCUACCUAGCAUAAUUCUCAAUGUAAUUUUCUUUAUUGUGGCAUGAAUGUUUAGAUCCAAAUGAUUCAAAAUAAAAGUUCAUAUUGAUAAAAGAAAUAGUAAUACUUCAAGCAUACUAAUAAAAGCGAUCAUGUCUUCUCAAAAUAACAUGGCUAAAGAAAGUUCAUCCCUACAAAAUCAUAUAGUUAGGCUAUGCUUCAUUUCCCUCACACAAAAAUGUUCCCAAAUUCUACACCCCUGAUGACAAGCCAGGUAAUUGUUUCGUACUUAAAUAAUCUCAAACUUUUUCAACUUUCACGCAAUACAUGAGCGUGAGCCAUGGAUAUAGCACUAUGGGUGGAAUAUAAUAUGAUGAUGGGGAUUGUAUGGAGAAGACAAAAAAGGAGAAAGUCUCACAUUGACGAGGAUAAUCAACGGGCUAUGGAGAUGCCCAUCAAUUGAUGUCAACAUGAGGAGUAGGGAUUGCCAUGCAACGGAUGCACUAGAGCUAUAAAUGAAUGAAAGCUCAACAAAAAAAUAGUGGGUGUCCAUCCAACUUGCUUGCUCACGAAGACCUAGGGCAUUUUGAGGAAGCCCAUCAUUGGAAUAUACAAGCCAAGUUCUAUAAUGAAAAAUUCCCACUAGUAUAUGAAAGUGACAACAUAUGAGACUCUCUAUAUUAAAAACAUGGUGCUACUUUGAAGCACAAUAUAUGAGACUCACUAUAUGAAGGACAUGGUGCUACUUUGAAGCACAACUAUGGAAAAAGAGAUAGUAACAUUGCCCCUUUUUAUUUAUUUUCCCUUUUUUUUCUUUUUUUUUCUUUUUUCUUUUUCUUUUUUUUUCUUUUUAUUUUUUUCUUUGGCCUUUUUUUGGCCUUUUUUUUCUUUUUCUUUUUUUUGUUCUUUUUGGGGACAAUGCUCUAAUAAUGAUGAUCAUCACACUUUUAUUGAUUACAACACAUGAAUUACAACUCAAAACUAGAACAAGAUAUGACUCUAUAUGAAUGCCUGCGGCGGUGUACCGGGAUGGUGCAAUGAAUCAAGAGUGACAUGUAGGAAACAUUAUGUAUGGUGGCUUUGCCGCAAAUACGAUGUCAACUACAUGAUCAUGCAAUGGCAAUAUGACAGAAGUAAUGUAUGUCAUGAUGAUAAAUGGAACGGUGGAAAGUUGCAUGGCAAUAUAUCUCGGAAUGGCUAUGGAAAUGCCAUAAUAGGUAGGUAUGGUGGCUGUUUUGAGGAAGAUAUAAGGAGGUUUAUGUGUGAUAGAGCGUAUCAUAUCACGGGGUUGGAUGGAACGGCAAAGUUUGCACCAACUCUCAAGGUGAGAAACGGCAAUGCACGGUACCGAAGAGGCUAGCAAUGGUGGAAAGGUAAAAGUGCGUAUAAUCCAUGGACUCAACAUUAGUCAAAAGAACUCGUAUACUUAUUGCAAAAAUUUAGAAGUCAUCAAAAACCUAGCACUACACGCAUGCUCCUAGAGGGAUAGAUUGGUAGGAAAAGAUCAUCGCUCGUCCCCGACCGCCACUCAUAAGGAUGCACAAUCCAAGUACACUUCAUGUUUCAAAUUUGUUACACAACUUUAACCAUACGUGCAUGCUACGGGACUUGCUAACUUCAACACAAGCAUUCUUUAAAUUCAUAAUCACCCAACUAGCAUGACUUUAAUAUCACUACCUCCAUAUCUCAAAACAAUUAUCAAGUAUCAAAUUGAUCAUAGCAUCCAAUUCACUUCCUAUGAUAGUUUUUAUUAUACCCAGCUUGGAUGCCUACCAUUCUAGGACCAAUUUUAUAACCAUAGCAAAUACUAUGCUGUUCUAAAGACUCUCAAAAUAAUAUAAGUGAAGCAUGAGAGACUAGAAAUUUCUACAAAAUUAAGCCACUGCCGUGCUCUAAAAGAUAUAAGUGAAGCACUAGAGCAAAACUAUCUAGCUCAAAAGAUAUAAGUGAAGCACAUAGAGUAUUCUAAUAAAUUACUAAUAAAGUAGGCUUCUCCCAAAAGGUGUGUACAGCAAGGAUGAUUGUGGUAAAAUAAAAAUAAAAUACUAAUGUCAUACACGACGCUCCAAGCAAAACACAUAUCAUGUGGCGAAUAAAAAUAUAGCUCCAAGUAAAGUUACCAAUGAACGAAGACGAAAGAGGGGAUGCCUUCCCGGGGCAUCCCCAAGCUUAGGCUUUUGGGUAUUCUAGAAUAUCUUGGGGUGCAUGGGCAUCCCCAAGCUUAGGCUUUUGCCACUCCUUAUUCCAUAGUCCAUCAAAUAUUUACCCAAAACUUGAAAACUUCACAACACAAAACUCAACAGAAAAUCUUAUAAGCUCCGUUAGUGAAAGAAAACAAAACCACCACAUAAGGUACUGUAAUGAACUCAUUAUUUAUUUAUUUUGGUGUUAAACCUACUGUAUUCCAAGUUCUCUAUGGUUCAUACCACUUAAUACUAGCCAUAGAAGCAUCAAAAUAAGCAAACAACACACGAAAAACAGAAUCUGUCAAAAACAGAACAGUCUGUAGCAAUCUGUAACUAACGCAAACUUCUGGAACUUUAAAACUCCUACAAAAAUAGGAAGUCCUGGGCAAUUUUUCUAUUGAUCAGCAGCAAAAAGAAUCAGUAAUUGAUCACGUUUUGGUGAAUUUAAACAAUUGUUUUCGUGAACAGAAAGUUUCUGACUUUUUCAGCAAGAUCGAAUAAUUACUACCCAAGAAGAUCCUAUAGGUUAAACUUGGCACAAACACUACUUAAAACAUGAAAACACAUCUAAACAGAAGGUACAUGAAAAAUUUAUUACUAAACAGAAACAAAAACAAAAAACACAAAUAAAAUUGGGUUGCCUCCCAACUAGCGCUAUCGUUUAACGCCCCUAGCUAGGCAUAAAAGCGAAGAUAGAUCUAAGUAGUGCCAUCUUUGGCACUAAAUUCAUAAGUAGCCCGCAUAAUAGAUUCAUAAGGUAAUUUGACUUUCUUUCUUGGAAAGUGCUCCAUGCCUUUCCUUAAUGGAAAUUGGAAUCUAAUAUUCCCUUCCUUCAUAUCAAUAAUCGCGCCAGUCGUUCUAAUGAAAGGUCUACCAAGAAUAAUAAGAUCAAUAGCUUGCGUUGUUGCUUUCAUAUGUUUAUUUUGAUAUGUUCCUAGAGAAAAUUGAGUUGAAAGAUGUUAGUAGCAAUGAUGCGGAUUGGAUCCGUGAUUUGAGGUUUAUCCUCAUUGCUGCACAGAAGAAUUAUGUCCUUAAUGCACCGCUAGGUGACAGACCUAUUGCAGGAGCAGAUGAGGACGUUAUGAACGUCUGGCUAGCUCAAUAUGAUGACUACUUAAUAGUUUAGUGCACCAUGCUUAACGGCUUAGAAUCGGGACUUCAAAGACAUUUUGAACGCAUGGACCAUAUGAGAUGUUCCAAGAAUUGAAGUUAAUAUUUCAAGCAAAUACCCGAGUUGAGAGAUAUGAAGUCUCCAACAAGUUCUAUAGCUAAAAGAUGCAGGAGAAUCGCUCAACUAAUGAGCAUGUCCUCAGAUUGUCUGGGUACUACAAUCGCUUGAAUCAAGUGGGAGUUAAUCUUCCAGAUAAGAUAGUGCUUGACAGAAUUCUCUAGUCACCAUCACCAAGUUAGUAGAACUUUGUGAUGAACUAUAGUAUGCAAGGGAUGACGAAAACGAUUCCCAAGCUCUUCGUGAUGUUGAAAUCAACGAAGGUAGAAAUCAAGAAAGAGCAUCAAGUGUUGAUGAUUGACAAGACCACUAGUUUCAAGAAAAGGGCAAAGGGAAAGAAAGGGAACUUCAAGUAGAAUGACAAGCUAGUUGUCACUCCCACGAAGAAGCCCAAAGUUGGACCAAUGCCUGAAACUGAGUGAUUACACUGCAAAGGAAAUAGUCACUGGAAGUGGAAAUGCCCUGAAUAUUUGGUGGAUAAGAAGGAUGGCAAAUUGAACAAGGGUAUAUUUGAUAUACAGGUUAUUGAUGUGUGCCUUACUAGUGUUUAUAGUAGCCCCUGAGUAUUUGAUACUUGUUCGGUUGCUAAUAUUAGUAACUCGAAAUAGGAGUUACAGAAUAAACAGAGACUAGUUGAAGGGGAAGUGACGAUGAGUGUUGGAAGUAGUUCCAAGAUUGAUAUGAUCAUCAUCGUACACUCCCUAUACUUUCAGGAUUAGUGUUAAACCUAAAUAAAUGUUAUUUGGCGUUUGCGUUGAGCAUGAAUAUGAUUUGAUCAUGUUUAUUGCGAUACGGUUAUUCAUUUAAAGUUAGAGAAUAAUUGUUAUUCUGUUUACAUGAAUAAAACCUUCAAUGGUCAUACACUCAAUGAAAAUAGUUUGUUGGAUCUCGGUCGUAGUGAUACACAUAUUCAUAAUAUUGAUACCAAAAGAUGCAAAGUUAAUAAUGAUAGUGCAAGUUAUUUGUGGCACUGCCGUUUGGGUCAUAUCGGUGUAAAGCGCAUGAAGAAACUCCAUAAAGAUGGAUUUUCGGAAUCACUUGGUUAUGAAUCAUUUGAUGCUUGCGAACCAUGCCUUUUGGGCAAGAUGACUGAAACUCCGUUCUCAGGAACAAUGGAACAAGUUACUGACUUAUUGGAAAUAAUACAUACCGAUGUAUGCGAUCCAAUGAGUGUUGAUGCUUGUGGCAAGUAUCGUUAUUUUUUGACCUUCACAAGAUGAUUUGAGCAGAUAUGGGUAUAUCUACUUGAUGUAACAUAGGUUUGAAAUAGUUGAAAGGUUCAAAGAAUUUCAGAGUGAAGUGGAAAAUCAUCAUAACAUGAAAAAGAAAGUUUCUACGAUCUGAUCGUGGAGACGAAUAUUUGAGUUACGAGUUUGGUCUUCAAUUAAAACAAUGUGGAAUAGUUUCACAGCUCACGCUACCUGGAACACCACAACGUUAUGGUGUGUCCGAACGCCGUAACCGCACUUUAUUGGAUAUGGUGCGAUCUAUGAUGUCUCUUACUAAUUUACCACUAUUGUUUUGGGGUUAUGCAUUAGAGACAGCUGCAUUCACAUUAAAAGGGCGCCAUCUAAAUCCGUUGAGAUGACACCAUAUGAACUGUGAUUUAGUAAGAAACCCAAGUUGUCGUUUCUUAAAGUUUGGGGCUGCAAUUCUUAUGUGAAGAAACUUCAACCAGAUAAGCUCGAACCCAAAUCGGAGAAAUGUGUCUUCAUAUGAUACCCAAAAGAAACUAUUGGGUACACCUUCUAUGACAGAUCUGAGGGCAAGAUUUUCAUUGUUAAAUUCGGAUCAUUUCUAGAGAAGGAGUUUCUCUCGAAAGAAGUGAGUGGGAGGAAAGUAGAACUUGAUGAGGUAACUGUACCUUCUCCCGAAUUGGAAAGUAGUUCAUCACAGAAAUCAGUUCCAGUGAUUCCGACACCAAUUAGUAAGGAAGCUAAUGAUGAUGAUCAUGAAACUUCAGAUCAAGUUACUACAAAACCUCGUAGGUCUUCCAGAGUACGGUCCGCACCAGAGUGGUACGGUAAUCCUGUUCUGAAAGUCAUGUUACUAGACCAUGAUAAACCUACGAACUAUGAGGAAGCGAUGAUGAGCCCAGAUUCCGCAAAAUGGCUGGAGGCCAUGAAAUCUGAGAUAGGAUCCAUGUAUGAGAACAAAGUGUGAACUUUGGUGGAUUUUCCCGAUGAUCAGCAAGCCAUAUUGUAUAAAUGGAUCUUCAAGAGGAAGACAGAUGUUGAUAGUAGUGUUACUAUGUACAAAUCUCGACUUGUCGCAAAAAGGUUUUCGACAAGUUCAAGGUGUUGACUACAAUGAGAUUUUCUCAACUGUAGCGAUGCUUAAGUCUGUCCGAAUCAUGUUAGCAAUUGCCACAUUUUAUGAAAUCUGGCAAAAUGAUGUCAAAACUGCAUUCCUUAAUGGAUUUAUUAAAGAAGAGUUGUAUAUGAUGCAACCAGAAGGUUUUGUCAAUCCUGAAGGUGCUAACAAAGUGUGCAAGCUCCAGCGAUCCAUCUAUGGACUGGUGCAAGCAUCUCGGAGUUGGAAUAUACGCUUUGAUAAGUUGAUCAAAGCAUAUAGUUUUAUACAGACUUGCGGUGAAGCCUGUAUUUACAAGAAAGUGAGUGAGAGCACUACAAUAUUUCUGAUAAGUAUAUGUGAAUGAUAUAUUGUUGAUCGGAAAUAAUGUAGAAUUAUUCUGCAACGCAUAAAGAAGUGUUUGAAAGGAGUUUUUUCAAAGAAAGACCUCGGCAAAGCUACUUACAUAUUGAGCAUCAAGAUCUAUAGAGAUAGAUCAAGACGCUUGAUAAGUUUUUCAAUAAGAACAUACCUUGUCAAGUUUUUGAAGUAGUUCAAAAUGGAAUAGUCAAAGAAAGAGUUCUUGCCUGUGUUGCAAAGGUAUGAAAUUGAGUAAGACUCAAAUCCCGACCACGGCAGAAAAUAGAAAGAGAAUGAAAGUCAUUCCCUAUGCAUCAGUCGUAGGUUCUAUAAAAGUAUGCCAUGCUAUGGACCAGACCUAUUGUAUACUCUGCCCUAUUUUGGCAAGGGAGUACAAUAGUGAUCUAGGAGAAAAUCACUGGACAUUGUUCAAAAUUAUCCUUAGUGGAAUAAGGAGAUGUUUCUCGAUUAUGGAGGUGAUAAAAGAGUUCGUUGUAAAAGUUACAUCGGUGCAAACUUUUACGCUGGUCCAGAUGACUCUAAGUCUCAAUCUGGAUACAUAUUGAAAGUGGGAGCAAUUAAGCUAGAGUGGCUCCAUGCAGAGCAUUGAAGACAUAUAAUAUUUGCAAAAUACAUACGGCUUUGUAUGUGACAUACCCGUUGACUAAGCCUCUUCCACGAGCAAAACAUGAUCACACCUUAGUACUCUCUGGGUGUUAAUCACAUAGCGAUGUGAACUAGGUGUUGGUCACAUGACGAUGUGAACUAUGGGUGUUAAUCAUAUACAGAUAUGAAUAUUGGUGUUAAAUCACAUGGCGAUGUGAACUAGCUUAUUGACUCUAGUGCAAGUGGGAGACUGAAGAAAAUAUGCCCUAGAGGCAAUAAUAAAAUUAUUAUUUAUUUUCCUAAUAUCAUGAUAAAUGUUUAUUAUUCAUGCUAGAAUUAUAUUAACCGGAAACAUGAUACAUGUGUGAAUACGUAGACAAACAUAUAGUCACUAGUAUGCCUCUACUUGACUAGCUCAUUAAUCAAAGAUGGUUAUGUUUCCUAACCAUAGACAUGUGUUGUCAUUUGAUUAAUGGUAUCACAUCAUUAGAAGAAUGAUGUGAUUGACAUGACCCAUUCCGUUAGCCUAGCACUUGAUCGUUUAGUAUAUUGCUAUUGCUUUCUUCAUGACUUAUACAUGUUCCUGUAACUAUGAGAUUAUGCAACUCCCGUUUACCGGAGGAACACUUUGGGUCCUACCAAACGUCACAACGUAACUGGGUGAUUAUAAAGGAGUACUAAAGGUGUCUCCAAAGGUACAUGUUGGGUUGGCGUAUUUCGAGAUUAGGUUUUUUCACUCCGAUUGUCGGAGAGGUAUCUCUGGGCCCUCUCGGUAAUGCACAUCACUAUAAGCCUUGCAAGCAAUGUAGCUAAUGAGUUAGGUACGGAAUGAUGCAUUACGUAACGAGUAAAGAGACUUGCCGGUAACGAGAUUGAACUAGGUAUUGGAUACCGACGAUCGAAUCUCGGGCAAGUAACAUACCGAUGACAAAGGGAACAACGUAUGUUGUUAUGCGGUUUGACCGACAAAGAUCUUCGUAGAAUAUGUAGGAGCCAAUAUGGGCAUCCAGGUUCCACUAUUGGUUAUUGACCGAGAAUAGUUCUAGGUCAUGUCUACAUAGUUCUCGAACCCGUAGGGUCCGCACGCUUAAUGUUACGAUGACAGUUAUAUUAUGAGUUUAUGAGUUUUGAUGUACCGAAGGAGUUCGGAGUCCCGGAUGAGAUCGGGGACAUGACGAGGAGUCUCGAAAUGGUCGAGACAUAAAGAUCGAUAUAUUGGACGACUAUAUUAGGAGUUCGGAAAGGUUCCGAGUGAUUCGGGUAUUUUUCGGAGUACCGGAGAGUUACGGGAAUUCGCCGGGGAGUAUAUGGGCCUUAUUGGGCUUUAGGGGAAAGAGAGAGGAGAAGUUGGGCGCCCCCCCCCCCCCCAAGGCCUAGUCUGAAUUGGACUAGGGGGAGGGGCUGCGCCCCCUCCUUCCUUCUCUUCUCUUCCCCCUUUCCUUGACUCCUACUCCUACUACUUGGAAGGGGGUAAUCCUACUCCCGGUGGGAGUAGGACUCCUCCUUGGUGCGCCUCCUCCUAGGCUGGCCACCCCCUCCCUUGCUCCUUUAUAUACGGGGGUAGGGGGGCACCCUAGAACACACAAGUUGAUCUUCGUGAUCGUUCCUUAGCCGUGUGCGGUGCUCCCCUCCACCAUAUUCCACCUCGGUCAUAUCGUCGCGGAGUUUAGGCAAAGCCCUGCGCCGGUAGAACAUCAUCAUCGUCACCACGCCGUCGUGCUGACGGAACUCAUCCCCGACACUUUGCUGGAUCGGAGUCCGGGGAUUGUCAUCGAGCUGAACGUGUGCUGAACUCGGAGGUUCCGUACGUUCGGUACUUGGAUCAGUCGGAUCGUGAAGACGUACGACUACAUCAACUGCGUUGUCAUAACGCUUCCGCUGACGGUCUACGAGGGUACGUGGACAAUACUCUCCCCUCUCGUUGUUAUGCCAUCACCAUGAUCUUGCGUGUGCGUAGGAAAUUUUUUGAAAUUACAACGUUCCCCAACAGAAAUUGUGUUUCGUUGGCUCCCUUGAUGUUUUCGAGGUACGUAGGUAUAUAUAGGAGGAAGAAGUACGUCGAUGGCCGCUUGUGGGGCCCAGGAGACAGGGGCGCGCCCAGGAAGGGUGGGCGCGCCCUCCUAUCUCCUGGCCGCCUCAUUUGCUUCUUGACUUGCACUCCAAGUUCUCCGGAUCACGUUCGUUCCAAAAAUCACGCUCCCGAAGGUUUCAUUUCGUUUGCAAUCCGUUUCAUAUUCCUUCUCUUCGAAAUACUGAAAUAGGCAAAAAACAGCAAUACGGGCUAGGCGUCCGGUUAGUAGGUUAGUCCCAAAAAUUAUAUAAAUGUGCAAAAUAAAGUCCAUAAACAUCCAAAAAGGGGUAAUAUAAUAGCAUGGAACAAUCAAAAAUUAUAGAUACGUUGGAGACGUAUCAAGCAUCCCCAAGCUUAAUUCCUGCUCGUCCUCGAGUAGGUAAAUGAUAAAAACAGAAUUUUUGAUGUGGAAUGCUACCUAGCAUGAUUCUCAAUGUAAUUUCCUUUAUUGUGGCAUGAAUGUUUAGAUCCAAAUGAUUCAAAAUAGAAGUUCAUAUUGAUAAAAGAAAUAGUAAUACUUCAAGCAUACUAAUAAAAGCAAUCAUGUCUUCUCAAAAUAACAUGGCUAAAGAAAGUUCAUCCCUACAAAAUCAUAUAGUUAGGCUAUGCUUCAUUUCCGUCACACAAAAAUGUUCCCAAAUUCUACACCCCCGAUGACAAGCCAAGCAAUUGUUUCAUACUUAAAUAAUCUCAAACUUUUUCAACUUUCACGCAAUACAUGAGCGUGAGCCAUGGAUAUAGCACUAUGGAUGGAAUAGAAUAUGAUGAUGGGGAUUGCGUGCAGAAGACAAAAAAGGAGGAAGUCUCACAUUGACGAGGAUAAUCAACGGGCUAUGGAGAUGCCCAUCAAUUGAUGUCAACAUGAGGAGUAGGGAUUGCCAUGCAAUGGAUGCACUAGAGCUAUAAAUGAAUGAAAGCUCAACAACAGAUGACCGCCGGAUCUAGCUCUUUGACUUCCGCCGGACUGGGUCUGACCGGUUGACCUUUUCACCUGGUUGUCGUAGCCCAGCCCAUAGCUGCACCCCCAACACCAUCCCGGCCCAACCAACCCAAAGAUACCCUCCGUGUCGACCCGACGUGGCCGUUUCCCCCCUCCGGGACACGGCGGCAGCCACAUCGGCACCUGGAGGGGGGAAACAGACGCGUCGGGUCUACACGGAGGGGAUCUUGCUGUGGGUCUGGCCCGGAUGUUGCUCCAAAGUGUUCCUAUGGGCUGACCUAACACAAUCGGGUGGAGAGGUCCACUGGUCAAAGCCCGUCCGUGCAAAGUCAAAGGGCUAGAUCCUGUGGUCAAACGCUACAGGGUUAGGCGGGACGGGGGCCCUAGGGGGUAGCAAUGCCACCGGAGCGUCGCAUCGGGCCCUCAUACAUGCAGGGUGGUGUGGUGGCAUGUCCGAAGAGGCGGCAUGAUUCUCCGGGGAGUGCCCCCCUCACGGACGGUGCCGCCGCCGGCACCUCGAGGUGGGAAAUGGACGCGUUGGGUCUACACGGAGGGGAUCUUGCUCUGGGUCUGGCCCGGAUGUUGCUCGAAAGUGUUCCUAUGGGCUGUCCUAACACAACCGGGUGGAGAGGUCCACUAGUCAAAGCCCGUCCGUGCAAAGUCAAAGGGCUAGAUCCCGUGGUCAAACGCUACAGGGUUAGGCGGGACGGGGGCCCUUGUGGGGUAGCAACGCCGCAGGAGCGUCGCACCGGGCCCUCAUACAUGUGGGGUGGUGUGGUGGCAUGUCCGAAGAGGCGGCACGCGUCUUCGGGGUGUGGCCCCCCCCUCACGGACGGAGAUGACACGGUAGUAGACGUUCUGCGGUAACGAUGCGGCGUGAAUAUUAUUAAAUAGUCAGAGCGCGAUGAAAUCAUGAGAUUUUUACACAACGUGGGCACAUGUGUUAUAGGCUGAUGGUAAUUUUUCAUAAUUUUUGGGGAUGGAGAAGUAUCUGAACACUUCCCUCUAUGCGGAUUGCUGUCGGCGUGUCUACAUUGAGGCCGGUGGCCUCCGGGGGCUCGCAUGCCGCCAAAUCUUGCGUAGGCGGCCUCUCACAAGUCUGGAAGUGUUGUGGCGGUUGCAGAAGCCCGACACGCGUCUCCGGGGUGUGGCCCUCCUCACGGACGGUGUCGUCGAUGGCCGUGAGGGGGGGAACGGACGCGUCGGGUCUACAUGGAGGGGAUCUUGCUGUGGGUCUGGCCCGGAUGUUGCUCCAAAGUGUUCCUAUGGGCUGACCUAACACAACCGGGUGGAGAGGUCCACUGGUCAAAGCCCAUCCGUGCAAAGUCAAAGGGCUAGAUCCUGUGGUCAAACGCUACAGGGUUAGGUGGGACGGGGGCCCUGGGGGUAGCAAUGCCACCGGAGCAUCGCACCGGGCCCUCAUACAUGCGGGGUGGUGUGGUGGCAUGUCUGAAGAGGUUGCACGCAUCUCCGGGGUGUGCCCCCCUCACGGACGGCGCCGCCGCCAGCACCUGGAGGGGAGAAANNNNNNNNNNNNNNNNNNNNNNNNNNNNNNNNNNNNNNNNNNNNNNNNNNNNNNNNNNNNNNNNNNNNNNNNNNNNNNNNNNNNNNNNNNNNNNNNNNNNNNNNNNNNNNNNNNNNNNNNNNNNNNNNNNNNNNNNNNNNNNNNNNNNNNNNNNNNNNNNNNNNNNNNNNNNNNNNNNNNNNNNNNNNNNNNNNNNNNNNNNNNNNNNNNNNNNNNNNNNNNNNNNNNNNNNNNNNNNNNNNNNNNNNNNNNNNNNNNNNNNNNNNNNNNNNNNNNNNNNNNNNNNNNNNNNNNNNGGAGCGUCGCACCGGGCUCUCAUACAUGCGGAGUGGUGUGGUGGCAUUUCCGAAGAGGCGGCACGCGUCUCCGGGGUGUGCCCCCCUCACGGACGGCGAUGACACGGUAGUAGACAUUCUGCGGUAACGAUGCGGCGUGAAUAUUAUUAAAUACUCGGAGCGCGAUAAAAUUAUGAGUUUUUUACACGCCGUGGGCACAUGUGCUAUAGGACGGAUGGUAACUUUUCAUAAUUUUUGGUGAUGGAGAAGUAUCUGAACACUUCCCUCUACGCGGAUAGCUCUCCGCGUGUCUACGACUGUGGCCGACGGCCUCAGGGGGCUUGCAUGCCGCCAAAUCUUGCAUAGGCGGCCUCUCACAAGUCUGGAAGUGUUGUGGCGGUUGCAAAAGCCCGGCAUGCGUCUCCGGGGUGUGGCCCCCCUCACGGACGGCGCCGCCGCCGGCCGUGAGGGGAGAAUCCGACGCGUCGGGUCUACACGGAGGGGAUCUUGCUGUGGGUCUGGCCCGGAUGUUGUUCCAAAGUGUUCCUAUGGGCUGACCUAGCACAACCGGGUGGAGAGGUCCACUGGUCAAAGCCCGUCCGUGCAAAGUCAAAGGGCUAGAUUCCGUGGUCAAACGCUACAGGGUUAGGCGGGACGGGGGGGCCUGGGGGUAGCAAUGCCACCGGAGCGAUGNNNNNNNNNNNNNNNNNNNNNNNNNNNNNNNNNNNNNNNNNNNNNNNNNNNNNNNNNNNNNNNNNNNNNNNNNNNNNNNNNNNNNNNNNNNNNNNNNNNNNNNNNNNNNNNNNNNNNNNNNNNNNNNNNNNNNNNNNNNNNNNNNNNNNNNNNNNNNNNNNNNNNNNNNNNNNNNNNNNNNNNNNNNNNNNNNNNNNNNNNNNNNNNNNNNNNNNNNNNNNNNNNNNNNNNNNNNNNNNNNNNNNNNNNNNNNNNNNNNNNNNNNNNNNNNNNNNNNNNNNNNNNNNNNNNNNNNNNNNNNNNNNNNNNNNNNNNNNNNNNNNNNNNNNNNNNNNNNNNNNNNNNNNNNNNNNNNNNNNNNNNNNNNNNNNNNNNNNNNNNNNNNNNNNNNNNNNNNNNNNNNNNNNNNNNNNNNNNNNNNNNNGGCAUUUCCGAAGAGGCAGGACGCGUCUCCGGGGUGUGCCCCCCUCACGGACGGCGAUGACACGGUAGUAGACGUUCUGCGGUAACGAUGCGGCGUGAAUAAUGCGGCGUGAAUAUUAUUAAAUACUCGGAGCGCGAUAAAAUCAUGAGUUUUUUACAUGCCGUGGGCACAUGUGCUAUAGGACUGAUGGUAAUUUUUCAUAAUUUUUGGUGAUGGAGAAGUAUCUGAACACUUCCCUCUACGCAGAUUGCUCUCCCCGUGUCUACGACUGUGGCCGACGGCCUCCGGGGGCUCGCAUGCCGCCAAAUUUUGCGUAGGCGGCCUCUCACAAGUCUGGAAGUGUUGUGGCGGUUGCAAAAGCCCGGCACGCGUCUCCGGGGUGUGGCCCCCCUCACGGACGGCGCAGCCUUCGGCCGUGAGGGGGGAAAUGGACGUGUCGGGUCUACACGGAGGGGAUCUUGCUGUGGGUCUGGCCCAGAUGUUGCUCCAAAGUGUUCCUAUGGGCUGACCUAACACAAUCGGGUGGAGAGGUCCACUGGUCAAAGCCCGUUCGUGCAUAGUCAAAGCGCUAGAUCCCGUGGUCAAACGCUACAGGAUUAGGCGGGAUGGGGGCCCUGGGAAGGGUAGCAAUUUCACCGGAGCGUCGCACCGGGACCUCAUACAUGCGGGAUGGUGUGGUGGCAUGUCCGAAGCGGCAACACGCGUCUCCGGAGUUUGGCCCCCUCCAAGUGAUGGCGGCACUGCCUUGCGUGGAGGGGGGCACGCUGCGGAGCCCCAAGACGGGCAUCUACGCAUGCCUGAACACUUUCACAUAUGCAUCGGGAUCCGUGCGAUGUUUCGGUGACAUAGCUACACCCCGAAUCCUCCCAUAACCAGAUUCCUUCCGUGUCGACCGUUCCCCCUCCCCCCCAGUGACACGGCGACAGCGACGUUCGUAACGGGGGGCAAUCAAUAUACCAUAGGGGUAUGUUUUUUUAAAUAAGGCAUAAUUAUCUUAUGGAAAAACAAAAAAUAAUAUAAAGUAAAAUAAAAAAAUAAAAAUAAAUUAAAUAUAUGCCGACGGCAAGGACGUCGGCAUAGAUAGGCAGACGGAGGUGCAGUCCCACGGAUCGAUGACGUGUCAUCGCACACACAUCGAUGACGUUGCAGAGGGGCAUGGGCCAGACCUAUGCCGACGACUAUGCCGUAGGCAUACCUCUGCCAUAGAUAGUAUAAAGUAAAAUAAAAAAUAAAAUUAAAAUAAACGUAUGCUGACGGUAAGGCCGUCGGCAUAGCUUCGCACACGGAGGUGCAGUCCCACGGAUCGAUGACGUGGCGUCGCACACAGAUCGAUGGCGUGGCAGAGGGGCAUAGGCCAGGCCUAUGCCGACGGCUAUACCGUAGGCAUAUCUCUGCCAUAGAUAUGCCAACGGCCGCCGUUACCUCCCGUCGGCGUAGUUUCAACGCCGUCAAACGGUCAGCGCUGACCGGUUAUGUGGGCCCGUGCUAUGCCAACAGCCUAGCCUAUGCCGACGGCCCCCGUAGGCGUAUAUCUAGCUGUCCCGAUGGCUCCGUCGGCAUAGGGAGACGUAUGCCGACGGCUUUUCUAUGCCUAUGGCCUAUCCUGGGCCGUCGGGAUAGGUCUAUCUAUGCCGACGGGGGCCGUCGGCGUAAGCAGUUAUUCUGGUAGUGAGUGUAGGUAAAUAAAUAGCAACCUCACACAUAUUGAUGCAAGGAUGAAUGGUGGAUGUGGUACCGGUAGGUGACAUUAAACGCGCAAACUGACUUUCUGGCGGCGCUAGGGCUGUGGGGUUUGUUCACCGAACGUUUUUCGCAAUCAUAAGAAUUAAGUACGAAGUUCUCCAAUACACAAUAAAUUCUUGUUGCAAGAAGCAAAAAGAAACAAAUCCAAAAGCCAAGUGAUAUAUAGUAGUGGAGUUCAUUCAUUGAGUCUAAAGGGGUAAAAGCAUUGAGGAUGCAAAGCAGCAAACAGAAAGGGUAUGAGAACUGUAGGAAGUAGCCGAGCACCAUCAUGCACCGCACUACUUCCUCGAGAUAGCCAUAGAAACAUCAGAUAUCUCAUGAAGGGGGGCUCAGCUUAGACAUCGAGUAUCGAUGUCUCACUAGGCUCACAGAUGUUCCCUUGUUCAUAGAGGGAUAUAGACGGGGAUGGCUCUUUGGUCCAAAUAGGUUUCAGGAUGUUCCUUCUGAAGUACUCCACCAAAAGGGCAGCGAUAGUGAGGAACUCGCCACCGUUGCUCAGCUGCUUGGCAUGAGAAUACCCGCUGCAUCUGUACCCCGCGUAGCACAAAACUUCCGCCCACACUUCCGAAAGCAUCUUCAGCAUAGCAGCGGAUGGGACAGAGUCAUGAGAGACCAGCUCACGAGCAAGUUCGCGUGCUAAAACCAUUGUUUUGUUAUCGCCAAUGCUUGGUCGUUCUUUGAUCUCCUCUAAAUGUUUCAACAACUCAGCCCUCGAUGUUAGCAAGCUGGCCAAAUGUUGGGCUCUGCUGCAUUUGAGACUAGUGAGACAAUAACACAAUUCAACGUACCUAGUGUGGCUGACGGAGCCCGCUAGCAUGUAGGGGCGUGUGGCAAGGAGGAAAAGCAUGUAAUUGGAGAUCGCCUCGGUUGCCUCAACAAGGCGAUGCAUCUGAUCUGCAGCAGCUUGCCCCUGAUCUCUGUGCUUACGGAGGUAGAUAUCGGUGGCGAUGUGCCAUGCGAGGAUGCUCUCGUCCAACUCCUUAUCCAGGAACCUGCCUAGUCUCUCGUACAAACCCCACUUCUUUAAAGCUGCCCGGCCCCGUGAAUUGAUGAUGUGAUCUGGCUCCUCCUCAUUGAUCUUGGAGUAGAAGUGUGCAUCCCUCCACCUGGAGUAGGACUGCGCAUCCGUCCUGCGGUGACUAGUUCCGAGCACUUGUUCCACCACUACUUCCUUGAUGAUAGUUGCAGAGACACAUACAAAGCUGGAAUAGACCAUUGUGUUCCACCAGUCCUCGACCCCCAUCCAGCCCGCGAUUCUGCUUCUUCGACUAACCUUACUGAGAACACACAUGUCAAUCAGGUUGUGCUGCCCCAUAGAGUCCGACCACCACCAUCUCGAUUCGUCCCUCUUUGGAAGGAUGAAUAGGCGGAUAGACGCGAUUGCACGGUCAAGCAAACGCCAAAUGUACUUUCUUUUUCUCAAGACAUCACCUUUUCUCAAGCCAUCACCAGCCGGCACAACAUGCUUGAGCCCCCCGCUCAGGUCCGUUCGUAUCACGUUUUGCCAUCUAGAGAACAUGGCCCUUAGCACCGAUACCAUCUCCAGCAUAACAGCCCCACCUAACAGAACAUAUGUAAUGACAACAUCUGCUCUGCUGUAGUGGUCACCCGCUGACAAAUCUGACAAGUGGAAUAACACCAACGCGAUGGCGGUGAACACCGGAGAAAUGACGCGGAUGCAAAGGCCAUACCAUGUGUGGAUCACCUCAGCCUUGCUGUAGAGGACAUCGUGCAUCAGGCUGAGCUGCAUCUGCACCACCUUGUACAGCUCGUCCACGGAGAUUGCGUCGUCGUGUCGGUACAUGACGAUGGGCAAUGGCCCCUGCAACAAAUCCUUUGGAAUAUUGAGCAGGAGGUGGGCAAUCCGUAGCAGGCACUCUGUGUCCCGCCGAUUUGUAUAAGGUUCCGUCGAAAUCAAGGCCGUCUUCUCAAAGGACCGGUAGUUCUUGUCCGAAGCGCUAGUGCCGGCACGCUUGAGCGCCCACACCCUCUCCCCGUACUUGACAAUGCCCACCAUAAACAUGAUGGCGGCGGCCUUCUGGAGCAGGGCCUGGGUGCCGACGAUGACAGACUCAUAGAGGACGUAGGCAGCCGCGGCUACCUGCACGGUGAGUGACUGCAGGUGCCGCAGCCAGAGCCGGUUGUCCUCGAUGGCGUAGGCGGUGAUGUUGUCCUGCCCGCCGAGAUGCACCAGCAGGAACGGCGCCCAGAAUGCCAUCAGCUGGUGAUCGCCUGAUCUGCUUGUCAAGGACAGGUGUCCCAGGAUGUAUAUCGCGGUCGAGUCGGCCAGCAUGUAGGCUGUCCAAAUCACAGCCCUUAGCAUGCCAGAGUCUUUUCGCCGGCGGAACUCCGCCAGGAUGAGAAGCACUAGCUGCAUCGCGAAGCUGAGCAGCACCAUCACUUGGAUCCCGCGUUCUUGCCAUUGCUCCACUUGCACCUCCACCGUUGCCAUUGUUUCUCCACUGCAGUAACAAGUACUAUGAAAAAAAUUACAUACAAGAAACAAACUGGACUGCAUGUUGUAUGUCGGUGUAAUUAUGUUUAAAUUUGCCUUUUUAAGUGGUACUCCCUCUGAUGCAAAAUAAGUGUCGCAGUUUUGACACUUAUUAUGAAUCGGAGGUAGUAUCUUUCUCUCUACAGUACACCGAAAAAUUAGAGCUUCUUAAUAUUAAGUUGCUAAAGAAACAUUGCGGAGCCCCCUCUCAAAAUCUCCCUCUUUCUCACACACACAAACGUGCGCACGCACACGCUGAAGAAACUGAUUUGCCAUCUAAUGUUUGGAGUGCGGCUACAUCUAAUUAAUAAAGAAACUGAUUUGUUGGAUGAAGUAUGAAAUAUAGGUGUUGGUGCGAUCGAGUAACUUACAUGGAUGAUAUAUAGCAGGAGAAGUGAAGGAGCAAUGACCCUGCCCGCCCCCUUUCUUGCUGCCGCUAGUCUAGGUACCAGAAGCAAAAUUUGAGGUUUGUCGAGAAGAGAAGUGAAGAGAAGCUAGCUUUGGAGGAUUAGUCCUCGGCGCACAGCAUGAUGAAUGGAGCCUCAGAAAGAGGAAUGCAAUGAGACGUAUUCUCUGCUGGUGAGGACAAUAGAUCUACACCCACUGUACAUAAUAAAUAAAUGAUCCCACGUGGUACUAGCAGAAGACUAAAUAUAGAGACCCCAUCUAGUCUUUGCUUAAAUUAAGAAGCCUCCUCUCGAGAACAACGCAUCCACACAUGGCCCCCAAGAAGCUGACAAGCUGUGAGUGAGUGUGCGUGUGUAGACUGUAGAUACAGUCUGGCAGUAUUCGCUGUGCGUAUCGGCAUCAUGUUAAUGGAGCAUCUUGCACAUGUUCUCAGACGCAAGUGAUUUUAGUUUUCAAUCCCCGAAGAAAGAAGUUGUUUUAUAUUUAGCAUGAGCUGGUGGCGAUGAAUGGAAAUUGCCUGCUUACUUGGUUUUGGUGUGUGCAGAUUAAUUUUGAAAGUCGCAUGCGCCUCGCGCCCGGUGACCCGCCCUGAUGGAUGACAUGUGGCAUUCACAAAUCACAAAGCAUCUAAUCUCUCCCCUCUGAUUUCAGGUGGGGGUGGGGGUAGGUGCUUUGUGAUUUGUGAAUGCCACAUGUCAUCCAUCAGGAUGGGUCUCACCUGCUAACCCGUGAGACCUGCUCUCAUAGAAUUUUUUUCCGUCGCACGCCCUGACUAGGAAGGCGUCCUCUUCAUUAGGUGGCAUUUAUUCCUGUCAUGCCCGUUCGCUGCUUUGGUUUGGAGCACAGUUCACGUUACUCCCUCUGUCUAGGUGUGUAAGUCAUCUUACAAAAACCAAAUAAUCCCAAAACACUUUGGCGCGGUGCGUUAACUUCUACCUCGUUUUUCAUUUUUUAACAUAUCAACCAAUAAAAGAUAAAGGGUGUGCAUGCUUUUAAUGACUUGAGACUAUCAAACACGACAUGCAGUGGUUAGUUCAUUGCAUGCAAUACUAUUAAUUAGCAAAUAAACAUUAAUGUUUCUUAUUUUCCCCUCCUCCUUGGUCAUGGUGCACAGUCUAAGAUGACUUACUCACCUAGAUGGAGGGAGUAGUUUCAAUUUAUCACCACCAAUAACUAUAUCAAAUUGUCUCCUCAAAAUAAAAGUAUAUCAAAUUUGUUUGGUAAUAUGAAGGGCCAAAUUUGCGUGGAAGUUUGUGCUAUUCUUUGGGUAAUUUGGAAUUGCCGAAAUGAAUGCGUUUUUAAUUGAUCAUCGGGCUAAGAAUAUUGAAUGAGCUCAAUCAGACGUAUUAGCCCGAUGAUCAACAGAGAAUGGAAGUGCAUUGAGGACCGUUUAGAUCAACCAGACGUAUUAACCCAAUUCACCAUCGUAAGCUGACCAACAGAGAAUGGAAGUGCAUUGAGGACCGUUUUGAGAAGAAACUGAGUUGCUGGUGUCGUGGUUCUAAGUCUGACAGAAGAGUGGGGGGUAGGUAUGGAGAGGCAAGGUCCUAGCUAUGGAGAGGUUGUAAACACAAGCGAUGUACGAGUUCAGGCCCUUCUCGGAGGAAGUAAAAGCCCUACGUCUCGGAGCCCUGAGGCGGUCGAGUGGAUUAUGUAUGUAUGUGUUACAGGGGUGCGAACCCUUCUGCCUGUGGAGGGGGGUGGCUUAUAUAGAGUGCUCCAGGACUCCUGCCAGCCCACGUAAUGAGGGGUUUAAAGUACAUUAAGUCUGGGCCGUUACUGGUAACGCCCUACAUAAAGUGUCUUAACCACCAUAAAGUCUAUUCAAUUACAGGCCGUUGUAGUGCAGAGUGCCUCCUGACCUUCUGGUGGUCGAGUGAGUCGUCAUGGUCGAGUCCUUCAAGUCAGUCGAGUGAGUUCCUCCUUAGUCGACUGGAAGGUGAUCUCUUCUAAGGGUGUCCUUGGGUAGGGCCCUUGGAUCAGGCCUAUGACCCUACCCUAGGUACAUGAAUCCAUCAUUAGCCCCCGAAUGGAUUGAGGCUUGAGUGAGGAAGGAGUUGGUGUUGUUUCCGAUUGACUUUUGCAUACUGGCUAUGCGUUGUUCUGGAUCAAGACCCUCUUUGUUGAUAACGAGCAACUUUUCUUCAGUCGACUCGAUCCAUUCUUGUCUUUCGUCGAGUGAUCUUUUGGACUUUGCCGGUUCCCGAGCGACGGAUCGCAGGAAAUCUCGCGUCUGACAGAUCGAUCUGCCAUUCGCGGAUUCUACGGGAUACGAAAUUUGGGGAAGCGCGCGAAGCGGAACGGACCGCGUCGCUCGGACGGGACAGGACAUAGACGCCUCGAUCUCCGCGCCGCUUUUUCCGCCACAUAUCACGUCAAUGCAACUGUUUCGGGAUAUGAUUAGACUGACCGGGCCCACCCGUCAUCCACUCGGAAGGGACCUUAUAAGUGCGGCCGGCGAGGGUUUUCUGAACAGUGCUUCAUCAUUUCCUCUCUGCUCUCUUUGUCUCCGCCCAACGCGUCCACUUUCGCCUCCGCAAAGCUUCUCUUCGCGCAUCUCGCUGGCAGCCAUGGUCAAGGAGAAGACGGCGGUGCUGGAGCGCGCAAAGAAGGCAUCGGCGGCGGAGAAGGCAAAGGGGAGAUCCACCAGUCGCAGCGGGUCUUCGUCUAGAUCUCGCCUGCCGAAGGGCUGGGUCCAGGGAGAUUGGAUCCAGUCGACCAUCACGGAGAAGGAUCUCCUCGACAUGGCCAACGACGGGCUGAUCCCCCACGGCGUCGCAAGGCUUCCGGGGAAAGAGUGGCAGCCCCAGCCGGAAGAGGGUGAGUGCGUGCUUCUGGCCACCCAUAUCGACCGCGGAUUUUCCUUGCCACCGAGUGUUUUCUUUCGUGGUUUUCUGAACUUCUUUGGAGCCCAACUUCACCACUUCACCCCGAACUCCAUCGCAUAUCUUGCUGCGUUUGUAUCCAUGUGUGAGAAUUUUCUGGGCUGUCGACCGCACUGGGGCUUGUUCAAGCACAUAUUCACAUGUCGCUCUCAGACCGUGAAGAAGGCGAGCCCAGGCGAUGAAAGAACCCAAGUUGUCCAGAUGUGUGUGGGCCUGGGAAUCCAAGUGAGGAACAAGAGCACUUUCCCAGCAAUGACGUUUCCUGAGUCGGUCAGAGGCUGGCAGUCGACCUGGUUCUACUGCCAGAAUGAGUCGACGCCGGGGCAGUCGAGUGGACUUCCUCCAUUCACCAUGGACCGAGUGAACAAGCCUUCCUCUCUGAAGGUGAUUCCGGAGGAGAGAGCUGACGUGAAGAUGUUGAUGGAUCGCGUGGUGCAGCUGGUUCGAGACGGAGUUACUGGCAUGGACCUUUUGGAGGUUUUUCUUAGGCGGCGCAUCUAGCCCCUUCAGUUCCGGAGCCACUGCAUGUGGUUGUACUGCGGAACUGAAGACGAGACUCGGAUCCACCCGGAACCAGUCGACGACGCCACGGUGGAAAAGUGGAUGGCCGCGGUCACUGGGAACAAGGAUAAUCCCCGCGGAUCCAGAAGAAUUUCUCCACUCGACCACCACAGCGUUCCAGACAAGGUAUGUUUGCUCUAUCUUCCAUUGUAUUCUUGUCAUAUUUAUUUCUAUUCCAUACGCAAGUUGGUCGAUUGAUCUCUGUCUUGACGUCUUUCAGGCCCUCACCGAGCUGUACUCAAUGCCCAAUGGAGCUCAGGCUCCGACUGAAGAAGGAGAAGCGAGCGGGGGCGAGAGCCAGGAGGAGUGGCACUCGGACACUGCUGAAGAUGACGACGACGAUGAUGAGGACGAAGAUGAGGAGGAGGAGGAGGUUGCUCCACCGCGCUCGGAAAGGCGGUCGAAACUUGUCCAUGACCCAGCGACUGAACGUGGUAAGGGGGUUGAGACUGCCUCGCACUCGACCAAACUCCCUCGGACCGCUUCUCCGGCGCCGACUGAAAAGGCGCCGAAGCAGUCGAAGGUGGCUCCGUCAAAGCCAACCAAGCUCCUGCCGAAGAUGAAGGUGUCCAUCCCCACCAUAUCAGGGUAAACAUGCUGCUUAAGUCUUCUUGUUUUGUACAAGCUUUAUCUCUGGUUGGUACUUGAGUUAACCGACUGAUUCUUUGGAACUUGAGUGCUGCAACUUCUGAGACCUCAGGAAAGGCUGACGACCAUGAGAUGGAGGACGCAGCAACCUCAAAUCCUGGUACUAUACUCCUAAUUCUGUCUUUAGUCGACUGACUCACGAUUUCUAACUCUGAUUCUUUUCUGAAGCUCCAUCCAAUGUCGUUAUCACCCUUCCUGAUGAUGAUGAUGAGGAUGAGGAACCGCUGAAGCAUAGGAGGAGCAGGAAGGCGUCUACUGGUAAGGCGGCCCAGGAUGUGACGGUGCCCGAGACUGUGGUCACGGAGGGGGAGAACACCACUCGACACACCGUGUCUUUCGCGGUGCCCUUGACGAGUGCUCAUCCCACUUCAUCGAGUGCCGCUCAACCUUCGCUCUUCACAACGCACCACGUCCCAGAGGACCAAGCCAGCGCUGCUAAGGAAGCGAUACGCCAAGCAGGAGUCAUGAUGGAGAAGGUGAAGGCCAUCCGGGACGCGAGUCAAGCAGCUUAUGACGCCAGCUCCGCCCUUCAGAGCAAUGUCCAGGUCAGUCGACCAUCGCUUGUUCUGUUAGGAUAUGCUAUCAAAACUUCUCUUUCCGAAAUCUAUAGCAAUCACCCACUGGGAGUGUUGAGUAAAACUCCGUGUUAGCGGGGGCACGCUGAGUGCACCCGCUGGGUGUAGUCCCCAAGGUUAAGGUCGACUACUGGCAGUCGGUCUUAGGCUUUAUAAAUAAAGUCUUUCCGUCAUUCGACUGAGGCGAAUGGAUUUCCGAAACCGGUGGGGGCACGCUAAGUGCACCCACUGGGUGUAGUCCCCGAGACUGUGGUUGACUGCUGGCAGUUGAUUACAGUCUGAAGAAUACGUCUCUUUUUUUUUGGAGGUCGACUGGUCGACUAGUGGGGGCACGCUGAGUGCACCCACUUGGUGUAGUCCCCGAGACUACGGUCGAAUGCUUGCAUUCGGCUGUAGUCUUAGAAACGCAUGAUUUUCUCUUAUCCACUCGGAAGUGAAUUAUCUUUGAUAUUUUGUCGAUUGGCUCUUCUCAGAAAUCCUGUGACCUUGCGGCUCGCUAUACCGAGCUUGAACAGAAGCACAUUCAACUCGAGCUAGAUCUGAAGCUGGUUCAGGAGAAUCUGACGAAGGCGAAGGAGGAGACCAAAGGUAUGUUCGGUGAGACUUCGACGACUCCUUUUUCCCUUCACUUGUUUCAAAAUCUGACCUUUCUGUGACUUGCAGGUAAGGUGAAGGAAGCCCAGAAGAAAAAAGACCUUGAGCUAGCUGAGAAGAUCAAGCUUGCUGACGAGAAGUUAGCUUCAGUCACCAAGCUCGAAGAAGAGAAUACUAAUCUGAAAGCUGCUCUUGGGAUUGCCAACAAGGAAGUCACCCGACUGAAGACUGACAAGACUGCCCUAACCGACAAGAUCAAUCAGCUGACUGGGAAGAAAAAUGACCUGGAGGCCUUCCUGAGUGGACUUGCCAAGAAGUUGUUCCUUAUGCUCGAAGGUAACCCUUUAUACUCGACAACCAUUUUCAACUUUCAUGCUUCCACUCGACCACUGCCUUGACUCGGUGUUUGUCCUUGCAGAAUUCUGUCGAAACUUUGAAGAAGAAACUAGCCAGUUGGAACCAAACCUUGACCCCGUCAAUUCUCCAGUGAAUGAUGAAGUUGCCAUGAACGUCUUCCGACUGGAGUCCCGUGUUGCAGCUGUCGUGGACUAUCUUGCAAGACUGAAGGUCGCCACGUCCCGCAUCGACUCGACGCUAUGGCCCAGGGCGACACUCCAGAAUGACCUCGAGUCGCUGAUGGCUCGGCUGAACACAGUCCCUGACCGAGUGCAGGAGUGGAAGAAGUCCUCGGCUCAUUGCGGUGCAGAUGUUGCUCUGUGUCUGGCCCGAGUCCACUGCAAAGACGCGCGAGAAGACAAGCUGGCGGCUCUCUGGGUGGCCAACACCAAGAAACACGACUUCAGGUCCUUCAUGGAAACCUUCAUCGCUGCAGCCACUCGGAUCGCAGACGGAAUCGACCUUGAUGAGUUCGUUGCUCCUUCCAGCCCUCCACAGGAGGGGUAAAAAACUUCUUUUAAGCCCGACACUUUAAAUUUGCCUCGGUAUGCCGAGUGGAAUUGUAACCGAUAAACCUUAACAGGCUUAGCGCUUGAGCACUUUCGGUUCCUUUAGGUAUCGACCUAAACUUGGAUUUGAUGUUUUAAUAUGAUUGCUUUUGGCUCGAAAUGUCCUUUGCAGGUUCACCGCAAGAUGCCCACUGCAGUCGACUUAUUCCUUAGGCGAGCACUGGGUUGCUGCUAAGCCUCCGAGUGAGAGGUUUGCUCUUCACUCGGUAGGAUUUUUAUAUCUUACGCGAGCACUGGGCUGCAGCUAAGCCCCUGAGUGAGAGGUUUGCUCUUCACUCGGUAGGAUUUUUUAUAUCUUAGGCGAGCGCUAGGCUGCAGCUAAGCCCCCGAGUGAGAGGUUUGCUCUUCACUCGGUAGGAUUUUUUAUAUCUUAGGCGAGCGCUGGGCUGUAGCUAAGCCCCCGAGUGAGAGGUUUGCUCUUCACUGUGUAGGAUUUUUAUAACUUAGGCGAGCACUGGGCUGCAGCUAAGCCCCCGAGUGAGAGGUUUGCUCUUCACUCGGUAGGAUUUUCACGUUGUACUUGUGACGGAGCUCAGAGGAAAGGAUCACAGUCGACCUGCACCUCGUCCCCCUUACAAGCGCACAUUGUACUUAUGGUGUAGCUCGGAGGAGAGGGUCGCAGUCAACCUGCACCUCGUACUCCUUGCAAACGUUCGUUGUACUUAGACGAGUAUUUAAACUGCAGCUAAGCCUCCGAGUGGAAGUCUGGCUUACCACUUGGUAGGAUUUAUAUAACUUAGGCGAGCACUUGGACUGCAGCUAAGCCUCCGAGUGGAAGUCUGGCUUAUCACUCGGUAGGAUUUAUAUAACUUAGGCGAGUACUUGGACUACAGCUAAGCCCCCGAGUGGAAGUCUGGCUUACCACUCGGUAGGAUUUUUAUAACUUAGGCGAGCACUGAGCUGCAGCUAAGCCCCCGAGUGGAAGUCUGGCUUACCACUCGGUAGGAUUUUUGUAACUUAGGCGAAACGGAUUCGCAGCUAAGCCCCCGAGUGGAAGUCUGGCUUACCACUCGGUAGGAUUUUUACAAACUUAGGCGAAACGGAUUCGCGGCUAAGCCACCCACUGGGGGGAAAAUUUUAUGGGACAAAAUAAAAAGUGACAAAAAUUAUGGAGGAAUUAUGACACUAAUAUUUCGAAAUCCAUGAACUAGAAAAGUACUUUAUUACAACUCAUCCGAGUGAAAAACUUUAAGUGUAAAAUGGGCGGAGCAGAUCCGCGUUCCAAGCUCGGGGCUCUUCGAUAUUGUGUUCGACGUUGUAAAGGCGAUAAGCCCCGUUGUGGAGAACCUUGGUGACGAUGAAGGGUCCUUCCCAAGAAGGAGCGAGCUUGUGUUGUUUCUGCUGAUCCACUCGGAGCACUAGAUCUCCUUCCUGGAAGGCUCGACCUCUCACAUUUCUGGCGUGAAAGCGACGCAAGUCCUAUUGGUAGAUGGUCGAUCGGAUCAGAGCCAUCUCCCUUUCUUCCUCUAGAAGGUCGACUGCGUCUUGACGCGCUUGCACUUCAUCAGUCGGUAAAGAGGCAACGCCUUUUCACCGAGUCGUGAGAUGAAUCGACUUAAUGCGGCCAAGCAUCCAGUAAGCUUCUGGACAUCGUGCACUCGCACAGGGCGUUUCAUUCGGAGAAUAGUGCCUAUCUUCUCUGGAUUAGCAUCGAUCCCUCGCUCGGAAACGAGAAAACCGAGUAAUUUUCCACCAGGAACUCCAAAUGUGCACUUUGACGGAUUGAGCUUGAUAUCAUACCUUCUGAGGUUGGCAAAUGUUUCGGCGAGGUCAGCGAGCAGGUCGGAACCCUUUCGUGACUUGACGACGAUAUCAUCCAUAUACGCUUCCAUAUUCCGACUGAUUUGAGUGAGUAGACACUUCUGAAUCAUUCGCAUAAAUGUGGCUCCGGCAUUCUUGAGGCCGAAUGGCAUGGUGAUAUAGCAGAAGCACCCGAAUGGAGUAAUGAAAGCUGUUUUUAUCUCAUCGGGACCAUACAGACGGAUCUGAUGAUACCCGGAAUAAGCGUCUAGAAAAGACAAUCUCUCGCACCCCGCGGUCGAGUCAACGAUUUGAUCUAUGCGAGGGAGAGGAAAAUGAUCUUUCGGGCAGGCCCGAUUGAUGUGCUUAAAAUCAAUGCACAUGCGGAGCGACUUGUCCUUCUUCGGAACCAUGACGACAUUAGCGAGCCACUCGGAGUGGUAUAUCUCGCGAAUAAAUCCGGCCGCCAACAGUCGAGCCACUUCCUCACCAAUAGCCUUUCUCUUCUGGACGGCGGACCGCCGAAGGUGCUCUUUUACUGGUUUUGCUGAUUUGUCGACUCUGAGGCGAUGCUCAGCAAGUCCCCUGGGAACACCUGGCCUGUCAGCUGGCUUCCAUGCAAAAAUGUCCCAGUUCUCACGGAGGAACUGGAUGAGCUCUUCUUCCUAUUUCGGGUCGAGUGUUGUGGAAAUGUGGGUCGGGGCUGCAUUGGGGUCGGUCGGGUGAAUGUGGACAGGCUUCGUCUCACCGGACGACUGAAAUGCAGAUUCUAUGGCGGGUUUCUUGGAUCGCAGCAAAUCACUCGGAUCUGCGUUUUGCUUAUACUCUUCAAACUCGACCGCUGUCACCUGGGAAUCGGCAAUCUUCGAGCCCUUCUGAAAGCACUCUUCUGCCUUUUUCCGAUCACCGGUGACAGUGAUCACUCCUUUGGGACCAGGUAUCUUCAGUUUGAGGUACACGUAACAUGGUCGAGCCAUGAAUCGUGCGUAGGCUGGCCUCCCCAAAAUGGCGUGGUACGCACCCUGAAAAUCCACGACCUCAAACGUCAACUUUUCCUUGCGAAAAUGCUUUGAAUCACCAAACACCACGUCCAGAGCUAUUUGGCCGAGUGACUCAGCUUUCUUCCCUGGUAUGACUCUGUGGAAACUCAUGUUGCUGGUGCUCAGUCGGGACAUCGGAAUGCCCAUUCCUUUCAGUGUGUUUGCAUAUAACAAGUUCAGCCCACUUCCACCAUCCAUCAGCACCUUUGUCAGUCGAGUGCCUUCGACAACUGGGUCGACCACCAAAGCUUGCCCCCCAGGGGUGGCAAUAUGAGUCGGAUGAUCAGACUGGUCGAAUGUGAUGGGUGUUUGGGACCAUCUCAGAUAACUUGCUUUUGCUGGGGCAACCAUGUUCACCUCGCGGUUAAUGACUUUGAGUCGACUCUUGCUUUCCACAUCCGCGUAGAUCAUCAGAGUGGAGUUGACAUGCGGAUAUCCUUCCUCACUGUCCUCUUUGUCUUCGGCCUUGUCCGACUCCUUCUCCUUGUCCUUAGACUGUUUUCCCUGAAACUGCUGGAUCAGGAGUCGACAUUGGCGAGUGGUAUGCUUUGGGUAAAUGAUGUUGCCCUCUUCAUCUUUCUUCGUGUGGAUGUGACAUGGCAUAUCCAUCACGUCGUUUCCUUCUUUAUCCUUCACUUUCUUAGGAUUCCAGGAUCCUUUUGGCUUCCCCUUGAACUUUCCCUGAGUCACGGCCAGGGCCUCUCCAGGAGCUGCUGGUUCGGCCUUCCGCUUCUGUUUCCGACUGGAGUUUCCCUUUUCCGACUGACUUGGCUUGUACUUGCCGCUUCGAAGUCGGUCCUCUUCCUCGCCGUUGGCGUACUUGGUAGCAAUCUCCAUCAUCCGACUCAGGGUCAUGUCCCCGGUUCGACCAAACUUCAGACUCAAUUCUCUGUUCUUGACGCCAUCUUUGAAGGCGCAAACUGCCUGAUGAUCAGACACAUUUUCCACAGUAUGGUGCAAAGUGAUCCAUCUCUGAAUAUACUCUCUGAGAGUCUCAUUGGUCUUCUGCACACAGACUUGCAGCUCUGUCAAUCCAGCUGGUCGCUUGCAAGUUCCUUCAAAGGUUCUGACGAACACUCGGGACAGAUCUUCCCGAGUGUAAAUACUGCUAGGAGGUAACUGAUUCAACCACGCUCUGGCUGAACCUUCCAACAUGAGGGGCAAAUGCUUCAUGGCCACCUCGUCAUUCCCACCACCAAUCUGAACAGCCACUCGGUAGUCCUCAAGCCAAGUUUCGGGCUUAGACUCACCAGUGAACUUGCUGACUCCUGUUGCCAAUCUGAAAUUGGGGGGAUCACUGCGGCUCUGAUAGCCCUGCUAAAACAUUCUGGACCAGAAACAUCCACUCGACUGCUCGUGGGAGCAUCUCUCUCGGGUUCGCCUCGAUGGGCUCUGUUCCGGUCGACCAAGCCUUGCACGAUAAUGGAUCGCGCGUCGAAGCCUGGUUCCCUGGGGUCGACUGGAGCUCUUCGCCCCACACUGAGCUGACGCCUGUCAUCCUGUCGCCGAGGAGCGUAAGACCCAUCCCUCGGAGGGGAAGCGGGCACUCGACGCCUGUCAUCUCGGUCGUGUCGGUCUCCAUACUGAUCUCGCCGAUUGUCGCGCCCUUCCCGCCGCGGAGGCGAUCUGGGACUGUGAGCCGACUGAACCGUAUUCGCAGCGACGGAUCGACUGUGAAUUCUAUUGCGCGACUGCGACACGGCUGAGUUCUGGUCCCCUGCUGCCCGGAGUAAAUCUCUGAUCUGCAUCAAGCCUCUCCCAGCUUCCGACUGAGAAGGCUGGAUGGACUCUGCUAUACGGGUUGCAGCUGCUAAAUUCUAAAUUGGUGUUCGGUAUACCUGAGUCGGCGGGAAGAGUCGACGUCGAUUGGCGUCGGGUACUCGUUGCCGCGCGCGCUCGUUGAGUGCUCGCUGAAGGUUCUCCAGACGAGCGCGUUCAGCCAGAUUGGCCAAACGUGCCUCCUCCAAGGCGCGAGCCUCGGGGGUUUCUCCCGCGAUGGGAGUAUGUAGGGCAUCCAUGUUCCUGCGGCGAAGCUCUUCUCUCUGCAGAGAGUCGAGUGUCUCGGGCUGGUACUCUUCGUGGUCUUGUGCGGGGUCGCCUCCACCGCCUGCUCCGCCCUCAUGGGCGAAGCCAGGAGGACUGCGGGGUCCAUUGACCAUCAGGAUUUCCGCCGCCGGAUCACUGCUAUCGCAUUCGGAUGCAGUCUCUACGGAGCCAGUCGACAGAUCGAACAGGCCGUAGAGAGAUUCGUCGGGCUCGAUUGCCGCAACUUGGGCGAUGGCCGCCUGGCGAUCCACCGCGUGCUUCACCCACCGCUGGAGCCUCGACCGACCAGAGCGCUUGCGCUGGUGGGAGACCGGAAGGGUGGCCGAUAGGGGAGUCGACCGAUACGGGGUCGACGGUUGCCGCAGCAGAACACCGCGAACACAUGCGCGAAAAUGCGUCGCACCGCGGACGGGGAGCGCAUCAACGUCGAGUGGAGCCUCCUGGAGCCACGCGGAGUCGUCGGCGACGAAGGUGAGAGCACCGAGACGGAUCUCGCGACCCUCAACCAAAACUCCAGCAGUCAUCAUGAUGAAAGUACUCGGAAGUAUUGCAACUUCUCCACAAAUCGCUAAAACACCCGCCCCACGGUGGGCGCCAACUGUCGUGGUUCUAAGUCUGAUAGUAGAGUGGGGGUAGGUAUGGAGAGGCAAGGUCCUAGCUAUGGAGAGGUUGUAAACACAAGCGAUGUACGAGUUCAGGCCAUUCUCGGAGGAAGUAAAAGCCCUACGUCUCGGAGCCCUGAGGUGGUCGAGUGGAUUAUGUAUGUAUGUGUUACAGGGGUGCAAACCCUUCUGCCUGUGGAGGGGGGUGGCUUAUAUAGAGUGCGCCAGGACCCCUGCCAGCCCACAUAAUGAGGGGUUUAAAGUACAUUAAGUCUGGGGCGUUACUGGUAACGCCCUACAUAAAGUGUCUUAACUACCAUAAAGUCUAUUCAAUUACAGGCCGUUGCAGUGCAGAGUGCCUCCUGACCUUCUAGUGGUCGAGUGAGUCUUCAUGGUCGAGUCCUUCAAGUCAGUCGAGUGAGUUCCUCCUUAGUCGACUGGAAGGUGAUCUCUUCUAAGGGUGUCCUUGGGUAGGGCCCUUGGAUCAGGCCUAUGACCCUACCCUAGGUACAUGAAUCCAUCAGCUGGAAAGGCAAGCUCAUGUCAUACGGAGGACGAUUAAUUCUUAUUAAUUCGGUCCUCACGAGUAUGCCCAUGUUUCUUCUCUCCUUUUUCGAAGUACCUGUUGGAGUCUUGAAGAGGCUAGAUUUCUAUCGAUCACGCUUCUUCUGGCAGAGUGAUGAACUUAAGCAAAAAUACAGACUUGCUAAAUGGGAUAUCAUCUGUAGGCCGAAAGACCAAGGGGGACUAGAUAUUGAGAAUCUGGAAGUGAAGAAUAGAUGUCUCCUUAGCAAGUGGUUGUUUAAGCUUUCUGUCGAGACGGAGGCCACUUGGGCUCAGAUCUUGCGUAACAAGUACCUUCACUCUAGAACCUUGUCCUAGGUGACAGUGAGGCCGACGGAUUCACCUUUUUGGAAAGGAUUGAUGAGAGUUAAACCACUCUUUUUAAUAGGACAAGGCUCAUAGUUGGAAACGGUACCGCUACGAGGUUCUGGGAGGAUACGUGGCUAGGGGAGACGCCCCUCGCACUCCAAUAUCCUUCUUUGUAUAACAUUGUUCAGCAUAGAGACGCUUACGUUGCAACAGUUCUGCAGUCCACUCCGCUCAAUAUUCAAUUUCGGAGGACGCUAGUGGGAAACCGUUGGGAAGCCAGGCUCAAUCUUGUGAGAAGAUUGAUGGAUAUUCAGUUGUCUCAACAACCGAUCAGUUGUGCUGGAAACUAACUAAGAACAGAGAGUUCUCGGUUAAAUCCAUGUAUUUGGAUGUUAUAAACUCUAGCGUAAUUCCUAGCUUGAAACAUGUUUGGAAAGUUAAAGUACCUUUGAAAAUCAAAGUGUUUAUGUGGUUUGUGCAUAAACAAGUUAUUUUAACUAAGGAUAAUUUAGCAAAACGCAAUUGGACAGGAUCUACAAGAUGUAGCUUUUGUGACCAACAUGAAUCAAUCAAACACCUCUUUCUUGAUUGUCUGCUGGCAAAAAUUAUGUGGCGGUUGGUUCACAUAGCUUUUAACAUUUCUCCACCGAAUUCAGAAAACACACUUACAUAUAGGUAAAGUGAUCUACUCUAGAUAUCCCUAACUAAACCAAGGGACAACAUGAAAUCCGUACGAAGAAAUUAGAUGGUGUUAUCUUCAAAGUGGAUUUUGAAAAAGCGUAUGAUAAGGUCAAAUGGCCCUUUUUGCAGCAAGCCUUGCGUAUGAAGGGGUUCAAUGAGUCUUGGAGAUCUCAGGUGGGUUCAUUCAUACAGAAAGGUAGUGUCGGAAUAAAAGUCAACGAUGAUACAUGACAUUUUUUCCAGACACGGAAGGGGUUACGAUAGGGAGAUUCCAUGUCUCCGGUGCUGUUUAACAUUGUAGCGGAUAUGUUGGCGGUACUAAUUGGUCGGGCUAAAGAGAGCGAUCAAGUACGAGGACUCGUCCCACACCUAGUAGAGGGGGGAGUCUCCGUCCUACAAUACGCGGAUGACACAAUUAUAUUCAUUGAACAUGAUCUUGCAAAAGCUAGGAAUAUGAAGCUUGUAUUGGGUCUUUUUGAGCAACUGUUUGGGCUCAAAAUAAACUUCAAUUAAUGCGAAUUGUUCUGUUUUGGGAGAGCCAAAGAGGAACAAGAUGAUUAUAGAAAUUUGUUCGGUUGUGAAAUGGGAUCCUUAACUUUUAGUUAUCUAGGGAUCCUAAUUCAUCAUAGACGUUUAACAAACAAGGAAUGGAAAUGUAUAGAAGAUCGAUUUGAAAAGAAACUGAGCUGCUGGAAGGGCAAGAUUAUGUCAUACGGAGGUCGAUUGGUUUUGACAAGCCUGCCGAUGUUCCUUCUAUCCUUCUUUGAGGUACCGGUAGGGGUACAGAAAAGACUUGACUUUUAUAGAUCCCGUUUCUUUUGGCAAAGUGAUGAGGCCAAGAAGAAGUACAGGUUGGACAGAUGGGAUAUUAUUUACAGACCAAAAGACCAGGGCGGGUUAGGGAUCAAAAAUUUAGAGGUCAAAAAUAGACGUCUCCUUAGCAAGUGGUCAAGUGGCUAUACAAAAUAUCUACUGAGACCGAGGGUAUGUGGAUACAAAUCUUGCGAAAUAAAUACUUACACUCUAAGACUUUGGCCCAAGUCACUUUUAGGCCAACGGACUCACCCUUCUGGAAGGGAUUAAUGAGGACGAAAACAAUUUUCUUCCAACGAGUGAAAUUCCUAGUUGGUAAUGGCAAUACUACUAGAUUUUGGGAGGAUACAUGGCUUGGGGAGACGCCUUUGGCUUUGCAAUAUCCAUCCUUAUAUAAUAUUGUGCAACAUAAGGAGGAUUAUGUUGCUAUAGUAUUAAACUCGAUACCGCUUAAUAUCCAAUUUAGGAGAUCCCUAGUAGGGGAACGUUGGAAUGCUUGGUUGCACCUGGUUCAUAGGUUGAUGGAAGUUCAUCUAUCUGAUCAGACGGAUAUAAUUCGCUGAAAGUUAACCACGAAUGGAAUCUUCUCAGUGAGACCCAUGUAUUCGGACCUAAUUGAUUCCGGGCCAUUGUCGAGGUUGUUGCACAUUUGAAAGAUUAAAGUUUCGCUUCGUAUUAAAAUAUUUAUGUUGUUUGUCCAUAAAGAGGUUAUUCUAACCAAAGAUAACUUGGCAAAAAGGAAUUGGGUUGGUAACUGCUGUUUUUUGAUCAAAAUGAAAUGAUUAAACACCUCUUUCUCUAAUGUCCUCUUGCGCAAAAUUAUUGUGGCGAUCAAUUCAUAUAGCCUUUAACGUUCAACCUCCAAGGAGCAUACACAUGUUAUUUGGGACGUGGCUUAAUGGAGUGGACGUACAUUUAGCUAACCAUAUUCGGAUAGGAGUAUGUGCAUUAUUUUGGGCUAUAUGGAACACUAGAAAUGAUAUGAUUUUUAAUGGGGCAAAAUUCACCAAUUUUUUAUAGGUUAUCUACAGAGCUACAAUUUGGAUCCGUAUGUGGUCCUUACUCACUCAUGCGGACUUCAUGGAGCCUUUGGUUAUUGGGUGCAACCGUUGGGAGACGGUAGCACGGGCUAUCUUCAGCCGAUUUGUGUGGCGAGCUAAUAAUAGGCUAGGUGUGUAGACAUCAUAGCUUAUUAUUCUAUCGCUGGAUGUGACACUUCUUUAGUUCUAUUUCGCCGGGUGUGGCGUUUGUCAGAUUUAUUUGCUUCUUUUUCAAAAAAGAAGAAAAAACCAAGGGACGGCCAGAGAAGAGAAAUAAAAAUGUGAAGAUGCUCAGGUAACAUGUACUACGAACGUGGAUGCGGCGAGGAAACUGCCAGGCUGUAGGCAACUGGCCAUCGCAAGAGAAGACUUUGUAGACUUGGCAAGAGAAGACCAGAUGUAUGGGGGCUUUAAAUGGUAAUCUAAGCAAGACCAGAUGGGGUCUAUAUGUUUAAUCUUAUGUUUACAUGUGGAUAAUUUAUUAUUGUGCAGUGGGAGUAUACAUAUAUCUAUCAUCCUGCACCGGUACGGUGACUAUCCUCAUUGAAUCUCUGGUGUGGAGGCUCCAUUACUCAUCAUCAUGCUGCGCGCUAAGGAUCAAGGCUGAUCUCUACUUUUCUUGCUCCACCUCAAAUUUCUGGUUGCUAGCGGCAGCACGCGCGGUUGUGUGGAUCAUCGGUCGGUCUACGUCCAUAUAUUGAUGUGAGUUACGACUUUAUUUUUGAAUCAAAUUUGAGUUACUACUUAUAUGUUCUUAUAUCUUGCUUGCAAGAACUCUCGUAGUUUUCUUCUUCUUGUUGAGAAACGCAAGAACACUCAUACUUAUUUGCAGGAAAUGAAAGAACGCUCAUACUUCAUUCAGGAGAUCAGUGUCUUAACUCGCUAGAGCCUAACUCCAGGCACUAGACAGCAAAUUGUAGCAGUCUCUAGGCCCAUUUCGUGUAUGAGAGAGAGAGAGAGAGAGAGAGAGAGAGAGAGUCCAAUUCAACAGUCCUCUUCCUUGCCGCCUGGGCAGAAAAAUGGCACUGACGACGGGUGGUAGGGCGAGCUCCGGACCGGUAGGCAUUGGCAUGCUGAGAGAGAAGCAGGUUUUAGAGAGAAGCUGUACAUACGAGUAGUUUAACACAUACGGAUGGACAAGUACUUGACUACCACAUUAAGUGAUUUUCGUGAACGAUAAUACAUGUCUCAUUCGUAUAAUAUAAAUGUGAAAGUACAAGCCACAUGUAAUUCGACUUGAAAGACUAAAAAGAUAGCAGCACGCUAGCCUUUACACAAAUUGCCACAACCAAUAAAGAAAUUUACAACCAGGAUCAACACAUCCCAUGAUCAUGACUCCAACCCGUGUCACCUACCUCCGGCACCACCAUAGCAGCCACUAAAGAAAAAUAUGAUGAGUGGCGUCGACGGCAGCUAGGCCGGGCAAGGUAGAUGCAGCAGUACAGCUCUGAAGAUGGAUUGGUGCAGGUGGCUGCGGCGGCCUCAUACCCGGCAGGCGUCCUGGUUGAGGAGUGCGCCGGACCGGUGGGUGCCCCAUACCCGGCAGGUGUCCUGGAUAGGACCUCAGGUCUUAGAUGUUAGGUCUGGCUGCGAGGUCUGUUUGGUAUUAGGCCCAAACUAUCGGCAUCCCUUCAUCAAUUGGAUAGGAGUAGCGACAGAUGAUGCCUAGACAGUGGCUUUAGUCUUACUGUUGUAUUUCUUUGUAAGGUCUUGUGUGAACAAUUAAUAAAGUGGCUGCAUGCAUCAUCCAGAUGCAGAGGCCAGGGGUCUUCCUCCUUUUCAAAAAAAAACCUCUUCAGCCGAUCUCGAUGCGGCUCCACCACUGACAUCUAACUUUGCGAACAACAUCCAAAGUAUAGCUUAGCAAAGGCGAAGUGAUUGCCGUUGAAAGAAUCUGAUUCCGGACACGCCAUUAAAUUUCAGAUUAGGCACCUGGAUCAUGUGUUGGGUUCGUUGUUGAUAGCUGGAAGGUACGAUUUCUUUCUCUGGCGUCUUAGCCAUACUAAAUUAAGUGAUCCGCAAAUGCAGAUUGACUGCUGCUUGUCAUUGUAGUCUGGUGUACGUAGUACCACUCGUACAGUUCAUUAGAUGUACUUUUCUUUAUGUUGGCUUGCCACUCGUUUAUUGAUGUCGCACCAUCUAAUUUUGUCACGUCAUGUUGUAAUUAUAAUUAUCACAUUUCCAUCAAGCCUGGUUAGUAUGGUAUUUAUAGAGACCGUACCAAAAUAGUAUGUUAUUACUCAAACCGGACCAUAGAGUUAACUCGUACAACAAUAAACAAAUGGAUGUGGCUAGGACUCAUCUAGAUGUGACAUAACUAUGUCUUAUGUCACAUCUAAGCAUGACACUCACACAACAUCAGCAAAAAAACAAAUUAAAAAAAAUAUUUUAUACAAAUCUUGAAGCCCCUUAUUAUGUGAUGAACUAUUUUUUUUCGAAAAGGGGGGACUCCCCGGCCUCUGCAUCAGAACGAUGCAUACGGCCACAUUAAUAGACAAAUAAAGAGAUUCAACAAGGUCUUAUAGUCUGAAAACAAAAUAACGGCAAGCUCACAAAGAGCCACAACACCAAAAACAAAAUGCCCAAAAGGCACAACCGGCUGGCAUAACAAAGAUAGGUAAACUAAUCGCCUGUCCUAUUGCAUGAUCGCCAUCCAAAUCGGUUGAAGAUAUCCCACACUACCAUCUCCCAUCGGACAGAUCCAGUAACCAAACGCUUCCCGGCCUCCGUCGGAGUGAGUAACGACCACAUACGGAUCAGCGCAGUAGCUCGGAAUAAAACCUGCAAAAAAUAAAUAUUUGUUGUUCUGUUAAAAGCCAAAUCAUUUCUGCAGUUCCAAAUUGCCCACAACAAAGCACAUACUCCUACACGAAUGUGUCUAGCUGUUGCGGACUCUAUCCCAACAAGCCACGCUUCAAAUAACGUACUGACCGAAUUCGGAGGAGUAAUGUUAAAGGCAAUAUGCACCGUGUGCCACAACACUCUCGCCAACGGGCGGUCAAAGAAGAGGUGCUUGAUAGUUUCGUCCCGAUCACAAAAACUACACCUAGUAGAUCCUAUCCAGUUGCGCUUAACCAAAUUAUCCUUUGUUAAAAUGACUUGUUUAUGUACAAACCACAUAAACACUUUAAUUUUCAAAGGAAUUUUGACUUUCCAAACAUCUUUGGAACUAGGAAUAGCACUAGAGUUAAUGACAUCGAUAUACAUCGACUUAACUAUGAACUCUCCAGACCUAGUAAGCUUCCAACACAACUGAUCGGGCUGAUGAGAUAGAUGAACCUCCAUCAGUCUACUCACUAAAUGAAGCCAUGCUUCCCACAGGUCGCCAACAAGCACCCUCCUAAACUGAAUAUUAAGGGGAAUGGACUGCAUAAUCGUUGCAACAAGAGCAUCACGUCGUUGAACAAUACGAUACAGGGAUGGGUACUGAAGCGCCAACGGCGUUUCACCAAGCCAAGUAUCCUCCCAGAAGCGAGUGGUGUUGCCAUUACCGACUAUAAACUUUGUUCUAUUAAAGAAGGCAAUUUUGACUCUCAUAAGCCCCUUCCAAAAUAGCGAGUCAGUCGGUCUCACUGUCGCCUGGGAUAAAGUCUUAGACUGCAGAUACUUACUACGGAGAAUCUGCGCCCACGUGGCCUCAGUCUCAACUGAUAACUUAUACAACCACUUACUGAGAAGACAUCUGUUCUUGACUUCAAGAUUCUCAAUACUAAGGCCCCCUGGUCCUUUGGUCGACAGAUGAUAUCCCAUUUGGCGAGUCGGUAUUUUCUCUUUAGAUCAUCACUCUGCCAGAAGAAUCGGGAUCGAUAGAAGACCAGCCUUUUCCUAACACCAACUGGGACUUCGAAGAAAGAUAAGAGAAAACAUAGGCAUACUCGUGAGCACCGAAUUAAUAAGAAUCAAUCAGCCUCCAUAUGACACGCAACUCAGUUUCUUCUCAAACCGAUCCUCGAUGCACUUUCAUUCUCUGUUUGUCAGCUUACGAUAGUGAAUAGGUAUACCUAAGUACGUAAAAUGUAAUGCCCCCAAUUCGCAUCCAAACAAUUGCCUAUAAGCCUCUUGUUUCUCAUUGGCUCUAUCAAAACAGAACAACUCGCUUUUAUGAAAGUCAUUCUGUAAACAAAUUAUCAAAACCUUAUCUACUGAAAACCGCACAAACUAAACGCCCAAGGACACACGCAAGGGAUAAGCGGGCAACCACAAGGGAAAAAGACUCGAGGGAUGGUAGAAGGAGACAAAAAAAAAACAAUGACAACACAUAUAGUUGUGCUCUAACAAAGGCGCGUCUAGAUGUAUCCUAGAUAGCCCCUCGGUCAAAAUUAGUUUAGAAUUUUCUUUGGAACGAGUCCUUUUGAACAAUAUCCUUUUACGUAAUCUUCCUACCAUAUAUAUGGACCGCAUUAAUAAUUUGAUUUUGCACCGAUAUAUGUCGCGUAUUAGCAAGUUUCUUUCCAUCUACGUUGAUCCUUGCCAUUUAAUUUCUGUUAAUUAAUGUAAACUAUUAAUACUGGAGACACUAUUAGCCUUGACAAUGCCAAAUUGAGCUUUUAGAUAAUAGAUGAUCCUGUCCAUUGGAUUUAUAUAAAUGAACAGACCAGAAAAUUCUGGACAAUCUUAAUAUUUCUCCUUACAUUGUUUCAGCAACAAUAAUGACGAAAGUAGAGGUGCAAGUGGAGCAAUGGCAAGAACAUGGGAUCCAAGUGAUGGUGCUACUGAGCUUCGCGAUGCAGCUAGUGCUUCUCGUCCUGGCGGAGUUUCGUCGGCGCAUAGACUCUGGUGUGCUAAGGGCGGUGAUUUGGUCAGCUUACAUGUUGGCCGACUCAAUAGCGAUAUACAUCUUGGGACACUUGUCCGUGACAAGCAGGUCAGAGGACCACGAGUUGAUGGCGUUUUGGGCACCAUUUCUGCUAUUGCACCUUGGCGGGCAGGACAACAUCACUGCAUACGCUAUCGAGGACAACCGGCUCUGGCUACGGCACCUACAAACGCUCGUCGUGCAGGUCGCUGCGGCUACCUACAUCCUCUAUGAGUCCAUCGUCGUCAGCAACCACACCCUGCUCCGGAAUGCUGCCGUCCUGAUGUUCGUGUUGGGCGUUGUCAAGUAUGGGGAGAGGGUGUGGGCUAUCAAGUGUGCUGACACUAGAGCAUCGGGCAGCAGCUACAAGUUCUACGAGACAGGAGAAUUUAUUAAAACUAAACCUCCAAUAGAACGGCCGGACACAGAGGGCUUGUUGCAGAUAGCCCACCUCUUGUUGGAUGUUCCAAAGGAUCUCUUUCAGGGGCCAUUGACCAACGUAAUGGUGAUACACCAGGACGUCAUCAUCCCCACAAAUGAGCUGUACAAGGUGGUGGAGAUGCAGCUCAGCCUAAUGCACGACGUUGUGUACAGCAAGGCGGGGGUGAUUCACACAUGGUAUGGCAUUUGCAUUCGCUUCAUUUCUCCAGUUUUCGCCACCGCCACAUUCAUUCUAUUCCAUAGGUCGGCCUUGUCGAUGGGUGAUCCACACUAUAGCAGAGCAGAUGUUGCCAUCACGUAUGUCCUGUUAGGUGGGGCUGUUACAUUGGAGAUAAUAUCAGUGCUGAGGGUCGUGUUCUCGAGAUGGCUAAGUGUGAUACUAGGGAAGUCAGCCUAUGACUUCAUGGGAAAAGAAAGGCCCAUGUGGGGUUUCCUUGCUCGUGCAGUCACAUCUGUUCGGCGAUUCCUCCUUCCAGAGAGAAACUGGUCGAGAUGGUGGUGGUCAUGCUCUAUGGGGCAACAUAACCUGUUGAACUUGUGUGUUGGCAGCAGGGCCAGUCGACGAAGCAGGAUCGCGGGCUGGAUGGGGCUUGAGGACCGGUGGAAUACAAUGGUCUACUCACGCUCCAUCCCUGUCUCCACAACUAUCAAGGAACUAGUGAUGAAACAAGUGCAAGGGAGUAGUCCAGGCAAGAGCACUGGGCGGUCCCCCGCCAAGUUGACAGAUGAGAAGCCAGACAACAUCAUCAAUUCGCAAGGGCGGGCAGCCUUAAAGAAGUGGGAUUCGUACGACAGACUAGGCAAGUUCGUGUAUAUGGAGUUGGAUGAGAGUAUCCUCGUGUGGCACAUCGCCACCGAUAUCUACCUACGUUGGUACAAAGAUCAGACGCAAGCUGCUGAAGAUGAUGUGUGUCAACUGGCCAAGGCAACGGAGGCGAUUUCCAAUUACAUGGUUUUCCUCCUCGCGGCACGCCCCUACAUGUUGCCGGACUCUGUCGGCCGCACUAGGUAUGUUAAUGUGUGCUUCGGUCUCACCGCCCUCAAGUACAAGACAAUCUAUGAUUUAACCAGCUUACUAACAUCGCCGCAUGAGGAUGGGUACAUUGGGUUGCAAAACAUAAAAAAUAAUCAUGGAAUUGGAAUAGGAAGAUUCUUUAAAGACAACACAACAGUGAAGGCGGCACAGGAGCUUGCUCGUGAGCUGAUCUCUCCGAAGUCUGGCAUACCUACCGAGCGGGGGAUGCUCGCGGAAGUGUGGGUCGAGAUGAUGUGCUAUGCGGGGUAUAGAUGCAGCGGAUAUUCUCAUGCGAAGCAGUUGAGCAACGGUGGCGAACUCCUCACCGUUGUUGCCCUUGUGGUGGAGUACUAUAGAAGAGGAAUCCUGAAACCUUUGAGUAGUGCAAAAAAGGAGGAGGAGGAAGGAAGGCCAGCAGUCAACCAUGAUGUUGCUGGUAACCUGGAGGCGACGAUAGAGAUCGUCCUGCAACCUACUAGCAUUGAACCGAUGUCCCCAUCUCCCUCUCGCUCUCCUGAGGAACCCCGGAGCCUCUCUUAUGAGUCCAAGGAUGAGAUAUCCCCGGUCUGAGCUGAGCACCUUCAUGGGACAUCCCCGUCAAAUCUUUGGCUCUCUGGAGGAGAGGAAUUAGUGUCAGUUGUCGUUGUGUUUCCAUUUUCUGUUUGCUUUGCUUCAUCUAUGUUUCUUCCCAUGUAAAAUGAAUGAAUGAACUCGAAUAUUAUAUAUAUACAUUUUCGAAUUGAAGUAUAUUAUCUAUCUAUGGCUUUGGGAUUUUUGUUUCCUUUUUUCCUUGCACGGAGAACUUUCUGUGUAUUACAUAGAUCUUUCAUCCUAAGUCAAAGUUAAAAAACUUUGACCAACUUUAUAUGGAAAAGUAGCAACAUUUAUGAAACUAAAUUGGUAUGAGUAGAUCCGUUUUGAAAUGUACUUUCCUAAUAUACGAAUUUGAUGUCAUAUAUGUUACUACUAUUUUCUAUAUAGUUGGUCAAAAUUUUAAAACUUUGACUUGGGACAAAAGGUAGAUGUGUACACUUGUUCGUGGACGGAGAGAGUACUUGAUUGCAAUGUGUACAGUAAGGAACGAUUAUGCAUUUGGUAAUACUAGAAAGAGUUUGAUCCAUGCACAUUUGCUAAUCCUUUGUGUCCUCUCUAUUUAUCACAAGAGCUUUCUUCUGAAAACUGUGUUUCUUUAAGCCCUUAUGAGUUGUGACUACAUCAGACUCGGCAGUAAUAUUUAAGUGUGCAAGGGUGCAUUGCUCAUUACAGUGCAUCCUAUUAGUACAGAAACUUAUCUUUGGAUUCAGUGACGUACAAUCGAAGUUUGGAUAGCUUUCUUGUUGUGCCCGAUAAAAGUGUGAUUAACUUUGUUUUGUGGCCACUGGUAGUCUCGUACCAGCAGAAGAAUCUCGAAUUUAAGAUAUGAGCUGCACCAUCCAGGAGGAAAAGAUUCUGGCUGCAUUGCUCUUUUGCAGGAGCAAUUGCCAUAGUUUGCAACGGAAUGCUAAACAGUUCACCGGCAUCCUCACGAACAGUCAGUCCCAUGAGUCCUGCUGAUACUGAUCAAGAUUUCUUCCUUUUUCUCUUUGCGACAUCUUGUACAGAAAGUGCAAGCACCUGAGCAUUUCUUAGGUAUGCACACUACUGGAAUCAAAAAAUAUUUUAUCAGCCACUUCUUUGCCGUCUGCUAGCGGACGGCAAAGGAGCUCUUUGCCGUCCGUUCCCAAAAAACAGACAGCAAAAAACUGGCUGAUGGCAAAGAUCAUAUUUGCCAUCAGCCACUUCGUUGUCGUCUGCUAGCGGACGGCAAAGGAGGUUUGCCGUCAGCUAGCGGACGGCAAAGAUGGAGGUGGACCCUAAAACGAGCUGCUUACAAAAAAACUAACGGCCCCCUUCAUUGCCGGAGCAGACGGCAAAGAGGAAAAAGGCAGACAGCAAAGGCGGAGUGGGCGGCAAAGAUUUGACUUAAAUAACGGCCGCGCCCCACCCCACCCCACCCUGCCCCUCUCUCUGUUUCUCUCUCUCUCCUCCCCGACCACCCGCCGACGCCGCCCCGUCGUCCCCACCACCCGCCACCGCCGCCCCGUCGCCCCACCACCCUGCCGCCCCACCGGCUCACCGCCCCGACGCCACCGCCACCCCCGGUGCCCCAGCCACCCUNNNNNNNNNNNNNNNNNNNNNNNNNNNNNNNNNNNNNNNNNNNNNNNNNNNNNNNNNNNNNNNNNNNNNNNNNNNNNNNNNNNNNNNNNNNNNNNNNNNNNNNNNNNNNNNNNNNNNNNNNNNNNNNNNNNNNNNNNNNNNNNNNNNNNNNNNNNNNNNNNNNNNNNNNNNNNNNNNNNNNNNNNNNNNNNNNNNNNNNNNNNNNNNNNNNNNNNNNNNNNNNNNNNNNNNNNNNNNNNNNNNNNNNNNNNNNNNNNNNNNNNNNNNNNNNNNNNNNNNNNNNNNNNNNNNNNNNNNNNNNNNNNNNNNNNNNNNNNNNNNNNNNNNNNNNNNNNNNNNNNNNNNNNNNNNNNNNNNNNNNNNNNNNNNNNNNNNNNNNNNNNNNNNNNNNNNNNNNNNNNNNNNNNNNNNNNNNNNNNNNNNNNNNNNNNNNNNNNNNNNNNNNNNNNNNNNNNNNNNNNNNNNNNNNNNNNNNNNNNNNNNNNNNNNNNNNNNNNNNNNNNNNNNNNNNNNNNNCCACCUCUUCCACCGGCCGCCCCACUUCCGAAGGUGAGGUCUAGCUCCUCUUUUUUUCCUUUUCUUUUUCUGUUUUUUUAGUUUUAGGUGCAUGUUUAGUUUAGUUUUAGUUUUAGGUUUAGGUUUAAUUUAAUUUUAGGUUUAGCUUUAUGUUUAGUUUAGAUUUAGUUAUAGUUAUAGUUUUAUUUUUAGUUUUGGGUUUAUGUUUAGUUCUGCAAAAAAAGUAGAAAAUAAGAAUAAUUAGAAGAAGAGUGGUUCUCAAAGGAAUGGCUUGCCCAGCACAACAAUGCCAAGGACAAGCGUGCCCAAAUGGUAGGUGUGCCACACCAUAAGGUAGCUGUCGGUGUCAAAACCGGCGGAUCUCGGGUAGGGGGUCCCGAACUGUGCGUCUAGGCGGAUGGUAACAGGAGACGAGGGACACGAUGUUUUACCCAGGUUCGGGCCCUCUUGAUGGAGGUAAAACCCUACGUCCUGCUUGAUUAAUAUUGAUGAUAUGGGUAGUACAAGAGUGGAUCUACCACAAGAUCAAGGAGGCUAAACCCUAGAAGCUAGCCUAUGGUAUGAUUGUUGUAAUGGAGGUUAUGUCCUACGGACUAAAGCCCUCCGGUUUAUAUAGACACCGGAGAGGGCUAGGGUUACACAGAGUCGGUUACAAUGGUAGGAGAUCUACAUAUCCGUAUCGCCAAGCUUGCCUUCCACGCCAAGGAAAGUCCCAUCCGGACACGGGACGGAGUCUUCAAUCUUGUAUCUUCGUAGUCUUGGAGUCCGGCGGACGAUGAUAGUCCGGCUGUUCGGACACCCCCUAGUCCAGGACUCCCUCAGUAGCCCCUGAACCUGGCUUCAAUGACGAUGAGUCCGGCGCGCAUAAUGUUCGGCAUUGCAAGGCGGGUUCCUCCUCCGAAUAAUCCAAAGAAGAUAGUGAACACCAGGAUAGUGUCCGGCUCUGCAAAAUAAAUUCCACAUUCCACCGUAGAGAGAAUAAAAUGUACACAAGUUCAAUCUGCUGACGUAUUUUGCGGCAUGACGUCACGCCACUACCAAGCCUUUACUUGAAUCGUUUUUUAUUAUACCGCCUCAGCGCGUUUAGCGAAGCGGUUUCCUUGGCACGUCUUGUCGAAGCAGAGAUCGUGUUCCCCUUAUUCCGGGAUUCUCAUCAAUACGGACGUGGGUAACUCAACCGUGCCAUUGAUGGUGGCGCUUGGGAGGUAAGCGAGUUUUACCAGGCUGGUGGGGGACGAAUAGUCUUCGCCCGCCUAUAUAUAAGGGAUAAGGAUUCACCUUUUCACCUACGCCUUCUUCCUCCUUUGCUUAUCCAUCUCCGCGCACUCGAGCUCCAACGCCCAAGUUCGCGCAUCUCGCCUCGACCUUCUCCGACCAUGUCCGGAGCGGGAAGCAAAUGGUUGGCCUCCACCGUUAAGGAGGAGCACAUCACAAGGCUGCGCAGCGCCGGAUACCUUUCCGGCGACGUCGCGCACCGGCUGCCCGUCGAGGGGCAACUCAUCCCCACCCCCAGGCCCCAUGAGAGGGUCGUUUUCCUCCCCCACUUCCUCCGCGGACUGGGCUUUCCACUUCACCCCUUUGUCCGGGGGCUCAUGUUCUACUACGGCAUGGAUUUCCAUGAUCUGGCACCAAACUUCAUCCUCAACAUCUCGGCGUUUAUCGUCGUGUGCGAGGCCUUCCUCUGCAUCCAGCCCCACUUCGGCUUGUGGCUCAAGACCUUCAAUGUCAAGCCGAAUGUAGUGAAGGGCACUCAAGCGGAGUGCGCAGGCGCCAUGUUGGGCAAGAUGCCCAACGUCCUUUGGUUCGAAGGGGCCUUCGUGGAAUCCGUCAAGGGUGGCAGUCGGGGUGGUUCUACAUCACCGAGCCGCGCGACCCUACAUGGGCGGCGGCCCCCGAGUUCAGAUCUGGAAUCCCUACGCAGCUCACCUCCUGGAAAGAGAAGGGCUUGCUGUGGGGUAAUUCGAAGGAGCUGACGGGACUCCAAGCCUGUAUCCAGAAGCUGGUGAAUGAGAAGCUCAGGCUGGUCAACAUGGUCCAAGUCAUGCUCGACCGCCGGAUUCUCCCAUGCCAAGAACGGGCAUUCACUCUGUGGGAGUUCGAUCCGGAACAGCACCAGGCGUUGAGCAGGCUCUUCGAUACGACGUACGAAGGCGCCUGGAGGGUGUUGUUUAAGGGCGCCGAAGCCCCCGCAUCCGCGACGGAAGAUCGCGGAUUUCACUCGCAGCGUCCAGCCGACGAGGUAAGUGAUUCUACCCCUUUACGGAACACUUAUUGUUAAUAGAUUGAUUCUAAGCGGGUUUCAAUCUCUUUUUCCUUUGACAGGAAUGGAUGAAGAAGGCCGAGCAGCUCAUCUGCCCGGCUCCCAUGCCAGAAUUCCCAGUGGACGCCCGUCUAGCGGGGCUACUGGUUCCGGCACCGCACGUGGUGCCGGAGAAGAAGGCCAAGAAGGUGGCCACGGGCACUCGAAAGAGUUCCCGUUUUCAGGUCUCCGACGACUCCGAGGCGGACUCCUCCCCCGAAGACGAGGAGGAGGAAGAAGACUCUGUCCCAGAGGAGGGAGAAAGGAAGAGGAAGGCUUCCCCGACAGGGGAGGCCGAAGGGUCCAAGAGGGGAAGAACUAUUCCCCCGAACAGCUCCGCCAACACCAACGUUGGCGGUGAAGAGUGGCCCUCAAGGGCCAGGCCUCAGGCGAGAUCGUAAGUAUCCGGAUCCCUGAAUGAUUUGUAAUUUCUCUUUUUGUGUCACAUAGUGUCCUUCUAAUGCCGCAUGCUGCCUGCAGUCCGGCCGAUGAUGAUCUCCCCGCUUCAUCGAGCGGGUCGUUGGCUCCGUCAGAUGUGGAUUCCAUCCCGACUGCCUCCAACCCUCACGCCGAUGAGGACGUCGAGGUGGGAUCCCAGAAAGGGACCCAUCAGGAGGAGGCUCCGGAGGCGCCGCAAGGCAGCCUCCCGGACAUUGCGCCGGACUCUACGUCGGAACCUGCAGUGGUUCCGGAGUCCGGCAAGCGGCCCCUUCGCAAGAAGGACAAGACCGUGACGCCGGCGGCCUCCGUCCAACCGGAAGCUCCGGACAACUUGCUGGAGGCGCUCCAAGGUGCCUCCAUUGAGGAAGAACAUCGCACUGUUAUGAGUGCGGUGAUUCAGAAGGUUCAGCUCGCCAAGAGCGGGCUGACCGAAGCCUGCAGUAGCCUUCUAACAGGCUUUGAGGUAAGAAGUUAAAAUUAUGUAAUGUAAUACCGCAUAGACAGUAGCCCCUGAUGCUCGGUUCGGUGUUCGGAAAGAAAAGCCGGACUGAGGAUCUGAAAAGAUAUACGCAGGGUUGCUAAUAAAUUAUGUCAAUAUGGGUUUGCAGGCUACGCUGCUAACCUCUGCCGCACUGACUACGGAGGUUGGUUCAUUGAAGCAAGAUCUCGAGCGGUCCGAGCGAGAGCUCGGCCAUGCCAAGAGGCAGCUCGAGGACAAAGAAGGUGAGUAGCACCACUUUGAAUUUUUACCUUACAGAAAAGGAUUUCGGUUGCAAUAAAAUUAACAAGGAUAACGUGGGUACUGCAGGGGCCAAGAACGAGGUGGCAACCCUGAAGGAGGCUGUGUCCGCGGCCGAACGCAAUGCGGCCGUGGAACGGGCAGAGCGAGAGAAGCUAGAGGCGUGGGUGGCGGAGGUGCGGCAAGAGCUCCAGGCUCUCAUGGAGAAGCAUGAGAGUUUGGAGCACGACUCAAAGACUCGAAAGUCCGAGCUCGCCUCGGCUCUCGAAAGUGCCAAGUCCGCCAAGGCCGAAGCCCAUAAGGCCCUUCAAGAGGUUGAGGAUAUGAAGAAAAUAGCGGCGGGUAAGGCAUUUUUCAUGCAAAGCAAGCAUGUUAAUGUAAAUUACCUGACACUUACCCGAAUUCGGAGCUCUCCAGGGGCGUUUGCAGAUCUGCCUCGUAGCGUAUCCAAUGCCGCCGCAUUCUAUCGUGGCGAGGAGGGGAGCUCAACGGAGAAGGUCUUCUGGUCUCAGUACGCUGAGGCCGGCCAUCCGGUGCCCCCUAGCGACCAGCUAAAGCAGCUGGUCGAGCUCCACAAGGUAGCUGAGGAGGCCAUGAAGGGCCUCAUAGUCUGGCUGUGGCCUGGACAGGCCAUGCCUGGGAGCUACUUUGGCCUCGUGCGGCGGCUGGUGGAUGCAUGCCCCUGGGUGGAGGUUAUCAAGUGCUCCGCCUGUAUUGAAGGUGCUCGUCAGGCCCUUGCCCGCGCAAAGGUGCACUGGGGCAGGCUGGAUGCGGAGAGGCUUCUUACUGACCCGCCGCCAGCGGGCAAGGAGUAUCAUACGCCCGAAAUGUACUAUAAGACUGUCCUGAAGGGUGCCCGCAAUAUUGCGGAUGAGUGCCCCAGAGAUGUAAUUAUUGAGUAAACUCGCUAUGUAUUAUCCUGUGCGCUGAAAACUUUGUUUAUAUGCGCUAAGCAACGCUUAUUGAUUUAAAAUAUUACCUUCUGUGCGGCCGUUUAUAAAAUCUGAGAGAUGGCAAGUCAUUGGCUUCAACCCCCAAGCCACGAGUGCUGGGGUGUUCGGGAUAAACUUGAGCACUCUUGUUCCCAUUUUUGGGUCCAUCUAGGGAGGCGCUCAACACAACGAACAAGGCAACCGGACUUAUAAUGCUUGAACACUCUCACUUAGCCAUAGAAUUCUAUAAUUUUAAAUUUCGGCGAAGCCCCUAGUAUUCGGAAGACCGAAUUCGGGGCGCUAUCCACGCCUUCGUCGGACAUUAUCCGGUACUUCGCUCGAAGCGGCAUGACCCGAAAAGACCUCUCGAACAGCGACCAGUCUCUCGCCUUAUCAUGCCAGUCAGUUUUAGCUUUCUCCACUGAGGCGCUCGCCCAGCUCAACCGGGGCGCAAUCGCAGUGGUUCUCCCAGUGCCACCUUAGCCGACAGAACGGAACGUAAGGCACCAAAACGUGGGAUCCAGGAAAACCCAACUAUUGAACCAAGACAUGAUUCGGAGCCGAUUCAUAUAAUGCUAUAAGUUCGGGGUGCCGCACUUGUGAAAGUGGUCGGACUUAUCACACCAUAAUGCGGGGAACAUAAGCCCCUGGUGUAUUCGGCCGUACCAAAAUAUACGGGUGCGAGAUGUCAUUAAUGAACAUAUGUGUAAAGUAAUGCAAUAACAGGCAAAAAAUGCUGCAUUAUUUAUUCAAGGAAUUCUGCUAUGAGUGCAGAAGGAUACAAAUAGUGCGGUAAGCAAGGGAUUGGACUAAAUAAACAUGUCCCCCUCCAGGGGUGGGCUGCAGACUGGUGUAUAUAAUUGAAUUUAAUGCUAGUAAUGGAGACCACCUGAAUGUUAAUCGCAGCCUUCUUUCUUCCCUGGCUGUUGCAUCGUGAGUUCGGCGGGUCCACCGCCGGACAGGGCUUCUGGUAAAUGGAGUCCUGUAUAUAAAAAGAAAGAAAAUAAUAACAAAAAAGAGUGACACACUUGUGAGCCCCUGGUGUGGUCGAGCCGCACUCUGGGUCUUCUGUGGUCGUGCCCCUUCCCCUAGGCCCAUGGUAUCUCCAGAGCGUAAUGAUGUACAUGGAGGGUAGGUCUUGCGAUUAUGCAGGGGCUGGGGUUGGGGCCGCAUUGCUACGCGUGCUCGGAUCGUGCCAGGUGGUCUUGGUUGAUGUUGCUUUGGGCGCGUUUGGCCGUAUCCAGCCGUUUACCGGCCAGACUCGAAAAUUGCCUUAAAAGGCUGCUCUGUACUUCUGCCGCGAGAGCCGCUGUGUGUUCCUCCGUUCGGAGGGAGCGUUCCGUAUUUCCGUUGACCGUGAUGACUCCACGAGGGCCUGUCAUCUUGAGCUUGAGGUAUGCGUAAUGCGGCACCGUGUUGAACUUUGCAAACGUGGUUCGUCCGAGCAGGGCGUGAUAGCCGCUGCGGAAUGGGACUAUGUCGAAGAUUAACUCCUCGCUCCGGAAAUUGUCCGGGGAUCCGAAGACCACUUCUAGUGUGACUGAGCCUGUACAAUUGGCCUCAACACCUGGUAUGACGCCUUUGAAGGUCGUCUUUGUAGGUUUAAUCCUUGAGGGGUCUAUGCCCAUCUUGCGCACUGUAUCCUGAUAAAGCAGGUUCAGGCUACUGCCACCGUCCAUCAGGACUCUCGUGAGGUGAAAUCCAUCGAUGAUUGGGUCUAAAACCAAUGCGGCGAAUCCGCCAUGGCGGAUACUGGUCGGAUGGUCUCUUCGAUCGAAAGUGAUCGGGCAAGAGGACCAUGGAUUGAACUUCGGGGCCACUGGCUCCAUCGCAUAUACGUCCCUUAGUGCACGCUUCCGCUCCCUCUUGGGUGUAUGGGUUGUGUAUAUCAUGUUCACCAUUCGCACUUGUGGGGGAAACCCUUCUGUCCUCUAUUGUUUCGCGGUCGGGUCUCUUCCUCGUCGUUGCUGUGCAGCCCCUUGUCAUUGCUUUCGGCAAUUAACUUGCCUGCCUUCUUGAAUACUCAACAAUCUCUGUUGGUGUGAUUAGCUGGCUUUUCGGGGGUGCCAUGUAUCUGGCAUAAGCGGUCGAGUAUUCGGUCCAAAUUGGACGGACCCGGAGUGGUUCUUUUGAAUGGCUUCUUCCGCUGACCGGGUUUAGAGCCUCGGAAUCCGGCGUUGACUGCCGUAUCGUCCUUAUCGUUGCCGUUAAUGCGGCGUUUAUUUUUGCUUCGACGUGACCUGCCAUUGUGGUCCUUGGUAUCCGGACUGCCAGAAUUUUUACUGAGGUUGUUGCUGCGAGCUAGCCAGCUGUCCUCUCCAGCACAGAAGUGGGUCAUUAGAGAUGUGAGGGCUGCCAUGGAUUUCGGCUUUUCCUGUCCUAGGUGCCGGGCUAGCCACUCGUCGCGGAUGUUAUGUUUGAAGGCUGCGAGGGCCUCUGCAUCCGGACAGUCGACGAUUUGAUUUUUCUUUGUUAAGAACCGUGUCCAGAACUGUCUGGCCGAUUCGUCUGGCUGCUGAAUUAUGUGUCUUAGGUCAUCGGCGUCUGGUGGUUGCACAUAUGUGCCCUGGAAGUUGUCGAGGAAUGCGGCUUCCAGGUCUUCCCAACACCCAAUUGACUCUGCGAGCAAGCUGUUAAGCCAAUGCCGAGCUGGUCCUUUAAGCUUGAGUGGGAGAUACUUGAUGGCAUGGAGAUCGUCGCGCGGGACAUAUGGAUGUGAAGGAGAUAAUCUUCGAUCCAAACCGCGGGGUCUGUUGUGCCAUCGUAGGAUUCAACGUUUACGGGUUUAAACCCUUCAGGGAUUUGAUGAUCCAUUACUUCGUCAGUGAAGCAUAGCGGGUGUGCGGCGCCUCUAUAUUGAGCAAUAUCACGACGUAGCUCGAGUGAGCAUUGUCUGCUGUGUUCGGCCCGGCCGGAGUUAUUGUAUCCGGCGCGACGGUAUUCGUCCUGGGUCAUGGGGCGCCCACGUGAUCCAUAGAUGGAUCUGGAUUGCCUUGCUUUGUCCUCCAAUAUAUCUCGCAAGUCCGGCGCGUUCCCUCUUGGCUUCGUACUUUUGGAGCGAUGCCGGGGUACGGUCUUGGUGGAGGGCCUAGAUGCCUCUCUGUCGCGACCACGGGGUGGUCGGUCAGCCGUAUUGUGCACUGGUGAUGAAGGUAUGUAUGCUUCCUCCUCUAAUCGGGGGAGCAACUUGCGUUUUGGGUAGCUUUUGGAGGGGCGUUCGAGUUCGUACUCUUCGGCCGCGAGGACCUCGGUCCAUCAAUCAGCCAGCAGGUCUUGAUCAGCUUGAAGCUGCUGCUUCUUUUUCUUUAGGCUAUUUGUCGUGGCGAUAAGCCUGCGUUUAAAACGUUCCUGUUCGACGGGAUCCUCAGGCACGACGAAUUCGUCGUCGUUGAGGCUUGCCUCGUCUUCGGAGGGAGGUAUGUAAUUAUCAUCCUCGACAUCUUCAUCUGCCGCUCUCUCGUGAGGGCUUGCUUCUACAUCCUCCUGCGCUGAAUCUUGCUGGAGGGGAUUGUCUUCGGCACUUUCUGGGGUAUUAUUAUCUCCUGUGCCUGAAUCUCAAUUCUUGCUGUGGCGGGAUUUAGAGCGGUGCCGCUGACGUCGGCGCUUGGACUGUUUCUUUAAGGAAUCUGCCUCCGCUGCUUCUUCGCCGUCCCCCUCUUUUGGGGUGUCCACCAUGUAUAUGUCAUAUGACGAGGUGGUCUUCCAGUGCCCUGUAGGCGCUGGUUCUUUUUCGUCUCCGGCAUCAUCGUCCAUACCGUUGAUGUCUUCGGAGUCGUAGUCUAGCAUGUCUGUUAGAUCGUCGACAGUGGCUACAAAGUGGGUGGUGGGUGGGCCUUGAAUUUCUUCGUCGUCCGUAUCCCAACCGUCCUGGCCAUAGUCCGGCCAGGUCUCUCCGGAUAGCGAGAGAUGUUUUAGCGAAUUCAGGAUGUCGCCAAAGGGCGAGUGUUGGAAGAUGUCCGUGGCGGUGAACUCCAUGACCGGCGCCCAAUCAGAUUCGAUUGGCAGGGGCGCAGAGGUUCGGAGUCCGGCAGGGAGUCCGGCACCUCGGAGUCACGAGCUUUGCAAGGGACAAGGUUAGUGUUCGGCUCCAUCGCCGUGGAAGUUGCAGCCCCCGAGGUGGUGUCCAGCCACCGGUCCUCGAUCUGGGUGAUCGGCUCCGGACUAAGGGCCGGAGCGGAUUCGUGUGCGGCCACCAAGGCACUGUUCGGCAGCAGAGCUAGAUCAUGCCCAUCGUGACAGUGCGGCACGCUCGGCUGUGGCUCGAGCCCGUCGAAGAUCAAGUCCCCGCGGAUGUCGGCCGUGAAGUUUAGGCUUCCGAACCUGACCUGACGGCCAGGGGCGUAGCUUUCGAUCUGCUCCAGAUGGCCAAGUGAAUUAGCCCGCAGUGCGAAGCUGACGAAUACGAAGAUCUGUCCGGGGAGAAAAGUCUCACCCUGGACAGCGUUAUUGAUUGAAGGAUUCAUUGAGCCUAUCGGUGACGACACAGAGGAACUCUCAAUGAAAGCACCAAUGUCGGUGUCAAAACCGGUUGAUCUCGGGUAGGGGGUCCCGAACUGUGCGUCUAGGCGGAUGGUAACAGGAGACGAGGGACACGAUGUUUUACCCAGGUUCGGGCCCUCUUGAUGGAGGUAAAACCCUACGUCCUGCUUGAUUAAUAUUGAUGAUAUGGGUAGUACAAGAGUGGAUCUACCACGAGAUCAAGGAGGCUAAACCCUAGAAGUUAGCCUAUGGUAUGAUUGUUGUAAUGGAGGUUAUGUCCUACGGACUAAAGCCCUCCAGUUUAUAUAGACACCGGAGAGGGCUAGGGUUACACAGAGUCGGUUACAAUGGUAGGAGAUCUACAUAUCCGUAUCGCCAAGCUUGCCUUCCACGCCAAGGAAAGUCCCAUCCGGACACGGGACGGAGUCUUCAAUCUUGUAUCUUCGUGGUCUUGGAGUCCGGCGGACGAUGAUAGUCCGGCUGUCCGGACACCCCCUAGUCCAGGACUCCCUCAGCAGCGCCAACUUAUUUCAGUUUGGGCGGAACUGGGUAUGUGAUUUCUAUCAUAAUUCAUGCAAUUCAUUCUUCAUGCUAUCUUGAGACCUUUAAUUACUAAUUUACUCUGUUCCUUUCUUUCAGCAAAAGACAAUAAGGCGUAGGUGCCAGAGGUGUUCGACCUCUAUGCCAUGGCCCAUACUGGGCCAUACAAGAAGGUAAACGCAUUCGAGCCAUCUAACCUCGAUAAUACAAAGAACUUCACAAACAUCUCCUCCCACAACAAACUCGUGAAGUACAGAGAUGAGGGGAAGGCGAGGAAAGGGGAGGACUUUAACUCGAGAGGGCAGUUUGAUCCGGAGCUAGUGAUGAUAUCUGGUGGCGGGAGGUCCCAUGGCUCGAUAGCCAUUGGAUAUGGACUUAUCCGUUGUCCUCGCACUCUCUCGGAGAUCAAGGUGCGCCAGUCGAGCUCCGCUCCUGAGAUGAGGCCUAGUCAACGGCCAGUAGAGCUCACCAUCCAGCUUAGUUAUGCGGACUCAUCUAUCUUUCCUCUAUUACAUUGUGUGUGCGGCCAUCGAUGAUUAGCAUGCUAACGAGGAGUGAUGUUGCAGGCUGCUCUUCAGAGUGAGAGAGAGAUAGAACCCAGGCGCUUUUGGUGGAGAGGGACCGGAAGGCGGAGCAGAAAUAGCGGGAGUUGGAGGAGAAGACGACAAGGCUGAUGGAGGAGGACAGGGCAUGGAACGACAUGCAGAACCAGGCCAUGUACCAGCUCCUCGUGGUAGUUUCUUCUGCAUAUUAGCCAAAUCAUUCACGUAAUGUUCGUUUCAUUAAUAACUAGUAUGAAUGAACCGUCAAAACCAAAUGUGCAGUUUGUGUGCCAGAAGGCCGGUCAGACCCCUCCGCCGAUGCCAAAUAUUGCUCUGGGGACCAUAGUGCGUUUAAUUUGAAUGGUCAUAAGUUAGUAGUAUUAACAUUUGAGUGUCAUCAUGCUAAUGAGACAUUGCAAAUGAUCUUUGGUGCAGCGUGCCUCCAGAAAAGCAUCACACGAUCCUUCUCCAGGUGGUGGUACCGGCACGAGCCAUGCUGGUGCUUCAACUCCGUGAUGACGGUAAGUUAUCACAUCACAACAAGCCCUGCAAAAACAAGUUAGACGUCCUCUACUUUGUUGUUGCAAGUUUUACAUGGCUGUUAUGGGCUUCUAGCAAGAACCGUUCUUAUCUAAGCAACAAAAUUACAAUGAUUUUUUGUCAAGUGUGUUGUUUUAACCUUCAACAAGGACCGGCCGUAGUCAAACUCGAUUCAACUAAAUUUGGAGAAAUAGACACCUGCCAGCCACCUGUGUGCAAAACACAUCGGUAGAACCAGUCUCAUGAACGCGGUCAUGUAAUGUCGGUCCGGGCCGCUUCAUCCAACAAUACCACCGAAUCAAAGUAAGACGUUGGUGGUAAGCAGUAUGACUAUUAUCGCCCACAACUCUUUAUGUUCUACUCGUGCAGAUCAUCUACGCAUAGACCUGGCUCUGAUACCACUGGUCGGGAAUGUAGUAUGCAAUUUGCAAAAAAUUCGUACGCUCACGCAAGAUCUAUCUAGGAGAUGCAUAGCAACGAUAGGGCAGAGUGUGUCCACGUACCCUCAUAGACUGAAAGAGGAAGUGUUAGUUAACGCGCUUGAUGUAGUUGAAUGUCUUCAUGAUCCAAUCGGUCCAAGUACAGAACGUGUGGCACCUCCGUGUUCAGCACACGUUCAGCUCGAUGACAUCCCUCGAACUCUUGAUCUAGUAGAGGGUCGAGGGAGAGUUCUGUCAGCAUGGCGUGUUGAUGGUUGAUGAUGUGAUCUGCGCAGGGCUUUGCCUAAGCACUACGACGCUAUGACCGGAGGAGUAAACUGUGGAGGGGCACCGAGAAUGGCAAAGAGAACAAUUGAUGUGCCUUUGCGGUGCCCCUGCCAACGUAUAUAAAGGAGGGGGAGAAAGGCUAGCGGCUAGGAGGGGCGCGCCAUGUUGGGGGGGGUCCUACUUGGACUCCUAGUCCAAGUAGGAUUCGUCCACCCUCCUUUACCUUUUUCCAUCGGAGGGAAUAGGAAGGAGAGGGAGAGGGAAAGGGAAGGGCGCACUGCCCCUCCUCCUUGUCCUAUUCNNNNNNNNNNNNNNNNNNNNNNNNNNNNNNNNNNNNNNNNNNNNNNNNNNNNNNNNNNNNNNNNNNNNNNNNNNNNNNNNNNNNNNNNNNNNNNNNNNNNNNNNNNNNNNNNNNNNNNNNNNNNNNNNNNNNNNNNNNNNNNNNNNNNNNNNNNNNNNNNNNNNNNNNNNNNNNNNNNNNNNNNNNNNNNNNNNNNNNNNNNNNNNNNNNNNNNNNNNNNNNNNNNNNNNNNNNNNNNNNNNNNNNNNNNNNNNNNNNNNNNNNNNNNNNNNNNNNNNNNNNNNNNNNNNNNNNNNNNNNNNNNNNNNNNNUCUCUCCCAUAGGCCUAUGUUGGCCCAACACUUCCCUGGGGGGUUCCGGUAACCCCUUGGUACUCCGAAAAAUGUGUGAACCUCUCCGAAACUUUUCGGGUGUCCGAACAUAACUUUCCAAUAUAUCAAUCUUUACCUCUCUACCAUUUCGAGACUCCUCCGUAAUCUCAUCCGGGACUCCGAACAAACUUCGGUCAUCAAAAAUACAUAACUCAUAAUACAAAUCGUCAUCGAAUGUUAAGCGUGCGGACCCUACGGGUUCGAGAACUAUGUAGACAUGAUCGAGACACAUCUUUGAUCAAUAACCAAUAGCGGAACCUGGAUGCUCAUAUUGGCUCCUACAUAUUUUACAAAGAUCUUUAUCGGUCAAACCGCACAACAACAUACGAUGUUCCCUUUGUCAUCAGUAUGCCACUUGCCUGAGAUUUGAUCGUCGGUAUCUUCAUACCUAGUCCAACCUCGUUACCGACAAGUCUCUUUACUCAUUCUGUAAUGCUUCAUCCCGCAACUAACUCAUUAGUCAGAUUGCUUGCAAGGCUUAUAGUGAUGAGCAUUAUCGAGAGGGCCAGAGAUACCUCUUCGAUACACGGAGUGACAAAUCCUAUUCUCGACCUAUGCCAACCCAACAAACACCUUCGAAGACACCUGUAGAGCAUCUUUAUAAUCACCCAGUUACGUUGUGACGUUUGAUAGCACACAAGGUGUUCCUCUUGUAUUCUGGAGUUGCAUAAUCUCAUAGUCAGAGGAACACGUAUAAGUUAUGAAGAAAGCAAUAGCAAUAAAACUUACGAUCAUUAUGCUAAGGUAACGGGUGGGUCUUGUCCAUCACAUCAUUCUCUGACGACGUGAUCCCGUUCAUUGAAUGACAACACAUGUCUAUGGUCAGGAAACAUAACCAUCUUUGAUUAACGAGCUAGUCAAUUAGAGGCAUACUAGGGACACUUUGCUUUCUCGAUGUAUUCACACAUGUACUAAGUUUCCGGUUAAUACAAUUCUAGCAUAAAUAAUAAACAUUUAUCAUGAUAUAAGGAAAUAUAAAUAACAACUUUAUUAUUGCCUCUAGGGCAUAUUUCCUUCAGUCGACCUGUCGGCCUGCUCCUACCAUGCGGUUGCCCGUGUCCUACUGGGUGUUUGCAGUGUUGAUGAGCUCCUAGGGGUGCUCCAUCUGGUCGUGCAGCUCGUCGCCCUCCAGGUGUUUGAGCUCGUCUGCGGCCGCCUGGGCGGCGUGCAAGUUUUGCGUCGGGGUCUCGUAGACCGGGCGUCCGAUUUCCAGCAUGCUGGCAAUCACAGCACUGCGUUGUCGGAUGGCGUCGACCUGGCUAGGCUCAGCCAUAGCCGGCAUCUCAUCGACCACGCGGUCGAUCUCACGCUGAGUGUGUUGGGGAACGUUGCAUAAAAUAAAAAAAUUCCUACGUUCACCAAGAUCAAUCUAUGAGUUCAUCAAGCAACGAGAUAGAGGAGUGCAUCUACAUACCCUUGUAGAUCGCGAGCGGAAGCGUUUAAGAGAACGGGGUUGUAGUAGUUGUACACGUCGUGAUCCAAUCACCAGAGAUCCUAGCGCCGAACGGACGGCACCUCCGCGUUCAACACUCGUACGGUCAGCGUGACGUCUCCUCCUUCUUGAUCCAGCAAGGGGGAAGGAGAGGUUGAUGAAGAUCCAGUAGCACGACGGCGUGAUGGUGGAUGCAGCAGGGAUCUGGUAGGGCUUCGCCAAGCGUCUGCGGGAGGGAGAGGUGUAGCAAGGGGGAAGGGAGGCGCCAAGAUGCAGGGUCCGACUGCCCUCCCUUCCGUCCUCUUUAUAUAGGGUCCCCAGGGGGGGCACCGGCCCUAGGAGAUGGGAUCUCCUAGGGGGGCGGCGGACAAGGGGGGAGCCUUGCCCCCCAAGGCAAGUGGAGGCGCCCCCUCCCCUAGGGUUCCCAACCCUCGGCGCAGGGGGGCCCAAGGGGGGGGGGGCGCACCAGCCCACUAGGGGCUGGUCCCCUCCCCACUUCAGCCCACGGGGCCCUCCGGGAUAGGUGACCCCACACGGAGGACCCCCGGGACCCUUCCGGUGUUCCCGGUACAAUACCGGUGACCCCCGAAAUUCUCCCGAUGGCCGAAACAGCACUUCCUAUAUAUAAUUCUUCACCUCUGGACCAUUCCGGAACUCCUCGUGACGUCCGGGAUCUCAUCCGGGACUCCAAACAACUUUCCGUUUGCUGCAUACUAAUAUCUCUACAACCCUAGCGUCACCGAACCUUAAGUGUGUAGACCCUACGGGUUCGAGAGAUAUGCAGACAUGACCGAGACGCCUCUCCGGUCAAUAACCAACAGCGGGAUCUGGAUACCCAUGUUGUCUCCCACAUACUCCUCGAUGAUCUCAUCGGAUGAACCACGAUGUCGAGGAUUCAAUGAACCCCGUAUUCAAUUCCCUUUGUCAAUCGGUACGUUACUUGCCUGAGACUCGAUCGUCGGUAUCCCAAUACCUCGUUUAGUCUCGUUACCGGCAAGUCACUUUACUCGUACCAUAAUGCAUGAUCCCGUGACCAGACACUUGGUCACAUUCAGCUCAUUAUGAUGAUGCAUUACCGAGUAGGCCCAGAGAUACCUUUCCAUCAUACGGAGUGAUAAAUCCCAGUCUCGAUUCAUGCCAACCCAACAGACACUUUCGGAGAUACCCGUAGUGUACCUUUAUAGUCACCCAGUUACGUUGUGACGUUUGGCACACCCAAAGCACUCCUACGGUAUGCGAGAGUUGCACAAUCUCAUGGUCUAAGGAAAUGAUACUCGACAAUUGGAAAAGCUCUAGCUAAACGAACUACACGAUCUUUGAGCUAUGCUUACGAUUGGGUCUUGUCCAUCACAUCAUUCUCCUAAUGAUGUGAUCCCAUUAUCAAUGACAUCCAAUUCCCAUAGUCAGGAAACCAUGACUAUCUGUUAAUCAACGAGCUAGUCAACUAGAGGCUUACUAGGAACUUGUUGUGGUCUAUGUAUUCACACAUGUAUUACGAUUUCCGGAUAACACAGUUAUAGCAUGAAUAAUAGACAAUUAUCAUGAGCAUAGAAAUAUAAUAAUAACCAUUUAUUAUUGCCUCUAGAGUGAAUAAUCUAGUUACAUUGUGAUGUAUCGAACACCCAUUGCGUUCUGGUGUUGAUCAUGUUUUGCUCUAGGGAGAGGUUUAGUCAAUGGAUCUGCUACAUUCAGGUCCGUAUAUACUUUACAAAUAUCUAUGUCUCCAUCUUGAACAUUUUCACGGAUGGAGUUGAAGCGACGCUUGAUGUGCCUGGUCUACUUGUGAAACCUGGGCUCCUUGGCAAGUGCAAUAGCUCUAGUGUUGUCACAGAAGAGUGUAAUCGGCCCCGACGCAUUGGGUAUGACUCCUAGGUCGGUGAUGAACUCCUUCACCCAGAUUGCUUCAUGUGCUGCCUCCGAGGCUGCCAUGUACUCCGCUUUACAUGUAGAUCCCGCCACGAUGCUCUGCUUGCAACUGCACCAGCUUACUGCCCCACCAUUCAAAAAUAUACACGUAUCCGGCUUGUGACUUCGAGUCAUGCAGAUCUGUGUCGAAGCUAGCGUCAACGUAACACUUUACGAUGAGCUCUUCAUCACCUCCAUAUACGAGAAACAUGUCCUUAGUCCUUUUCAAGUACUUAAGGAUGUUCUUGACCGCUGUCCAGUGUUCGUUGCCGGGAUUACUUUGGUACCUUCCUACCAAACUUACGGCAAGGUUUAUAUCAGGUCUGGUACAGGUCAUGGCAUACAUAAUAGACCCUAUGGCUGAGGCAUAGGGGAUGACACUCAUCUCUUCUUUAUCUUUUGCCGUGGUCGGGCAUUGAGCCGGGCUCAAUUUCACACCUUGCAACAUGGGCAAGAACCCCUUCUUGGACUGAUCCAUAUUGAACUUCUUCAAUAUCUUAUCAAGGUAUGUGCUUUGUGAAAGACCUAUGAGGCGUCUCGAUCUAUCUCUAUAGAUUUUGAUGCCUAACAUGUAAGCAGCUUCUCCAAGGUCCUUCAUUGAAAAACACUUAUUCAAGUAGGCCUUUAUGUUGUCCAAAAGUUCUAUAUCAUUUCCCAUCAAAAGUAUGUCAUCCACAUAUAAUAUGAGAAAUGCUACAGAGCUCCCACUCACUUUCUUGUAAACGCAGGCUUCUCCAUAAGUCUGCAUAAACCCAAACACUUUAAUCAUCUCAUUAAAACGAAUGUUCCAACUCCGAGAUGCUUGCACCAGCCCAUAAAUGGAUCCCUGGAGCUUGCAUACCUUGUUAGCAUUCUUAGGGUCGACAAAACCUUCUGGCUGCAUCAUAUACAGUUCUUCCUUAAGGUGACCAUUAAGGAAAGGCGUUUUGACGUCCAUUUGCCAUAUCUCAUAAUCAUAGUAUGCGGCAAUUGCUAACAUGAUUCGGACGGACUUCAGCUUCGCUACGGGAGAGAAUGUCUCAUCGUAGUCAAUCCCUUGAACUUGUCGAUAACCCUUAGCGACAAGUCGAGCUUUAUAUAUGGUGACAUUACCAUCUGCGUCCGUCUUCUUCUUAAAGAUCCAUUUGUUUUCUGUCGCUCGCCGAUCAUCGGGCAAGUCUGUCAAAGUCCACACUUUGUUUUCAUACAUGGAUCCUAUCUCGGAUUGCAUGGCUUCAAGCCAUUUGUUGGAAUCUGGGCCCGCCAUUGCUUCUUCAUAGUUCGAAGGUUCACCGUUGUCCAACAACAUGAUUUCCAAGACAGGAUUGCUGUACCACUCUAGUGCGGAAUGUGUCCUUGUGGACCUUCGAAGUUCAGUAGGAGCUUGAUCCGAAGUAUCUUGAUCAUCAUCAUUAACUACCUCUCUUGUCGGUGCUGGCACCACAGGAACAUUUUCCUGAGUUGCGCUACUCACCGUUUCAAGAGGUAGUACUUCAUCAAGCUCUACUUUCCUCCCACUUAAUUCUUUCGAGAGAAACUCUUUCUCCAGAAAGGACCCGUUCUUGGCAACAAAGAUCUUGCCUUCGGAUCUUAAGUAGAAAGUAUACCCUGUGGUUUCCUUAGGGUAUCCUAUGAAUAUGCAUUUUUCCGACUUGGUUUCGAGCUUCUCAGGUUGACGUUUCUUGACAUAAGCAUCGCAUCCCCAAACUUUUAGAAACGACAGCUUAGGUUUCUUCCCAAACCAUAAUUCAUACGGUGUCGUCUCAACGGAUUAAGCCAUAGUGACCUGAGAUUAAGAAAAAAAGAAAAAAAAUUGAAAAAAAAUAAAAAAAUCUGAAAAAAAUAUUUGAAAAAAAAUCGUUACUAAUGGCGCAUUUCUAUUUUCUAUGUGGUGCGCCAUUAGUAUACCAGAUACUAAUGGCGCACCAUGGGCUAUUCUAAUGGCGCACCAGCGGUGCGCCAUUAGUAUACCAGAUACUAAUGGCGCACCACAGGUGCGCCAUUAGAAAAAAAAUCUAAUGCGUGGUGCUAGUGGCGCACCUGUAGUGCGCCAUUAGUAGAGAAAACAGGUGCGCCACUAGCAGCCCUUUUUCUAGUAGUGCCACGAUCUGAUCGUAAGAACUUUAUCUUUCGGUCAAGUUGAUUCUCUACCUCAUUCUGAAAUUCCUUGAACUUUUCAAAGGUCUCAGACUUAUGUUUCAUCAAGUAGACAUACCCAUAUCUACUCAAGUCAUCAGUGAGAGUGAGAAGAUAAAGAUAUCCUCUGCGAGCCUCAACGCUCAUUGGACCGCACACAUCAGUAUGUAUGAUUUCCAAUAAGUUGGUCGCUCGCUCCAUUGUUCUGGAGAACGGAGUCUUAGUCAUCUUGCCCAUGAGGCAUGGCUCGCAUGUGUCAAACGAUUCAUAAUCUAGAGACUCUAAAAGUCCAUCAGCAUGGAGCUUCUUCAUGCGCUUGACACCAAUAUGACCAAGGCGGCAGUGCCACAAGUAUGUGGGACUAUCAUUAUCAACUUUACAUCUUUUGGUAUUCACACUAUGAAUAUGUGUAACAUUACGCUCGAGAUUCAUUAAGAAUAAAUCAUUCACCAGCGGGGCAAGACCAUAAAACAUAUCACUCAUAUAAAUAGAACAACCAUUAUUCUCGGAUUUAAAUGAGUAGCCAUCUCAAAUUAAACGAGAUCCCGAUACAAUGUUCAUGCUCAAAGUUGGUACUAAAUAACAAUUAUUGAAGUUCAAAACUAAUCCCGUAGGUAAAUGUAGAGGUAGCGUGCCGACGGCGAUCACAUCAACCUUGGAACCAUUCCCGACGCGCAUCGUCACCUUGUUCUUCGCCAGUCUCCGCUUAUUCCGCAGCUCCUGCUUUGAGUUACAAAUAUGAGCAACCGCACCGAUAUCAAAUACCUAGGAGCUACUACGAGCACUGGUAAGGUACACAUCAAUUAUAUGUAUAUCACAUAUACCUUUGGUUUUGCUGGCCUUCUUGUCCGCUAAGUACUUGGGGCAGUUCCGCUUCCAGUGACCACUUCCCUUGCAAUAAAAGCACUCAGUCUCAGGCUUGGGUCCAUUGCUUGACUUCUUCCUGGCAACUGGCUUACCAGGCGCGGCAACUUCCUUGCCGUCCUUCUUGAAGUCUUCUUACCCUUGCCCUUCUUGAACUUAGUGGUUUUAUUCACCAUCAACACUUGAUGUUCCUUUUUGAUCUCCACCUCCGCUGAUUUCAGCAUUGAAUAUACCUCAGGAAUGGUAUUUUCCAUCCCCUGCAUAUUAAAGUUCAUCACAAAGCUCUUGUAGCUUGGUGGGAGCGACUGGAGGAUUCUGUCAAUGACCGCGUCAUCCAGGAUUUUAACUCCCAGCUGAGUCAAGCGGUUGUGCAACCCAGACAUCUUGAGUAUGUGCUCACUAACAGAACUGUUUUCCUCCAUCUUACAGCUAAAGAACUUGUCGGAGACUUCAUAUCUCUCGACCCGGGCAUGAGCUUGGAAAACCAUUUUCAGCUCCUCGAACAUCUCAUAUGCUCUGUGUUGCUCAAAACGCUUUUGGAGCCCCGGUUCUAAGCUUUAAAGCAUGCCGCACUGAACGAGGGAGUAAUCAUCGGCACGAGACUGCCAAGCGUUCAUAACGUCUUAGUUCUCUGGGAUUGGUGCUUCACCUAGCGGUGCUUCUAAGACAUAGUCUUUCUUGGCAGCUAUUAGGAUGAUCCUCAGGUUCCGGACCCAGUCCGUAUAGUUGCUGCCAUCGUCUUUCAGCUUGGUUUUCUCUAGGAACGCGUUGAAGUUCAGCUGGACAUGAGCGUUGGCCAUUUGAUCUACAAGACAUAUUGUAAAGAUUUUAGACUAAGUUCAUGAUAAUUAAGUUCAUCUAAUCAAAUUAUUUAAUGAACUCUCACUUAGACAGACAUCCCUCUAGUCAUCUAAGUGAAACAUGAUCCGGGUCAACUAGGCCGUGUCCGAUCAUCACGUGAGACGGACUAGCUAACAUCGGUGAACAUCUUCAUGUUGAUCGUAUCUACUAUAUGACUCAUGCUUGACCUUUCGGUCUUCCGUGUUCCAAGGCCAUGUCUGUACAUGCUAGGCUCGUCAAGUCAAAAUAAGUGUAUUACGUGUGUAAAUCUGGCUUACACCUGUUGUAUUCGAACGUUAGGAUCUAUCACACCCGAUCAUCACGUGGUGCUUCGAAACAACGAACCUUCGCAACGGUGCACAGUUAGGGGGAACACUUUUCUUGAAAUUAUUAUGAGGGAUCAUCUUACUUACUACCGUCGUUCUAAGUAAACAAGAUGAAAAACAUGAUAAACAUCACAUGCAAUCAUAAUAGUGACAUGAUAUGGCCAAUAUCAUAUAGCUCCUUUGAUCUCCAUCUUCGGGGCUCCAUGAUCAUCUUCGUCACCGGCAUGACACCAUGAUCUCCAUCACCAUGAUCUCCAUCAUCGUGUCUCCAUGAAGUUGCUCGCCAACUAUUACUUAUACUUCUAUGGCUAACGCGUUUAGCGAUAAAGUAAAGUAAUUUACAUGGCGUUUCUCAAUGACACGCAGGUCAUACAAAAAAUAAAGACAACUCCUAUGGCUCCUGCCGGUUGUCAUACUCAACAACAUGCAAGUCAUGAUUCCUAUUACAAGAACAUGAUCUCAUACAUCACAUAUAUAUCAUUCAUCAUUCAUCACAACUUUGGCCAUAUCACAUCACAAGACACUUGCUGCAAAAACAAGUUAGACGUCCUCUAAUUGUUGUUCCAAGUUUUUACGUGGCUUCUAUAGGUGAUCUAGCAAGAACGUUUUCUUACCUACGUUAAAGCCACAACGUGAUUUGCCAACUUCUAUUUACCCUUCAUAAGGACCCUUUUCAUCGAAUCCGCUCCAACUAAAGUGGGAGAGACAGACACCCGCUAGCCACCUUAUCCAACUAGUGCAUGUCAGUCGGUGGAACCUGUCUCAUGUAAGCGUACGUGUAAGGUCGGUCCGGGCCGCUUCAUCCCACAAUACCGCUGAAGCAAAAUAAGACUAGUAGUGGUAAGAAAGUUGACAACAUCUAUGCCCAUAACAAAUUGUGUUCUACUCGUGCAAAGAGAACUACGCAUAGACCUAGCUCAUGAUGCCAUUGUUGGGGAACGUUGCAUAAAAUAAAAAAUUUCCUAUGUUCACCAAGAUCAAUCUAUGAGUUCAUCCAGCAACAAGAUAGAGAGGAGUGCAUCUACAUACCCUUGUAGAUCGUGAGCGGAAGCGUUCAAGAGAACGGGGUUGAGGUAGUCGUACACGUCGUGAUCCAAUCACCGGAGAUCCUAGCGCCGAACGGAUGGCACCUCCGCGUUCAACAUACGUACGGUCAGCGUGACGUCUCCUCCUUCUUGAUCCAGCAAGGGGGAAUGAGAGGUUGAUGAAGAUCCAGCAGCACGACGGUGUGGUGGUGGAUGCAGCAGGGAUCCGGCAGGGCUUCGCCAAGCGUCUGCGGGAGGGAGAGGUGUAGCAAGGGGGAAGGGAGGCGCCAAGAUGCAGGGUCCGGCUGCCCUCCCUUCCCCCCUCUUUAUAUAGGGUCCCCAGGGGGGCGCCGGCCCUAUGAGAUGGGAUCUCCUGGGGGGGCGGCGGCCAAGGGGGGAGCCUUGCCCCCCAAGGCAAGUGGAGGCGCCCCCUCCCCUAGGGUUCCCAACCCUAGGCGCAGGGGGACCAAGGAGGGUCACACCAGCCCACCAGGGGCUGGUCCCCUCCCCACUUCAGCCCACGGGGCCCUCCGGGAUAGGUGGCCCCACACGGUGGACCCCCGGGACCCUUCCGGUGGUCCCGGUACAAUACCGGUGACCCCCGAAAUUCUCCCGAUGGUUGAAACAGCACUUCCUAUAUAUAAUUCUUCACCUCCGGAGCAUUCCAGAACUCCUCGUGACGUCCGGGAUCUUAUCCGGGACUCCGAACAACUUUCGGUUUGCUGCAUACUAAUAUCUCUACAACCCUAGCGUCACUGAACCUUAAGUGUGUAGACCCUACGGGUUCAGGAGAUAUGCAGACAUGACCGAGACGCCUCUCCGGUCAAUAACCAACAGCGGGAUCUGGAUACCCAUGUUGGCUCCCACAUACUCCUCGAUGAUCUCAUCGGAUGAACCACGAUGUCGAGGAUUCAAUUAACACCUUAUUCAAUUCCCUUUGUCAAUCGGUACGGUACUUGCCCGAGACUCGAUCGUCGGUAUCCCAAUACCUCGUUUAGUCUCGUUACCGGCAAGUCACUUUACUCGUACCGUAAUGCAUGAUCCCGUGACCAGACACUUGGUCACAUUGAGCUCAUUAUGAUGAUGCAUUACCGAGUGGGCCUAGAGAUACCUCUCCGUCACACGGAGUGACAAAUCCCAGUCUCGAUUUGUGCCAACCCAAGAGACACUUUCGGAGAUACCCGUAGUGUACCUUUAUAGUCACCCAGUUACGUUGUGACGUUUGGCUCACCCAAAGCACUCCUACGGUAUCCGGGAGUUGCACAAUCUCAUGGUCUAACGAAAUGAUACUCGACAAUUGGAAAAGCUCUACCUAAACGAACUACACGAUCUUUGAGAUAUGCUUAGGAUUGGAUCUUGUCCAUCACAUCAUUCUCCUAAUGAUGUGAUCCCGUUAUCAGUGACAUCCAGUGCCCAUAGUCAGGAAACCAUGACUAUUUGUUGAUCAACGAGCUACUCAACUAGAGGCUUACUAGGGACUUGUUGUGGUCUAUGUAUUCAGACGUGUGUUACGAUUUCCGGAUAACACAGUUAUAGCAUGAAUAAUAGACAAUUAUUAUGAACACAGAAAUAUAAUAAUAACCAUUUAUUAUUGCCUCUAGGGCAUAUUUCCAACAGAGUGGCCUCAACGCGGUGCUUCGGUGCCGCCAUCUUGGUGGCGAUGUCGAUGUGCUUGGCGCGGAACUCCUACAGCUCGUCCUGGCUGGCAUCGGUGCGAGAAGGAGUCGCUAGGGCGGCCGCCUCCAGCAGAUCCUGGUUGGAUCCGCCAGCGCCUUGGCCGUCGCCAAUGACCAUCGCAUCCGCAAUGAUGCCAGCAUCGGGCGUGCCGACAGGAGCGUCACUGGCGGCAGGAGGGAGCGGAUCAUCGACGACCUCCACGUUGCUGGGGAAGUCAUCGGUGGUGAUUUUGUCGGCGAUGGAGAGCUUGCUGAAGAGGUCAUCAAGGCCGUUCGCCGGGGAGAUGACCUCCGCAGUAGGCGAUGCGUUGAGGCUAGCGCAGGAGGAUGCAUCGGGCUGGCCAAUCUCACCAGCCGCGACAUGCUCGCCGGAAAGGAACAAGGUUCCCGUCCAGAACGUGUCUCCGGCCGACGUCACGGAUGGCCCCACGGUUGGCGCUAGCUGUCGUGGUAAUGUCACGUCAGAUUCCAGGGGGUGGCUUAUCAUGGAUGUGGCCAGAAGUACGUCAUCGCGUCCUGGAAGCGGGAGUGAGCACAAGCUCAGACGGGCACGAGAUCUACCCCGGUUCAGGGCUCUCCUAAGAGAUGAAACCCCUAUUCCUGCUUUGCGGGGUCUCCUCAUGAUAACUAUAUCACAAGGUAUACAAUGGUGCUCCUAGAGCUGUUUGGAUAGAGGAGGGAGAAGGGCAAGGCUAGCUCUCUUCUCUCCCUAGCAGUGGAGUGUGUGGAAUGGAGUGGGAACUGAGGUUGGAACCCUUUGCAUGGGUGAGACCUGGGGGAUUUUAUAGGCCAACCCCCAGGGGUAUAAUGGUAAUCAGGCCGGGUGGUAGGUCCCCGCUGUCAGCGUCUAUGGAGGUCGGGUUCUCUGCCGGCUGCUGGGCCCGCUUCUGGUCGGCCCUGCUGGCUAUCGAGGAACCUACCGACGGGUGGGGCCUGCCGCUUGCGGGCCCCAUCUACAGCUCUUCACUGUUGCACCGCCCAUGCUGACGGAGGCCGUGUCGGACGCGCCAUGGCUACAGUGCGGCGGCGGGCGGGUCGGCGGCCGCCUGGCGGCGCUUACUGUAGCCAUGCGGCCGAGAUUCGGGGAGGCAUGGUACACUGUAGCCAUGCCCCAGCUCGUAGCUUGGUCGGGCUCAGACUCCGAGGGAAGGGGCGGGCCGCCUGCUAGGACUGUCCCGUACCCACACCAUCUUCUGGGAACGCGUCUUCUUCUGGGAGCACGCCGUCUUCUGGAGGUCGGCUGGGUGGCACGAGCCGACUCUGGAAGCCGGUCGUCAGACAUGUCGGCCUGAGGGGCUUGGCUUGCCCCGAUGUCUUGAAAUGUUGUUAAGUGUAGAUAAGGGGGGUCUAUCCCCCCGACACAUAUGAUUCUCAAUAUAAAUGAACCGGACUGAAUUCAUUUUAGAAACAAACAACAAAAUAAUUAAGUAACACUUCAAAUUUGUUCGACUUAAGAAACGAACAUCAAUGUAUGACAUAUAUCUUAAACAUACUAACCAACAGUUCAUCGGCUAGUAUAUUCAUGACUUAUACCUUAUUUCUAAACAUGUUCAACGACAACAAUCAUUUACAAAGCGUUGUGGUUGUUGUCGGUNNNNNNNNNNNNNNNNNNNNNNNNNNNNNNNNNNNNNNNNNNNNNNNNNNNNNNNNNNNNNNNNNNNNNNNNNNNNNNNNNNNNNNNNNNNNNNNNNNNNNNNNNNNNNNNNNNNNNNNNNNNNNNNNNNNNNNNNNNNNNNNNNNNNNNNNNNNNNNNNNNNNNNNNNNNNNNNNNNNNNNNNNNNNNNNNNNNNNNNNNNNNNNNNNNNNNNNNNNNNNNNNNNNNNNNNNNNNNNNNNNNNNNNNNNUCAAGGCAUAUAAAAGUCAAGUUAUGCGGCAAAACUAAUAAAAACUCAAACACAAUGUUCAAUGGCAGUAUUUGUUCAUGGAUGGUUUAACUAAUAAAGACAUAUUAGAAGACAAUACUAGCAUAUAAAUGAUACAAACGAUGGUGCCCAAUCAAAGGAUGGAUUGAUAUAGCCUCCUAUAACUGCAUGUUCAAUAAAGUAAGACAUAUGACGCCUCUCCAAGGGCGACUAGGGUUCCUGCCGCCCUGCGGCGCGGCGCCGAUCCAUGGCCUUAGGUCCAUGGGUCGUGGUGGAUCCCGGCCCUUGCCGACGGGAGGAUUCCGUUUCUAGAUAUUUCUUUGAGUUUUUUGGGGGGUUUAUGUCCUGCUCAGGAAGGCGAGACGGCGGCGGUAAAAAGAAGAACUUAGCAGGUUUAAUAACAAACGCAAAAUGUGAAUUACUAAAUCGGUUUCCACAUUUAUGUUCUCUGCAGAACAACAAAACUAAGGAAAACAAUAUGAAAAGGGAAAAGCAUUAAGAAUUAAAGACCAUGUUUGUAUCAAGCAUCAAACAGUGGGAACUAGCAAGAGAAAUUCCCCGCAAAAAAACUAGCAAAAGAAAUUGGGAUUUGAAAACAGUAGCAACUAGCAAGAGAAAUCUCUUCAUCAGCUAGCCUAAGACGGGUCAUCUUCCUUUUCUCGACAAAAGGACUCCCGUUCGCGACGGACUAGCAGCACAUGCCCUUGUUCUCUUUAACUUUUUUGACAUUGGCCUGGCCAAUGGCCCAGCAAGAGGGGUAGGAAGUGGGCUGUGCCCCAGGCCAGUUUUUUCUCUCUAGAUAUAUAGGUUGGGAAGUUUGAGACCUCCUCUUCGGCGCCAUAGGCGCCGGUUCCCUUAGCGGGCGCUCACAGCAGUGUCGCGUCGGCCGGCACAGCUAGGAGCCUCGGGCUCGCUCUAUCCCAUCGCGACGCUGUUGCGUUCGUUCGUUCUUUCUUUUUUUGUUUGUCGCUUCAUUCACAAACCUGAAAGCACAUGGAUAAAAAAUAUGAAUUCAAAAACAGUUCAUUAAUUUGAAAUUUUCAUCAAUUCUAAACAAAAAAUUCAUCUCUUUUGAAACACAUUUCACAAGAAAUUGAAUUUUUUUAUCGAUUUUGAAAAAAGUUCAUCGAAUUUGAAAAAGGUUCAUUGAAUUUGAAAAAAAAAGUUCAUUAAACUUGAAAAACAUUCACCAAAUUUGGAAAAAAGUUCACCAAAUUUGAAAAAAGUUCAUAAAAAUGAAAAAAAGUUCAUCAAAAUUUGAAGAAAAGUUCAUCAAAAAUGUAAAAAAGUUUCAUCAAAAUUUGGAAAAAGUUCACUGAUUUCAAAAAAAAAUCAAAUUUGAAAAACAUGAAGAAAAAAAGUUUCACAAAUUUUAUAUAGAAAAGGAAAAGGCAACAAGAAAAAGGAAAGAAAGAAGAAGAGAGGAAGAAAAACAUGCACGAGAUCACAACAAGUCAAGUGGUUUGUUGGUCGACGAGUCGUACCCUUAAAUUUGUCAUGCUGGGAUCGAAUCCCAGCACUCCUGCACUUUUUGCAGUUUAGAAAACCAGAGAAAGGGUCAAAAUGGGCCGGCCCUAACGUGACGAGGGGUGUGUGCGCCCGUUAGUAGAAAUAACUGUAUCGGGUGUAGAAGGCGCCGAAUAGGAUUUAGCGGGAAGUUUCUCACGCCCCAGGCCAUUGCCUGGGCUGCCUGGGGCCUAGAUCCGCCCAUGGUUGUUGUACCUUAUGGUGAUUAUCACUAGUGUGUGGACCCUUAAUUUUCUCUUUCCCGUUAUGAACUCCCGUCAGCCGGACUCAUGUAAGGAUAUGCGGCCGUCUGAUUCCGUCUUGUACUAAACGGUAGUAACACGCCCUGUUGGUCCAUGACAUACUCCAGAUUUGCUGACGACGGGGAUGUCCACUCCGGAAAACAUCUUUAGAGGUAAUUUCUGAACUUCCCCGUCAUUAAGAGGAAAUUGAGAGCACGCUAUGUUACACAUCUCACCAUAUUUUGUUAUGAACAAAAAAAGAUGAAAGAAUACAAAACAUCUGACCAUGACGUUUUCGACGACGUUGGGUUUAGUUAAACGGUGCACAAACGGCUUCCCCAAGACGGCCACAUUGAGGGAGUACGAAGCAGCACAUUUUGUUUCCAUAAGAAAAUAUAUUUUCCGAACAGAUGGUGUAUAUAUACUUUUGCUAAACUGCUGGCCGGUCGGUCGCGGUAUCUCUGCACCAACCAUCCAUGCGUAAAGGCACGGCCUUCUUCUCCGUCGCGUGCUUGUGCUUAGCCUUGACUCUGACGUACCGGCGUACCAGUCGGACCACCCUCCUUCCCACCACAUGUCCAGGCAGCUGUUUCCUUGCACCAGCAGCUGAUUCUGCGACUCCAUGGACACCAGCCGUGGCGACGCCGAUCUCUCCUUGGCUUCCGGUGGCAGCGCCGUGGUCCCUGUCGUCGUCCCCGUUGAUCGUCUCAUCCAUGAGCUCCUGUAGCGAGAAAUUAAGCGAGUUAUCCUGACCUUCCUCCUGCGGCUCCUGGAGGUAACACGCCGUCCCUCCAUCAUCUCCCUCUAGCUGCAGCGAUGUCUUGUGCUCAGACGGUGGCUUCAGCUGAUGAGCAUCUCGGUCGCAAUCAGCAGCAACCAACCUUGCAGCAGCCGGUCUUCUUAUUGUCCUCCUUGACAUGCUAGCGUCGAAUCUCCGAGGCCGGUUUUCGUCGCGUGACGCGGUUGCCAUUGUUGGUCCAGUGAACCUAUUUGGAAGAAGCAGAAGAAGAUCACAUGGAUUUUGUAUGGUGUACUCGGACUUGGGAGGGAAAGUUGUUCAUAUAUAUACAGCCAGCAGGCCAGGGAGAUCAGGACCUAGGUGGCUAGGUGCUUGAUGCGUCUACGUGCACGCGUCUGCCAGGAGCUAUCUGAUCAAUGUUAAGUAGGACAAAAGGCAGCCUAUGCAUGGUACACAAAAAGAGUAUUGAACCAAGAACAAGGUUGUGGGUAGUACGGGCAGGUUUAUAUCUCCAUGGCAGGUACAGGGAUGUACUACUAGGGAUAACUUAGGGAUAAAGCCCAAGUAAUGCAUGGAGGGUACUGAUCCAUAUGCCAUAGACGAACUCUUCUAAUCCAAUCCAAGAACCAGGACGAUGUGACUGAACGUGAGUGAUUCCUAGAAAAAAGUUAGACCUCUUGAAGAAGUUGGACCUUCAUGAUCUUCCUCACACAACGCCAAUUGAUCAAACCAGAGGCUUUGGCAGAGUCAAGCUUCAAGACCGUGGUGGGAGCAAUUCUCUUGUGGCAGUAUUGCACCAGCUCCGUAAACAAAACAUUCAGAAGCAGCCGGCAAUGAAGCCGAAUUGAUCAACGUCGACGACGAGCAUGCUGAUUUGCUGCUGCAGCCUGGAGGUGAGCCCAUGGCAGAGGAUGUUUACAUCACAGUUUAAUUGGGAGAUUUGAUGGAAUACAACAGGGGUGGGGAUUACAUCUCGCUUGGGGAGAAGGACCACAAACGUCCUGUUCUUUUUGUUCCAUUUUUUUUUCAUUUGCCUUGCCUUAUGACAUACUUUUUCUCUAUUGAUCAAUAAAAAGCGCGGCCGCCUGCCUUUUCGUCAAACAAAAGUUUAUCUUAAUAUAUCAAACAAAAGUUUGCCUUGAUAUAAAACAUUGCAUAAAACAAAAUGAUCAAAUAAGCACCCUCCCCUCUUUCUUGAUCAAUGAAAAGCAAGGGCAUGUGUAUUUGGACAGUUUUUGCUCCCACAGUUCAAGUUUGUGCAUGAAGACAUUCAAUUUCAUGAGUUGAUGGACUAUAACCAAAUGCAUCAUGAAAGUUUGUGUACCGACAGUGCUAUUACCUCAGUAUAUCAUACUACACAAUGUAAAANNNNNNNNNNNNNNNNNNNNNNNNNNNNNNNNNNNNNNNNNNNNNNNNNNNNNNNNNNNNNNNNNNNNNNNNNNNNNNNNNNNNNNNNNNNNNNNNNNNNNNNNNNNNNNNNNNNNNNNNNNNNNNNNNNNNNNNNNNNNNNNNNNNNNNNNNNNNNNNNNNNNNNNNNNNNNNNNNNNNNNNNNNNNNNNNNNNNNNNNNNNNNNNNNNNNNNNNNNNNNNNNNNNNNNNNNNNNNNNNNNNNNNNNNNNNNNNNNNNNNNNNNNNNNNNNNNNNNNNNNNNNNNNNNNNNNNNNNNNNNNNNNNNNNNNNNNNNNNNNNNNNNNNNNNNNNNNNNNNNNNNNNNNCUAUGUUACUGAAAACAAAGCCAAAACUUGCUCACGACGCUCAGGCGACGCCAAAGUAGCUGAGCCAAAAGUUUAAACCCCACAAGAAGCCUCAAUAGGCUGGGGAAAUCCAACGACACAGUGCGAAAAGGAAGCGAAAGCAACAGGCUUACAUGCUAGGUAUUAGCAUCAACAUUUUUCUAGCUGGAAUGAGCCCUCAGGAUCAUCUAAGAUUCUUUUGGAUCUUAAUUAUAAGCUACUAUAUUUGGAAAAACAAGAUUUUUAUUCAUAAACAAGCAACUGAACAGUUUGUAGUUGAGUUGCUCAAAAUAUCAGGUUCAAAUGCCUGAUUUUUAGGAGCAUUCACCUCGCACAAGAAAACUUUCAGUUUUGCCGCCAAGGUUUGGAAGAGGCAACACCGUUAAAUUGCCCAAUUUGUUGUUAAUCUAUUUGAUUUCUUGGAAGAACAUCGUAACCUGUCAGCAGAUGAGGAUCUUCUUCACGUAUCGCGUUGAUGCCUUCCAGUGCCUCGCCGCUUCCACUAAACGACAAGGUGUCCAUUCGAAGCAACAUGGCAAUGCAAGGCGGUGAAUGCUCUUGCCUUAUAGCAGUGUCGUAGCAAUGUGAUUCGUGCCCUCAACGUCGACGACGAGUUGGUCUUCGAGCAUGAGGCCAAGAUAGCGGCUCUCCUAGGCUUCUACUCUUGAGUUCCUGGUCCGACCCAGGGAGCCAGUCUGGCACUUCAAUCUCGACGCUCUAUACUACCAGGGCUGCUCGUGUUGACAUGCUAGUUUUAGUGGCCCAUUUUGAUCGUGCGGAGAUAAAGGCUGUGGUGAACCUGUUGGAUCACUCUAGCGCUCCUAACCCCGACGGGCUUGGCCCAAUCUUUUAUAUGGCGGCCUAGAGUACGGUAGCUGGCGGCACGGGAAAAUCUUAUGCCACGCUCAUUGCGGCACAUCGUCGGGGCUUUCAUAGCGAUCUAACCCGAGGGCGGGAGAUGGGCCGACCCACUUUUUGCAUUUUAUUUUUCAUUUUAUUCGUUCUUUAUUAUUUAUCUUUCAUUUUUGUUUAUUAAUUUUUCUGUUUCUUUUAGUAUUAUUUUUUAUUUAUUUUUCGAGUGCAUUUGUUUAAAAAAAUCAUGUUUAUCAAAAUAACUGUUUGGAAUUUUCAAAAUAAUGGUGUUUUUCAUAAAUUGUUCAAAACUUCAGAAACUGUUCCUCUUUUUCCAAAUUUGUUCAUUCAAUAUAUAUUCACAUUUUUGAAGUUUUAAGGAAUUUUCAAAAGAUUAUUCAGAAUUUCAGAAAAUGUUCUAGUUUUAAAUUUUUGUCCCUUAAAAUAAAAAAUUGUUCACAUUUUUGAAAUAUGAUUGGAAUUUUUCUAAAUUUGUUUAGAAGUACAAAAAAUAUUCUUGAUUAAUUUUGCCAUAAACUCAUAGUUGUGGCAUUUUCGUAAAAUGAUUGGGAUUUUUCAAAUGAAAUCGUGUUUUGCGAAAUUGUCCAAUUUUUUAAAAAAUGUGCUGGUGUCAAAAUGUUUUGAAAAUUGGGGAAUUUUAUAAAAUAUGCUUCAAAUAUUAAAAUAAAAACGCUACAUGAAAAAAUCACUAUGAGGGACCAAACCCACGAUACAGUGUGCUAUGCUGCUAAUAGGCCGGCCCACUCCAUCUUGCAUCUAUCUGUCGCGUUGCUAAUUGUCGCCAUGAGCGGUAUAUAGGAGGUCACCCUGAAACACCUCUUUGAUGAGGUGCACACCAGCAUUUCUAACCUUGACGUGAUCAACAGAGUCUUCAUCAUCCUCCUCCCCAAGUAUGAUAGUAUUCUCUCCCAGGGUGCUUUCCGUCUGAUUUUUCUGAAGAUGGACGUAGAGUUUCUCUGCAAAGGGCUCAGCUCCAAUCUGUAGAAGCAUAUAAGCCACAUCAUUGACACCAAUCAGUCCGAGUGCAUUGUGGAGUAGAACAUUUCAAAACAUUUCGUGCACACCUCCGAGAUUAUGCAGUACUGACAUAAUUAUUGGGCCUCCAUACCGUAUCCUCAAGAUGGUGCAAAUGCAGUUAAACAAAUUAGUAUUCAUUGUUUAGUGAGUGCACACUAAAUUUUUUGUUGUUGUGGUCAAGUGUACCGUAUAUCCAUGUUUUGUUACUGAUGUUAUUAUUUCAUUAAUCUUAUAAAUAAACCAACAAGACAACUUGUGAAGGAAUAACUAAAAAUUAACGCGUUUAGGUGGCCGCCGGGACCCUAAGCGGCGGGAUGCGGUCGUGACGAAAAUAGAAGAGAAUGAGUAUGUUGAGCAGACCUGAGAUGAUGCAUCUGGAGGGCUAAGUUUUCUUCUCUCGUAAACAUCCUCAAGAAACAUCUAUUGCUGCCCGCUGAGUGGCAGUGUGAGUGCUAUUGCUGGGUUAAUCACAACAGUAUAUAUCGCUAACUUUACUUGGAUUUCAUGAAUAAACAUUAUACAUGCAUCACAUUAUUCAAUAAAAGAACUCUCAGGGGAAAUCAUUUCGCUCAGAAAAAACAUUAAGGAAAAUCCAAGCCACAAGGUGAAUAAAAAUAAAUUAAAUAUUUAUACUAAAUUUUUAUAUUUAUUUGCAAGCAUUUAGUAAAUGUUAAUAACAGUGUUCUCUAUGCCUCCUGUGUAAUGUAUCUAGUUUCAAAAAAUCGAAUACACUGUGCUAAAUAUGAACCGUACAUGUAAUGAGAGUUACAUAUAUAACUUUGUCUCUUUUUGUUGUCUUAAAAUACAUAUUUGAACCAAAUCCCCAAAAUGUGAGAAAAAUAAUAAAACAUAAAAUUGUAUGCUUUAAUGGAUAAUUUGUGAUACUUCAUGAACACAUUUUAUAUGUCUCUAUAUAUCCUAAAAUAUCUUGGUAGAGCUCUUUAAAGAGUAUGGUCUCAGAAAUAUCCUCACAGAGUUCUAGAAUACGUCUAUGUAAAUAUUAAAUGUAGACUACAUAAAAUGUUUACAAGAUGCUUGUCAGCCGAAUCACCAGCAUGAUGUUUUACACAUUUUUGUGGUCAAAUGUGUCUCGCAUGUUAGGGAGGGUUCAACAAUCCAUAAUAAAUGUAUAUGCACUAUAUUUUGAAUUGAAAUUGAAUCACUCACAUUUGUGGCUCAUGCCCACUAUAUUAGGUCGAGCUGCGUCUCCACCACUUGCAACGAUAACAUUGUCAUCGACCAGACCCUCUGUGUCCCUCGGGGUGGCACCAGGCUCUUGAAGGAUCGAUCAGUACUUGCUGCCCGACAUGCUACUGCCGGCGCCCUUCACCAACGCCCUCUUCCAGUACAUUAGCAUUCCCCAGCAGGCAACCGGUAACUUGCCGCAGCUAGAGCCGGUUGCCCUCAACGUAGGUGACUAACGUGGAGCAGCAAGAAUACUGCCAAGAACGCCGCCGGCUCGUGAUUGUCUGACUUGUUUGUCACAGACAAGUGGCUCAUGGCGUAUAUUGCUGUUGAUCAAAGCUUAUAAAGUUUGUUUUUUGAAGAAAUUAAUUGUCAUUCUACUAUAAAACAGAGGGGGUUACCAAAAAUGAGAGCUCUGCUGACCAAUAUAUAAGAAAGAAAGCCAUGUAGGAGGCCAUAAGGAACAAAGCAAGAGGUGUAACAAUGCCGUGUCUGACAUGUAUGUUCUUGAACAUACUAGCCAAACCAAGCAACAACAUUUUUUCCAAAAAUAGGCGGCACCAUGAGAAGAAUAUGUUACUUACGAAUCAGAGGAGACAGUCAUCACGGAAUGAUCAUUUGCAGUGUAUGGAGACUCCCGGAAGCUUGAAGAUACUCCACUGCAGAAACAGAGUAAAAUUUCGGUGCCUUACUCUCCAAGACACAGUAUAGAUGCAUGCAGUCUGUAGCGACAUCCAAGAUGCUUGAGUUGUAGGCGCCAGCAAAAGCGAGCUAGAGAGCAGUUGCACCGGAGACUAACCGAAGCAAGUUCAUGUCAGUAUGGCGAUAGGAGCUUCUGCACUACUAGGAUGUAUGCAUUGGACUGAAUCCGAAGUAAUGUUUCCGGAUUACUAAUAGGUUAAUAGAAACUGUUGUUGAUUUGGCAAGUUUAUAUUUCAACUUUGUACACACAUAUUUGGCAACCAAUUUUUGGCAAUACUCCAUUGGACUGAAUCCGAAGUAGUGUCUCCGUGAAUUACUAGUAGGAAGGAUGAGGAUGUACUACUGCAAUGCAAGCAAUUUUGCACCAUUCAAAGUCUGAUUCAACUCUGAACACACAUACUACAGUAUUUCACAGGAAAGUCUAUCAUAAAAGACACAUGGCAGCAACAGAGCAUCCGUCAGACUAACAAAUGUUCAAUCUGUUUGUUUGGUUUUUCAUCAGCCAUCAUCACUGUGCUAGUGAUUACCAAGAAAGCAGGACCUAUUCCAAUGUAGUGUCUGCCAUGGAUGUUCUUGCACAUUUAACCAAACUAAGCAGAAACAUUUUCCAAAAAAAGGCGGCAUCAUCAGAGAAUAUGCCAGUAAUGACACUCUCCAUUCUUCUUCCGUGACUGCAGUGGAAACUCUCCCAGAAGCUGAAAGAUAAUCCACUACAGAAACAGGGUAAAUACUACAAUGGAUGCAAGAGACUGCAGUGUCAUCCAAGAUGCUUGAGCUGGAGACACCAGCAAGAGCAAGCUAGAGAGCAACUGCACUUGAGAGUUGAGACAAACUGAAGCAAGUUUGUGUCAGCCAGGCACUGGAGCUUCCUUCUGCUGCUGCAGGAAUGAUGUCUAGAGAACACGUCUUCAUAGAUUAUUAGCAUGAACGAUGUACUACUGCAAGCAAGCUGGAAAUCCCAACAGAGUGGCAACAGAGCCUUGGUUGCUUAGAAGGUUGGAAAUCCCAGUUGCUUAAUUGUUGUUGGAAGUGCUACUCAUGAUGGCUUUGGAAGAAAGCACUACUACAAGUGGCAUGAUAAAACUUGAUUCUUCCAAUUACUCAUUAUGGAAGCCCAUGAUGGAAGACAUCCUUUAUUGCAAGGAUUUGUAUGAGCCAAUUGUGAAAGACAAGCUACCCACCGGUGUCACGGAAGAAGAAUGGAGAGUGUUGCACAGAAAGGCAGUAGGUAUGAUUCGGUUGUACAUCAAUCACAAUAUUUUCCACCAGGUUGCAAAUGACACAAAUGCAUAUGAGAUGUGGCAGAAGUUAGAGUCUAUGCAUGAGAGGAAGACAUCAAUGAGAAGGCCUCGGUGAUCAAAAGACUUGCAAAGCUUGAGUACCGAGAAGGCACAAGUGUGAUUGAGCACUUGAAUGUCUUCCAAUGCCAUAUAAAUCAACUUUCAGCCAUGAAAAUCAACUUUGAAGAUGAGGUGCAAGCAUUGUUGCUGCUGAGUUCCUUGCCUGAUAGUUGGAACACCCUUGUUGUGUCACUUAGCAAUUCAGCUCCGGGUGGGAAGCUGACUUUGGAGAUGGUGAAGAAUAGUAUGCUGAAUGAACAAGCCAGAAAGAAGGAAAAGGGUGAUGCCUCUUCUUCUGAGCCGUAUGUGGCUAAAACUCAUGGGAAGAAUGAGAACCGUGGAUGCAGCAAUACAAGAUUUCAGCAAGGCAAAAGAAAAUCCAGGGGGAGAUCAAAGUCAAAAUAGAGAAAAGAUAUUACUUGCUUUCAUUGUUGCAAUCCGGGACACAUAAAGAGCGAGUGCAGGAAGUACAAAAGAGAGCUUGUAGAGGAGAAACUCACAAGAAAACCGAGCAAAAGGCUGAGAGCAGUUCAGCCAUGACUGCAACAGAUGAGGACUAUCUAGUCAUUGAAGAUGAAGAUUGCUAUAGUGUUGUUCAUGAUGAUGCCAUGAGUUGGAUUGUGGAUUCAGGUGCAUCCUUCCACAUCAAAUCACACAAGGAGUAUUUCACAUAUUACACUAGUGGUGUUACUGGUCAAGUGAGGAUGGGAAAUAGUGGUUCGUCAGCAAUUGUUGGCAAGGGCUCUAUAUGCAUUAAAACAAACACAGAUUGCAGAUUGGUGUUCGAUGAUGUGAGACAUGUUCCCGAUAUAAGGCUGAAUUUGUUGUCAGUGGGCAAGCUUGAUGACAUCAAACAUUCUAGUUAUAUUGGUGAAGGAAAGUGGAAGCUCACCGAAGGCUCUUUGAUUGUGGCUCGAGGAAGUAAGCAAUGUAAUCUCUAUGUGAUUAAAACCAUGUUGUGCAAUGAGAUGUUGAACAUUGCUGAAAAAGAAACUUCACUUGAAUUGUGGCACAAGAGGCUUGGACAUAUGAGUGAGAAGGGCAUGCACGCUCUUGCUCGCAUGGAGUGCCUCCCUGGAUUGAAAGGGAUAUCCUUGAAACCCUAUGCACAUCGUUUUGCUGGCAAACAACAUAGGGUUGCAUUUCGUACACUCCCUCCACAUCGUGCAGAAAAUGUUCUUGAUAUUGUGCACACUGAUGUUUGCUCCAUGACUGAAAAAUCUCAUGGUGGAGCAUUAUACUUUGUGACUUUUAUUGAUGACCAUUCCAGAAAGGUUUUUGUGUAUGUGCUGAAACACAAAUACCAGACGCUUGAAGCCUUCAAGGAGUUUCAUGCCAAAGUUGAAAAAGAAACUGACAGGAAAUUGAAGUGCGUGAGAUUAGACAAUGGUGGUGAAUACCGAGGUCCUUUUGAAAGGUAUUGCAGAAAUUUUGGCAUCAGGCUUGAGAAGAGUCCACCAAAGAUACCUCAGAUCAAUGGUCUUGGAGAGAGAAUGAACAGGACACUCACAGAGAGGAUGACAUCUAUGCUCUCUCAUCCUCACUUACCUAAUUUAUUUUGGGCUGAAGCAUUGAUGAAUUCUAUGUAUGUGGUUAACCUAUCUCCCUCAGUUCCCCUUGCAGGUGAUAUUCCUCAGAGAGUUUGGUCAGGGAAGGAGGUAUCAUACAAGCACUUGAAGGUUUUUGGUUGCAUGGCAUUUGUACAUGUUCCAACGGAUGAGAGAUCCAAGCUUGAUAGCAAGACAAAGUAGUGCAUCUACCUUAGCCAGCCAAGUGAAGAGUUUGGCUCCAUGUUGUGGGAUCUAGCCAAUAUGAAGAUUGUGCGAAGCCAGGAUGUGGUGUUCAUUGAAGAUGAAACAAUAAAAUAUAUUGGGAAACCAAAGAAGCCAAUGAACAACACACCUCAGGUUGACUUGGACCUAGUCCGUCAUCCUCUCAUGAAUGACAAUCAUGGGGGAGAUGCUGACGCUGAUGACAGUGGAGAUGCAACUGAUCAAUGCAGUACAAGUCAAAGUGAUGAGCAGCCAUCAAGUGAUGAUGAUGAUGAAGUUGGUAAUGAUAAUGCCAACAAAAAUCCACCUGAUUCACCACUAGUACAACAGUAAAGAAGAAGUGAAAGAGGUCAAAUUCCUUCUUCUAAGUAUCCACCACAUCAAUAUGUGUUGAUGACAGAUGCAGGUGAGACCUGAUGCUAUGAGGAGGCAAUGUCCGAUGAGAACAAGGAAGAGUGGUCAGAAGCCAUGCAGGAUGAGAUGAAUUCCCUGUAUGAGAAUGAUACUUUUGAGUUGGUGAAUCUGCCAAAGGGCAAGAAAGCACUCAAAAACAAGUGGGUGUACAGAGUGAAGACUGAAGAAAACACCUCACAUCCAAGGUACAAGGCCAGAUUGGUUGUGAAAGGUUUUAGUCAGAAAAAGGGUAUCGAUUAUGGUGAGAUAUUCUCUCCGGUGGUCAAGAUGUCUUCAUCCGAGUUGUGCUUGGCAUGGCUGCUACCAUGGACUUGGAAAUUGAACAACUUGAUGUGAAGACUGCAUUCUUGCAUGGUGACAUAGAGGAGGAGAUAUACAAGGAGCAACCAGAGGGAUUCAUGGUUGCAGGCAAGGAGCACUUAGUUUGCAAAUUGAAGAAGAGCUUGUAUGGCCUGAAACAAGCUCCUCGGCAGUGGUAUAAGAAGUUUGAGUCUUUUAUGAAUGGGCUUGGUUACCAUAAAGCACAGCCUGAUCAUUAUGUCUUUGUGAAGAGGUACGCCGAGGGUGACUUCAUUAUUCUCCUAUUGUAUGUUGAUGAUAUGCUGAUUGUUGGAAAUGGCACAAAGAGGAUUGUUCUCCUUAAAAAGGCAUUGAGUAAAGCAUUUACCAUGAAGGAUUUAGGACCAGCUAAGCAAACACUUGGCAUGAAGAUCUCCCGUGAUAGAUCAAAGAAGCUGCUUUGGCUCUCACGGGAAAGAUACAUUGAGAAGGUACUUGAAAGGUUCAAUAUGAAAGAUGCAAAAUCUGUUAUCUCUCCUCUUGCAGGCCAUCACAAACUGAAUUCUAAACAAUGUCCUACAAGCAAGAAGGAGAAAGAAGAAAUGAGAAAAGUACCUUACCAAUCUGUUGUGGGCAGUUUUAUGUAUGACAUGGUAUGCAUUAGGCCUGACAUUGCCUAUGCAGUUGGAGUUGUUAGCCGGUUCAUGACAAAUCCAGAUAAAGCUCACUAGGAAGCAGUGAAGUGGAUUCUCAUGUAUCUCAAUGAUACUUCUACAUCUAGUUUACGCUUUGGAAGCGGUGAUCCUGUAUUACAGGGCUAUACAGAUACAAAUUAUGCAGGUGACAUGGAUCGUAGGAAGUCCACAUCUGGAUACCUGAUGACUUAUGCAGGGAGAGAAGUGUCAUGGCAAUCAAGAUUGCAGAAACAUGUUUCUACAUCAACUACUGUAGCUGAUUACAUUGCAGCAGUUGAUGCUGGCAAGGAAGUUUUGUGGAUGAAGACCUUCUUGCAAGAGCUUGGCAUGAAGCAAGAGAAGUAUGUUUUGCUUUGUGACAGCCAGAGUGCUAUUCAUCUUGCCAAGAAUUCAAGCUAUCACUCUUGAACAAGCACAUUGAUGUGAGGUACAAUUCCAAGUUGCUGAAACUUGAGAAGAUCCAUACUGAUGACAAUGGUUCAGAUAUGAUGACCAAGAUAGUGCCAAAUGAGAAGCUACAAGCAUGUUGCAAAGUAGCAGGCAUGGCGGUGCCCCCGUCAUGAGUCGGAGGGGGAGAUUUGUUGGUAUAUCCUCCUCAUGUGGGAUGUAAGGAGAUGACCGUUUGAGGCCUUUUUAGGCAGCCCAUAGAGGUGCAGAAGCCCACUACCCAUUAGGGUUAUGACCUAGGGUCAUUUUGAACUUUGCACAUGAGAGGAUGGGGAUGCUUUACCCUUCAUCCAGUAGCCACCACCAGGUGUGACAAAAAUCAGUUCAUCCUUCAAGGGAGAAGAAGAGAGAAAACCAAGAGAGCAAGGGAAGAAGAGGAAGAUUGAAGGAAGAAACAAAGGGAGCUCCUCCCCAAGGUUGUGAUUGUCCAUAUCCACUACCUUGUCUCCGUCAAGAUUUAGUUCCACCAUCUUUGAUGAGAUUGUUCCAAUCCCUAGUUCUUGAGCCCAAAUCUUGUUGUGUUCAUCCAAGAUUCAGAAAUCUUGAUGUAUGAGAUCCUCUAGUGCUGUCUAGAGAAGAACUUGUUAUAUCCCACAUUUGAUAAUAGUGGAAGAGGAUUUGGGUGGCUUCAGCCCAUGGUUUUCCCCCUCAAGUUGGGGGGUUUUCCACGUAAAAUCUGGUGUCUCUCUGUUGAUGCUUGUUGCUGUCCAGGAAAACUUACUCCUACCACAAGACACUAGGCUAAGGAGUGUCUUGCCUGCUGAGUAAUAUUUUCUGCCUCCAUAUAUGCUGCUACAUAUGUUUCCUUCCGUGCUAAGCAACGAUCCUUUAGUUAGUACAUGAUGUGAUGCUGAGAUUAUUUGUUUCCGCUGCAGUUUUCAGUUAACCACAAGUGCGUUUGUGUGCUUAUUCUCAACAGUUUUUGCUCCCACCGUUCAAGUUUGUGCAUGAAUUUUAGGAGGAUUCACCUCGCACAAGAAAACUUUCAGGUUUUCCGCCAAGGUUUGGAGGAGGCAACAUCGUUAAAUUCCCCAAUUUGUUGUUAAUCUAUUUGACUUCUUGGAAGAAAAUCCUAACCUAUAAGCAGAUGAGGAUCUUCUUCACGUAUCGCGUGGAUGCCUGCAGUGCCUCGCCACUUCCAUUAAACGACAAGGUGUCUAUUGGAAGCAACAUGGCAAAUGCAAGGCGGUCAAUGCUCUUGCCCUAUAGCUCCUAGCAAUGUGAUUCGCGCCCUCAACAUCGACGACGAGGUGGUCUUCAAGCAUGAGGCCAAGAUGGCAGCUCUCCUAGGCUUCUACUUUUGGGUUCGUGGGCCGACCCAAGGAGCCCAUCUGGCACUUUGACCUCGACGCUCUGUACUACCAAGGCUACUCGUGUUGACAUGCUAGGUUUGGUGGCCCAUUUUGAUCGUGCGGAGAUAAAGGAUGUGGUGAACCUGCUGGAUCAGUCUGGCGCUCCUAACCCAGAUGGGCAUGGCCCAAUUAUUUAUAAGGUGGCCUAGAGUAUGGUGGCUGGCGGCCCGCAACAGGAAAAUCUUAUGCCAUGCUCAUUGCGGCACAUAGUCAGGGCUUCGAUAGCGAUCUAACCCGAGGGUGAGAGAUGGGCUGGCCCACUUUUUAUAUUUUAGUUUCUUUCUUUUUAUUCGUUCUUUUUUUUUAUCUUUCAUUUUUUGUUUAUUAAUUUUUCUGUUUCUUUUAGAGUCAUUUUUAAUUAUUUUUUCAGUUCAUUUAUUUAAAAAAAAUCAUGUUUAUCAAAAUAAAUGUUGAAAAUUUCAAAAUAUUAUUGUUUUUAUAAAUUGUUCAAAACAUUAGAAACUAAUACUAAUAAGCUAGCAUGAACGCGCCAAGGCGGCCUCUGGGACCCUAGCCGACGGAUUACGGUCGUGAUGAAAAUAAAAGAGAAUGAGUAGCUUGAGUAGGUCAGGACGAUGCAUCUGGUGGGCUAAAUUCCCUUAUCCCGAAAACAUUCUCAAGAAAAAUAUACUGCUGCCAGUUUGGUGGCAGUGCGAACGCUACUGCUGGACUUAUCAUAGCGGUAUAUAUCGCCAACUACCCUUGAAUUUCGUGAAUGAACAUUGCAAUUCAUCACAUGGUACCAUAAAAGAGAUCUCAGUGAAAUCCUUUCGCUCAGGAAAAACAUUAAGCAAAAUUCUAGCCACAAGGUGAGUAAAAAUAAACUAAAUAUUUAUACUAAAUUUCUAUACUUAUUUGCAAACAUUUAGUAAAUGUUAAUAACAGUGUUCUGUAUGCCUACUCUGUAAUGUCUCUAGUUUCAAAAAAUCGCAUGCAUUGUGCUAAAUGUGAACCAUAUAUGUAAUGAGACUUACAUCACAUUGUCUCUUUUUGUUGCCUUAAAAUACAUAUUUCAACCAAAUCCCCAUAAAUGUGAGAAAAAAUAAUAAAACAUAGAAUUGCAUGCUUUAAUGGAUAAUUUGUGAUACUUAAUGAACACACUAUAUAUUUGUCUGUAUAUCGUAAAAUAUCUUGGUAGAGCUCUUUAAAGAGUAUGGUAUCAGAAAUAUCCUGACAAAGUUCUAGUUCAUGAUUAUGUGUAUGUAAAUAUUAAAUGUAGAGUACAUAAAAUGUUUACAAGAUUCUUGUCAGCCGAAUCAUCAGCAUGAUGUUUUACCUAUUUUUUGUGGUCAAAUGUGUCUCGCAUGUUAGGGAGGGUUCAACAAUCUAUAAUAAAAUGUAUAUGCACUAUAUUUUGAAUUGAAAUUGAAUCACUCACAUUUGUGGUUCAUGCCCACUAUAUCACUAGGUCGAGCUGCAUCUCCACCACUUGCAACGACAACAUUGUCGUCGACCAGACCCUCUGUGUCCCUAGGGGUGGCACUAGGCUCUUGAAGGAUUGGUCAGUACUUGCUGCCCGACAUGCCACUGCCGGCACACUUCGCCAACGCCCUUUCCCAGUACAUUAGCAUUCCCGAGCAGGCAACCGAUAACUUGCCGCAGCCAGAGCCGGUUGCCCUCAACAUAGGUGACUAAGGUGCAGCAGCAAGAAUACUGCCGAGAACGCCAUCGGCUCAUGAUUGUCUGACUUGCUUGUCACGGACAAGUGGCUCAGGGUGUAUAUUGUGGUUGAUCAAAGCUUAUGAAGUUUGAUUUUUGAGAAAAUUAAUUGACACUCUACUAUAAAACAGAGGGGGUAACUAAAAAUGCGAGCUCUGCUGACCAGUAUAUAAGAAAAGAAAGCCAUGUAGGAGGCCAUAAGGAACAAAGCAAGAGGUGUAACAAUGCCGUGUCUGACAUGUAUGUUCUCGAACAUACUAGCCAAACCAAGCAGCAAUCUUUUUCUCCGGAAAUAGGCGGCACCAUCAGCAGNNNNNNNNNNNNNNNNNNNNNNNNNNNNNNNNNNNNNNNNNNNNNNNNNNNNNNNNNNNNNNNNNNNNNNNNNNNNNNNNNNNNNNNNNNNNNNNNNNNNNNNNNNNNNNNNNNNNNNNNNNNNNNNNNNNNNNNNNNNNNNNNNNNNNNNNNNNNNNNNNNNNNNNNNNNNNNNNNNNNNNNNNNNNNNNNNNNNNNNNNNNNNNNNNNNNNNNNNNNNNNNNNNNNNNNNNNNNNNNNNNNNNNNNNNNNNNNNNNNNNNNNNNNNNNNNNNNNNNNNNNNNNNNNNNNNNNNNNNNNNNNNNNNNNNNNNNNNNNNNNNNNNNNNNNNNNNNNNNNNNNNNNNNNNNAGGAACGUACAUAGCUCCGCCAUUGACCAUCAGAAGAAUAGGUUACUUACGAAAUCAGAGGAGACAGUCAUCCUGGAAUGAUCAUUUGCAAUGCAUGGAGACUCCCAGAAGCUGAAAGAUACUCCACUGCAGACACAUGGUAAAUAUUUUGGUGUCUUACUCUCCAAUGUACACUAUAGAUGCAAGCAGUCUGUGGAUUAUAUUUCAACUUUGUACACUAUAGAUGCAGACACAGGGUAAAUAUUUUAACAUGGUUAAUAGAAACUGUUGUUGAUUUGUCAAGUUUAUACUUCAACUUUGUACACACAUACUUAUUUGGCAAGCAAUUUUUGGCAAUACUCCAUUGGACUGAAACCGAAGUAGUGUCUUUGUAAAUAGGAAGAAUGAGGAUGUACUACUGCAAUGCAAGCAAUUCUGCCCCAUUCAAAGUCUGAUUCAACUCUGAACACACAUACUAUUUCACAGGAAAGUCUGUCAUAAAAGACACAUUGGAGCAACAGAGCAUCCUUCAGACACUAUAAUGGUAGCAAAUGUGCAAUCUGUUUGUUUGGUUGUUCAUCAGUCAUCAUCACUGUGCUAGUGAUUACGACCUCAGUAAUACUCCAAAAAUGCAAUCAAGUAGAAGAUUAAUUCUUGCUGCAAGAGAAAUAAAGUUAGUGCAAAUUUCGGAGCUAUGUGGUACAUAACGGUGUAGUAGUUCAGUCUACAGGGGAGCAAGAACAGUAAUAGCAAAGGGAACGACAAUUAGUUAACUGAAUCAUUGUAUUUUCUGAAGAGAGAUUGGGAUUUGGGAAUGUGCUAUUUGGAACUGUAUGCACUAAAUCUAUAAGGAAAAGAAAAGAAAAAGGCAAGGCAGGAGGCCAGAAGGAACAAAGCAGGGGCUCCUACCAUCGUUCAGAUAGAAUGAUGUUUCUGUCAUGGAUGUCCAUGGACUUAGUUCAGAGUUCAGACAAACAAGUUCAUGUAUGUCCCCCGGAGUGCUCAUGAGCGGCGACAUCCAAGAUGUUUGGGUUGAGGCACCAGAUGUGAGCCAGACAGCAACCACACUUGAGACAAACUGAAGCAAGUUCAUGUCAGUCUGGCAUUGGAGCUUCCUUGUGCUGGUACUGAAUUGCCUAGGAUGUACUCCCUCCGUUCCAAAUUACUCGUCGCUGAAAUGGAUGUAUCUAGAACUAUUAUACGUGAGACAAGUAAUUCGGAAUGGAGGGAGUAUAUGCAUUAGACUGAAUCUGAAGAAAAUGUCUCCAUAGAUUACUAGUAGGAAGGAUGUACUACUGCAAUGCAAGCAAAUCUUGCACCCGUUUCAUAGGAAAGUCUGACAUAAAAAAUGUUGUUGAUUUGUCAAGUUUAUAGAUAUCUCAACUCUAACACACACACUUCACAGGAAAGUCUGACAUAAAAGAAAGGCAGAUUGGAGUAGCAGACAUUGGAUUCGUAUAUGGCAAAAUGUGAAACCGAUUGUUUGGUUGGUUGGUUGUUUACAAUUACUCUCUGUGCCAGGGAUUUCGAAAAUAGAUAAUACUCCAAAAAUGCAAUUAGGUACACGAUUAAUUCUUGGAAAAAGAAACGAAAUUCAGAGCCAGGUGGUACAUAAUGGUAUUGGAGUUCAGUCUACAGGGAGCAGCAGCAAAGGGAACGACGACGAUUAAUUAACAGAGAAGAGAACGGCGGAAAGCAAAAGCAGGAAGCAUCACUAGGCGGCGGUCUCCUCGGCGGCGGCGGCGGCGGAUUCUUGGCCGGACUGAGACUCGAGGGGCGGGAGGAGCUGGGCCUUGCGGCGGGUGUCGCGGGGCGGGACGGGGACGGCGAGGAAGUGCUUGGUCUUGGAGAUGGGGCGGGAGCGGACGAGCUCGACGACGUCGCCGACCUUGAACUGGUUGUCGGGGUCGUGCGCCUGGUACUUCUUCUUGAUCUUCUCCCGGCGGUGGUACUUUGGGUGCUGCCUCAGCCGCGCCACCUCCACCCCCACCGUCUUGUUCGCCUUGGUCGUCACCACCCGCCCCGUCAGCUGCUUCGCCGCCUCGAUCCGCAGCACCAUCCCCGCCGCCGCCGGCCGCGCCCCCGCCCCCGCAUUGGGGCUCGCCGAGAGGUGGAGCUGGGUGAACGGCGACGCGAAGGAGGAGCCCAGCAGCAUCUUCUUCGUCUUCCUUCUCUCGCUCUCGCUCGAAGGUGGAGGUGGGAUUGGGAAUGGGAUAGGAUAAAGAUAAGGUUUUUUUGCUCGGGGUUUCUUUCCAGGAGCAGGCCUCCUGCUCUGCUCCGCCGGACUACUUAUAUUUGGGCCUCGAGUACACGUGGCUUUUCACAAGACAGAAUUGAGAAGACAGUUCUAAACAAGAGUAAUUUUCUUGAGAGGUCAAACCGGUAAUUUUCUUGCAAUGCAAUCUCUUAACUGGGAAAAAAAUCAGCUAAAAAGAGGAAAAUAUUUGUGCUACAAGAGAGUAUUAUUUUGAGAGGUUAACCCAUUUCUUUUAGGGCAACAGAGGACCCUGUUGUGGACUUUAUUGAUAUUUUCAAAAGUAAUUCGUACCAAAGAAAGAUGGCUAAGAGAGUCAUCAAACUAAAACACAAGAAAGAAAAACAGAGAAUACUAGGCAAGCUAUGUGACUUUUGGUCGAACCCUCUCUUAAGAAACCAAAGACACCCUAUAUAUCCAGAACAUAAGUCAGACUUGACGCAUGAGCUAUGUCGACAUCUUAUUAUUAUUAUUAGGAGAAAACAAUCUAUUCAUCAACUGAGAAGGUAGUACAAAAAACACUAUAUAAUAUAGGAAAGCCGGCGAACCUUCGAAAAACCAAUUAAACUGAGUACAAGUUUGAUGAAGGUUAGCCUCUCUUUUCCUAGUCCAUCUCAUAAGGCACUAAUACUUCAAACAAACCUCCUUGUCUCGUGGUAUCGUGCUUGUCCAUAACAAGAAGGGGCCAGCAACGACAAUUUUUACCUCGCCAUCACCGAUGGCACAUCUAUAUCGAGUUCCUGACUUAUGUUGCAAUGUUUGGGCGUGAAGCAUACACGACCUUGUGCAGUGCUAUCAUCAGAUUCGGAGUAGGUCUGGACGACAACUUCCAGGGUUCCUUUAGCUUCAUAGAAGCAUCUCACCUUGAUAGGUGAUGGUAACCAUGUCCAGCCUGCAGGCAUUUCACCAUCUCUUCAAUCGAACACAUAAGGCUACUUUGAUGAGGAGUUAGUAAUGCAAGUUAUUACACCAUUGAUGACCGCAGGCGUCUAUGAUCGUGAGGAGCCAGCAACUCGACUGCUAUAUUCAAAAAUCGAUGGCUUAUCUUUGACGAUCUCAAUGCUCAACUCAAUAUAAAGGCAUGCACAAUUUUCCAACUUUCUUCGGGUUUAAGUUCUUGAUGCAGAACCAGCUCUUAAAGAAAAUGGUAGAUAAACAAAGAGCACCAUGUCCCCCGCUGUAAUGCAACGUGGCGUUGAUCAAUGCCCGAUCUCGACACUUUGUUCUACCUUUGCCCAUCAGCCGAAUCUCAAAGUCCAACAAUGUCAACAGACACAAUCUCACGUGGGUGGGACAAUUUGACUUAGAAAAGGAUCCUGCAAGCGAAAGUACUACACAAGCAGCAAAAUAGGUACAAACCUACACGAAGUAAACGACACAUGCAUGUUAAACAAGAUGGAGUGAGGUAACUAAGCACUAGUGAGGGGAUAACCACUCACUCAUGUUAGUGAAAAAGCCGCUGGAUUGGCGCCAUAGAAAUUACCAGCCAAGGCGGUACAAACUAAAUUGCCCGAUACAAACACGUGUAUCGAUAUCGGGCCGAUACAGAUACGUAAAUAGUGGACAAUGCAGUGUCCUGGGGGGGAUUGAGGAGAGCAAUGCACUUGUCUUUGAGAUCUAACUGGACGGCUACAUGUUGUUAUCUAUGUUGGCUUCGAUGGCUGCAAACUCACACCAAUCAAGUACCCUCGAUUAAUUCAGAGAAGUGUCAUGGCUGUUAGAUGGCUUUCUGACAUCUCAUAGCGAGCAGGGGCUUCCAAAGUUGGAGUGUUCAUGAUCUGAGAUGGAUGAAGCUGAGAAAGGGUUUGUCAAAGUCAACGUAGAUGCAUCAUUUCAAUUAUUAGAGAGGAUUCUUCGUGGCGGCUACAUGCUCUAUAUUACCCUUUGUAGCAGAUGUUACUACCGCCGUGGCGGAUCCAGAAAUUCAACUUUGGGUGUUCAAAUUUUUUCCACCCAAACACAAAUUGCCCCAUUCAGUUGGGGAUCAGAAAUGACCGCAUCUAGUUCAAAAUCAAUCAAAGCAAUGAGACAAUCAGACCCACACUCCAUACAUGAGCCACUUUUGCCCAUGAACUAUAUAUAGAUUUUGUCAUACGAUUUCCUAUGUUCAAGUAAUAAGCAAUUCACAAUGUCGAGUAUGGUUCACAAACUUCAUUGGGAACUAACAAACGAUAAUCUUAGUCACUGAAGCAAUUGCAAUUUAUCGUAACAUCAGAAAGAGUCAAUAAUAGAGCUUUUAAGCAAGCUCACAUACUCAACUAUCUCGUAGUCUCCUAUAAUUGUUAACACUCACGCAAUACUUGUGGUUGUAGAGUUUCAGCCGGACACUAAGAAAGAUAGGGGCUUAUUGUGUUGCCUCCCAACGUAUUCACCUUUAGGUGAUGUCAACAAUAAUAGCCUAUGCCAACUUACAUCCAAUUGGAUAUAUGUAUCAUGAUCUUUCAAACACGAGGAGCUUGCCAAAGGAUAAAAUGAAAAAGGGAAAGGUGAGGAUCACCUUGACUCAAGCAUAAAGUAAAAACAUAAAGUAAAAGAUAGGCCCUUCGCAGAGGGAAGCAGAGGUUGUCAUGCGCGUUUAGGGUUGAUGCACAAAAUCUUAAUUCAAAAGGACGUCACUUUAUAUUGCCCCUUGUAUGUGGACCUUUAUUAUGCAGUCCGUCGCUUUUAUUACUUCCACAACAAGUUCGUACAAAGCUUAUUUUCUCUGCACUAAUAAGUCAUGCAUAUUUAGAGAGCAAUUUUUAUUGCUUUCACCGAUGACAACUUACUUGAAGGAUCUUACUCAAUCCAUAGGUAGGUAUGGUGGACUCUCAUGGCAAACUGGGUUUAAGGAUAUUUGGAAGCACAAGUAGUAUCUCUACUUGGUGCAAGGAAUUUGGCUAGCAAGAGGGGGGAAAUGCAAGCUCAACAUGUUUGGAAUGUCAAUGACAAUAUACUUUAAUUGAGAUGUCGGAAAACAUAAACCAUUACGUUGUCUUCCUUGUCCAACAUCAACUCUUUUAGCAUGUCAUACUUAAUGAUUGCUUCACAAUCAUAAAAGAUGUCCAAGAUAAUAUAUUUAUAUGUGAACCCCUCUUUCCUUAUCACUUCCUAUUAAUUGCAACGAUGACCAAGGCUACGUUCAUCAACUCUCAACAAUUUUUAUGCCUCAUACUUUCUAUGUGUGAAGUUAUCACUAUCCAUAAGAUCAAUAUGAACUCUUUUGUUCUUUCUAAUUUCUCAAGAUCAUAGCAACAUAGCAAAGUCCUUGACUCAACACUAAUCUUUAUUAUAGAUAGCACACGGACUCGAUUACAUAGAGAAAUCACAAUGCAGAACUCAAAACUACUUGAUAUCAAAACUUCAAACUACUAGAUCAAAAUACUACUAAAAGGAUCGAACUAAAUAAAGCGGUAAAGAUAGGAGUGUGAUGGUGAUACGAUACCGGGGCACCUCCCCCAAGCUUGGCAGUUGCCAAGGGGAGUGCCCAUACCCAUGUGAUUAUUUCCUCGGAGGUGAUGGAGGUGGUGAUGAUGACGGUGGAUAAUCGCACAUCGAGCGUAAAAGCUCCUCUAACUUGCGGAUAAUGCCCUUGAGCCUAGCAAUAUGAUCCUUCUGUUGGGGAACGUUGCAGAAACAACUUCUGGCUAUAUCACAUCACAUGAUCAAUCGCUGCAAAAACAAGUUAGACGUCCUCUAAUUGUUGUUGCAUCUUUUACGUGGCUGCGAUUGGUUCUAGCAAGAACGUUUUCUUACCUACGAAUCACCACAACGUGAUUUUGUCAACUUCUAUUUACCCUUCAUAAGGGCCUUGUUCAUCGAAUCCGCUCCAACUAAAGUGGGAGAGACAGAUACCCGCCAGCCACCUUAUGCAACUAGUGCAUGUCAAUCGGUGGAACCGGUCUCACGUAAGCGUACGUGUAAGGUUGGUCCGGGCCGCUUCAUCCCACAAUACCGUUGAAGCAAGAAAAGACUAGUAGAGGCAAGUAAGUUGACAAGAUCAACGCCCACAAUAAAUUGUGUUUUACUCGUGCAUUAGAGAACUACGCAUAGACCUAGCUCAUGAUGCCACUGUUGGGGAACGUUGCAGAAAAUAAAAAAAUUUCCUACGGUUUCACCAAGAUCCAUCUAUGAGUUCAUCUAAGCAACGAGUCAUGGGAGAGAGUUUGCAUCUACAUACCACUUGUAGAUUGCGUGCGGAAGCUUGCAAGGUGAUAAUGUAGUCGUACUCGACGUGAUUCGAAUCACCGAUGAUCAAGUGCUGAACGGACAGCACCUCCGCGUUCAACACACGUACGGUACGGGUGACGUCUCCUCCGUCUUGAUCCAGCAAGGAGGAAGGAGAGGUUGAGGAAGACAGCUCCACCGGCAGCACGACGGCGUGGUGAUGGUGGAGAAGCGGUACUCCGACAGGGCUGCGCCGAGCACACAACGAAGGAGGAGAGGUGCUGGGGAGGGGAGGGCUGCGCCUUGGCUUGUGGUGCGGCUGCCGUCCCCUCACCCCUCUAUUUAUAGGGGGAAGGGAGAAGGGGGCCGGCCCCUCUAGAUCCAUCUAGAGGGGGGGCGGCGGCCAAGGGGAGGGGGGACUUGCCCCCCAAGCAAGGGGGGGCGCCCCCUCUAGGGUUCCCCCUCAACCCUAGGCGCAAGGGCCCAAGGGAGGGGGUGCGCCAAGCCCACCAGGGGCUGGCCAACUCCCCAUGCAGCCCAAGUGCCCCCCCCGGGAGGGGUGGCCCCUCCCGGUGGACCCCCGGAGCCCUUCCGGUGGCCCCGGUACAAUACCGGUAUGCCCCCCGAAACUUUCCGGUGUCCUUUUAACAGCUUCCCAUAUAUAAAUCUUUACCUCCGGACCCUUCCGGAACUCCUCGUGACAUCCGGGAUCUCAUCCGGGACUCCGAACAACAUUCGGUAGUCACAUACUAGUCUUCCUAAUAACCCUAGCGUCACCGAACCUUAAGUGUGUAGACCCUACGGGUUCGGGAGACAUGCAGACAUGACCGAGACGACUCUCGGGCAAUAACCAACAGCGGGGUCUGGAUACCCAUGUUGGCUCCCACAUGCUUCUCGAUGAUUUCAUCGGUUGAACCGAUGUCGAGGAUUCGAUCAAACCCUGUAUGCAAUUCCCUUUGUCAAUCGGUACGUUACUUGCCCGAGACUCGAUCGUCGGUAUCCCAAUACCUUGUUCAGUCUCGUUACCGGCAAGUCACUUUACUCGUACCGUAAUGCAUGAUCCCGUGGCCAACACCUUGGUCACCUUGAGCUCAUUAUGAUGAUGCAUUACCGAGUGGGCCCAGAGAUACCUCUCCGUCGUACGGAGUGACAAAUCCCAGUCUCGAUCCGUGUCAACCCAACAGAUACUUUCGGAGAUACCUGUAAUGCACAUUUAUAGUCACCCAGUUACGUUGUGACGUUUGAUACACCCAAGGAACUCCUACAGUAUCCGGGAGUUACACGAUCUCAUGGUCGAAGGAAGAGAUACUUGACAUUGGCAAAGCUCUAGCAAACAAACUACACGAUCUUUUAUGCUAUGCUCAGGAUUGGGUCUUGUCCAUCACAUCAUUCUCCUAAUGAUGUGAUCCCGUUAGCAACGACAUCCAAUGUCCAUAGUCAGGAAACCAUGACUAUCUGUUGAUCACAACGAGCUAGUCAACUAGAGGCUCACUAGGGACAUAUUGUGGUCUAAGUGUUCACACGUGUAUUACGAUUUCCGGAUAAUACAGUUAUACCAUGAACAUAAGACAAUUAUCAUGAACAAUGAAAUGUAAUAAUACUUUUAUUAUUGCCUCUAGGGCAUAUUUCCAACAGUCUCCCACUUGCACUAGAGUCACUAAUCUAGUUACAUUGUGAUGAAUCGAACACCCAUAGAGUUCUGGUGUUGAUCAUGUUUUGCACGCGAGAGAGGUUUAGUCAACGGAUCUGCGACAUUCAGAUCCGUGUGCACUUUGCAAAUCUCUAUGUCUCCAUCUUGAACAUUUUCACGGAUGGAGUUGAAACGACGCUUGAUGUGCCUGGUCUUCUUGUGAAACCUGGGCUCCUUGGCAAGGGCAAUAGCUCCAGUGUUGUCAUAGAAGAGUUUGAUCGGCCCCGACGCAUUGGGUAUGACUCCUAGGUCGGUGAUGAACUCCUUCACCCAAAUCGCUUCAUGCGCUGCCUCCGAGGCUGCCAUGUACUCCGCUUCACACGUAGAUCCCGCCACGACGCUCUGCUUGCAGCUGCACCAGCUUACUGCUCCACCAUUCAACAUAUACACGUAUCCGAUUUGUGACUUAGAGUCAUCCAGAUCAGAGUCGAAGCUAGCGUCGACGUAACCCUUUACGACAAGCUCUUCGUCUCCUCCAUAAACGAGAAACAUGUCCUUUGUCCUUUUCAGGUACUUCAGGAUAUUCUUGACCGCUGUCCAGUGAUCCUUGCCGGGAUUACUUUGUUAUCUUGCAACCAAACUGACGGGAAGGUUUACAUCGGGUCUGGUACACAGCAUGGCAUACAUAAUAGAUCCUAUGGCUGAAGCAUAGGGGAUGACACUCAUCUCUUCUUUAUCUUUUGCCGUGGUCAGUGAAUGAGUUGAGCUCAAUCUCACACCUUGUAACAUAGGCAAGAACCCUUUCUUGGAUUGAUCCAUUUUGAACCUUUUCAAAAUCUUAUCAAGGUAUGUGCUUUGUGAAAGACCUAUGAGGCGUCUCGAUCUAUCUCUAUAGAUCUUGAUGCCUAAUAUAUAAGCAGCUUCUCCAAGGUCCUUCAUUGAAAAACACUUAUUCAAGUAGGCGUUAAUGCUGUCCAGAAGUUUUGUAUCAUUUCCCAGCAAGAGUAUGUCAUCUACAUAUAAUAGGAGAAAUGCUACAGAGCUCCCACUCACUUUCUUGUAAACGCAGGCUUCUCCAUAAGUCUGCAUAAACCCAAACGCUUUGAUCAUCGCAUCAAAGUGAAUGUUCCAACUCCGAGAUGCUUGCACCAGUCCAUAAAUGGAUCGCUGGAGCUUGCAUACUUUGUUAGCGUUCUUAGGAUCGACAAAACCUUCCGGCUGCAUCAUAUACAGCUCUUCCUUAAGAUGUCCGUUAAGGAAUGCUGUUUUGACGUCCAUCUGCCAUAUCUCAUAAUCAUAGUAUGCGGCAAUUUCUAACAUGAUUCGGACGGACUUCAGCUUCGCUACGGGAGAGAAUGUCUCGUCGUAGUCAAUCCCUUGAAUUUGUCGAUAACCCUUAGCGACAAGUCAAGCCUUAUAAAUGGUAACAUUACCAUCCGCGUCCGUCUUCUUCUUAAAAAUCCAUUUGUUUUCUAUCGCUCGCCGAUCAUCGGCCAAGUCUGUCAAAGUCCAUACUUUGUUUUCAUACAUGGAUUCUAUCUCGGAUUUCAUGGCUUCAAGCCAUUUGUUGGAAUCCGGGCCCGCCAUCGCUUCUUCAUAGUUCGAAGGUUCACCGUUGUCUAACAACAUGAUUUCCAGGACAGGGUUGCCGUACCACUCUGGUGCGGAACGUGUCCUUGUGGACCUACGAAGUUCAGUAGCAACUUGAUCCGAAGUACCCUGAUCAUCAUCAUUGUUUUCCUCUUCAGUUGGUGUAGGCAUCACAAGAACGGUUUCCUGCGCUGCACCACUUUCCCGUUCGAGAGGUAGUACUUCAUCAAGUUCUACUUUCCUCCCACUUACUUCUUUCGAGAGAAACUCUUUUUCCAGAAAGCAUCCGUUCUUGGCAACAAAGAUCUUGCCUUCGGAUCUUAAGUAGAAGGUAUACCCGACAGUUUCCUUAGGGUAUCCUAUGAAUACGCAUUUUUCCGACUUGGGUUCGAGCUUUUCAGGUUGAAGUUUCUUGACAUAAGCAUCGCAUCCCCAAACUUUUAGAAACGACAGCUUAGGUUUCUUUCCAAACCAUAAUUCUUACGGUGUCGUCUCAACGGAUUUAGACGGUGCCCUAUUUAAAGUGAAUGUAGCUGUCUCUAGAGCGUAUCCCCAAAAUGACAGCGGUAAAUCGGUAAGAGACAUCAUAGACCGCACCAUAUCCAAUAGAGUGCGAUUACGACGUUCAGACACACCGUUUCGCUGAGGUGUUCCAGGCGGCGUGAGUUGUGAAACGAUUCCACAUUUCCUUAAGUGUGUACCAAAUUCGUGACUCAAGUAUUCUCCUCCACGAUCUGAUCGCAGGAACUUUAUCUUUCGGUCACGUUGAUUCUCCACCUCAUUCUGAAAUUCCUUGAACUUUUCAAAGGGCUCAGACUUGUGUUUCAUUAAGUAGACAUACCCAUAUCUACUCAAGUCAUCGGUGAGGGUGAGAACAUAACGGUAUCCUCCGCGAGCCUCAAUGCUCAUUGGACCGCAUACAUCGGUAUGUAUGAUUUCCAACAAGUGGGUUGCUCGCUCCAUUGUUCCGGAGAACGGAGUCUUGGUCAUUUUGCCCAAAAGGCAUGGUUCGCAUGUGUCAAACGAUUCAUAAUCAAGAGACUCUAAAAGUCCAUCAGCAUAGAGCUUCUUCAUGCGCUUGACACCAAUGUGACCAAGGCGGCAGUGCCACAAGUAUGUGGGACUAUCGUUAUCAACAUUACAUCUUUUGGCAUCCACACUGAGAACAUGUGUAAUAUUACGCUCGAGAUUCAUUAAGAAUAAACCAUUGACCAUCGGAGCAUGACCAUAAAACAUAUCUAUCAUAUAAAUCGAACAACCAUUAUUCUCAGACUUAAAUGAGUAGCCAUCUCGUAUCAAACGAGAUCCAGAUACAAUGUUCAUGCUCAAACUUGGCACUAAAUAACAAUUAUUAAGGUUCAAAACUAAUCACGUGGGUAAAUGUAGAGGCAGCGUGCCGACGGCGAUCACAUCGACUCUAGAACCAUUCCCGACGCGCAUCGUCACCUCGUCCUUCGCCAGUCUCCGUUUAUUCCGCAGCUCCUGCUGUGAGUUACUAAUGUGAGCAACGGCACUGGUAUCAAAUACCCAGGAGUUACUACGAGUACUGGUAAGGUACACAUCAAUUACAUGUAUAUCAAAUAUACCUUUGGUGUUGCCGGCCUUCUUAUCCGCUAAGUAUUUGAGGAAGUUCCGCUUCCAGUGACCCUUCCCCUUGCAAUAAAAGCACUCAGUCUCAGGCUUGGGUCCAUUCUUUGACUUCUUCCCGGCAACUGGCUUACCGGGCGCGGCAACAUCUUUGCCGUCCUUCUUGAAGUUCUUCUUCCCCUUGCCCUUCUUGAACUUAGUGGUCUUAUUGACCAUCAACACUUGAUGUUCUUUCUUGAUUUCAGCCUCUGCUGACUUCAGCAUCGAGAACACUUCAGGAAUGGUCUUCACCAUCCCCUGCAUGUUGUAGUUCAUCACAAAGCUCUUGUAGCUUGGUGGGAGCGACUGGAGGAUUCUGUCAAUGCCGCCUCAUCUGGGAGGUUAAUGUUCAGCUGGGUCAUACGGUUGUGCAACCCAGACAUCUUCAGGAUGUGCUCACUGACAGAACUAUUUUCCUCCAUCUUACAACUAUAGAACUUGUCGGAGACAUCAUAUCUCUCGACCCGGGCGUGAGCUUGGAAAACUAGUUUCAGCUCUUCGAACAUCUCAUAUGCUCCGUGAUGCUCAAAACGCUUUUGGAGCCCCGGUUCUAAGCUGUAAAGCAUGCCGCACUGAACGAGGGAGUAAUCAUCAACACGUGUCUGCCAAACGUUCAAAUCGUCUUGCAGUGCUGGGAGAACAGGUGGGUCACCUAACGGUGCUUCUAGGACAUAUUGUUUCUUGGCAGCUAUGAGGAUGAUCCUCAGGUUCCGAACCCAGUCCGUAUAGUUGCUGCCAUCAUCUUUCAGCUUGGUUUUCUCUAGGAACGCGUUGAAGUUCAUGUUGACAUGAGCGUUGGCCAUUUGAUCUACAAGACAUAUUUGCAAAGGUUUUAGACUAAGUUCAUGAUAAUAAAGUUCUAAUCAAAAUUAUGAACUCCCACUUAGAUUAGACAUCCCUCUAGUCAUCUAAGUGUUACACGAUCCGAGUCGACUAGCCCAUGUCCGAUCAUCACGUGAGACAGACUAGUCAUCGUCGGUGAACAUCUUCAUGUUGAUCGUAUCUUCCAUACGACUCGUGUUCGACCUUUCGGUCUCCGUGUUCCGAGGCCAUGUCUGUACAUGCUAGGCUCGUCAAGUUACCCCUAAGUGUUUUCGCUGUGUAAAACUGUCUUACACCCGUUGUAUGUGAACGUAAGAAUCCAUCACACCCGAUCAUCACGUGGUGCUCAGAAGCGACGAACUGUAGCAACGGUGCACAGUUAGGGGAGAACACUUCUUGAGAUUGGAUCAUCUUAUUUACUACCGUCGUCCUAAGUAAACAAGAUGCAUAAACAUAAUAAACAUCACAUGCAAUUAUAUAGUUGUGACAUGAUAUGGCCAAUAUCAUAAAGCUCCAUUGAUCUCCAUCUUCGGGGCUCCACGAUCAUCUUGUCACCGGCUUGACACCAUGAUCUCCAUCAUCAUGAUCUCCAUCAUCGUGUCUUCAUGAAGUUGUCACGCCAACGACUACUUCUACUUCUAUGACUAACGCGUUUAGCAAUAAAGUAAAGUAGUUUACAUGGCGUUCUUCAAUGACUCGCAGGUCAUACAAAAAAUAAAGACAACUCCUAUGGCUCCUGCCGGUUGUCAUACUCAUCGACAUGCAAGUCGUGAAUCCUAUUACAAGAACAUGAUCUCAUACAUCACAAUUCAUCAUUCAUCACAACUUCUGGCUAUAUCACAUCACAUGAUCAAUCGCUGCAAAAACAAGUUAGACGUCCUCUAAUUGUUGUUGCCUCUUUUACGUGGCUGCGAUUGGUUCUAGCAAGAACGUUUUCUUACCUACGAAUCACCACAACGUGAUUUUGUCAACUUCUAUUUACCCUUCAUAAGGGCCUUGUUCAUCGAAUCCGCUCCAACUAAAGUGGGAGAGACAGACACCCACCAGCCACCUUAUGCAACUAGUGCAUGUCAAUCGGUGGAACCGGUCUCACGUAAGCGUACGUGUAAGGUUGGUCCGGGCCGCUUCAUCCCACAAUACCGUUGAAGCAAGAAAAGACUAGUAGAGGCAAGUAAGUUGACAAGAUCAACGCCCACAACAAAUUGUGUUUUACUCGUGCAUUAGAGAACUACGCAUAGACCUAGCUCAUGAUGCCACUGUUGGGGAACGUUGCAGAAAAUAAAAAAAAAUUCUACGGUUUCACCAAGAUCCAUCUAUGAGUUCAUCUAAGCAACGAGUCAUGGGAGAGAGUUUGCAUCUACAUACCACUUGUAGAUUGCGUGCGGAAGCUUGCAAGGUGAUGAUGUAGUCGUACUCGACGUGAUUCGAAUCACCGAUGAUCAAGUGCUGAACGGACAGCACCUCCGCGUUCAACACACGUACGGUACGGGUGACGUCUCCUCCGUCUUGAUCCAGCAAGGAGGAAGGAGAGGUUGAGGAAGACAGCUCCACCGGUAGCACGACGGCGUGGUGAUGGUGGAGAAGCGGUAGUCCGACAGGGCUUCGCCGAGCACACAACGACGGAGGAGGAGAGGUGUUGGGGAGGGGAGGGCUGCGCCUUGGCUUGUGGUGCGGCUGCCCUCCCCUCACCCCUCUAUUUAUAGGGGGAAGCACUACUAGGGAAAAGGCUAUACACAAAAUCUUAGCAGCAGCGCGGUUCAAAAAAACAGCGCUAGUGCUAUUUAGCAGUAGCGAGCUACUAGAAACCGCGCUACAGGCACAAACUUAGCAGUAGCGCCUGUUGACCAAAAAGCGCUACUACUAAUAUUCCCAUUGGUAGAAUGCUAGGCUACGCAUAGCAGUAGCGAUCUUAGAAGGAACGCGCUACUGCUACAUCACAGUUAGCAGCGCGUUUCUGUGGAAGAGCGCUACUACUAACAAAAAUAAAAUAAGAUGAUAAACAAAUAGAAAUUUAAAUGAAAAUGAAAUAAAUAGAAAAAGAAGAAAGGGAAAAAUAAAAUGUAAAGCAAAAUAAACGAAAAAGUGAAAAAUCGGAGGAAGGCAUAGCAGCAGCGUUUGUUUGUAAGAGGCGCUAUAGCUAACGUAGCUGCAGCGCGUGCCCUAGACCCCCGCUAUAGAAACAGAAUAGGAAAUUAGCUAUAGCAGCAUUGCGUUUUGGGGAAAGCGCUAUAGCUAACUUAGCUAUAGCGCGUUUUGCGAAACGCGCUACCGCUAAGUUUGACUUAGCCAAAAAACCGUUUCCCCCGCCCCGGCCACCACUUCCCCCAAAUCCCUCAAACCCCACCCCGCGCGCGCCGCCGUCUUCCCGAUUCGUCGCCCCACACUUCGCCGCCGCCGCCGACGCGCGCCACCAGAGCCGUGCGCCGUCGACGACACCGGAGCCGCCCCAACGCCACGGAGCCGCGCGGCCUCGUCAACGCCACCGGAGCCGCCGUCGACGCCACCUUCCUCGCCGUCACCGGAGACGCCCCUGCCUCCCUCGCCGUCACCGGAGACGCCUCUGCCUCCCUCGCCACCACACUGCCUCCGUCGCCACCACCGGAGCCAUCAUCUGUAAGCCCCACCCCUCCUCUCUCUCUCAUGCAUAGGUUAGCCAGUUUUUAAUUAGGUUAAUUAUCUAGGUUUUAGGGCAAAAAUUUAGUUAGGGCAUUGACAGAGAAGUAGUUAGGUUAACUAGUUUAAUUAGGUUAAUUAUCUAGGUUAGUGCAAAAACUUAGUUAGGGCUAUGACAGAGAACUAGUCAGGUUAACUAGUUUAAUUAGGUUAAUUAUCCAUGUUAAUUAGUGCAGAAAUUUAUUUUAGGCUUUGCCAGAGAACUAGCUGCGUUAACUAGUUUAAUUAGGGUUAAUUAUCUAGGUAAACAAGAUUAACCAACUAGGUUAAAUAGGUAGGUUAAUUAGGUUCGUUGGAUUAAGAAGCUAGGUUAAGUAGAUUGGCAAAGGUUUUUGAUUUUUCAGAAGACCACUAUUUUUCAAGGAAAAGAAUUUAGGCAAAUUUUAUUUUUCAUUGAAGUGGUCAUGUCAUAUCUUUUCAUUGAAGUUGUUCGAUUGUGCCCAAGUGGUGGCUUUGUUGUUUCCAGGGAAUGAUGCUGAGUGGCCUAUGUUUUGCCGGAAUGUUGAUUCAUUUCUGUUCCGGCAAAUUUCAGGUUCUCGAUUUGUCCACUUUUUAGCAAAGGUCAUGCCGAAAUUUCCCGUGAAUUUCGGCAUGACUUGUGCUACAAACUAGGACAUAUCGAGUGCCCGGGAUUUGCCGCACCAAGAAGGAGUCAACAUUCCUGCAAAACAAUAGUCCUUUUUUAUGUCAUUAUUCAUUUUAUUAGGUCUAGAAUUAAUUGACUAGAUUUAAUCAUAGGAAACAUGGCUAGCAACGAUGAAGGACAGGGUUCUGGUGAUUGCGACGACGUCUACCGGGCGGCAGACGAAUUUUUUAGCUUUACCAACGAUCAACAGAUGUUGUUGCUGGGCCCGGCAUCGGGGACUGAGACCGACACGCAGACCGGUGCUGAGACCGAUACGCAGACCGGUGCUGAGACUGACACCGUCGCUGAGAUUCAGACCGGCAUCGAGACCAGCGCUGAGACCGGUGCUGCCUCGGGGAGCGGAUCCGGUGUAGCACCGAAAGCGAAGAGGCAACGGGUUCCUAACAAACUCAGGACUACUACACUGGUGGUCACGGAGGUGGACAACGGCAAUUUUGAGCCAAAGGCACCCGAGGAAGCGCGCGCGUGCUACGGCAAUCAAAUAGGCUGCAUCAUACGGACAACCGCCACCAUCAACGAUGAGAAUCUAAAGAAGAUAGAAAAUAUGAGGAGCUCCCUCCUAAAGAAGUUUCACCAGAUAUUCUUGUUCCCGGGCCGGAAUGAGAAGGAUUAUGAAGAUCCAGACAAUGACCCGGCAAUGAAGAAGAUAAACAAACACGCCAUGACCAAGUUUAGCAACGCGUUGGCCGCCUGGAAAAAUCGAGUGAAAGCAAAGAUCAACGACGGGGAACCCUACUCCGAGAUUGUAAAGGAAAGUCCGACAAUCACGGAAGAGCAGUUUCAAAUAUUCAAGGAGGCUUGCGAGGCCGAAGCUGCCAAAGAAAAGUCUAAGUACAUGAAGGGGCUUCAAAAGAGGAACAUUGGGACCCACCACCUCGGAAGCCGUGGUUACAGCGGAAAGAGGUCCAAAUGGGCCAAGGAGGACGCGGAAGCCGCGAGUCUGGGCAUCCCAGACCCCUUGGCGGAUUUCACCGUCCCGCAGGAGCGUGACGUCCUGAGGGCCCGCCACCGUUGGGACCCACUGAAGAAGGUUUAUGAGACAACACCGGUCAUUACGGAGUUCAUGAGACUACUGGUAAUUUUAGUUUCUGAUCAAUUCGACUGCACACGUUAGUCAUAUUUGUAAACGAUCCUUGUGCCUUUUGCAGAGAGAGCAACGCCGGAUUGCGGCCGAAAGCGACUCGCCGUCUGAGGCAUUGGCGAGGCCCAAGUGGGACACUCCAUUCAACCGGGCGUUGAACAUAUUGAAACGACAACCGGUGGAUACUCGACCGUCGUCUGGACGCGUGCACGGUGUCGGAGACGGCGCCACAUGGAAGAAGUACUACCGUGAGACCACGGAGGAGAGAAAGGAAAGACGGAGGUUAACUGAAGAAAGCAUCGACAAGAAGGUUGAGAUUGCGGUUGAGAAGAAAUCAUCUCAGACAGUCGCAACAGCGAUAGCUGCCGCAAAACAGGCGGUUGCAGAUUUAUCUACUUCCUUGGUGACGGGCGUUCACAUUUGGACAAGGGAAAAUCCAAAAAAAAAUGCAGAGGACUUUCCCCUUGCUGACUUCUUGGCAGCACAUGCUCCCGCACCGGCUCCCGCACCUGCUCCCGCACCUGCUCCCGCACCGGCUCCCGCACCUGCUCCCGCACCGGCUCCCGCACCUGCUCCCGCACCGGCUACCGCACCAGCUGCCGCACCGGACGUGCUCGGUGGUGCCUCCUCUUUGGCUGAGCUCGACGCCCUCACGGUAUCUUCCACACCGGCCCCCUUCAAUAUAAAUGUAUAAUCUCCCGUUUUCGUUGCCUUUCGGAUGUCUCACGUCGCAGACUUUUAUUUGCAGGCCGACGAAACCCCGUGCACCAUAUUGUACACCAUCGGCGAACAGAAGGUGGACGUGGGGAAGGGGACGAUAAUGGAGCCGAAGGAACCAUUGUUCCACAGCCGGCCGAUCCCCCCGAACGUCUUCAAGGUUUCCGUGGCCAGUGUCAAACCGGGCCACGAGAAUUUGCCUCCUCUAAUACUAGUGGGGGAUGACGACGAGACCCCGCGGCGGCUUGGUGAUUGUUGCAAUGGGUGGGUCCUGUUGUGGCCAAAGAGUCUGCUUCGUCUGGAGGCGGCCGGGAGCACACCCACGAGCACGCAGCCUCAGCAAGGUAUGAACAUCAACACCCCACCUACCCAAUUAGCAUCAGGUGUCGGGUUGGGUGAUAGCGGACGGGGUAAGCAGGUGGCUCCAUUAGAGGCUGAUGACGUCGCCAUGGAUGAGGAUGAGGAUGACGAUGGCGCUGAACAGUAUGUCUAUACUGGCGCCUCCUCAGGGUUUGAGCAUCAUGAGUCAGUGCCAGAAUUACCGUCUCAACGCGUUAUUGACGACCAUCCGGUGGUAAAGAAGCCUAGGAAGAGAGCGAGGAAAGGCAAAAAAGCUGAUUCUAUGAUCCAGCCGCCUCAGCAGCCUCGGCUUCGGGACCGUGUAGAUAUCCCCGAUGCGGAUAAAUGGCAUAUCCCCGGUAAACCAAUCCUACCUGAAACAGCGCUAUGGGCCAGAUUCGGCGAUCUGAGGAGACUUCAUGACGAUGUGCUGCGGGUAGAGAAAGGCCUCAUCGCCUCGAAAGAUCCAGGAUACCCACUCUACGUGGUUAAUGUUCCGCAGCAAAUGUCGUAUGUCAAUGGCUUCCCCGCGGAUAAGUUCUUCCUCCGAUUCGAUUACAUAUUCGACAUGUUUCACGUGAAGAAGCUGGAUUUUACUUUUGUCCGCCUUUAUGCCUUGCACAUGAGCUACAUCAUUGGGGUUGAGCAGAUAGCUCAUAUCUGUGUCGCUGACCCGUACUACAUGCACGAGGCCUUCUUGGGAGUCUGUGCACAGCAUCGUGAAUACGCGAGGGAUUACAUCGUCAGUUUCAUGCUCGCCAAUAAGGACAAGGAGGCGAUUCUCGUGCCUUAUCAUCCCGUGUAAGUCAUCCGCGCUGCUAUCCUUCCUUCAAUUUCAAUAAUUCAUUUGCACGGUGGAGGCUAAUUAAUUUGAGGUGUACUUAUUUUGCGCAGCGGUGGGCGCGCCGUCCUCAUCAUCCUCUACCCCCGAUUCUCCCACGCUCUUUACUUGGACUCGUCGAAGAACAUUCACAAAAAGGAUUACACCCACAUCAAAGAUGUUCUCGACGGUGCUAUGUUUUACUACCAAGCAAGGGGUGGAGAUGUUAGGGACAAGAAGAAAAGGGGCGGCAGGCACGCCUUCAGCCAUAAGACCGACUUCUGCUGCAUCCAGCAACCGAACGAUUCUCUUAAUGAUGGAUUCUAUGUCCUACACCACAUGCUGGAGUACCGACGGGAUCACCAGAACCUUCACAUGGCACCUAGAUCUAGCGAUGCCCAUAUUCUGCAAUGGGCAAAGGACAUAGGAGAUAUCGAGGAUCAUCGACUUCGAGCUGAGUUCUAUAACAUCCAGCGCGAACUUGCCCAAAUCAUCAUGAAUGAGGUCGUCGGAAAAACAGGGAUGUUCCAUGCAGAAGGACAAAUGUCGCGGGAAGACGUCCGAACAUGGAUAGCCUCUCAGCGUCUCGACAUGAAGCCUUUCACAAAGCUCGAUGACUAUCUCCCUGACUUGGAUGGAUGGCACGACAUGCUGGAGUGAUUGUCGAUAUAUGACAAUGUGUCCGUUUAGUCCAUAGUUUCUUUUAUGACAAAACUUUGAGUUAUGCACGGUGAAACUUUAUUUGUGAUGUAAUUAAACCGUCCUCCUCGACUAGCGAAAAUCACUCUAGUUAGGUCAUUUGGGUACGAUGAACUUUGUUAUUUAUGCUUAUGAUAUGUUGUUUCUAUUUUUGCCAAGUCUGUCUCUUUGUGUUGCUCAACUAUAUAUGUUGCAUAUCAUCGACUCAUGUGACGAUGCAGGUGCAUAGAUCAUAAAUGGCGAAGAAGUGCUACGCCAGGAGUAUAUAUACGACAAGUGGCCGCAGUGAAAGGCCUAGGUGUACCGGUUUUCGGUUUCCGAGCGACACGCAGUACUUAGUUUAGGUUCACGCUAAUGCGAGAGAGGGAUACGAACUCAUGUACUCAAAGUGAUAGCUAUUCUCAUGUAUAUCAUUGUUUAGAUGGAUGACGAUGUAUUUGCAAGUAAUCGAGACUUGUAUCGCUAUUUUCGAGAUUGAUGACGAGAUCGAGACCACUUUGUGUUGGAUGAUGAUUAUGAUGAUGACAUGAUUUGAUGAGACUAAUUGUAUGUAUAUGCUAUGAUUACAUUUGUAUGUGGAUGAUAUGCUAAAGAUUAUUGUAUAAAGCCUAUUCAAAUGCAAAACAAAUAAAAAACAAAUCUGCAGGGAAAAUAACUAAUAAAACUAGUAGUAGCGAGGGGGGGAUUUAGCAGUAGCGCCGGCUUACCAGUAGCGCUUACACCGAAACGGCGCUGCAGCUAAUACCAGUAGCGCCCUUCCCAAAACCGCGCUGCAGCAAUUCGUGUGUAGCAGUAGCGUGUGUCAACACGCGCUACUGCUACACAUUAGCUGUAGCGCCUUAUUAGUAGCGCCGGUACCCGCGCUACUGAGGGUGCCCAAACCCGCGCUGCUGCUAGGCUUUUCCCUAGUAGUGAAGGGAGAAGGGGGCCGGCCCCUCUAGAUCCAUCUAGAGGGGGGGCGGCGGCCAAGGGGAGGGGGGACUUGCCCCCCAAGCAAGGGGGGGCGCCCCCUCUAGGGUUCCCCCCUCAACCCUAGGCGCAAGGGCCCAAGGGAGGGGGUGCGCCAAGCCCACCAGGGCCUGGCCAACUCCCCACGCAGCCCAAGUGGCCCCCCGGGAGGCGUGGCCCCUCCCGGUGGACCCCCGGAGCCCUUCCGGUGGCCCCGGUACAAUACCGGUAUGCCCCCCGAAACUUUCCGGUGUCCUUUUAACAGCUUCCCAUAUAUAAAUCUUUACCUCCGGACCCUUCCGGAACUCCUCGUGACGUCCGGGAUCUCAUCCGGGACUCCGAACAACAUUCGGUAGUCACAUACUAGUCUUCCUAAUAACCCUAGUGUCACCGAACCUUAAGUGUGUAGACCCUACAGGUUCAGGAGACAUGCAGACAUGACCGAGACGACUCUCGGGCAAUAACCAACAGCAGGGUCUGGAUACCCAUGUUGGCUCCCACAUGCUUCUCGAUGAUUUCAUCGGUUGAACCACGAUGUCGAGGAUUCGAUCAAACCCUGUAUGCAAUUCCCUUUGUCAAUCGGUACGUUACUUGCCCGAGACUCGAUCGUCGGUAUCCCAAUACCUUGUUCAGUCUCGUUACCGGCAAGUCACUUUACUCGUACCGUAAUGCAUGAUCCCGUGGCCAACACCUUGGUCACCUUGAGCUCAUUAUGAUGAUGCAUUACCUAGUGGGCCCAGAGAUACCUCUCCGUCAUACGGAGUGACAAAUCCCAGUCUCGAUCCAUGUCAACCCAACAGAUACUUUCGGAGAUACCUGUAAUGCACCUUUAUAGUCACCCAGUUACGUUGUGACGUUUGAUACACCCAAGGAACUCCUACGGUAUCUGGGAGUUACACGAUCUCAUGGUCGAAGGAAGAGAUACUUGACAUUGGCAAAGCUCUAGCAAACAAACUACACGAUCUUUUAUGCUAUGCUCAGGAUUGGGUCUUGUCCAUCACAUCAUUCUCCUAAUGAUGUGAUCCCGUUAUCAACGACAUCCAAUGUCCAUAGUCAGGAAACCAUGACUAUCUGUUGAUCACAACGAGCUAGUCAACUAGAGGCUCACUAGGGACAUAUUGUGGUCUAAGUGUUCACACGUGUAUUACAAUUUCCGGAUAAUAUAGUUAUAGCAUGAACAUAAGACAAUUAUCAUGAACAAUGAAAUAUAAUAAUACUUUUAUUAUUGCCUCUAGGGCAUAUUUCCAACACCUUCAACAAAAUAUUCUCCUGUGUGAGGUACUUGUUCUGUAUGCGGGCUAACUCAAUCAGCUUGAAAUCUUCAAUCUCUGUUGGAGUGAAAAGGUUAGGUAAAGGUUGAGGGAUGUCUUCUUCUUUCACCACCGGAGCUUGAACCUCCAUGGACUUCUUGAUCCCUUCAUCCUUGUUGAUCUCUUCUAGUUCCUCUCUUUUCAGGUCUAUCUUCAAUAGCCAAGCAUCCUUGUCUUUGUUGUUGGAGGAAGGAGAAGUCAUGGUGCUCUAAAUCUGCAACGGAAACAGCUCGAAACGAAAACAGAGGAUAUUUGAGUGAUACGGUGGUCAAAACCUUCGGGAGUAUAUAUAAUGAAUUUUUACCGACCAAAAUACGUAACAUAGUAGAAAACGGAGUCCGGGAGGCACACGAGGUGCCCACGAGACAGGGGGGCGCGCCCUACAGGGGGGCAUGGCCUCCUCUCUCGUGGGAGCCUCGUGUCCCUUUCGGACUACUUCUUUCUUCCUAAAGUUCUUAAAUAAUCCAAAACCGAUAAAAAUUGCCAUUAGAGUUGUUUUGGAGUCGGUUUACUUACCGUACCACGUACCUAUGCCUUUUCGGAGUCUGGAACAUUCUGGAAAGUGUCUAUUAUGUAUUCCUCAGGGGUUAUGGUUUCAAUAAUAUUAGUUUCAACAUUGAUAGGAUUACCUGAAAUGUAAUGUUUAAUUCUUUGACCGUUUACCACCCUCGGAUUUGUGCCUUCGAAGUUGUUGAUUUUUAUAGCACCAGAACGAUAGACCUCCUCGAUAAUGUAGGGACCUUCCCACUUUGAGAGAAGCUUUCCUGGAAAAAAUCUUAAACGAGAGUUGAAUAAUAACACAUAAUUUCCUACGUUAAACUCAUGAUUUUGUAUCCUCUUAUCAUGCCAGCGUUUGACUUUCUCUUUGAAAAGCUUGGCAUUCUCAUAUGCUUGGGUUCUCUAUUCAUCCAGUGAGCUAAUAUCAAAUAACCUUUUCUCACCGGCAAGUUUAAAGUCAUAAUUGAGCUCUUUAAUAGCCCAAUAUGCUUUAUGUUCAAGUUCAAGAGGUAAAUGACAUGAUUUUCCAUAAACCAUCUUAUAUGGAGACAUACCCAUAGGAUUUUUGUAUGCAGUUCUAUAGGCCCAUAAUGCAUCAUCAAGUUUUUUGGACCAAUUCUUCCUAGAUCUAUUCACAGUCUUUUGCAAAAUUAAUUUGAGCUCUCUAUUACUCAACUCUACUUGACCACUAGACUGCGGGUGAUAAGGAGAUGCUAUUAUAUGAUUGACAUCAUACUUAGCGAGCAUCUUACGGAAAGCACCAUGAAUAAAAUGUGAACCACCAUCAGUCAUAAGAUAUCUAGGGACUCCAAACCUCGGAAAAAUAACUUCUUUAAGCAUUUUAAUAGAAGUGUUAUGAUCAAAACUACUAGUUCGAAUAGCUCCUACCCACUUAGUAACGUAAUCAACAACAACUAAAAUAUGUGUAUAACCAUUGGAGGCAGGAAAAGGUCCCAUAUAAUCAAAGCCUCAAACAUCAAACGGUUCAAUAACAAGAGAAUAAUUCAUAGGCAUUUCUUGACGUCUACUAAUGUUACCUAUUCUUUGACAUUCAUCACAAGAUAAGACAAACUUACGAGCAUCUUUGAAGAGAGUAGGCCAAUAAAAACCAGAUUGUAGUACCUUGUGUGCAGUUCUAUCUCCAGCGUGGUGUCCUUCAUAGGAUUCAGAGUGACACUUGCGUAGGAUCUGUUCCUGUUCAUGCUCAGGCACACAACGUCUAAUAACACCAUCUACUCCUUCUUUAUAAAGGUGUGGAUCAUCCUAGACGUAAUGUCUUAAAUCAUAAAAGAACUUCUUCUUUUGCUGGUAUGUGAAACUAGGCGGUAUAUAUUUACAACAAUGUAAUUAGCAUAGUCAGCAUAUCAAGGAGCAGUACGAGAAGCCUUGACGACCGCUAAUUGUUCAUCAGGAAAACUAUCAUUAAUAGGCAGUGGGUCAUCAAGAACAUUCUCUAACCUAGACAAGUUGUCUACAACGGGGUUCUCCGCUCCCUUUCUAUCAAUAAUGUGCAAUUCAAAUUCUUGGAGCAAGAGAACCCAUCUAAUGAGUCUAGGCUUAGCAUCUUUCUUUUCCAUAAGAUAUUUAAUAGCAGCAUGAUCAGUGUGAAUAGUAACUUUGGAAUCAACAAUAUAAGGUCUAAACUUAUCACAUGCAAACACCACUGCUAAGAAUUCUUUUUCAGUUGUAGCAUAAUUUUUCUGGGCACUAUCAAGAGUCUUACUAGCAUACUGGAUAACAUUCAAUUUCUUAUCGACUCUUUGCCCUAAAACAGCACCUACAGCAUAAUCACUAGCAUUGCACAUAAUUUCAAAAGGUAAAUUCCAAUCAGGUGGCUGAACAAUAGGUGCAGUAAUCAAAGCUUUCUUAAGUGUUUCAGAUGCUUCUACACAAUCAUCAUCAAAGACAAAAGGAAUAUCUUUUUGCAAUAAAUUAGUCGGAGGCCUAGAGAUUUUAGAGAAGUCCUUAAUGAACCUCUUAUAAAAGCCGGCAUGACCAAGGAAACUUCUUAUACCUUUUAUAUCCUUGGGACAUGGCAUCUUUUAAACAGCAUCAACUUUGGCUUUAUCAACUUCAAUACCUCUCUCGGAUAUCUUGUGCCCCAAGACAAUGCCUUCAUUAACCAUAAAGUGACACUUUUCCCAAUUCAGGACGAGAUUAGUGUCUUUGCAUCUCUGCAAAACUCGAUCAAGGUUGCUCAAACAAUCAUCAAAAGAGGAUCCAUAGACGGAGAAGUCAUCCAUGAAUACCUCACAAAUCUUUUCACAAAAAUCAGAGAAUAUAGCCAUCAUGCAUCUUUGAAAGGUAGCAGGUGCAUUACAGAAACCAAAAGGCAUACGUCUAUAAGUAGAAGUACCAAAAGGGCAAGUAAAAGUAGUUUUAGAUUGAUCCUUCGCUGACACGGGUAUUUGGGAGAAGCCAGAAUAACCAUCUAGAAAGCAAAAAUGUGUGUGUUUGGAUAGCCUUUCUAGCAUUUGAUCAAUAAAAGGUUGAAAGGGCAUGUAGCCCCUAUGUGUGGUUUUGGUAAUUAAAUGACAAUCUCUAUGGACUAAUGUUUUCAGUGAGAUAUAUUUGAAGGUUUUGUCCAUAGAUAGUGCCUCAAGGAUAUUGGACGGAAUCAAGGAUGAAGUCCAUAUAUAUGAAGAUAGUGCCUCAAGGAUAUUGGACGGAAUCAAGGAUGAAGUCCAUAUAUAUACAUAGAUAGUGCCUCAAGGAUAUUGGACGGAAUCAAGGAUGAAGUCCAUAUAUAUAUGAAGAUAGUGCAUCAAGGAUAUUGGACGGAAUCAAGGAUGAAGUCCAUAUAUAUGAAGAUAUAUUUUCCCUAUGCUUUGGUAUUAAAUGACAAUUCCUAUGGAGCAUCAAGUGCAUUGAAUCUUAUAUGAAGAUAUGUUCCAUAGUGAUGCUUGAAGUGCAUUGGGUUGUUUUGUGAAGUCUGAUAUCAAAGCAUCCGAAGAAGUCCUCAUGGUAUCCUUCUCUGGAUACCCUGUGCACACGGGCUUGUACCGUGCGCACGGGGUCGAGUGUCAAAUCUUUGGAUACCCCGUGCUCACGGGUCCUAGGUGUUGGCUCUCGAGAUCCCAUAUCCAGUGAGGUUUCAAGUUGGUCUUCGGGUACUUCUAUUGAAGCCAUCAAGAUUGGUCUCAAUGCCUAAUCUAAUUAUGUUCAUGAUGGAGUGCAUUGGAGGAUCUUAAAGAUUGAUAUAUUUGGGCUUCUGAGGAUCAAGGCUUGAGAGAGUAAUCAAAGAGAAGAAUUCAAGUUAUGGUUUCAAGACAAGAUCAUGGUGAGCUCAUGUGUUGGGUUUAGGUUGAUCAAGUCUUGAAGAAAACAACUAGAGUGAAGAAUUCAUUGUGCCUCUCAAGAUAUUAUGAUGGAGGGCUUUUAAGGAUCAAGGGCUUGAGAGAAUAAUCAAAGAGAAGAAUUCAAGUUAUGAUCUCAAGACAAGAUCAUGGUGAGCUCAUGUGUUGGGUUUCGAUUGAUCAAGUCUUGAUGCAAGCAACUAGAGUGACGAAUUCAUUAUGCCUCUCAAGAUAUUGUGAUGGAGUUUUAGAAGGGCAAGUGGUGACCAAGAUGAUAUUCAUAGUGGAACUUGAUAUGGUCAUGGAAGAGUCUUUGGUGAUAUAGUCUUGAAGCAAUGAAGGGAAAUUAAGAGUUCAUUGUGGCUUUCAAGAAACCAAUAUGGAGCUUCGAGUAAAGAUGUUGGUUGACCAAGAUGAAGCUCGAAGAUUAUAUCUAAGUGGUCAACUCUCAAAGCACAAACAUUGUACCACGUGAGAUCAAGUGAUCUAGUGGUAUGGUAAGUAAUUGUGAAUUGUGCUUUGUUACCUAACCCAUGCUAUGUGUUUGGUAUGUCUAUGUGGGUUAGGUGUUUCUCAUGGGCUUGCAUCAAAAGGAAAGAUCUCAAGUAGCCUAUGUGUGGAUGACAUCAAGUGGUGAUGGUCAUCGGGUUCGAGGAGUCCAAGUGCAAGAUGAGAAGCCGGAGGUUAUAUGCUUUGAAGCUUGCGGUCCACAUCAUGAUAAUGCUCAUUUGAAGAUGGGCUUAAGUUAAGGCUUCCCUCAUUGCAAUAUGAGGAAUCAAUUCAAGCAUCUUCACCAAGUGGUUGUGGACAAGAAAGGGAUUCCAACUUGAGACAAGCAUUGGAGUCAUCACCAAGCUCAAGUUGAAUAUGCAAGGCAAAGCUAUACCUUAGCUAGGUUUUCCUAGUUUUGCCGGUCUCUUGGUGCUUGGAGGGAGACCGGAUUAUAGGUUUGAUAGCCGUACUAUCAAGAGGGACUCUCGGGCAAGUAGCUUGAUCAUGUCGCAUGUAGAGAGCUCAAACCUUUUCAUUACUUUCAUCAUUAUUUAUUGUUGAUCUUGGGUGUUUCUCUAUGUGAGGACCUUGGGCUUUUCCAUAGCUUCAAAACAAGCCCAAGAUCAUCGAAUUCGGAGUCCGUAUGCCAAAGUUAUCACUGUUUUAGUGGGCAGCUGCAGGCUGUUCUGGGUACCCCGUGGACACGGGGUUUUUGACCCCCGUGGGCACGGGGCCCCGUGCACACGGGCUUGUACCGUGUGCACGGGACCCCGUGGGCACGGGGUCUAAACCCUCGUGGGCACGGGGUGUCCAGGAAGUGUCCGUUGGAGCCCCAACGGCUAGUUUUGGAAGUUGGCUAUAAAAGAGCCCUUCCUCCCCACCGGUUUGGGGGUUGUUCAUUCACAUUCUAAACAUCAUUUUGAGCCUCUUACCACCUCUCGCAAACCCCUAUCUCUCUUCUAAGUGAAGGGGGAUUUGUGGAUGGAUCUUGGAGUCAUUUGUUGAUUUCCUCCAUUGCAUCCCCUCUCUUCAAUCUCCCACUUCCUUGAGUUGCAUCUUGUGAGGUUGAGAGAGUGAGUUGAGCAUUUGUUGCUUGACCUUGCAUUGCAUUUGUUACAUUGGUUUGAGCUCCCCGCAUCGAUUUGUUCGUGUGAGAGCCCGUGAGUUUAUUACUCUUGGAGGCUUCGCCUCCUAGACGGUUUGGUGAUAUAUUGAGAAGAUUGUGAAGAGGCCUAUGUGGCCAAGGUUCCCCCGGAAGCUUCCUUUUGUGGUGUGCUCCGAGGAAGGGUGUUCAAGUGGCCUAGGUGGUCAAGUUCCUCUGGAAGCUUCCGUGGUUGUGGUGUGCUCCGAAGAGGUUUGUAAAGGUGUGGUGGUCGCCUUCAAGACCAACCCCGAGUGAACCGAGGCUCAUCCGUUGGGGGUGACUCGAAAGGGAGAAUACGGUGAGUCACUUGGUGACGCCCCGGAGCUUUGGCUACGGCACCGCUCUAACGGAGAUUAGCACUCUCAUGAGUGUGAACUUCGGGAUAAAUCCGCGUCCCCGACUCACUUGUGGUUAUCUCAUACCCACACCCUUUACUUUCCGCAAUUCAUACUUGCCCAUAUUGAUAUAUCUUGUGAUAGUUGAAUUGCUUUGUUGUUCCUUCAUUUCCAUAUCUUGUGAUAUAGUUUGUGCUUGCUAGUUUGCUUAAUUGCCUAUCUUGUUUAGCAUAGGUUGUUGGUGCACUUAGUUGAGCCUAGCAUAUUUAGGAUUUGUGCUUGAAAAGUAUCUGUUAGUUUAAUUCCGCAUUAGGAUAAAGCCAAAUCCGUAAAAGUUUUAAAACUCCUAUUCACCCCCCUCUAGUCAUCAUCUAGAUCAUUUCAAAGGCAAAGGGUAAUGAUCUUUCUUAGUAGCUUUAUUUAACUUACGAAAAAUCAUUUACCAUCCUAUAACCUGUAAUAAUUCUUUGAGGGAUCAAUUCAUCUUUAUCAUUAGGAAAACGGUAAUACCUCCCUUUUUGGGGACACAAAGGAUAGGGCUUACCCAUUCACUAUCAGCAACGGGAUAAAUAAUACCUGCCUCAAGGAGCUUUAGUAUCUCCUUUCUUACCACUUCCUUCAUCUUGGGAGUUAAUCGUCUUUGAGGAUCUCUAACUGGUUUGGCAUCUUUCUGCACUGAAAUUUCGUGUUGACAUAAUGUGGGACUAAUGCCCUUAAGAUCAUCCAGAGUAUAUCCAAUAGCAGCUCGGUGCUUCUUCAGAGUUUUCAAUAAUCUUUCUUCUUCUUUUUCUGAAAGGUUAGCACUAAUAAUAACCGGAUAUAUUUCAUCAAGAUAAGCAUACUUAAGAUUAUCAGGUAAUGGUUUGAGUUCAAACACGGGAUCACCCUUGGGUGGAGGGGGAUCCCCAAGAAUUUCAAUGGGAAGAUUAUGUUUCAGCAUAGGUUCCUGUUUAAGGAACACUUCAUCUAUUUCUUCCCUUUCCUUCAUAAACAUAUAGUUUUCAUGGUCUAGCAAAUAUUGUUCUAACGGAUCAGUUGGAGGAACAGCAAUGGAAGCAAGACCAACAAUUUCAUACUUACUAGAUGGUUCCCUUUCAUGAGGUUGUCUACUAAACUUGCAAAAUUAAACUCAUGAGACAUACCAUCUAUGCCAAUAGUGACAAUAUUCCUUUCACAAUGAAUCUUAGCACUAGCUGUAUUCAAGAAGGGUCUACCAAAAAUAAUGGGACAAAAAUCAUCUUGUGGGGAAGCAAGAACAAGAAAAUCGGCAGGGUAUUUAACCUUCCCACACAAAACUUCAACAUCUCUAACAAUCCCAAUAGGUUUGAUGGUAUCCCUAUUAGCAAGCUUAAUAGUAACAUCAAUGUCUUCUAAUUCAACAGGUGCAAUAUCGUGCAUAAUUUCUUUAUAAAGAUCAUAAGGUAUCGCACUAGCACUAGCGCCCAUAUCACAUAAGCCAUGAUAACAAUGAUCUCCUAUUUUAACAGAAAUAACAGGCAUGCCUACAACAGGUCUGCGUGUCUUAGUAUCAGGUCUAGCAAUAUUAGCAGUCUCACCCAAGAAAGAAAUAACAUGCCCAUCUAAAUCCUCAUCCAAGAGAUAUUUAACCAUAGCAAUACUAGGUUCAACAUUAAUUUGUUCAGGAGGUGUAUAGGUCCUAGUAUUACUCUUACGAACAACAGUCAAAGCUUUAGCGUGAUCUUUUAUUCUAACAGGAAAAGGAGGUUUUUCAACAUAAGCAGUAGGAACAAUGGGAUCACUAUAUGUAAUAGUCUUUUCUUCGACUGUAAUAGGUGCAACUACUUUCACUUCAACAGGAGGAUUAUAUUUAAACCACUUCUCUUUAGGGAGAUCAACGUGAGUAGCAAAAGAUUCACAAAAAGUAGCUACUAUCUCAGAGUCAAGUCCAUACUUAGAGCUAAAUCCACGGAAAGCAUCGGUAUCCAUAAAAGAUUUAACACAAUCGAACGUAGGUGUCAUACCUGACUCCUUACCAUCGUCGGAACCCCAAUAUUCAGAGUUGAGUUUAAUUCUUUCCAAUAAGUCCCAUUUGAAAUCAAUAUUCUUCAGCAUAUAAGAACCAGCACAGGAAGUAUCGAGCAGGUUGCGAUUAUCAAGAGAAAGCCGAGCAUGAAAAUUCUGAAUAAUCAUUUCCCGAGAGAGCUCAUGAUUGGGGCAUGAAUACAACAUUGACUUAAGCCUCCCCCAAGCUUGAGUGAUGCUUUCUCCUUUGCGAGGCCAGAAAUUAUAUAUGUAAUUACGAUCACGAUGAACAAGAUGCAUAGGAUAGAACUUUUGGUGAAAUUCCAACUUCAAUCGCUUAUAAUUCCAAGAUCUCGUAUCAUCACAUAGCCUAUACCAUGUCAUUGCAUCUCCCUUCAAAGAUAAAGGGAAGACCUUCCUUUUGACAACAUCAUCGGGAAACCUGCAAGCUUAAAUAGUCCACAAACUUCAUCCACAAAGAUAAGGUGUAAAUCGGGAUGCAAUGUUCCGUCUCCUGCAAAAGGAUUAGCUAACAGUUUUUCUAUCAUACACAAAGGAAUCUCAAAGUGAAUAUUUUCAUAAAGUUCAGUAGGUUGAGGAGCAUCUCUUUGCUCUUCUGGUUGGGGUGAAGAUACCCCAAACAAGCCCCUCAAAGGAUUAGUUUCCAUAGUGACAAGUAACAGAAAAUUUCAGCACACUAUAUAAAUGUUUCCUUACCAAGUCCCACUCACCAAAAGCGCUACGCUCCCCGGCAACGGUGCCAGAAAAGAGUCUUGAUGACCCACUAGUGUAGGGGAUCUAUCGUAGUCCUUUCGAUAAGUAAGAGUGUCGAACCCAACAAGGAGUAGAAGGAAAUGAUAAGCGGUUUUUAGUAAGGUUUUCUCUGCAAGCACUGAAAUUGUAGGUAAUAGAUAGUUUUGUGAUAAGAUAAAUAGUAACAAGCAAAAAGUAAAUAAAGUAAAUAAGGUGCAGCAAGGUGGCCCAAUCCUUUAUGUAGCAAAGGAUAAGCCUGUACAAAUUCUAAUAAUGAAGAAGGAGCUCCCGAGGACACAUUGGAAAUUAUCGUCAAGCUAGUUUUCAUCACAUUCAUAAGAUUUGCGUUCGGUAUUUUGAUAAUUUGAUAUGUGGGUGGACCGGUACUUGGGUACUGCCCUAACUUGGACAAGCAUCCCACUUAUGAUCAACCCCUAUUGCAAGCAUCCGCAACUACAAAAAGGAGUAUUAAGGUAAACCUAACCACAACAUUAAACAUAUGGGUCCAUAUCAACCCCUAACGAAACAACGCAUAAACUAGGAUUAAAGCUUCUGUCACUCUAGCAACCCAUCAUCUACUUAUUACUUCCCUAUGCCUUCCUCUAGGCCCAAAUAAUGGUGAAGUGUCAUGUAGUCGAUGUUCACAUAACACCACUGGAGGAAAGACAACAUGUUGGGGAACGUGGUAAUUUCAAAAAAUUUCCUCCGCACACGCAAGAUCAUGGCGAUGGCAUAGCAACGAGAGGGGGAGUGUAUCUUCAUACCCUUGAAGAUUGCUAAGCGGAAGCGUUUAUCAACGCGGUUGAUGUAGUCGUACGUCUUCACGAUCCGACCGAUCCAAGUACCGAACGCACGGCACCUCCGAGUUCUGCACACGUUCAGCUCGAUGACGUCCUCGCCUUCUCGAUCCAGCAAGACGGGCGAAGUAGUAGAUGAGUUCCGGCAGCACGACGGCGUGGUGACGGUGUUGGUGAAGAACAAUCUCCGCAGGGCUUCGCCUAAGCGCUGCGGAAACUAUGGCGGAGGAUAAACUAGAGGGGACGGGGUUGCCGGCACAUGGCUUGGUGUUUCUUGAUGUGUCUUUGGUGCUAGCCCUGCCCCUCUAUCUAUAUGUUGAGCCUUGGGGUCGAAACUUGGAGUAAAAGCCUCCACAAAGUCGGUUUCACCCGAAAGGCAAGAGUCCUUCUCGGACUCCAGGGCCAGACGCCAGGGUUCCCAGCGUCUGGACCCAGACGCCAGGGACCCUGGCGUCUGGCCCCUGGACUCCGCAAAACUUCCUUUUGCGCUUUCCAAAAACCUUGUGGGCUUUCCCCUUUGGCCCAAAUAACGUGUUCUCGUACCCAAACAUUUCGGGAAACAUCCGGAACCCCUUCCGGUGAAUUCCGGAACCCUUCCGGAGAUCAAACACUAUUAUUCCAUAUAUCAAAUUUUUAUCUCCGGACCAUUCCGGAGUUCCUCGUCAUGUCCAUGAUCUCAUCCGGGACUCCGAACAACAUUCGGUUACCAACAUGCAUAACUCAUAUAAUACUAUAUCGUCAAUAAAACAUUAAGCGUGCGGACCCUACGGGUUCGAGAACAAUGUAGACAUGACCUAAAACCGUUCUCGGUCAAUAACCAAUAGCGGGACCUAGAUGCCCAUAUUGGUUCCUACAUAUUCUACGAAGAUCUUUAUCGGUCAAACCGCAUAACAACAUACAUUGUUCCCUUUGUCAUCGGUAUGUUACUUGCCCGAGAUUUGAUCGUCGGUAUCCAAUACCUAGUUCAAGUUCGUUACCGGCAAGUCUCUUUACUCGUUCUGUAAUGCAUCAUCCCGUAACCAGCUCAUUGGUCACAUUGCAUGCAAUGCUUAUAAUGAUGUGCAUUACCGAGAGGGCCCAGAGAUACCUCUCCGACAAUCGGAGUGACAAAACCUAAUCUCGAAAUACGCCAACUCAACAUGUACCUUCGGAGACACCUGUAGUACUCCUUUAUAAUCACCCAGUUACGUUGUGACGUUUGUUAGUACCCAAAGUGUUCCUCCGGUAAACGGGAGUUGCAUAAUCUCAUUGAGGGAGUGCUGGACUAGGGGGUGUCCGGAUAGCCGGACUAUCGUUAUCCGCCGGACUCCAAGACUACGAAUAUAGAAGAUUGAAGACUCCGGCUCGUGUCCGGAAGGUACUUUCCUUGGCGUGGAAGGCAAGCUUGGCGAUACGGAUAUGUAGAUCUCCUACCAUUGUAACCGACUCUGUGUAACCCUAGCCUCUCCGGUGUCUAUAUAAACCGGAGGGCUUUAGUCCGUAGGACGAACAUACAUUACAACAAUCAUACCAUAGGCUAGCUUCUAGGGUUUAGCCUCCUUGAUCUCGUGGUAGAUCUACUCUUGUACUACCCACAUCAUCAAUAUUAAUCAAGCAGGACGUAGGGUUUUACCUCCAUCGAGAGGGCCCGAACCUGGGUAAAAACGCUGUGUCCCUUGUCUCCUGUUACCAUCCGCCUAGACGCACAGUUCGGGACCCCCUACCCGAGAUCCGCCGGUUUUGACACCGACAUUGGUGCUUUCAUUGAGAGUUCCUCUGUGUCGUCACCGAUAGGCUUGAUGGCAUUUUCAACCAACAACACUGUCCUGGGUGAGAUUUUUCCCCCAGACAGAUCUUUGUAUUCGGCGGCUUCGCACUGCGGGCCAAUUCUCUUGGCCAUCUGGAGCAGAUCGAAAGCUACACCCCUAGCCGUCAGGUCAGAUUCGGAAGCUUAAACUUCACGGCCGAUGUCCAUGGAGACUUGAUCUUCGACGGACUCGGGCCACAGCCGAGCGCGCCGCACUGUGACGAUGGGCACGAUCUAGCUCUGCCGCCGGACAGUGCCUUGGUGGCCGCACUCGCAUCCGCUCCGGCCAUUAGCCCGGAGCCAAUCGCCCAUAUCGAGGGCCGGUGGGUAGACGCCGCCCUGGGGGCUUCAACAUCCAUGGCGAUGGAGCCGAAUACUGAUCUUGUCCCCUGCGAAACCCGUGAUUCCGAGGUGCCGGACUCCUCGCCGGACUCCGAACCUCCCGCGCCCCUACCAAUUGGUCCGGAUUGGGCGCCGGUCAUGGAAUUCACCGCCGCGGACAUUUUCCAACACUCGCCUUUUGGCAAUAUCCUGAAUUCACUGAAGCGUCUCUCGCUAUCAGGAGAGUCCUGGCCGGACUAUGGCCAGGACGGUUGGAGUUCGGACGAUGAAGAAAUUCAGAGCCCACCCACCACCCACUUUGUAGCCACUGUCGAGGAUCUAACCGACAUGCUAGACUAUGACUCCGACGACAUCGAUGCUAUGGACGACGAUGCCGGAGACGAACAAGAACCAGCGCCCACAGGGCACUGGAAGACCACCUCGUGAUACGACAUAUACAUGGUGGACACCCCAAAAGAUGGGGAUGGCGAAGAAGUAGCGGAGGCAGAUUCUCUAAAGAAGCAGCCCAAACGCCGACGUCAGCGGCGCCGCUCUAAAUCCCGCCACAGCAAGAAUGGAGAUUCUGGCACAGGAGACAAUAACACUCCGGAGAGUGCCGAAGACAAUCCCCUCCAGCAAGACUCAGCGCAGGAGGAUGCAGAAGCAAGCCCUCAUGACAGGGCGGCAGACGAAGGAGCUGAGGAUGAUAACUAUAUGCCUCCCUCCGAAGACGAAGCAAGCCUCAACGAUGACGAAUUCGUCGUACCCGAGGAUCCCGUCGAACAAGAGCGCUUCAAGCGCAGGCUCAUAGCCACGGAAAAUAGCCUAAAGAAAAAGCAGCAAUAGCUCCAAGCUGAUCAAGAUCUGCUGGCCGAUCGAUGGACCGAGGUCCUCGCGGCCGAAGAAUAUAAACUCGAACGCCCCUCCAAAAGUUACCCAAGACGCAAGCUGCUCCCCCGAUUAGAGGAGGAAGCAUACAUACCUUCAUCACCAGCGCACGACAUGGCUGACCGACCACCCCGUGGUCGUGACAGAGAGGCAUCCAGGCCCCCAGCCAAAUCCGCACCCCUGCAUCGCCCCAAGAGUACGAAGCCAAGAGGGAACACGCUGGACUUGCGAGAUAUACUGGAGGACAAGGCAAGACAAUCCAGAUCCAUUUACGGAUCACGUGGGCGCCCCACUACCCACGACGAAUAUCGUCGCGCCGGACAUAACAAUCCCGGCCGGGCCGAACACAGCAGACAGUGCUCUCUCGAGCUGCGUCGCGAUAUCGCCCAAUACAGGGGUGCCGCACACCCUCUAUGCUUCACUGACGAAGUUAUGGAUCAUCAGAUCCCCGAAGGGUUUAAACCCGUAAACAAUGAAUCUUACGAUGGCACAACAGACCCCGCGGUUUGGAUCGAAGACUAUCUUCUCCACAUUCACAUGGCCCGCGGUGACGAUCUCCAUGCCAUCAAGUACCUCCCACUCAAGCUUAAAGGACCAGCUCGGCAUUGGCUAGAUAGCUUGCCCGCAGAGUCAAUUGGGUGCUGGGAGGACCUGGAAGCCGCAUUCCUCGACAACUUUCAGGGCACGUAUGUGCGACCAUCGGACGCCGAUGACCUAAGCCACAUCAUUCAGCAGCCAGACGAAUCGGCCAGACAAUUUUGGACGCGGUUCUUGACAAAGAAAAACCAAAUCGUCGACUGUCCGGAUGCAGAGGCCCUUGCAGCCUUCACAUAACAUCCAGGACGAAUGGCUAGCCCGGCACCUGGGGCAGGAAAAGCCGAAAUCCAUGGCAGCCCUCACAUCGCUAAUGACCCGCUUUUGUGCGGGAGAGGACAGCUGGCUAGCUCGCAGCAACAAUCUCCGUAAAAACUCUGGUAGUCCGGAUACUAAGGACAACAACGGCAUGUCACGUCGAAUCAAAAACAAGCGCCGCAUUAACAACGACGAUAAGGAGGAUACGGCAGUCAAUGCCGGAUUCCGAGGCUCUAAACCCGGUCAGCGGAAGAAGCCAUUCAAAAGAACCACUCCGGGUCCGUCCAAUCUGGACCGAAUACUCGAUCGUCUAUGCCAAAUACAUGGCACCUCUGAAAAGCCAGCUAACCACACCAAUAAAGACUGUUGGGUGUUCAAGCAGGCCGGCAAGUUAAUUGCCGAAAACAAUGACAAGGGGCUAAAUAGCGACGACGAGGAAGAGACCCGGCCGCCGAACAAUAGAGGACAGAAGGGUUUCCCCCCGCAAGUGCGGACGGUGAAUAUGAUAUACGCGACCCAUAUACCCAAGAGGGAGAGGAAGCGUGCACUACGGGACGUCUAUGCGAUGGAGCCAGUCGCCCCAAAGUUCAACCCAUGGUCCUCUUGCCCGAUCACUUUCGAUCGAAGAGACCAUCCGACCAGCAUACGCCAUGGCGGAUUCGCCGCAUUUGUUUUAGACCCAAUCGUCGAUGGGUUCCACCUGACGAGAGUCCUGAUGGACGGCGGUAGCAGCCUGAACCUGCUUUAUCAGGAUACAGUGCGCAAAAUGGGCAUAGACCCAUCAAGGAUUAAACCUACAAAGACAACCUUUAAAGGUGUCAUCCCAGGAGUGGAAGCCAACUGUACAGGCUCAGUCACACUGGAAGUGGUCUUCGGAUCACCGGAUAACUUCCGAAGCGAAGAGUUAAUCUUCGACAUAGUCCCGUUUCGUAGCGGCUAUCAUGCUCUGCUCGGACGAACCGCGUUUGCAAAAUUCAACGCGGUGCCGCAUUAUGCAUACCUAAAGCUCAAGAUGCCAGGCCCUCGCGGAGUCAUCACGGUCAAUGGAAAUACGGAAUGCUCCCUCCGAACGGAGGAACAUACAGCGGCUCUCGCGGCAGAAGUACAGAGCAGCCUUCUCAGGCAAUUCUCAAGUCCGGCAAUUCAAAAGCCGGAUACAGCAAAACGCGCCCGGAGCAACGCCAACCGAGACCACCUGGCGCGAUCAGAGCACGCGUAGCAAUGCGGCCCCAACCCUCGCCCGCGCAUGAUCGCAAGAAUAACACUCCGCGUACACCAUUACGCUUUGGAGAUACCAUGGGCGUAGGGAAAGGGGCACGAUCACAAGGGACCAAGAGUGCGGCUCGACCACACCAGGGGCUCACACUAGCGCCCCCCUUGUUUUUAUUUUUAUCUUUUCUUCUUUUGUGUAUACAGGACUCCGGUAAUCAGAAGCCCUGUCCGAUGGCGAACUCGCCGAACUCAUGAUGCAACAGUCAGGGACUAAAGAAGGCUGCGACGAACACUCAGGUGGUCUCAAUUGCGAGCAUUAAAUUCAAUUACAUACACCAAGUUUGCAGCUUAUCCCUGGAGGGGGACAUGUUUACUUAGUCCAAAUCCCUUGCUUACCGCACUAUUUGUAUCAGUCCGCUCUAUUAGCAGACUUUCUUUCAUAAAUAAUGCAGCACGUUUUUAUUUGCAAUUGCAUUACCUUUUAUGUAUACGUUCAUUACAUGACGUCUUGCACCCGUAUAUUUUGGUACGGCCGAAUACUCCAGGGGCUUCUGUUCCCCAAUUUAUGGUAUGAUAAAGUCCGAACACUUUCACAAGUGCGGCACCCCGAACUUAUAGCAUUAUAUGAAUUGGCUCUGAAUCAUGUCUUGGGUCAAUAGUUGGGUUUGCCCGGCUCCCACGUUUUGGUGCCUUACGUUCCGUUCUGUCGGCUAAGGUGGCACUGGGAGAACCACUGCGACUGCGCCCCGGUUGAGCCGGGUUAACGCCUCAGUGGAGAAAGCUAAAACUGACUGGCAUGAUAUGGCGAGAGACCGGUCACUGUUCGAGAGGUUCUUUCGGGUCCUUAAAGACUCACGCCGCUUCGAGCGAAGUUCUGGAUGAUGUCCGAUGAAGGCGUGGAUAGCGCCCCGGAUUCGGUCUUCCGAAUACCAGGGGCUUCGCCGAAAUUUAAAAUUAUAGAAUUCUAUGGCUAAGUGAGAGUGUUCAAGCAUUAUAAGUCCGGUUGCCUUGUUCGUCGUGUUGAGCGCCUCCCUAGAUGGACCCAAAAAUGGGAACAAGAGUGCUCAAGUUUAUCAUCGAACACCCCAGCACUCGUGGCUUGGGGGCUGAAGCCAACGACUUGCCAUCUCUCAGAUUUAACAAACGGCCGCACAGAAGGUAAUAUUUUAAAUUAAACAAGCGUUGCUCAUGGCGCAUAUAAACGAAGUUUUCAGCGCCCAGGAUAAAAACACAGCGAGUUCACUCAAAGAUUACAUUUCGGGGCACUCAUCUGCAAUAUCGCAGGCUCCCUUCAGGACAACUUUAUAAUAUCGCUCCGGCGUGCGAUGCUCCUUGCCAGGCGGCGGUGGAUCCGUGAGAAGCUUCUCCGCAUCCAGUUUGCCCCAUUGCACCUUUAUGCGGGCAAGGGCCCGACGAGCGCCUUCAAUACAGGCCGAGCACUUGAUGACGUCCAGCCUGGGGCAUGCAUCCAACAGCCGCCGCACAAGGCCAAAGUAGCUUCCUGGCAUGGCCUGUCCAGGCCACAGCCAGACCAUGAGACCCUUCAUGGCCUCCUCAGCUACCUUGUGGAGUUCGACCAGCUGCUUCAGCUGGUCGCUUGGAGGCACCGGAUGGCCGGCCUCAGCGUACUGAGACCAGAAGACCAUCUCCGUCGAGCUCCCCUCCUCGCCACGAUAGAAUGAGGCGGCAUCAGAUGCACUACGCGGCAGAUCUGCAAACGCCCCUGGAGAGCUCCGAAUACGGGUAAGUAUCCGGUAAUUUACAUUAACAUGCUUGCUCUGCAUGAAAAACGCCUUACCCGCAGCUAUCUUCUUUAUAUCCUCUACCUCCUGAAGGGCCUUCUGGGCCCCGGCCUUGGCGGACUUGGCACUCUCAAGAGCCGAGGCAAGCUCAGACUCUCGAGUCUUGGAGUCACGCUCCAAACUCUCAUGCUUUUCCAUGAGAGCCUGGAGCUCUUGCCGAACUUCCGCCACCAGCGCCUCUUGUUUUUCUCGCUCAGCCCGUUCCGCGGCCGCAUUGCGUUCGGCCGCGGACACGGCAUCCUUCAGGGCUGCCACCUCCUUCGUGCCCCUGCAAUCCACAUAUUAUCCUUGUUAAUCUUGUUUGCAACCAAAACCCUUUUCUGUAAGGUACUUAUUCAAAGAGGUGUUACUCACCUUCUUUCUCCUCGAGCUGCUUCUUUGCAUGGCCGAGCUCUUGCUCGGACCGCUCGAGGUUCUUUUUCAGCACAUCGACCUCCGCCGUUAAUGCGGUAGAGGCCAGCAGCGCAGCCUGCAAACCCAUAUUGACAUAUUUUUUAGCAACCCUGCGUAUAUCUUGUUAGAUCCUUAGUCCGGCUUUUCUUUCCGAACACCGAACUAAGCAUCAGGGGCUACUGUCUAUGCGGUAUUACAUUACACAAUUUUAACUUCUUACCUCAAAGCCUGUUAGAAGGCUGCUGCAGGCUUCGGCAGCCCGCUUUUGGCGAGCUGAACCUUCUCAAUCACCGCACUCAUGACAGUGCGGUGUUCUUCCUCGAUGGAAGCGCCUUUAAGCGCCUCCAACAGGUUAUCCGGCGCCUCCGGAUUGACGGACGCCGCCGGCGUCGUGGUCCUGCCCCUCUUUCGAAGGGGCCGCUUGCCGGACUCUGGAGCCACUGCGGGUUCCGGUGUAGAGUCCGGCACGAAGUCCGGGAGGCUGCCUGACGGCACCUCCGGAGCCUCCUCCUGAUGGGUCCCUCUGUGGGAUCCCACCUCGGCGUCCUCGUCGACGCGUGGGGUAGAGGCAGUCGGGAUGGAAUUUACAUCCGACGAGGCCAACGACCCGCUCAUCGAGUCGGGGAGAUCGUUAACGGCCGGACUACGGGCAGAAUGCGGCGUUAGAAGGACAAUGCAUGACAUACAAUAUACGGCAUAUAAACGAUCCGAAUACUUACGAUCCUACCGGACGCCUGGCCCUCGGAGGCCACUCAUCCUCGCCAACGUCGAUGUUGGCGAAACUGUCCGGGGGGAUAGUUCUCCCCCUCUUGGACCCUUCGGCCUCCCCAGUUGGGGAAGCCUUCCUUUUCUUCUCUCCCUCCUCCAGGAGAGAAUACUCCUCCUCCUCGUCUUCAGGGGAAGAGUCCUCGUCGUCGUCAGACGCCUGAUUACGGGAACUCUUUCGAGUCCCCGUGGCCACCUUCUUGGCCUUCUUCUCCGGCACCACGUGCGGUGCCGGAACCAGCAGCCCUGUUAUGCGGGCGUUCACUGGGUCUUCUGGCAUGGGAGCCGGGCUGAUAAGCAGCUUGGCUUUCUCCAUCCAUUCCUGUCAAAGGAAAGGGCAGAGUGAAAUCCCAAUAAAAGCUAAUUUAAUUAUCACAAGUGUCCCGUAAUGGGGUUGAAUCACUUACCGCGUCAGUUGGACACUGCGCGCUGAAUCCGCGAUCUCUCGUCUCGGAUGCGGGGGCUUCGGCGCCCUUGAACAGCACCCUCCAGGCGCCUUCGUAUGUUGUAUCGAAGAGCCCGCUUAGCGCCUGGUGCUGUUCCGGAUCGAACUCCCACAGAGUAAAUGCCCGUUCUUGGCAUGGGAGGAUCCGCCGGAGGAGCAUGACUUGGACCACGUCGACAAGCCGGAGACUUUCGCUCACCAUCUUCUUGAUGCAGGCUCGGAGUCCCGUCACCUCCACCGGAUUACCCCACUGCAAGCCCUUCUCUUUCCAGGAGGUGAGCUGCGUGGGGAUUCCAGAUCUAAACUCGGGGGCCGCCGCCCAUGUGGGCUUGCGCGGCUCGGUGAUGUAGAACCACCCCGAUUGCCACCCCUUGACGGAAUCCACGAAGGUCCCUUCUAGCCAAGGGACGUUGGGCAAUUUGCCCAACAUGGCGCUUCCGCAUUCCGCUUGCGUGCCCUUCACAACCUUCGGCUUGACGUUGAAGGUCUUGAGCCACAGGCCGAAGUGGGGCUGGAUGCAGAGGAAGGCCUCACACACGACGACGCCGAGAUGUUGAGGAUAGUUCGGCGCCAGAUCGUGGAAAUCCAGGCCGUAGUAAAACAUGAGCCCUCGGACAAAUGGGUGGAGCGGAAAGCCCAGUCCGCGGAGGAAGUGGGGGAGGAAGACGACCCUCUCUUGAGGCCCAGGGGUGGGGAUGAGCUGCCCCUCGUCGGGCAGCCGAUGCGCAAUAUCGCCGGAAAGGUAUCCGGCGUCACGCAGCUUGGUGAUGUCCUCCUCCUUGACGGUGGAGACCAACCAUUUACCUCCCGCUCCGGACAUAUUCGGAGAAGGUCGAGGAGAGAUGCGCAGGCUUGAGCGUUGGAGCUUGAGUGCGCGGGGAUGGAUAAGCAAAGGAGGAAGAAGGCGUAGGUGAGGAGGUAAAUCCUUAUCCCAUAUAUAUAGGCGGACUAAACUAUGCGUCCCCCACCAGCCUGGUAAAACUCGCUUAUCUCCCAAGCACCACCAUCAAUGGCGCGGUUGGGUUACCCACGUCCGUAUUGAUGAGAAUCCCGGAAUAAAGGGAAACACGAUCUCUGCUUUGACAAGACAUGCCAAGGAAACCGCUUCGCUAAACGUGCUGAGGUGGAAUAAGUAAAAAGACGAUUCAAACAAGGGCUUGGUAGCGGUGUGAUGUCACGCCGCAUAAUACGUCAGCAGAUUGAUUCAGUGUAUAUGUUUUAUUCUCUCUACGGUGGAAUGUGGAAAUUAUUUUUGCAGAGCCGGACACUAUCCUGGUGUUCAUUAUCUUCUCUGGAUUAUUCAAGGGAGGAACCCGUCUUGCAAUGCCGAACAUUAUGCACGCCGGACUUAUCGUCAUUGAAGACUGGUUCAGGGGCUACUGAGGGAGUCCUGGACUAGGGGGUGUCCGGAUAGCCGGACUAUCGUUAUCCGCCGGACUCCAAGACUACGAAGAUAGAAGAUUGAAGACUCCGGCUCGUGUCCGGAAGGUACUUUCCUUGGCGUGGAAGGCAAGCUUGGCGAUACGGAUAUGUAGAUCUCCUACCAUUGUAACCGACUCUGUGUAACCCUAGCCUCUCCGGUGUCUAUAUAAACUGGAGGGCUUUAGUCCGUAGGACGAACAUACAUUACAACAAUCAUACCAUAGGCUAGCUUCUAGGGUUUAGCCUCCUUGAUCUCGUGGUAGAUCUACUCUUGUACUACCCACAUCAUCAAUAUUAAUCAAGCAGGACGUAGGGUUUUACCUCCAUCGAGAGGGCUCGAACCUGGGUAAAAACGUUGUGUCCCUUGUCUCCUGUUACCAUCUGCCUAGAAGCACAGUUCGGGACCCCUUACCCGAGAUCCGCCGGUUUUGACACUGACACUCAUAGUUACAGGAACAUGUAUAAGUCAUGAAGAAAGCAAUAGCAACAUACUAAACGAUCAAGUGCUAAGCUAACGGAAUGGGUCAAGUCAAUCACAUCAUUCUCCUAAUGAUGUGAUCCCGUUAAUCAAAUGACAACUCUUUUGUCCAUGGCUAGGAAACAUAACCAUCUUUGAUAAACGAGCUAGUCAAGUAGAGGCAUACUAGUGACACUAUGUUUGUCUAUGUAUUCACACAUGUAUUAUGUUUCUGGUUAAUACAAUUAUAGCAUGAAUAAUAAACAUUUAUCAUGAAAUAAGGAAAUAAAUAAUAACUUUAUUAUUGCCUCUAGGGCAUAUUUCCUUCAGUCUCCCACUUGCACUAGAGUCAAUAAUCUAGUUCACAUCGUCAUGUGAUUUAACACCAAUAUUCAUAUCUGUAUAUGAUUAACACCAAUAGUUCACAUCUUCAUGUGACCAACACCCAAUGGGUUUACUAGAGUCAAUAAUCUAGUUCACAUCACUAUGUGAUUAACACCCAAAGAGUACUAAGGUGUGAUCAUGUUUUGCUCGUGAGAGAAGCUUAGUCAACGGGUCUGUCACAUUCAGAGCCGUAUGUAUUUUGCAAAUAUUCUAUGUCUACAAUGAUCUGCACGGAGCUACUCUAGCUAAUUGCUCCCACUUUCAAUAUGUAUCCAAAUUGAGACUUAGAGUCAUCUGGAUUGGUGUAAAAGCUUGCACCGAUGUAACUCUUUAUGACGGACUCUUUUAUCACCUCCAUAAUCGAGAAAUAUUUCCUUAGUUCUCACUAAGGAUUUUCUUGACCGCUGUCCAGUGAUCUACUCUUAGAUCAAAAUUGUAUUCCUUCGUUAAACUCAGAGCAAGGUAUACAAUAGGUCUGGUUCACAGCAUAGCAUACUUUAUAGAACCUGUGACUGAGGCAUAGGGAAUGACUUUUCAUUCUUUUUCUAUUUUCUGCCAUGGUCGUGUCUUGAGUCUUACUCAACUUCACACCUUUGCAUCACAGGCAAGAACUCUUUCUUUGACUGUUCCAUUUUGAACUAUUUCAAAAUCUUGUCAAGGUAUGUACUCAUUGAAAAUCUUAUCAAGCGUCUUGAUCUAUCUCAAUAGAUCUUGAUGCUCAAUAUGUAAGUAGCUUUACUGAGGUCUUUCUUUUAAAGAACUCCUUUCAAACACUCCUUUAUGCUUUGUAGAAUAAUUCUACAUUAUUUCCGAUCAACAAUAUGUCAUUCACAUAUACUUAUCAGAAAUGUUGUAGUGCUCCCACUCACUUUCUUGUAAAUACAGGCUUCACCGUAAGUCUGUAUAAAACUAUAUGCUUUGAUCAACUUAUCAAAGCGUAUAUUCCAACUCCGAGAUGCUUGCACUAGUCCAUACAUGCACAUUUUGUUAACACCUUUAGGAUCGAAAAAACCUGUUGGUUGCAUCACAUACAACUCUUCUUUAAUAACUCCAUUAAGGAAUGCAGUUUUGUUUAUCCAUUUGCCAGAUUUCAUAAAAUCCGGCAAUUGCUAACAUGAUUCGGACAGACUUAGCAUCCAUACGAGUGAGAAAAUCUCAUCGUAUUCAACCCCUUGAACUUGUUGAAAACCUUUUGCAACAAGUCGAGCUUAGUGGAUAGUAACACUACUAUCAGUGUCCGUCUUCCUCUUGAAAAUCCAUUUAUUUAACAUGGCUUGCUGAUCAUCGAGCAAGUCAAUCAAAGUCCAUACUUUGUUCUCAUACAUGGAUCAUAUCUCAGAUUUUAUGGCCUCAAGCCAUUUCGCGGAAUCUGGGCUCAUCAUCGCUUCCUCAUAGUUCAUAGGUUCAUCAUGGUCUAGUAACAUGACUUCCAGAACAGUAUUACCCUAUCACUCUAGUGCGGACUGUACUUUGGAAGACCUACGAGGUUCCGUAGUAACUUGAUCUGAAGUUUCAUGAUCAUCAUCAUUAGCUUCCUCACUAAUUGGUGUAGGAAUCACUGGAACUGAUUUCUGUGAUGAACUACUUUCCAAUUCGGGAGAAGGUACAAAUUACCUUAUCAAGCUCUACUUUCCUCCCACUCACUUCUUUCGAGAGAAACUCCUUCUCUAGAAAGGAUCCAUUCUUAGCAAUGAUUUUGCCUUCGGAUCUGUGAUAGAAGGUGUACCCAACAGUCUCCUUUGGGUAUCCUAUGAAGACGCAUUUCUCCGAUAUGGGUUCGAGCUUAUCAGGAUGAAACUUUUUCACAUAAGCAUCGCAACUCCAAACUUUAAGAAACGACAGCUUAGGUUUAAUGCUAAACCAUAGUUCAUACAGUGUCGUCUCAACGGAUUUAGAUGUUGCCCUAUUUAAUGUGAAUGCAGCUGUCUCUAAUGCAUAACCCCAAAACGAUAGUGGUAGAUCGGUAAGAGACAUCAUAGAUCGCACCAUAUCAAAUAAAGUGCGGUUACGAUGUUCGGACACACCAUAACGUUGUGGUUCCACAUUGUUUUAAUUGAAGACCAAACUCAUAACUCAAAUAUUCAUCUCCACGAUCAGAUCGUAGAAACUUUAUUUUCUUGUUACGAUGAUUUUCCACUUCACUCUGAAAUUCUUUGAACCUUUCAACUAUUCCAGAUUUAUGUUUCAUCAAGUAGAUAUACCCAUAUCUGCUCAAAUCAUCUUGUGAAGGUCAGAAAAUAACGAUACUUGCCACGAGCAUCAACACUCAUUGGAUCGCAUACAUCGGUAUGUAUUAUUUCCAAUAAGUCAGUGCUUGUUCCAUUGUUCCGAAGAACGGAGUUUUAGUCAUCUUGCCCAAAAGGCACGGUUCGCAAGCAUCAAAUGAUUCAUAACCAAGUGAUUCCGAAAAUCCAUCAUUAUGGAGUUUCUUCAUGCGCUUUACACCGAUAUGACCCAAACGGCAGUGCCACAAAUAAGUUGCACUAUCAUUAUUAACUUUGCAUCUUUUGGCAUCAAUAUUAUGAAUAUGUGUAUCACUACGAUCGAGAUCCAACAAACUAUGUUCAUUGGGUGUAUGACCAUCGAAGGUCUUAUUCAUGUAAACAGAAUAACAAUUAUUCUUUAACUUCAAAUGAAUAACCGUAUCGCAAUAAACAUGAUCAAAUCAUAUUCAUGCUCAACGCAAAUGCUAAAUAACAUUUAUUCAGGUUUAACACUAAUCCCGAAAGUAUAGGGAGUGUGCGAUGACGAUCAUAUCAAUCUUGGAACUACUUCCAACACUCAUCGUCACUUCCCCUUCAACUAGUCUCUAUUUAUUCUGUAACUCCUGUUUCGAGUUACUAAUCUUAGCAACCGAACAAGUAUCAAAUACUCAGGGGCUACUAUAAACACUAGUAAGGCACACAUCAAUAACCUGUACAUCAAAUAUACCCUUGUUCACUUUGCCAUCCUUCUUAUCCACCAAAUAUUCAGGGCAUUUCCUCUUCCAGUGACCAUUUCCUUUGCAGUGUAAGCACUUAGUUUCAGGCUUUGGUCCAGCUUUGGGCUUCUUCACGGUAGUGACAACUUGCUUGUCUUUCACUUGAAGUUCCCUUUCUAUCCCUUUGCCCUUCUCUUGAAACUUAGUGAUCCUUGUCAAUCAUCAACACUUGAUGCUCUUUCUUGAUUUCUACCUUCGUCGAUUUCAACAUCACGAAGAGCUCAGGAAUUGUUUACGUCAUCCCUUGCAUACUAUAGUUCAUCACGAAGUUCUAGUAACUUAGUGAUGGUGACUAGAGAAUUCUGUCAAUCACUAUCUUAUCUGGAAGAUUAACUCCCACUUGAUUCAAGCGAUUGUAGUACACAGACAAUCUGAGCACAUGCUCACUAGUUGAGUGAUUCUCCUCCAUCUUUUAGCUAUAGAACUUGUUGGAGACUUCAUAUCUCUCAACUCGGGUAUUUGCUUGAAAUAUUAACUUCAAUUCCUGGAACAUCUCAUAUGGUCCAUGACGUUCAAAACGUCUUUGAAGUCCCGAUUCUAAGCCAUAAAGCAUGGUGCACAAAACUAUCAAGUAGUCAUCAUAUUAAGCUAGCCAAACGUUCAUAACGUCUGCAUCUGCUCCUGCAAUAGGUCUGUCACCUAGCGGUGCAUCAAGGACAUAAUUCUUCUGCGCAGCAAUGAGGAUAAACCUCAGAUCACGGAUCCAAUCCGCAUCAUUGCUACUAACAUCUUUCAACACAGUUUUCUCUAGGAACAUAUCAAAAUAAACAUAUGAAAGCAACAAUGCAAGCUAUUGAUCUACAACAUAAUUUGCAAAAUACUACCAGGACUAAGUUCAUGAUAAAUUAAAGUUCAAUUAAUCAUAUUACUUAAGAACUCCCACUUAGACAGACAUCUCUCUAGUCAUCUAAGUGAUCACGUGAUCCAAAUCAACUAAACCAUGUCCGAUCAUCACGUGAGAUGGAGUAGUUUUCAAUGGUGAACAUCACUAUGUUGAUCAUAUCUACUAUAUGAUUCACGCUCGACCUUUCGGUCUUCGUGUUCCGAGGCCAUAUCUGUAUAUGCUAGGCUCGUCAAGUUUAACCUGAGUAUUUCGCGUGUGCAACUGUUUUGCACCCGUUGUAUUUGAACGUAGAGCCUAUCACACCCGAUCAUCACGUGGUGUCUCAGCACGAAGAACUUUCGCAACGGUGCAUACUCAGGGAGAACACUUCUUGAUAAUUAGUGAGAGAUCAUCUUAAAAUGCUACCGUCAAUCAAAGCAAGAUAAGAUGUAUAACAGAUAAACAUCAUAUGCAAUCAAAAUAUGUGACAUGAUACGGCCAUGAUCAUCUUGCGCCUUUGAUCUCCAUCUCCAAAGUACUGUCAUGAUCUCUAUCGUCACCGGCACGACACCAUGAUCUUCAUCAUCUUGAUCUAUAUCAAUGUGUCGUCACAUGGUCGUCUCGCCAACUAUUGCUCUUGCAACUAUUGCUAUCGCAUAACGAUAAAGUAAAGCAAUUAUUUGGUACUUGCAUCUUAUGCAACAAAGAGACAACCAUAGGGCUUCUGCCAGUUUCCGAUAACUUCAACAAAACAUGAUCAUCUCAUACAACAACUUAUAUCUCAUCACGUCUUGACCAUAUCACAUCACAACAUGCCCUGCAAAAACAAGUUAGACGUCCUCUACUUUGUUGUUGCAAAUUUUACGUGGCUGCUACGGGCUUAGCAAGAACCGUUCUUACCUACGCAUCAAAACCACAACGAUAGUUUGUCAAAUAGACUCCGUUUUAGCCUUCGCAAGGACCGGGCGUAGCCACACUCGGUUCAACUAAAGUCGGAGAAACUGACACCCGCCAGCCACUUGUGUGCAAAGCACGUCGGUAGAACUAGUCUCGCGUAAGCGUACGCGUAAUGUCGGUCCGGGCCGCUUCAUCCAACAAUACCGCUGAACCAAAGUAUGACAUGCUGGUAGGCAGUAUGACUUAUAUCGUCCACAACUCACUUGUGUUCUACUCGUGCAUAUAACAUCAACGCAUAAAACCUAGGCUCGGAUGCCACUGUUGGGGAACGUACUAUUUCAAAAAAAUUCCUACGCACACGCAAGAUCAUGGCGAUGGCAUAGCAACGAGAGGGGGAGUGUAUCUUCAUACCCUUGAAGAUCGCUAAGCGGAAGCGUUUAUCAACGCGCUUGAUGUAGUCGUACGUCUUCACGAUCCGACCGAUCCAAGUACCGAACGCACGGCACCUCCGAGUUCUGCACACGUUCAGCUCGAUGACGUCCUCGCCUUCUCGAUCCAGCAAGAUGGGCGAAGUAGUAGAUGAGUUCCGGCAGCACGACGGCGUGGUGACGGUGUUGGUGAAGAACAAUCUCCGCAGGGCUUCGCCUAAGCGCUGCGGAAACUAUGGCGGAGGAUAAACUAGAGGGGACGGGGUUGUCGGCACACGGCUUGGUGUUUCUUGAUGUGUCUUUGGUGCUAGCCCUGCCCCUCUAUUUAUAUGUUGAGCCUUGGGGUCGAAACUUGGAGUAAAAGCCUCCACAAAGUCGGUUUCACCCGAAAGGCAAGAGUCCUUCUCGGACUCCAGGGCCAGACGCCAGGGUUCCCGGCGUCUAGACCCAGACUCCAGGGACCCUGGCGUCUGGCCCCUAGACUCUGCAAAACUUCCUUUUGCGCUUUCCAAAAACCUUGUGGGCUUUCCCCUUUGGCCCAAAUAAUGUGUUCUCGUACCCAAACAUUUCGGGAAACAUCCGGAACCCCUUCCGGUGAAUUCCGGAACCCUUCCGGAGAUCAAACACUAUUAUUCCAUAUAUCAAAUUUUUAUCUCCGGACCAUUCCGGAGUUCCUCGUCAUGUCCAUGAUCUCAUCCGGGACUCCGAACAACAUUCGGUUACCAACAUGCAUAACUCAUAUAAUACUAUAUCGUCAACGAAACGUUAAGCGUGCUGACCCUACGGGUUCGAGAACUAUGUAGACAUGACCUAAAACCGUUCUCGGUCAAUAACCAAUAGCGGGACCUAGAUGCCCAUAUUGGUUCCUACAUAUUCUACGAAGAUCUUUAUCGGUCAAACCGCAUAACAACAUACAUUGUUCCCUUUGUCAUCGGUAUGUUACUUGCCCGAGAUUUGAUCGUCGGUAUCCAAUACCUAGUUCAAUCUCGUUACCGGCAAGUCUCUUUACUCGUUCUGUAAUGCGUCAUCCCGUAACCAACUCAUUGGUCAUAUUGCUUGCAAGGCUUAUAAUGAUGUGCAUUACCGAGAGGGCCCAGAGAUACCUCUCCGACAAUCGGAGUGACAAAACCUAAUCUCGAAAUACGCCAACUCAACAUGUACCUUCGGAGACACCUGUAGUACUCCUUUAUAAUCACCCAGUUACGUUGUGACGUUUGGUAGUACCCAAAGUGUUCCUCCGGUAAACGGGAGUUGCAUAAUCUCAUAGUUACAGGAACAUGUAUAAGUCAUGAAGAAAGCAAUAGCAACAUACUAAACGAUCAAGUGCUAAGCUAACGGAAUGGGUCAAGUCAAUCACAUCAUUCUCCUAAUGAUGUGAUCCCGUUAAUCAAAUGACAACUCUUUUGUCCAUGGCUAGGAAACAUCACCAUCUUUGAUAAAUGAGCUAGUCAAGUAGAGGCAUACUAGUGACACUAUGUUUGUCUAUGUAUUCACACAUGUAUUAUGUUUCUGGUUAAUACAAUUAUAGCAUGAAUAAUAAACAUUUAUCAUGAAAUAAGGAAAUAAAUAAUAACUUUAUUAUUGCCUCUAGGGCAUAUUUCCUUCACAACAUACAUCUCAUCAAAAUAUCAAACGAAUACCAAAUUCACAUGACUACUAAUAGCAAGACUUCACCCAUGUCCUCAGGAACAAACGUAACUACUCACAAAGCAUAUUCAUGUUCAUAAUCAGAGGAGUAAUAAUAUGCAUAAAGGAUCUGAACAUAUGAUCUUCCACCAAGUAAACCAAUUAGCAUCAACUACAAGGAGUAAUCAACACUACUAGCAACCCACAGGUACCAAUUUGUGGUUUUGAUACAUGAUUGGAUGCAAGAGAUGAAGUAGGGUUUUGAGAGGAGAUGGUGCUGGUGAAUAUGUUGAUGAAGAUUGACCCCCUCCCGAUGAGAGGAUCGUUGGUGAUGACAUUGGUGAUGAUUUCCCCCUCCCAGAGGGAAGUGUCCCCGGCAGAACAGCUCCGCCAGAGCCCUAGAUUGAUUCUGCCAAGGUUCUGCCUCGUGGCGGCGGAGUUUCGUCCGGUAAGCUUGCCCACGAUUUUUUCCAGGGUAAAAGUGAUGAUAUAGUAGAAGAUGGACGCCGGAGGCCCACCAGGGGGCCCAGGAGAUAGGGGGCCGCGCCCUAUAGGGGGGGGGGGCUGUCUCCUGGACAGGGUGUGGGCCCCUUGGCCUAUUUCUUUCGCUCAUAAAUUCUUAUUAAAUCCAAAAAGUUGUUUCGUGGAGUUUCAGGACUUUUGGAGUUGUGCAGAAUAGGUUUCCAACAUUUGCUCCUUUUCCAGCCAGAAUUCCAGCUGCCGGCAUUCCCCCUCUUCAUGGUAAACCUUAUAAAAUAAGAGAGAGUAUCCAUAAGUAUUGAGAUAUAAUGUGUAAUAACAGCCCAUAAUGCAAUAAAUAUUGAUAUAAAAGCACGAUGCAAAAUGGACGUAUCAGUAUUACCACUACAACCAGCCUCACUUAGAAAUAGUAUGCGAGUAUUUUUCCAUGUGAGUUUGCGUGUGCUCUUCACUCAUGUCCUACUAUCUUGCAAUGGAUGCAAAUUAGUUCCUUUGUUCUGCUUCGCUUGAUCGUCGGCUAGCUAGGCUGCAGUUUGGGCUAACAAUUGGCAUCAGAGCCCCAGGUUGCGGUAGCCAUGGCCGGUGCAAAUGGAGUGCAGCAACGCACCACCUCGGGUGGUUCCCAGUCGCGGCCAUCACAGGACGGCUCCCAGUCGCCGCCUCCGGAGGAGCGGCGAGGGCGCAGCCGGUCCAGGCACGACCAUCACGGUGAGGUCGUGGUUAGGGAGAUCGUGCGCGAGACCGCAAUCAGCGGUAGCGUGCCCAUCACCUUCCCGAUACUCACGCGCUCGAACUGCAGUGAGUGGGCACUGAUCAUGGAGUGCAACCUCCAUGCGGCGAGCCUUUGGGUUCCCAUGGAGGACAACCUGGUCGAGAGAAAGGAGGACAGGAAAGCCGUGGCAGCACUCAUGUGUGCCAUGCCGUCGAAGAUGCACGGCAUGUUCGCGGCGAAGGCAAGCGCCAAGGAGGCGUGGGAAGCCAUCCGUACCCAGCGCCUUCGCAGCAACAGCGUGCGCGAGGCGAACACGCAGAAGCUAUGGGCGGACUUCGAGAACAUCACCUUCAAGGAGGGCGAGCUCGUCGACGACUUUGCCAUGCGGAUCUCCAGCCUUGCGUCGCAGCUCCGCACGCUCAGCGACACCAUGGACGACGCGAGAGUUGUGUGGAAAUUUCUCUGCGUCGUGCCACCUCGCUUCGCUCAGAUAGCGGUCUCCAUCGAGACUUUGCUUGACCUGAGCGAGCUCUCCAUCGAGGAGCUCACGGGCCGGUUGCAGGUGGUUGAGGACCGCCUUGAUGAUGGUCGCGAGAGCUUCGGCAGUGGACAACUCCUAUUCUCGAAGAACUAGGAGGCGAGGAAGCGUCAAAGACGUGGUGGCGGUGCCCCGAGUAGUGGAGGCGGCACCGGCAGAGGUGGCGGUCGCACCCAGGGCAGAGCUGGACGAGGUGCCGGCAACGACGACCGGGAAAAGUGCCGAUAUUGCAGCAUCAAGGGCCACUGGGCCCGUGAGUGCCGCAAGAGGAUGGCUGACGAGGAUGCCGCAGCCGCGGCAAAUCUCGUGCAGGCUGAAGAGGACGGUGGGCCAGCAAUGAUGAUGGCUUGCAUCGAGACCAUGCAGGAGGGCGCAACGCCUCCAGAGAGCAUGGUCCCGACAAGCAUCGAAGCCGUGCAGGAGGGCGCAGCACCUCCGUCGACCACGGUGCCGGCAACCGUCAAGUCCGUGCGGGAGGCACGGAGAUCUUCAAGUAAUCCCCUCUUGACAUCGGUAGUGCUCUCCCCGACAACAACGUUCUCGGGGGCCUACGACUGGGAGGAGAUGAAGACCCGGGUGUGGGGGAGCCACACCCCUGCAACCACGUCCCUUGUGACGCUGGUCAAGCCUGUGCAAGUUGGCACGGCAAUCGCGGCCCCGACAUCCUAGGGACCCAACAAGCCCGUGUCAGGACGCACGGCAACGACACAUAUGGUGGGCCACGUCCCAACCAUGAUGCUGGCGACCAGUGAGCCCGUGCAAGAGGCAUGGUACUCUCAGGUUGGCCACACCCCGACAACCAGGUUCUCGGGGUUCUGCAAGCCCAUGUGGGCGACACGGCACUCUUCGACAGGCCUCAACUGGGGGGCGAUGAAGAGACGGUCAUGGGGCAACAAGGCCUCAACCAUGACUAUGGCGGCCGUCGAGACCGUGCAGUAGCCACGGUGCUCUAUGGUCGGCCACACCACGACCUCGACACGCUCGGGGUCCAUUGAGUCCGUGCAGGAGGAACGGCACUCUCUGGUCGGGCAUGCACCGACCACGCUGGUGGCGACUCUCGAGACCGUGCAGGAGGUACAGUGCUCUAUGGUCGGCCAUGCCGCAGCCCCGAUGCGCUCGGGGUCCAUCGAGUCCGUACGGGAGGCACGACUCAUAGCUGUUGGGGGAGACCCGACAAGCAAGUCUAUUGGGAAGAGCGACAAGGAGUCCGCUACCUUGGUAGAAGCCACUCCUGGUAGUGCGGUGUCCGACAAGUCAUCCCCGGGAAGGGAGUUCCCGGGUAGCAUGACGUCUGACAUGACGGCUCUGGGAAGGGAGUUCCCGGGCAGUGUGACAUGAGGAACUACGACCCCAGCAACUCUGACGCCUAAUAGCGAGGUGCUUCUUGGGCAGUUUCUGUCCCCGCCUACAACGCGGUCGGACCCGUUCGACGCCAACAACGUUGGCGAUCCACAUAAGUUGCGACGCGUAGGGGGGACUUUUCGAGCAGAGCCUACGGGACGACCACAACACCCCGAGAAGACGGACAAUCGGACCAAGGCACUUGGUCGUGUUCAGUUCCAGGAGUUGUACGACAAGGUCGGGAUCAUCGACGUCAAGCUCCUUCGACAGGGUUGAGGGGGAGAUUGUUGAUCAACCCAGUCUACAGGGUGUUGUAUGCUAGGCUUUCUCCGGUCAAAAGGCUGAGGCGGAGAAAGAGUAUCAGGCUUUAGCUAGUAGAAAGGCUGAGGUGGAGAAGUAGUGUUAGGCUUUAGCUAACUAAAAAGGCUGAGCUGAAUAGAACAUGCAUAGUAGUAGCACCGUAAGUGCCAUCCGGGUCCUAUAAAAGGAGCUGCUCCCCAUCGGUUGUAAGCAGGAGAAGUAGCAAUCAAAAGUUUAGUAGUAUUACCACUACAACCAGCCUCACUUAGAAGUAGUACGCGAGUAUUUUUCCAAGUGAGUGUGUGUGCGCUCUUCACUCAUGUCCUACUAGCUUGGACUGGCAGCAAAUUAGUUUCUUUCUUCUGCUUCGCUCGAUCGUUGGCUAGCUACGCUGUAGUUUGGGCUAACAGAUCCGCCCCUGCACGGUAGAGAUGGUCCAUGCUUGCAUUGGUUAGAACAGAUUAUGAGGCACGGCCACAAUGAUCGUUCUAAUUUCCCGUGGUAGGUACGAUUUGGGAAAGUUGAGUUCAUGCAUUGUUUGAGAGAGGCCAACAGGCAUUGCUCCUACUAUAUCUACUAGUAUGUAUACACGUGCAACACAUGUCUUAAUAUAACAGAGCGAUUUUCAUAAAAGGGAAAAGAUUUGAUAGAUAUGCUAAUAGAUUCAAAUAAAAAUUAUAGUGAUGUAUAAAUGCUAAUAUUAGUUAAAUAUUGUAAAAGCAAGAACUAGUAUUCAAACCAUAAAACUAUACGUUCAUUUAAAAAGAACUGAACGUUGCUUCACUUUCUCCCUGUGCUCCUUUUUUUUGGAGAAAUCUCCACAUUCUCCUACUAAACCAUCACGUCUGGGCUCAAUCAAACCAUCUGGUGGUCAUGUGGUAACACGGCCCAUCAGGGCCAGUUAUGAGCUUUUUUCCCCUAGAAACGACACAUGAUUGUUCUAGAACACAGUAGAGGUAGCAGCGGUGUACCAUUCAUGCAAAUCCUGCUGAUAUUCUCUGUUGGAUUUAAAAGACUAACGGGUAUGAUUGAUGUUCUUAGUCCUACUUAAGAUUCGUACACUAUAGUAGUGUAGAAGUCUGCUUAUGAAUUUAUGAUCACAGUUAGGUCGCCCAGCCAUCUGAUUUUCUUGUAAAUGUCCUCGUGCACGAUGUAAGUAUUACACAUAAUCAAUAAAGGUUGUCAUGAUGAUUUUUCCUUAAUAAAAACUAAUAUGAAAAUAUUCUCAACAAAGUAGAGAGAGAGAGAGAGAGAGAGAGAGAGAGAGAGAGAGAGCCAAAGUCGUUAAGUGUUAGCAAAUAAAAAAAUUAGAUGAAGGGUUAGCAACUUUUUUUUAGAUGAAGGGUUUAGCAGUUGAUCUCCAAUUCAACCACGCAGAUCCUCCUCUCCAUCCCCGAUCGAUCCUUCCAGUGCGGCCGGAUCGAGCAAUGCCCGCCGUCGCCGUCCUCCCGCCGGACAUGCUAGCAAACAUCCACCGCCGCCUGAGCCUUCUCGACCGCCUCGCCUUCGCCGCCGUCUUCCGCUCCUCACGAGAUGCGUUCAGGCCGGAGGCGCCCUGCCUCGUCCUGCCAGGCGACUCCCCGGACGCCGUCACACUCUUCUCCCUGGCCGGCCGCAUCGCCGCAGCUACGCGUGCCCCGGGCCCCGACCACCGCUUCCUGGGUUCAUCAUCCUCCCGCGGAUGGAUGGCCACCGCUGACGCCUUCGCCCAGAUGCGCCUCGUCAACCCGGUCACCGGCGAACGCCGCGCGCUCCCAGCCAUCGACACGAUCUGCCACUCCGUUGAUGAAGGGCGCCAUCACUUCAUGGUUGACUUGAAGUUGUUCCAAAGGGUGCCACCGCCGUACCCCAUCGGCAACAUGAGGUUCACAGCUAAGGCGAUGCGCCGCUUCUUUUACCGCAAGGUCGUUCUCUCCGACUCCGGUGAUAUCGCCAUGCUGAUAACAGGGCCGGAGUACAGCGCCGGGCGUUCGCCAUAGCAGGGGGCGGCACGUGGAGGUUCGCACACGACGGCGUUGAGCCGGUCGCCAUGAUCGAGGGCGGCUCCUGGAGGCUGUGGCACUCGCGCAACGGCAUCGAGGAUGCCAUCCAUCACGAGGGCAGGUUCUACUCUAUCACGUACUCCGGCAAAUUGGAGGUCUGGGAGGAGCGCGAUGUGGAUGACCCCGGAGUUUUCACGAGCGCGGUGGUCACGCCGAGCCUGCUGCUGCUGUCGGACGGCCCGGACCACCGCAAGUACCUCGUCGCAGUACCUUGCGGGCAGCUGAUGAUCGUGCUCAAGGAGCCAAUGGGUGACCGGACGUUACCGUCCUUUAGGGUGCACGUCCUCAGCGGGGGCGCCGAGGAGUGGAAGGAGACAGACGACAUCGGUGACGCCUCGCUGUUCGUCGGGACGAUGGGUUGCUUGUGUGUGUCGACGAGGGAGCACCCGGAGCUCAGGGCGGGCUGCAUCUACUACACCACGGACGGCUGCGUCGUGAUGUUUAGCCUCAAGGUGGGCAGGGUGGAGCAAGUCGAGGGCCUCGGGACGCACCGGAGCUGGCCGCCGCUGGAGUGGUUCACGCCUUACAUCCCACGAUAGGUAGAUAACAUGAUUGAUUCCGUAGCUUUUUGGGGUGGGUUAAAUUGCAAGGUUGAAAUUUAUGUGCAUUACAGAUUUAAUGUACAGUACAGAUGAUUCAGAAUACAAUUUUGGCAGCUUCUUUUGUGCCUACAAAUUGCAAGAUAUAGCAAAGGUGGCCAUUUUAGGUUGCUUUUAAAUUCUUUGAGGAAGAUGUUUAAUUCUUUGACUUGAUUUGAUGCUUUUUCUAACCAUGCAGAAGAGCUGCAUGUAUUUUAUUAAAGGUAUAUAUCCAAAAUACAAGCCAAUUGCACGAGGAUAAAAGGACGGAUCCCCACAAAAAUUAAUUACACUAAACUGGAACAACCCAGACUAAUGAUGCCACAUAUCCUUGAGCGGAAGAGAAGCAUGGUGAACGACCUUCGCUCAAACCAGCCCAUUGGAGCACCGAUCUUCACAAAAGAGAGAUGAUGAUAGAUCUCAUGAAGAUAUGAUGGGCCGUUUCCUGAGAAGACUUGCAGAAGCAACAAUAAUAUUAAUUAAUUAUUAAUAAUAUUAAUUUGAUCUUAUGAUACUUGCAACAAAGAUUAUUAAUUAGUUUUAUCAUUGUGAGGCUUCUUGAUUAACAGGUUUAAUUUCAGAGCUGAACAGAAGAGGUCAGUAAUUAUAAUGGUUAUUAAUUCCAAACUUCAACCAAGGCAACAACAAGCUGCACUUGUUUUCGCUCUCUAAUACAGUUUAUGCAUGUGCUACUGGUGCUUUGGUGCUGCACAGAUCUGCACUUUGAGCUGUAGUACAAAUCUGCACAGACCUACAUUUGGGUUUGAGAGCUAUAUGAGGUGAAUUAUGAUACAAUUAGGGGCACUGAGCAUACUAGGCAACUCAGACUUUCUUUUAAGCAUCUCCAAGCUAGACAUGGUGUGGCUGUACCCUGCUGAUAAACUUAUGUAUGUCAUCCUAGCAAUGAUUUUGAUGAUUCCAACCUUCUGAGAAUAUGCAAGUACACGAAGCUACAUAUCUUAAUUUGCAAGAACUUAGGAAAGAACACAGGUUCUUGUAAUGGACAAAUGGUAUACUGAACUUCUGUGCAUGCGUGUGAUUCUUGUGCAUAUUCACAAAUGACUUCCCAGAUAGUAAUGCCAACCGGAAGCAUCUUCCAUACCUUGAAAUUUCCAGAGCUUGUCCUUUGAAGAGGAUUCUUUCAACUUUCCGUUGGCUUAUCAUCUGCAGGUUUUAUAUGCCACGAAAUGCAACCUAGAAAGCUUGUUUCCUGUCCAGCUUUUACUUUACUGUUGUUCAAAAUUCCCUAUAGACUGUAAAUUAGUUAUGUACUAUAUGCAGCAACAAUCGCCCUUAAAUCAAUAUCAGUAAAGUACGCUGGCUCUGAUUGAAGACACCUACAUGCAUUGUAUAUCUUGUUUGUGCUUGUUAGUUCCAAGUUCAGUCCGUAUAGAGUUUUGAUCUGUUCAUAUUUUCCAAAAAGAAAUUUGUGAUGCUUACAAUAGUUCUAUACAGGUGACAUUUUUCAAAAAAAAACGCCCCUCCACGAAACAAGUUUUCGACUUGCUAUAUAUAUAAAGCAACGAUCAAACAGAGUACACGAAGGAACGAUACAAGGAUAGAGUGGUCCUCAAACAAUACCGAUCCCAGGAAAACAAAAUCACGUAGGAUGCACACGACUACGCUAUGGAAAUAUAGUAUUAGGAUGAACAAAGAACAGCAACACAAUAAGACCUAUAACACCUAAGCUCCACGACAUCACCCCUAGGAGAGAGAACUAAGCGUCGCCGUUGCCGAGCCCACACAAGACAAAGAUUUUCACUCGGAACCCGAACACAGAUAGGAGCACCAUGAUGACGCCUUCAAGAAGAUAACGAUGCCCGCGAGCUUCUCCGUCGUCGGUGACAAAGUGAGGAGCCUUCUCUCGGCAGCUCCCCGACGUCACCACGAGGUCUCCACGGCCAGCGCGAGGAGCACAGAACUCCAGAUCUGGAUCAGGGCAUCGCCACCGUCAGAGAAAGAGAGUGCGCGAGCCACCCGCUGCACCACCUUUCGCUGCCCACACGACCAAGAGGGAAGGCCAUCACCACAGCCAUUGUGCCCGCCGGAGAGUCAACCAUGUGAACUGCCAUGGGGGGCGCCACCCAGGUACCCAUGUCCAAGACUCCAACAACCGCCCACAUCAUGGUGCAACCGCCAUGGUAGGAAGAGUAAAAGGCGACACCUUUCACUCCUAGCCCAAGCAUCAGCCACAUAGUAUAGGUCGACGCCUCCAAAGUAGGAGGCAUCCACGCUUGCAUCUCCAGCCGGUCCCGGUGGACCAGGGAAGACACCACCCGUGACUACCGACGGCCGUUGUUGAGCACACUUGCACGACGCCAUGACCGUGUCCCUUGACGCCGAUCUUCAUGGAAGUGUAGCACAGACCUCACCACCACCAACGCCCACCGUACCCACGAGGAGAGGAACCUCAAUGCCCACAGGCACCUCCUGGAUCGAGACAAGCGUACCUACCCGGAGUUGGAACUCCGACUCGCCCCGGGCCCCGUCAUGAUCUGCCCAAGCACGAGCCCCGACUCGCAGCCACGCCGCUAGCCUAGAACCAGGGGUAGGAGUCCCACUGCACCUCCACCCAGCGCCUCCGGUGGGGUACGAGAACCAGCUCCAAACGCCGUCACCGCACCGAUUUGCACCACACGUGCCCCUGUACGAGGUCACCAUAGCUACAGACGCCGCCGGACCACCCCGCCAAGGCACACACCCCCACGCCAGCUACCUCCAGCACCCAAUACCACUAGUAAUGGCAGGCCCAUGCGGCCCAUAGGUAGCAGCCCACAUGAGGCCUCCCAAGACAGAUCUGUGUCGGGAAGCCCACCGCUAGGACCCCACGCAGGUACGCUCUGCCGCACCCCCGACUUGCAGCCACCCGCGCCGUCACAACAGGACGCCAUCGCCCGGUCGCACCGAUCGUAGUUGAGCCGCUUAGCCCCUGCAGAACCACGCUCCUCUGCUCGAUGCCGUUGUCCCUCGCCAGCCACCGCGAUGAGGUCAUUUGUUAAGCAAGCAACUAUUCAGACUACUCUUCUCUUUUGUUAAGCAACAACAUUUGUUCCCCUUGACUAUUGAAAUGAAUCAUACGAACGGCAUUCCCGAUUUCUAUCGCUGCUCGAGUACCACUCUUUUUUUUAAAAAGAAACUUCCAAUCUAUUCAGUUUCGAUCAUGGUAGUACAAAGAACAAUAGAGGUAAUAAAAAUUACGACCAUGUCCGUGGACCACCUAGCGACGACUAUAAGCACCAGUGUCGGGCAAACCUUAUUGUAGUAAGCAGUCUGGAAGUCGUCGUGCUAAGGCCCCAUAGGACCAGCGCACCAGAGUAGCAACCAUCGCAGAUGAAAAAGUCGUUGAUCAAAAGGAUCAAACCUGUAAAUACCCAAAUGAAGACGAACGAAGAACGGAUCCAAUCAGAUCCACCGAAGACCAGCACCGACCAAAUCAUGCGAGAUCUGAUGGAGACAAACCUCCUCACACCCUUCGAUAGACACACCAUCGGGACUGGGAUAGAACGUGGGAGACAUUAUUUUCUAAGGGAUAUCGCCGCCACCACACAACCCCAACCAAGACGUUGAAUCUAACAAGAACGGAAACAGGGUCCCUCACGCAGGCGGGGGGCUGAGUCCUCCGCACCUCCAUGGCCUGGAGGCCAUCGGAGAUGGGGUGGACCGACGCCGGCACCGGCAGGAGGAGAAGAGCUUUUCUUGUGGAGUACUUGAGUACCACUCUUAGGGCACAUUUCUCAGGAAGAGAUUUCAGAACUAAAUGAACCCACGGUUUUUGGUUUGCAACUUCCUUCUUGCCUUUUAAAUUAGUAUAUUACCUUAGUGCCAUAAUUAUCGUCGAGGUUUUAGUUCGUAUUGAGCUGCAUGUAACAAAGUUGGCAUUCCGCUAAGUUGGUACUGGUUGUUUCAAAUUUGCUGUGACAACUUGUUAGUACGAAAUUAACAGUGUAUAUUGUUGUGAAAAAGUCCCAUAAUCUGUUUAUCAGGACAGCUCAUAUUUACAGCACAAGUUGGUUUGCGAGGUUCAGACAUUGCCGUGGUUGCUGUUUCAGUUCCAAGGGAGUCGGUUAAAAAAGGUCGGCGCUUUUGGGUUUUACUACUUCAUAACGAGGAGAGGCGAUCCGAUACGAUCGGAUCCGAAUUCUGCGGGCAAUGCAGUGCGGCGAAACCAAUCAACAAUGGCCGCCGCCGCCGCUGCCGCCAGGCGCCAGCCUCCCGCCGGACAUGCUGGCCAACAUUCACGGCAGGCUGAGCCUCCUCGACCGCCUGUCAUUCGCCGCCGUCUUCCACACCUCGCGCGCCACGUUCAAGCCGGAGGCGCCGUGGCUCGUCCUGCCCGGCGACACCCCGGAGACCGCCACGCUCUUCUCCCUCUCUGACCGCGGUGCCGCCACCGCACGCGCCCCGUGGGCCGACCACGUCGUCUUGGGAUCCUCCUCCCGCUGCUGGCUCGUCACCGCCGACGACGAGGCCCGGCUGCGCCUCGUCAACCCGGUCACCGGCGAGCGGUGCGCGCUCCCGGCCAUCACCACCAUCCCCUGCCUCAUCGAGAAGUGGGGUGGCUUCACGAUGGUCGAUCAAAAAGAGUUCCUCAGGGGUCCCCCGUACCCCGGCGGAGGCGACCGCCGGCCAGUUGGGACGUAUACAAUUCGUGCCGACCUGAUGCGCCACUUUUUCUAUCGAAAGGUCGUUGUCUCUGAUUCCGCCGCCAUGCUGAUCACCACACCGCAACUCGGCGUCCCGGCCUUCGCCACGGCGGAGGGCGGCGAGUGGAGGCUGGCGCCCUCGCACGACGGCGUCGAGGACGCCAUACACUACAAUGGCAAGUUCUACUCCAUCACGUACACCGGCGUCGUGGAGGCGUGGGAGCAGAGCCCCGAUGCCACCGGCAUGUUCACCAGCGCGGUGGUCGCGCCAAGGCUGCCCAAUGCGGACGGCGAUCCAUGGUCAUGCCGCAAGUACCUUGUGGCGGCGCCGGGCGGGAGGCUGAUGGUGGUGCUCGAGGACUCCAAGGACAUCACGGAUGAAUACUACGGUCGUCUUAGGACAUGCUCCUUCAAGGUGCAGAUCCUCGAUGCCAACGGCGAGCAGUGGAAGGAAACAGAUGACAUCGGCGAUGCUGCUCUGUUCGUCGGGGUGAACAGUUCGAUGUGCGUGUCAACUAGCGAGCACCCAGAGAUCAGGGCCGGCUGCGUCUACUACACCGAGAACGAUGUGGGGCCGUGCAAUGACGCGUAUGAUCAGAGUGGCGUCGGGGUGUUCAACCUCAAGGAUGGCAGGGCGGAGAAGGUCCAGGGCCUCGGGCAGCACCGGAACUGGCCACCGCCGGCAUGGUUCAUUCCUUCCUUCCAAUGAUAAAAAGAUAUGAUGAUUGAUUUGGUAGGUUGGCUACAGAUUACAGAAGUGCAGAUGCGGUGAAACGGAUUGAGAAUUAAGGAAACAGUUUGGUUUGCACCUUUUCUCUUUUUUCGCCUUUCAAAUCGCCGCACAGAAAAUAAUUAGACGGUCCUUUUCGGUUGUUUUCAAGUUUUUUGAGGAAACAUUUUAAUUAGUUGGCAGGACUUGGAUAUGAGUGCAUGCUAUAUAUGAUUUUUAAUUAAUUAUUGCAUUGUGAGGUUUCUGAAUUAACAGGUUUAAUUCAGAACUAAACGAAGAGAACAAUGGUUAUAAUUAUCUAUUCCAAACUGCAGCCAAGCUAACAACAAGCUACACUUGUUUUCUAGGAUGGAUAGAUUAUUUCGAAGGGAAUUCAUUGAAUUGUGCAGCAAAGAUAGCUAAGGUAGUGUAAUUUAUUUACCUCGCUAAUACAGCAUAUAUAUACAUGCUGAUGUUGGUGCUGGUGCUUGUGUAACAUCCCAUGGAUAUAUAGAGCCUGAGCUUAUUGAAGCAGGGUUCAGACUAGUAAUAUUUUGUGUUUGUGUUUUGACUUUUGAUUGUUUCAAACUGCAACCAUGCAUCGUAAACCAGCUCUGGAAUAUGUUUACCUACCAUGCAUGAUCAUUUAUCACAGCACUGUAUCUGCAUGAUUAACAGAUUAAGGUUAGUUUGAAGUUUGAACAGGCAAAUUCGAGAGAGUACAACGGCAGUGUGGUUAAGGUCUUGUCCAGAGGAGAUUGUAAACUUAUGUGCCGCGGAUCAAACUGAUCCGAUUUAAUAAAUAAAUCUCCUUUUUUCGCAAAAAAUAACCUAUUUCAAUGUAGUAGUUUUGAAGGGCUGAGAUCUCGAUGCCACCGAUCAUAUUUCAGUCUGAAAAUAUAAUGAAUUGAUUAAUACCUUGUGAGGUUGCUGGAUUAAUAGGUUUAAUUCAUAAGUAAACUGAAGAGAACUGUAAUUAUAAUUAUUGCGAACUGCAACCAAGUUAACAACCUGCAAUGGUUUUCUAGGAGGAAUUGGUUGCGGUCAACGGCAGAGCUAUGUUGAGGCCGGGGGUGCUGGAAUUUAAUCUAUUUUGGGACAGCCCAAUAACUAUUUCAGAAAUUCCAAAUUAAUCCUAGAGGCCCACUUAGCCCAUUCGUGCAAGGUAAGGGAUAUUACUAAAGCUUAGUCCCACAUUGCUAGUUUAGUGGGAGCUGGACCUUUUUAUAAGGGAGGUUUUUCCCAACUUGUAUCAGCAUGAGAACAAGAGGGACAUCCACGCGCGCUCCUCCUCCGCCGCCCGCCGCGCCGCCCCGCGCCGCGCCGCGGGUUGCGGGAAUGAGCCGAGCACGACGGGUAUACGAAAGGUCAAAUGGACGGCAGCCCUAUUCGCUUCAUCUCCGUCUCUUUGUUUCACCUUACCUCGCUGCCCUCUCGCCUCUCUCUCUCUGCCUAUAAAAGGGAGGUCGCUCCUCUCCAGAGAAGGGUGAACGCGACUACUGACUUCUUCGUCACGGACGCCCCGGACUACGACGACUACUUCCCCGACGUCGACGACAUGGUUGGCGAGGACACCGACCCCAAGACCGGUGCUUCUGCUCCCGUUUCGUACAUUCUCAUACUCUUUCUGUUAGAGAUUCUACCACAACUUCUUGCUCUAAUGUCUGUUCUAGAUGUGUUCCGUUCUAGUUCAUAUAUGCAGAUGCUAUUUACCUUCUCUCUGUAAGUUUGCAUGACUUACUUUAUCUCUGCUAUAUUAGUCAUGUGUUUUUUAGUAUUUCCGUUAAUAAAAUUAUUCGGUAAAUUGCUCAUAUUUCCAACAAUCCAAAAACCUUAUUAUUGGCAAUUUUACCAAGAGUGGUUUUGCUGCUUCCAUGAGACCUCCUACGUUUGAGGGUAUCCACUAUAAGAGGUGGCGCGUGACAGUAGUUCUAUGGUUUCAAACCAUGAGCUGCUAUGACGCCACUCUUGGCAAACCUGAAGGAGAAUAUGAUGCUCAACAGGAACAAGCUUUUAGAAAAUGGAUACCCUGUUUAAGGCUGCUCUUUUGAGUAGUGUUCUUGGUGAGAACAUAGUUGAUGCUUAUGCGUUAAUUGAUAAUGGAAAAGAUAUGUGGGACGCACUCGAGGCCAAGUUUGGUGUCUCGGAUGCUGGCACCGAGUUGUACAUCAUGGAGCAAUUCUGUGAUUACAGGAUGACUGAAGAGGGGUCUGUGGUUGAGCAAGCUCAUGAGAUACAAUCAUUUGCUAGAGAACUUGAGCACUUCAAUUGUAUGCUACCGGACAAAUUUGUUGCCGGAGAUAUCAUCACUAAGCUUCCUCCUUCGUGGAGGAACUUUGCUAGCUUACUGAAGCAUAAGAGGCAGGAGUUUUCCGUUCUGGAUCUCAUUGGUACUCUUGAUGUGGAAGAAAAGACGAGAGCAAAGGACAACCUUGCUUGAGGUAUUGAGGGGGGGGGGUUCUAGUGCCAAUCUAGUACAUAAGUAAAACUUCCAGCCCCACAAGUUCAAGAACAAGGACAAGUUUGAUGGUAAAGCAAAGUUUGAUGGGAAGAACAAGGCUGUGUCGCACAUGAACUUCAAGAAAAAGAAUCACAAGAAGAAAGGUGUUUGCCAUUUGUGUGGAGAUCCUGAUCAUUGGGCUCCUAGUUGCCCUACUCGCUAUGACAAGCGUCAUCUUGGGAAAGGCGGCAAGACCGCUAAUGUUGUCAUUGGAGGCACUGACAUGAAGGAUGCUGGGUAUGGCAUAUUUUACACUAUUCUUUCAGUAUGUCCUGAUUGGUUGAUUGACACGGGUGCUAAUGUGCAUGUACGCGGUGAUAUUUCCAUGUUUUCAUCUUAUCAGACCACAGGGACUUCCACCGUGCUGAUGAGCAACGGUUCAAGUGCUUCUGUUCGUGGUGUUGGCACGGUCGAUCUAAAGUUUACUUCGGGGAAGAUCAUGCGGCUGAAGAACGUGCAUUAUGCCCNNNNNNNNNNNNNNNNNNNNNNNNNNNNNNNNNNNNNNNNNNNNNNNNNNNNNNNNNNNNNNNNNNNNNNNNNNNNNNNNNNNNNNNNNNNNNNNNNNNNNNNNNNNNNNNNNNNNNNNNNNNNNNNNNNNNNNNNNNNNNNNNNNNNNNNNNNNNNNNNNNNNNNNNNNNNNNNNNNNNNNNNNNNNNNNNNNNNNNNNNNNNNNNNNNNNNNNNNNNNNNNNNNNNNNNNNNNNNNNNNNNNAAUCUUGUUAGCGGAUCUCUUCUGUGUAGAGAUGGCUACAAGCUUGCCUUUGAGUCGAAUAAAUUUGUAAUAUCCAAGUAUGGAACCUUUGUUGGUAAAGGCUAUGAGUCAGGUUCGUUUAUCCUUGUCAGAUGUUUGCAAUAAAGAAAUCAUGUUUGCAACAAUAGUGAAUCAAAUGUGUGGAAUUCACAUCUCUAUGGUGUUAAAUUUGGUUGCAUAUCGCGAUUAGCCAAGUCGAACUUAAUCCCUAGUUUCACCACUAUUAAGGGAUCUAAGUGUCAAGUGUGUGUGCAAGCUAAGAAACCUCGUAAGUCCCAUACGACUACGGAAACAAGAAAUCUGCACCACUAGAGCUCAUACAUUUAAAUCUUUGUGAAAUGAAUGGUGUGUUGACAAAAGGUGGAAAGAAGUAUUUUAUGACGUUAAUUGAUGACUCCACUACAUAUUGCCAUGUGUAUCUUCUGAAAUCUAAGAAUGAGGCUUUGAACUAUUUCAAGAUCUAUAAAGCUAAAGCGGAAAACCAACUUGAUCGAAAGAUCAAGAGGCUUAUGUCCGAUCGUGGUGGAGAGUAUUUCUCAAAUGAAUUUGAUUCCUUUUGUGCGGAACAUGGUAUAAUCCAUGAGAGGACGCCUCCCUAUUCACCUCAUUCAAAUGGGGUGGCCGAAAUAAAGAACUGUACUCUAAUUGAUUUCGGUAACGCCAUCUUAGAUACAUCGGGUCUCUCCAAGGCAUGGUGGGGGGAGGCGAUAUUGACUGCAUGUCAUGUCCUAAACCGAGUUCCCACAAAGAACAAAGAGAUAACUCAUUUGAGGAAUGGGAGGAGAAAAGGUUAAAGCUCUCUUAUCUACGAACCUGGGGUUGUUUGGCGAAAGUCAAUGUCCCAAUUUCAAUGAAGCGGAAGCUGGGACCAAAAACUGUGGAUUGUGUUUUCCUGGGAUAUGCUUUUAAUAGCAUUGGUUAUAGAUUCUUGGUUGUAAAAUCUGAGAUACGUGACAUGCAUGUCGGUACGGUCACGGAGUCAAACGAUGCAACUUUCUUUGAAGAUAUCUUUCCCAUGAAGGAUAUAGCUACCUUAUCUAAUCAGGAGAUGCCUAGUUCAUCGAAUCAGGAACCGGUUACAAAUUAUUGAACCUGCCAUUUCGAUGGAACACUUUGAAAAUCUUGUGGAGGAGAACAAUGAAGUUCCUACUAGGAGCAAGAGAUAGAGGACUGUGAAGUCCUCUGGUGAUGAUUUUUUGUGUGUACCUCUUAGAUGACACUCCCAGUUCUAUUUCAGAGGUCGAUGCAUCUGAAGAUGCUGACUACUGGAAGGAAGCGGUCCGUAGUGAGAUGGGUUCCAUCUUGGCAAAUGAAACUUGGGAGAUAACUGAUUGUCCUUAUGGGUGCAAACAUAUAGGGUGCAAAUGGGUAUUCGAGAAGAAGCUUAGGCCUGAUGGUACUAUCGAAAAGUACAAGGCACGACUCGUGGCUAAGGGUUAUACCCAAAAGGAAGAUGAAGACUUCUUUGAUACUUACUCACCUAUGGCGCGACUGACCACUAUUUGAGUACUACUUUCACUAGCUGCCUCACAUGGUCUUCUCGUUCGUCAAAUGGAUGUUAAGACUGCUUUCCUAAAUGGAGAUUUGGAAGAGGAAAUUUAUACGAAACAACCAGAUGGUUUUGUAGUAGAUGGUCAGGAAGGAAAAGUGUGCAAGUGGCUUAAGUGUUCGUAUGGACUCAAGCAAGCACCCAAACAAUGGCAUGAGAAGUUUGAAAGAACUUUAAUAGCAGCAGGCUUUGUUAUAAACGAAGCUGAUAAAUGUGUGUACUAUCGCCAUGGUGGGGGCGAGGGAGUUAUCCUUUGUUUGUAUGUUGAUGACAUACAGAUUUUUGGAACAAAUCUGAAUGUUAUUGAGGAGGUCAAGUAUUUCCUAUCUUGUUGUUUUGAGAUGAAGGUUUUAGGAGUGGCUGAUGUCAUUCUGAACAUCAAGUUGUUGAGAGACGAUGAUGGUGGGAUUACAUUGCUUCAAUCUCACUAUGUGGAAAAGAUCUUGAGUCGCUUUUGCUACAGUGACUGCAAGCCCUCUCCAACACCAUAUGAUGCUAGUGUGUUGCUCCGAAAGAAUUGAAGAAUUUCUAGAGACCAAUUGAAAUAUUCUCAGAUUAUUGGCUCGCUUAUGUAUUAACUAGUGCUACAAGACCUGACAUCUCUUUUGUUGUUAGCAAACUGAGCCAGUUUGUCUCAAAACUAGGAGAUGUUCAUUGAAAAGCUCUAGGGAGAGUUAUGCAUUACUACGAGUUACGAAAUUCACUACACUAGGUACCCAAAGGUACUGGAAGGGUAUAGUGACUCAAACUGGAUCUCAGAUGCUGACGAGAUAAAGGCCACGAGCGGAUAUGUAUUCACUCAUGGUGGUGGCGUUGUUUCUUGGAACUCUUGCAAGCAGACCAUCUUAACAAGGACAACAAUGGAAGCAGAACUCACAACACUAGAUACAGCUACGACCAAAGCAGAUUGGCUUCGUCGGCUCUUGAAUGACUUGUCGGUUACUGAGAAACAUGUACCGGGUAUCCUUAUGAACUGUGACAAACAAACUGUGAUCACGAAAGUGAGCAACUCAAAGGAUAACAUGAAGUCAAUAAUACACGUUCAGAGAAGGUUAAAGUCUGUCAGAAAAAUGAAAAACUAUGGAGUUAUUGCAUUGGAUUAUAUCCAAACGUCUAAAAAUCUAGCAGAUCCUUUUACUAAGGGUCUAUCACGUAAUGUGAUAGAUAAUGCAUCAAAGGAGAUGGGUAUGAGACCCACAAUAUGGGUUGUUCACAGUGGUAACCUAGUCUAUGUGAUCAUAGAUCCCGUGAAUCAGAUGUGGAGACAAUAUGUUGGUAAACUGAGAGGAGAGUAUCCUUACUGUUAACAAUACCACUCCAUGAAGAUGCAAUACUCUCCUAAAUCUGCAUGGCAGGUUGAUGUAUAUCUUAAUGUGUUCUAUGUGGUUCAUUUAAGCAGAGAUGUUGUCCUGCAUAACAUCUUUUGAAGAACACGCCUAUAUGAGUCUGAUUGUUAAACGUCGCAAUCUAUGAGAGUAGGGUUCUCUCUAGUAAACUCAUGAAAGGUCUCGGAGUAUGACGCAUAAGCUCCACCCACGGGGAAGACCCACGGUAGCCCAGUAUCGGUCAAGGCUUUGUGUGAAGCUAGAUUCGCAGAAAACUUGCAAUUCAAGGCCCAAUCCACUGCUCAAGUUGCUUACUAGUGUAGCAUAGCAUUCUAGGUGGAAGUUCCACUUAACAGUCUCCACUGCAGUACCGGUAUAUAAAACAGUGUUUUGGAACCAAAGGCAAUUCUUGUGUGCCUCUGGGAUCUGGUGGGGGAUUACUGGAAUUUAGUCUAUUUUGGGACAACACAAUAACUAUUUCAGAAAUUCCUAAUAAAUCCUAGAGGCCCACUUAGCCCAUUCGUGCAAGGCAAGGGAUACUACUAAAAUUUAGUCCCACAUUGCUAGUUUAGUGAGAGUUGGACCUCCUUAUAAGGGAGGUUCUUUCCCUACUUGUAUGAGCAUCAGAACAAGCGGGACAUUCACACGCACUCCUCCUCCGCCGCCCGCCUCGCCACGCCACGCCUCGUCACGACGUGAUGCGGGUUGCGGGAAUGAGCCGAUGUCUAAAUUUUUGCCAUGCACGAUGGGUAAAAGAUUUUUGCGAUAGUGGAGUUUGAAUGUGGACGGUGCAGCCCUUCGGCUGCUAGCUGUUCGCUUCAUCUCCGUCUCUUCGUUUCACCUUCUGUCACUGCCCUCUCGCCUCUCUCUCUCCUAUGCUUAUAAAAGGGAGGUCGCUCCUCUCCAGAGAUGAUUAUCAGAAGAUCCUCUUCCUCUCGCCACAAAGUUCCUGAGCACUGCGAUGCUGCUAUGAUCUUCCCCAUCCCGGCUUGUGGCGUGCACCACAGGUCGGGACAGUAUGCCUACGAAACUCCACCUCUUUGAGUCCUGUACGGGAGAAGGGUGAUAUGGUUUUUGGGGAGCGCUCAGCGCGACUACUGGCUUCUUCGUCACUGACGCCCCGGACUCCGAUGACUACUUCCCCGACGACGACUUCUUCACCGACGUCGACAACCUCAUCGACGACAUGGCUGGCGAGGACACCGCCCCAAGACCGGUGCUUUUGCUCCCGUUCCGUACGUUCUCAUACUCUUUCUCUUAGAGGUUCUACCAAAAGUUUUUGCUCUAAUGUCUGUUCUAGAUGUGUUCCGUUCUAGUUCAUAUAUGCAGAUGCUAUUUACCUUCUCUCUGUCAGUUGGCAUGACUUACUUUAUCUCUGCUAUAUUAGUCAUGUGUUAUCUAGUAUUUCCAUUAAUAAAAUUAUUUGAUAAAUUGCUCGUAUUUCCAACGGGGGGAGGGGGUUUGCUGCCCCCUGAUUGGCAAAUGAAAAUAAAAGGAAGCACAGAAGACAAAGAAUAGGGAAUGUAAACCCAUUAUUAUUGAAAGACAUCUAGUGCUUGUGUGUUGAGCCUCUAAAGUAAAGAGUAUACGUUAGUUUUCAAUCAAAUAUGCUGCGAAGAUCUCAUUUGAAACAUGUAGAGCAAAGCAUGUCAAUAUGCAAUUCCAAAGUUUGCCAUCCAAACAUGAUUUGGAAUAGAAAUCUAACCAGGAUUACAUGCUUCAAUUCAACGACCAACCAAACAAAGGAAUUCGUAUUGUACCCAUUACAGUUUCAUGGCUGAAUUGGUAUUCCACCCAAUCCAAUACGGAGCCAUCCAAUACAGACAUACAAACACAGCGUCAGUUUCAUUUUGUAUUUUCAUCUGUCUAUUGUCUCUCACCGAUCUUUUGAUCACCUUGACUCAUGUCCAUUUCGUUCAUUAGGUUCACUCAUGCUAUCAUCUUUUGGUUUGAGACAAUUGUUUGGGGUUUCAGAAGUAAAGGAAUUUGGUUUGUAGGGUUCAUUCAGACUGCUCAUUUGUGUUUGUUCUGUCGCCUUGUCAUUGUUACGAACUGGAGUAAAUUGUAAAAAAAAACACCAUNNNNNNNNNNNNNNNNNNNNNNNNNNNNNNNNNNNNNNNNNNNNNNNNNNNNNNNNNNNNNNNNNNNNNNNNNNNNNNNNNNNNNNNNNNNNNNNNNNNNNNNNNNNNNNNNNNNNNNNNNNNNNNNNNNNNNNNNNNNNNNNNNNNNNNNNNNNNNNNNNNNNNNNNNNNNNNNNNNNNNNNNNNNNNNNNNNNNNNNNNNNNNNNNNNNNNNNNNNNNNNNNNNNNNNNNNNNNNNNNNNNNNNNNNNNNNNNNNNNNNNNNNNNNNNNNNNNNNNNNNNNNNNNNNNNNNNNNNNNNNNNNNNNNNNNNNNNNNNNNNNNNNNNNNNNNNNNNNNNAAAUCCGGCACUAUUGUGCUCAUAGUUUUCCGAAAAUGUUAAUCGAUCAAUUAGAGUUGUUUGAUGCGGAAUAUGAUAGGUACGUCAAAUUGUCAGGUCUACGUGGCAUGGGCCAAACAGAGUGAGGAGACGGAUGUGAGGUAACCCGGUCAACCCCUCUGCCUCUUGGAGUAAUUUCUACACACAUCUAGUAGGUCGGUUGCCCAGCUCACCGGUGGCAGGAGCACAAUGCCGCCACCGGCGAUGCAAGAAUGCCCCGUGGGCAGCUGAGCGAUGGAGGUCAUGCAGAGAGGCGGCACCGGACCAGCGCACCCACGAGGUAGUCAGGGCACGGGUCGGAGUUGAAAGCCGAGCUCUCGGCCAUCGCACCCAGGAGGUCCCAGCAAGGGCGAAAGGGGAAAUAACAGGGAACGACUAGAAUAGAAGAUGAGCUUCAGGUGAAAAAGUAGAAAAAAUGAUCUUAGCCGUCAGCAUUGAGAUGGAUGGCACAUAUUUUGGUGGUGGGAUCUUUGCGCACAGUUAGCAAUAAGGACCCUCUAUUCUUGUUAAUUUUCUCCCGACAUCCUCCUCCAAUCGCGACCAUGAGUCCCCCUCGCCCAUCUCCCUCCCGCUUGUGGACAGUAGCGGCGGCCGAGAUCCGCAUCCUCCCCAUCUCCGGCAACUACAGUAGCUCGCCUAAGGCAAGCAGAUGGUAGGCUACUCACCCUCUUCCCCUCUCAGGCCCUUGGAGCGGCUUGUCGGCGUGAUCCGUGCCUCUGCCCCCUCUCAAGAUCCUAGACCAUCGGCGGCAAGCCGGUGGUGGGCUCCUCCUUCGCCUCUCACGCCCAGGAUCAAGGUAUACUCCGAUGCUCCCACUUCCUUCUCUCUCACCUAGAUUUCUGUGUGCACAUUCGUCAAAGAUCUGCUAGGGUACAUGAGGGAUCUACAGGAAGGUUGGGCUUUAAUGAGGCGGCUGAUAAAGACAUUAAAUCAGAGCAAUUGUACACAGGGCACCAAUGUGUACCAUCCGAAAUCACUGAAAUAACAACGGGAUUACGCAGUGACGGCCAUUACAUGCAAUAUUAUCGUUAUAUAUGGGCAUGUGACUGCUUUGGAUAACUCAGUGCUAUGUACAGAGUUCCUAGAUUAAUAUGAGAACCAAUUAAAUCUGAACCUGAAGUCAAAUUGAUGCCAUGUUGUAGCUUGUAGAUCGUUAAUCUGUUGAUGCUUUGGUUACAUUGAUUCUCAGACAUGGAGUAUUUAACCAAAAACUACCACAAUUCAUGGAAACGUGUCGAAAAACUACCACUUUACGAUUUUGUGCCAAAAACUACCACUUUUGUCCUAAUCUGUUGCUAAAAACUACCAAGUGCGAAAACUGCUCGCUUUGGCUCGUUUAUGAUUGUGUGGCCCACAUGUCAGGACGGAAAAAGUCAGCACCGUUAACAUUGCCGUCACCGUAGAAAGAGAUCGAGACGGCGGCGGCCUUCACCGGAGGUGGGGAAGAUGAAGUACUACGGCGGUGCAGCCGCAUCGGGAGGAGACGGCGCGACCUGCAGGCAGCACUCCGGCGCGAGCAGGGCGGCGGGGAGGUCCGGGGGAGGCGGAUUCGGGGCGGCCGCGUUGGAGCUCGUGGUCAAGCAGCCGCGUCAGGAGGAGCAUGGAGGUCGGUGAUGGGGAAGCCGGCGGGCCGGGCGGAGGCCGGGCCAACUCGAAGACGGCCGAGGCGCGGAGCCGGCCGGGCCGGGUUGCGCGGAGGGCGCGGGAGGCCGGCAGCGGAGGACCCGGCGAGGCGCGCGGGGCGUAGUUGGCUGACGGCGCCCGGAACCGGCAUGCGGGCGCGUGGCUAGACGGGAGCGGUGCGAGGCAGCACAACAGCUAUCGGAGCGGGGCAGCGCGGGAGGCCGGGCCGGCCGGAGUGGCGGAGUCGGCGACGGGAACGAGCAGGCGCGCGGAGUUGCGGAGGGCGGGCACGGAGGCGCCUGUACCGGAGUGGGACGGCGGGCGAGCGGGCGCUCGGGAGCCAGGGCGGCGCGGAUUGGAGCCGACACGGGCGGAGCGGCAGGAGGGUCAGGCGACGGGCGGAGCGGAGCUGCAGCGAGGCAGAGCAGCCCGCGGGGGCGGCGUCUGACCGGUGUACAGCGGUCACAGGCGUUAACGGCUGGCCAUGAGCGUUUCGCCACGCUGGCACCUAAACAGUGGGGUCGGGCAGUCAGAUUCGAGUUUAACCCAGCCAAAGCGAGCAAUUUUCACACUUGGUAGUUUUUAGCAACAGAUUAAGAUAAAAGUGGUAGUUUUUGGCACAAAAUCAUAAAGUGGUAGUUUUCCGACACGUUUUCGUGAAUUGUGGUAGUUUUUGGUUAUUUCUAUUAUAAAGUAGUGCAUCGCAACCCUUCACUUAUUUAGUGCAUACAAGACGCAUGAUUAGUUAGUGUAAUGUGAUAAGGGGAGAUCUCCUAAUUUUUUGUUUCAGUUGACGCCUAAUUUCUUGUCCACAAACAGGAGAUUCAGCUAAUUUUGAACCAAAGAUUCAGAAAUUUGGUUGAAUACAUAUAAGGGGCGAGCACAACAGGUAUGGACUGAGAAGUUGUUUCACUUGGUCCUGGGAUUCUUGCGCAUUCUUGAAAAUAGCAAAUAAUAUGCAUCGCAACAUAUUUCGAAAGUUAAUUUAGAAAAUAUUUGCUUCAUUUCUGCUUUGCAUAGCUGCUUUCUUUACAUGCUGAAUCAAGGUGUGGCCCUAGUCUUAAAAUGGCAUGAAUGUUUGAGAUUAAGGGGCUGUUUGGUUUCAGCCCCCACCAGCCCUUCCAAAACGAGGGCGUGCCAACUUUUUGGCGAAGGAAAUCGCCACCAACAACUCGCCCGCGUGCUGGUAUAGAAUUGCAAGGGCGUGCCAAAAUUUCGGCUGAGAUCCUAAAUUUUGGAUGGGAUCCAAAAGCUUGCCAGCCUGUUGGUCAACGACCAAUAUUUUGGAAGGGCAGCCGUGGGCUGCCAUCCAAACAGCCCCUAAGAUCUAAACCAAUUUUGGCACUAUCAAAAGUUGCCAAUAUUUGGAAAAUUGUAGAGAGGGGCUCACGCUUGGUGUUCAACCAAUCAAGUGCCAAGUUUUGGUCUCAUGCCAAAUUUUGGCCCCAAUCCAGUCCUGAAAUGUUUGUAUUUUUGUAGUAUUCUGUUUUAAUUGUUCAUUGCUAGUAUUCUGCUGUAAAUGCCAUUCUAUACACAGUACAUAUGAAUACUAAAUGAGUGCAGCAUUGUUCUUUUACAUUCUUCUCUCUAGUAGUGGUGCUCAUUGAAGUCUUUCGCCUUGCAUACUGGAAUCCAAGUCGAAUGAAAAGCAUGGUGAAUUAAGGGAGCGAAGAGCAGAAUCAAUGCUACACUUUGAAGCUGAAUCAUGGUCAAAGCCUCAAAGGUAGGUUUCUCUGCCACCGAAAAUAUUUAUUUCACCUCAGUUCUUUUCUACGGCUAUUUGCAGGCUAAGUUGUGUUAUAAGUUUGUAUUUUUUUAUGCUUGUGUACACUCUGAGUGUGCCCAUCAGUCUUUUUUAUAUGUAAGCUCUGAGUUUACCUUACAGACUUUUAGUCCACAAAAGAACAUAAUUAUUUCCAGUUUCUUGCCUUGUGAUGUAAACUAUAAAAUUGUUCAUGUAUUUGUAGAUGGGUGAUGCUCUGACACCAGAAGCAUCUCGAGUACAUAUGGACAGAAGAAGUGUACGACUGCAAGGGUGAAACUUAUUUGCGUGCGAGAUAAUUUUAGUUCCUUUGUUGAAUGUACACCAACACAGACUUGUGCUGCACUGAAUCAUAUUCGUUUGGUGUUAUCUCUCCCUGCAAAUGAAGCUUGAUGAGCGACAAGCAUUCGAACCGGAGGCAAACGUCAACUGAACAAUAUUAUGUCAUGUACAAUCAAGAUAGCAAAUGCUCGCUGAGCGGUUGAUCAUUUUAGUACUUAAUAUUCAGUUUUGCUGGUCAUGUAAUAAAAAUAAUCAUCUCAUGUUAUGGGUCACUUCACAUGCAUGUAUGUGGAUCAAAGUCGACCCACACAAACAUUUUCACCAGCCUAUUCAGAUGUGGGUGUGUAUUGCGAGAUAAGCUUAAUGUUAACUUCAAUUUUAUGUUGCAUGAUUCAUAUAAAAUAUUAGUUCUGUUUUGGAUAAUCCAGUUUGACAUAUACAUUUAGUUGUGCGUCAAGGGGAUAACUUAAUUUUCAUAUAUAAUCAAAUAUUGACAUGCUUGAAAGAGUUGUCAUCAACAUUCUGCCAAUUUGGAAAUGAAUGAGAGACAUGAGGUUGUUACUAUAAAAGUGAUGUUUUAUAUCUAUCUAUUUCUAGGGGGUGAUUCGUGAAAUGUACACUUAAGUGGGAGCAGUCCCCUCCACCAUAAUCUGUGCCAUUCAUCUCCCAUCCAAUGGCUCAGAUUUCAUUUUUCUAUUCUUUCACAUGAAGCUCAGAUUCUAUACUAGUUGCUCCCGAAAUAACAUGGAUACUUGCAUUCAAUACAUGUGAAAAGCAAAAUAACGAAGACAAAGGUAAAAACCAAGAUCCAUUAAGGAAUUUUAAGUUAGUCAUUUGUCGGGUCUGGGUGUGUGGUGAAUGACGUGAACAGGUAGAUUUGAUUUUGUUUUUACUGUUUCUAAUAUCUCUCCAAACUGUAUUACGAUGCGUUUGUUGCAAGUUCAAAAAAAAAAAACAAGAUGCGUUCGUUGCGGUAGCACCUAAAGAUUUGCCAUGUGACCAUUACGUAUCUUGCAAAAAACUUGCCAUGUCUUGUAUAAAAAAAAAAUCAUAAACUUGCCUUGUCACCAUUUUUCAGUUUUUCUUAAUUUGCCAUGAUUUAGGAAAUUUAGUUUUCAAAAUUUACCAAAUUUUUUUUCUAAACUUGCCUUGAUUUAUGAUUUUUUUUUAUUCCUACGAUCAGUCUUGUCACCCUAAAAACAAUUUUCCAGAUUUUGCCAUGCUCUUGAAGGACGAAGCUGCUACAUUUGUCGUGUGACCAAAUACAACAAUUUUCUCUAAAUUUGCGAUGAUUUAAGACACAAUAAUUCUCUACUUGUCAUGUGAUUGUAUAAUUUUGCCAUGAUCUUUCCACCCAAAAAUUCUCAAUUAGGCCAUGGAUGGUAACUAUUUGGCGCAACAAUGGCAAGCUCAUUGUUUUGUCGAUUGCAACCUUUUUGUAUGUUUUCUUUAGCUUUUUUUAAAGUUAGGUGCAGAUCCCAGUUUUCCUGCCUACUAGCGUGUCACAGGAAAUCUUAUUGGGGCCCAACUGGGCGCCUGAUUGAUGUGGGCUGGGUUUACAUAUACAGAAGAUCAUUGAUCCUAUAAUUUCGUUGAUCGAUUCCCACCUCCCGUGGGGAACGAUCGUUCGAUGGAUCCCGGCGGCGGCGGCGGCGCUGGGGCCACCGCCGCCAACCUCCCUGUGGACAUGCUAGCCAACAUCCACGGCCGUCUGAGCCUCCUAGACCGCCUCACCUUCGCUGCAGCCUUCCGCUCCUCGCGCGGUUUAUUCAGGCCGGAGGCGCCCUGUCUCGUCGUUCCCGGUGACACCCCGGAUCAAGGUUUUGGUUACCGAAUGAGGCAUUUUUAUCGAGGGGGACUGAUAAAUGCGGUUACCACGGUUACCGAGAAAUACCAAGAAAUACCGAUAAUAUUUCGAAUGAAUUUUAUAGUUGAAUUUUGAAUUCAAAUAAUUGAAUGAACGAACAUUUGAACCAAAGACCUCUCAAAACAGGAACUAGGUUUGCAACCAACACGCUAGAACCCACUCUCAUGGCAUUAAUUAGAUCCUACUUAUUUUACUAUAAAUCGAGUGUUUAAAUUCAAAAAAUUCAAAAAACUGGUAUUUUUUGCUUGGUGCGGGGAUUUACCGAGAGGCGCGGAAAUACGCGGUAACCAUGGGAAAUCUCGAAAUUUCGACUUGUAACCAAAACCUUGCCCCGGAUACAGUCAUGCUCUUCUCCCUCUCCGGACGCCGCGCCAUCUCCGUGCGCGCCCCGGAACCCACGCUGCUCGACCACAUCAUCAUGGGCUCCUCACCCUCCCGCGGGUGGCUCGUCACCGCCGACAACCGGGCCCGGCUGCGCCUCCUCAACCCUGUCACCGGCGAGCGGCACUCGCUCCCGGCCAUCACCACCAUCCCCUUCCUCCACGCCACGACCGGCGGGGAGAACCCCUGCUUGACGCUCGACCUGAAGUGGUUCUUCAGGGGGCCCCCGCUGCGCUCCUAUGGCCCCGUGACGAUGAGCGCCGAUACAUUGCACCGCUGCCUCUACCGCAAGGUCGUCCUCUCUGACUCCGGCACCAUAGCCAUGCUGAUCACGGGGCCGGGGUACGGUGACGUCGCCUUUGCGACGGCGGGGGGCAGCUCGUGGAGGCUUGCACCCCGUGCGACGGCGUCGAGCCCGUCGCCUCGCCGAAAGCCGACCUGUGGAGUCUGGGACCCUCGCCUGACGGUGUCGAGGAUGCUGUCCACCACGAGGGCAGGUUCUACUCGAUCACAUGCUCGGGCAAGAUGGAGGAGUGGCGGCAGCAAGAUGCCGACACCAUGUUCGCGAGCACAGUGGUCGAGCCAGCACUUCGGCUGACCCCGGCCGACACGAACAACUGCAAGUACCUCGUGGUGACGCCGGGCGGACGGCUGAUGGUCGUGCUCAAGACCAAGGAGACCACGGGUUUGCGGACACCACUGUCCUUCAAGGUGCAGGUCCUCGGCGCGGGCGCCAAGGAGUGGAAGGAGACGGACGACAUUGGCGACGCAGCGCUGUUCGUCGGGACGAAGGGUUCGUUGUGUGUGUCGACAAGGGAGCACCCGGAGCUCAGGGCCGGCUGUGUCUACUAUGCCGCCCACGGCGGCGUCGUGGUGUUGAGCCUCAAGGGCGGCACGGUGAAGGAGGUCGAUCGCCUCUGGACGGACCACAGCUGGCUGGAGUGGUUCACGCCGUGCAUUUCACGAUAGGUUGAUAUCAUGAUUGAUUCCCUUGCUUGUUGGGUGGGUUAAAUUACAAGGUUGAAGCUAAAUCUAAAUAGUUUAUGCGCAUUAUACACUACAUGUUUUUUUUUUCGAAUCUAUACACGAGAUAUGUUUUUUGCUGGAGUGCUUAGAAAGCAAUUUUGGAUGCUUCCUUUUGCCAUCAAAUUGCAACACAGCAAAAGGUGCCCAUUGUAGGUUUGGUUUUAAAUUCUUUGAGGGAGACGUUAAAUUAUUUGACUUCAUGUAACAAAUAUAUAACAAUAGAGAAGAGCUGCAUGUAUUUGGCAGCUAGGGAUUUUUAUUUUUUUGAGGAAAGGGAUAUUAAAGUCUUGCCGCAAUGCCCCUUAUGCAAGCAAGGUGCUGAAGAUAUUCGCCAUUUGAUGUUCACCUGCAGCCGAGCUUGGGAAGUUUGGCGGCCUUUAGGUCUGCGUGACAUUAUUGAUCAAGCUUUGGCGGUGGACAGGUCGGGCUUGAUUUUGCUCGCAGAAAUUCCCAGGAAUCUGAUUAAAGAUCACCAUUGCUUGGCCAGUUCGACUCUAAGAGAUGGUCGAUGUGGAUGCGUGUUCAUUCGGCGGUGACGGCGUGUCAAGAUGGCAACGGAGACGAAACCCACGAGGUUUUGCGCUCUGGCGGUGUUUCUUUGGGCCGCUUGAUUCAAGAUGGAUCAAUAGCAUAUGCUAGAAUAAUGUAUUUUGAUGGUAUUGUCGGGUUUCGAGUUCGGAUACUACUGAAACGGUUUAAACCCGUGAAACAUGGCGGGUUUUAUAAUGUACCCACCAGCAACCCCACAGGGAUAGAAAGACGCCUAUCUGUGUCCCCUAUAAUAGGGUAAAAACCCACGGGGCGGGUUUCAGGACCCAUUGCCAUCUUGAGCGACGUGCGGCAUGUGCUCAUUGAGCUCUGCUACUGAUGAUAUGCGUUUGUAGUUGUAAAUCUUGAGACAUCUCUCCCUCCCGAUUCACAGGUAUGUAUGUGCGAGCACAUAAUGUAUGAAUUUGCAACCGCAGGCACACCACCAACACUGAUGAAUCAUAAUAUCUCAAUGAAAAAACUGAUGAAUCAAUCACUUCUAGUUGCACCAUUCAGUUACAACAACAUCCUGUAGAUUGUUCAAAGAACAACUAAUCCCUGAUCACCACAUGCAGGGGGGCGGGGGGAGGGGGGAAUGCUGUGUUCUCAUCAUGCAUGGCAUGGCAAAAUAUGAGCGUUACAAGCUCCUGAAAAAUUUAGGCUAAAACACUUCUCGACUUCUGAAUCUUGACCACUCAACUUGGUUGAAGUUUGAAACAAACACAAAAUUAAGGUGUAAUCUGCUUACUUCUGAUCCCUCAAAGUGUCUUAAAAAGCUUGCAUAGUAAGUAGAUUAUAUCAGGGAAACCAUCUGCAAUAUGGUACGCCAAACUAGAAAACAUCUCUGCACUUCUGAAACCUGAAACCAUCUGCCUGCAUGUUCAUUGUUCAGAAUAGUUAAUACUCCCUUCGUACCAAAAUAAGUGACUCAAAUUAGUACUAACUUUGUACAGGAGGGAAUACUAUUUUUCUCGGGUACACACCAAAGUGCGCGUCAUUUGUAUUUGGGAGAAAACGCCGAGACAGCGACACAUGUCUUCUUACAAGCAAAGAGCCAGGGAGAAAGGGGAAAGCAGCAAGGAAAUAAAGCACAAAGCAGAAACCCCAAAUUCCUAAAGCUUUCCAUCGGAGUGUUGCAAAAAGACUUGAAUUUUACAUGUUUGGAAGACCGAAAAUGUGGUGAAUUUCCCAUGCGAAAAUAUAGAAAUAUUUCUAAGUAUGCCAUGAGUAGAAAAACAUGAUUAUAAUGAUUUCUAAACAAGGCUCCAUUAUUUACACAUUGUUGCCAUGAAUUAAAUUAGCCCGUGAAUUAGGUAUCAUACUGCUAAGUUUGGGAACAUGGCAAAUUUAGGAGUGUUUUCAUAGGGAUUUAGUCCUCUGAAACACAUGGCAAAUUUAGUUCUCUGAAACAAUGACAACUUUGGAAAUCUGUAAUGUACCUUGGAGAAGACACAAGCAUAGCAGAUAAAAAAUGAUUAAUUGACCGAUUGAUUGAUUAUAGCAGCAACAACAACACUGAACUAAGUGCAUCGAAAAUUUUACUUCAGAUGGAAACUUUGGAAAAAAUGUAAACACAAAGCAGAGCAGAUGAAAAUUGAUUGUUUGACCUACAAUUGAUUGAUUACAGCAGCACUCACACAAACAUUGAAACAAUAGCUUUUGAGGAAAAGUACCUGGGGUUACCUACCCCGGAAGGACGUAUGUCUAAGGGAAAAUUUCAGAAUUUGCAGUCUCGUCUGCUGAAGAGAAUCAUUGCUUGGGGCGACACCCUCUCGCUUGCAGGGAAAGAAAUAAUGAUAAAAGCCAUUGCCCAAGCUAUCCCCACAUAUAUCAUGGGAGUUUUCAAGUUACCUAUGUCUGUCUGUGAUGACCUAAACAGAAUGGUGAGGAACUUUUGGUGGGGCUCCGCUGAAGGCAAGAGGAAAACUCAUUGGUUGGCAGGCCAAAAAUCUUAGCUCAUAAAACGAAGGGCGACCUGGGCUUCAGAGACUUUCGUGUUUUUAACCAGGCUCUCCUUGCUCGCCAGGCGUGGCAGUUUAUGUGCACAGGUGCUGAAAGCUAGGUACUACCCAGAUGGACGCCUAGAGGACACAGUCUUCUCCGGAAAUGCUUCUUCUAUGUAGCAGGCCACACAAUAUGGAUUGGAGCUACUAAAGAAGGGCAUUGUGCGGCGCGUAGGGGAUGGCCAGAACAUCCGCAUAUGGUGGGAUCGGUGGGUCCCCCGGGAGCCAUCGCGCCAGCCUGUCUCCCAGCAGGGCACAUGCCGACUCCGGCGGGUGGCUGAGCUCCUCGGCCCGAACGGGACUUGGCGCAUGGACCUACUCCGGUGCUACUUCCUUCCGGCAGACGUCGACGCGAUCGCCGGCAUCCGCACUUCACCUUGUGUCACGGACGACAUCAUCACAUGGGCUCCGGAGAAGAACGGUAUCUUCACCGUUCGAUCCGCCUAUCGCUUUGCCAUGGACGAGCGCGAGCGUCCAUCGGCCACAGCCAUGAGCAGGGCACUGGAUGGUCAUCGCGCCAUCUAGAAGAUCAUAUGGGGGUGCCCUGCUCCCCCGAAGGUACGCGUGUUUGCAUGGAGGAUUGUUACAAACUCACUUGCUACCCGGGGAAACAAAUUCUCUCACCACCUUGAGAUUACUGAUAUUUGUCCCCUUUGUGGAGUGGAACGAGAAGACGGGUUCCAUGCAUUCUGCAGGUGUCCACUAGCUAAGGAACUAUGGCAUGCUAUGGCCUUGGACUGGCCUAUACCGAGUGUCGACGCCAUCCCUAAUGUUGGGCCGGAAUGGCUCUUCACACUUCUGGAGCCACUGGAUGAGGCGACACGGAUGAUUGUGCUCAUGAUCAUGUGGAGGAUUUGGCAUGUGCGGAAUGAGAUUACGCAUGAGAAGAAGCCACCACCCACAGAAGCUUCUCACCGAUUCCUUCAUGGGUACAUCAAUUCACUCUUGUGUGUGCAGCAACACCCAAGUGGAGAUGUGGUCAAGGGAAAGAUGGUACUCAAUGCACCACCGAUCCUCACUAGAGAGCUGGCUCCUCUCAAGGACGAGCGAGGAUGGGUUGCCCCAGAGCUAGGCAAUACUAAACUUAAUACAGAUGGUAGCUUUGUACCGGCGACAGGAUUGGCUGGAGGCGGCAUGGUCCUUCGGGAUUCUGAGGGCAAGAUCAUUUUCAGCGCUUGUAGAGAAAUUCGCGCAUGCGAUAAUGUGCUCACGGAAGAGCUAGCGGCGUGUCGGGAGGGCCUGGAGCUAGCUCUUUUCCGUACGGACGCGCCCAUUAAAGUCGAGCUUGAUUGUGCGGAGGCGGUGACAAUGAUCACAGGUCGUGAGCUGGACCGGUCGGCUCAUCGCACCGUCAUUGAGGAAAUCAGGAGACUGGCAAUGAUGGAGGGGAGGGAAGUCUCUUUUAGUCUUUGUUGUCGUUCGCAGAACAAAGUUAGUCAUGAGCUUGCCAAAUAUGGCAGGAGCACCCCUCGCACCGCUGUUUGGUUGCACUCGGGGUUAGACUUUACGACAAUGCUAAAAUCUUGCCGACUGGUGGUUUGCAUCAGAUCCGAAUGACUCGCGUGCCGUCAGAUCCUAAUCCUGCGCGCGUCAUCCCUUCCUUUUCCCCCGCCUGAAUCUGGUCGCUCCUUCCUUUUUUCCGCCGAAUCUGGUCGCCCGCAGAUUGCAUCCCGAUUUUCUAUCCUGCUCGCACGUUGACCUGUACUGUAGUUAAGAACCGAUUUUCUCUCCGGUCCGACCGCACAUCAAUCUCUGCUGCAUUAGAGGUGGACCCGCCUACAAAUUGAGCUACUGUUGUUUAGCGGAAGAAAAAAUAGUCUAGAGUGGGAUUCGAACCCACGUCACCUACGAUGCUAGGAAAGCCAACAACCAACUAAGCCAAAGCAAUUUGAUGUAAACUUACCAUCUGUUACCCAACUCACCUAACCUUUUAGCAUGGUAAUUAGCCCAUGGCCUUGUCGUUGCACUAUACGGUGACAUAUGCCAUUUCUUUACCUCAUGAUCUUAUCUAUAGAUGUUGGGCCUCACCUCGGAGGAAGAGCACGGUGCAUGGGGUGCAACAGGCCAUGCACGACUCGUUUAGUCGUGUAUCAGGCUGGGCCUGUUACGUGCCAAGCAUGCGUGCUUGUGGGCCAGCCCGUGAAAAAUGGACAGGAUAAAAGUUGAUAAUUCACGUACAAAUACCACGGUAACUUCAUUAUAAAUAGCUGAUAACUCAAGUACAAACAUCACUGUAACUUUUCAUCCUCGUGAUAAAAGUUGUUUAAACAUAUACCCCAAUAACUUUGAUGGAAAUAACAUGGGUGUUAGAAUAAAUCCGAGGCAUACCGUCGAUCAUCCAAGGACCAAGCAAUCCAAUGAGCAUAACACCGAGAUUUGUUAACGAGGUUCACCAAUAUGGCUACAUCCCCGGGGCAUGACUACGGGCGCUCCUCCCCGUGACACCAUCACAAUACCGCACCCGGUCGCCCUGGACACCGGCACAUGCCGCCGGCUUCCCCUGCGUUCCGGUGCUAUUAUGUUGGCAUCGGUUACAUCGUGUGUCUACCCCCGCUAUAUAUGAGAGGCCUAGGAUACAAGUCCUACUAGGACACGACUCCACAUCCUAUGUAAACACGAUACAACUACAAGUCCAACUGUAACCUACCUUGUACACUAUAUUCGACACAACUCUAACAAACUCCGCCUUGGCGAAUAUUCUCCACCACCUUGAAUUUGUCUAUGCGUCAAACUUCCAUGUACAUUGGACUUGAGCUUAUCCCAUGAGCACCGCUGCUACUCGAAAAACUCCAUGUGACUCCACCUGCAACUUGUAGUCCCUUCUUUUCUUGACCACUGUCAACACUCGAGCAAACUUAAGUUUCUUGUUACUCUAGUCUGUGCUCCCAACUUCCAGAGUAUCCGUCCAACGACAUCACACACUGAUCACUGACCUGCGUGAAAGUGAACAACUUACAUAUUGGGUGUCACACAUAAGAGCUACCUGAACUCAACAUCACCACUCCUUUCUUGACCGCCUGUCUGAAACUUGAAGGAAUUUCACCAUUGCUCGUAGUCAUCCCGAGUCAAAUUCACAGUUGUCUCACCACAUGUAUGACCACCAGAGCCCUGGCCCGUCUCCAUGUCCCGUGCGUACCGCACGCCUCGCCGCUAUUACCGCGUCGAGCCUCCGCUGUCCCGGUCGAGUCUCAAGGGUCGCGAACCCACACCACUCAACCCCCACUGCAGAGUACCAUCGAUCAUCACCGACCGAUGACGAGUUUCACGCUUCCAUCAGACCACUGGGCUCCAAUCCGAACUGCAUGUCACUCGCUUUUCCCACUGAAUAGGCUUCGACUCUCUGUCGACUUACGCCGUAGCCCCUCAAUCAGCUCCACCUUCAACAUGACUCCAUGGUAGAUGAUCAGUCCACCCCCGCGCCUCAUCGACUUCAAGCUCCGUGUAUACACCACCUUGAAUCAAUCCCGUGCCAUAGUCUUGUCAAAGCCACACAAGCCUCAGGCCUGCGCCACGUGUUUCCACGCCCAGAAGUCGGUCACCAUUAGCAUCACGCCCAUAUGUCGUCGCCGAUCCCACCACCGUCUUCUGUACCAACCGACUUGCGUCGAUCUGUCAGACUGUCCAGUCCGACCCAGCCGAACUUCUCCGACUGCAGACACAUUCCAGACUUCCCAAGUCAUCACCGUGACCACCGUCAUCCAUACACACAUGUGUACCGACAAAGAAAACGAAAGAAAAAAUUCCCUCAUAGCUUUCCCGUGUGAACCACACGUAUGUAGCUUCUGGAUCCCUUCUUUUAUUUCUUUCUUGAUGAUAGCAUCACGAUCAAACUCUAGGUCCUUGUGCCAAAAAAAAUUCCCAAACAAAUCUCAUGUCUCAGCACUUCAGCAGCAUUUCCGUACGCUCAGCAGCCUCCUGUGAACAACACGCCUUGACCACCAGCUAUCACAUGCUCCCUCACGGCCCAAUCUAUCUACUGAGCCAUGACCCAGCACGGUCUGCUUGCUCCAGGCGCCACGUGGGCUCCGCGCUGCACCCGGUCCAGACACAUGCGCUGUAUUGCACCCAAUCGACCGUGUCGCUGCCAGGUCCUCAGCCGCCACGCGCACUCAGAUCCAACCUCGUGCACUCCGAGCAUCCGAGCGGACCGUGUUAUGUACGUGCCGCACCUGACGCAGCUUCCUGGACCGCCACGCGUGCCUCGCUGUUGCGCUUCCGCAUCGAACCAACCAACCGCUGCCUGCCCGGAUCGAAUCUGCUGUUGUACGAACUCGCCGAAAACUCUGAUCGCUCUAGACCACCGCUUUGAUCGAAAACUGCCGCUAUUUUUCACCGUUUAGACUGCUUUUGAUCUUUCCGUUGACCUCCACGAACAACUUCGAUCUCACCGCAAUCACCUGGCAACCCUUGCAGCCGCUCCCUCGAUCAAACUGACAUCCUCUAGAUCAACCACCGACCUAGCUUAUGAUACCACUUGUUAGAAUAAAUCCGAGGCAUACCGUCGAUCAUCCAAGGACCAAGCAAUCCAAUGAGCAUAACACCGAGAUUUGUUAACGAGGUUCACCAAUAUGGCUACAUCCCCGGGGCAUGACUACGGGCGCUCCUCCCCGUGACACCAUCACAAUACCGCACCCGGUCGCCCUGGACACCGGCACAUGCCGCCGGCUUCCCCUGCGUUCCGGUGCUAUUAUGUUGGCAUAGGUUACAUCGUGUGUCUACCCCCGCUAUAUAUGAGAGGCCUAGGAUACAAGUCCUACUAGGACACGACUCCACAUCCUAUGUAAACACGAUACAACUACAAGUCCAACUGUAACCUACCUUGUACACUAUAUUCGACACAACUCUAACAAUGGGAAUAUACACAUAUCAGACCUGAUAACUCACGUGCAAAUACCGCGGCAACUUUUCACCUCUAGAUGAAAAUUGUUAAAACAUACCCAGUAAUUUUUAUGUAAAUAUCAUGGUAAUAUAGACAUAAAAGCUGAUAACUCACAUACAAACACCACUGUAAUGUUUUGAACGGGAUUAAAGUAUUGAAAAACAUUCCCCAGUAACUUGUGUGUAAUUAGCAUGAUAAUAUACACACAGUAGAGCUGAUAACUCACAUACAACACACAUGAUUACUUUUUAAAAGGGAAAAAUGUUGCUGAAAACAUACCUUGAUAACUUGUCUGUAAGUAGCAUGAUAAUAUAUGACAAUACAGUUGAUAACUCAUGUAUGAACAUCGCAGUAACUUUUGACCGUAAAAUAAUAUAAUCUUUAAACAUACCUCCGAUAAUUUUUUGUAUAAAUACAUGGUAAUAUACGCACAACAGAGCUGAUAACUCACGUACAAGCAUCACAGUAACUUUUUUGGCCCGGAUAAAAAAUGUGUUGAAAAACAUAGACCUGGUAACUUCUGUCUAAUUAGAAUGGUAACAUGUGCAUAUCACAGCUGAUAACUUAGCCNNNNNNNNNNNNNNNNNNNNNNNNNNNNNNNNNNNNNNNNNNNNNNNNNNNNNNNNNNNNNNNNNNNNNNNNNNNNNNNNNNNNNNNNNNNNNNNNNNNNNNNNNNNNNNNNNNNNNNNNNNNNNNNNNNNNNNNNNNNNNNNNNNNNNNNNNNNNNNNNNNNNNNNNNNNNNNNNNNNNNNNNNNNNNNNNNNNNNNNNNNNNNNNNNNNNNNNNNNNNNNNNNNNNNNNNNNNNNNNNNNNNNNNNNNNNNNNNNNNNNNNNNNNNNNNNNNNGACCUAUGAAACAUUUUGAACGUUUGAAAUAAGGAUAAUCUAAGAUAACAUCAUAUUUUUUUUGUUCUCUAGUGUAAGCAUGCAUGUGUACGUGGAGAGAAGGCUGAAACAAUCAUUUUUAUGUCCUAAUAAUUUCCACGUAAACAACAUGAUAACUUAUGGAUCACACGCGUGAUAAAUUAUGUAGUCUAGGGAUGAUAACUCUUUACUAAAAAAAAAGUCGUCGAAACAUAUCAAUAUGGGAUCUAGUUUUAAAGGUCUCGUUGCGACGAAUCUUUUCUGUGAAAAUAAUUUUUUAGUUGGAGCAACGGUUUAAGCUACAAAACAUUUUAAAAUUAAAAUUUUGUUGAAAUCUUUGAUGACAUCAUCUUUUUUGUCUCACAUGCAUGCAUUCACACUUAAAUCAAUUGGACACGGAUGCUUCCUGCACACUUUGCUCCGCUUUUUCCUCAGCACACCGCAAUCUUGCAGCAUGCACAACCACUAGUUCUGCUAGUCGCUGGUCCUUUGAUUCUGUUUGCACUCGUCCGGAUCUGUUCCUAAAAUCCGACCGUAUGGACGUUGGCACACUCCUAGAUUUUAUUGUAAACUUGGCUCUGGCUGAAAAGCCUCCGUGAGCAAUGAGAAUCCCCUUUUCACCCGUAAAAAAAAACUUCUUUUUUCUGGAUGCUGGGGAAAUCUUUAAAAAAGAAUUGCAGAGAAAAAUCCUUUUUUUUGACAUCAUGCUGGUGAAAAUCUUAGUGGGAACGGAGGGAUUUGUCAUAAAAAAAACCAGAAGUGAGGCAUAGGCGGUUAAGGUAAACGUCCUUAAUAACUUUGAAAUCGUUAAUCUCCAAUCCGACGACGCAGACCAUCCUCCUCCCAAUCCCUAAUCGAUCCUUCCGAUGCGGCGAAAUCGAGCAAAGGCCGCCGUCAACCUCCCGCCGGACAUGCUAGCCAACAUCCACGCCCGCCUUAGCCCCCUCGACCGCCUGGCCUUUGCCGCCGCCUUCCCCGCCUCGCGCGGCGCGUUCAGGACAGAGGCGCCGUGGCUCGUCCUGCCCGGCGGCGACAACCCGGACACCGCGACGCUCUUCUCGCUCUCCGAUCGCAUUGCCACCACCCUGCGCGCCCCGGAGCCCGCGUUACGCGGCCACGUCGUCCUGGGCUCCUCCUCCGGCGGCUGGCUCGUCACCGCCAACGACCGGGCCCGGAUGCGCCUCGUCAACCCGGUCACCGGCGAGCAGCGCGCGCUCCCGGCCAUCACCACCAUCCCGGGCCUCUUGGAGAAGUGGGGCGGCUUCAGCUACAUGAUGCUCCAGCCGAAAGACUUCCUCAGGGGUCCCCCGUACCACGUCGGCGGCGACCGCCCGCCGCAGGGGACGUUCACUAUGGGUGCCGAGCUGAUGCGUCGCUUCUUCUAUCGCAAGGUCGUCCUCUCCGACUCCGACUCGCCGGGCCCUGCCGCCGCCAUGCUGAUCACGGGACCGCGAUUCGGCGUCCCGGCCUUCGCCACGGCGCAGGGCGGCGGGUGGAGGCUGGCUCCCUCACGUGAAGGCGUGGAGGACGCCGUCCACUACAACGGCAAGUUCCACUCCAUCACCUACGCCGGCGCCGUGGAGGCGUGGGAGCAGCCUGCCAAUGCUGGCGGCGUGUUUGCGAGCACAGCGGUCGCGCCAAGGCCAAGGCUGCCCAAUGCGGACGGCGAUCCGUCGUCGUGCCGCAAGUACCUUGUAGUGGUGCCGGGCGGCCGGCUGAUGGUGGUGCUCAAGGAGUCCAAGGAGGAGACCACGGAUAAGUACUCCCGCCCUCGGAGGACGUGCUCCUUCAAUGUGCAGGUCCUUGACGGGGAACAGUGGAAGGAGACGGACGAUAUCGGGGACGCCGCGCUGUUCGUCGGGGUGAACAGUUCGCUCUACGUGUCGACGAGGGAGCACCCGGAGCUCAGGGCCGGCUGCAUCUACUACACCGAGAACGAUACAGAACUGUGCAAGGAUGGCCACAACGCCGACGAAGACAACAGAGUCGGUGUGUACAGCCUCGAGGUCGGUUGGACUGAGAAGGUCGAGGGCCUCGGGCAGCACAGGAGCUGGCCGCCUCCGGCGUGGUUCAUUCCUGCCAUCCCAUGAUGAUCGAUAUAAGUAUUGAUAAGAGUAAUUGAUAGCCUAGGUUGGUGUUUUUCAGUAAAGAAAAAGGCUUGACAACCAAGAAAACAGUUCAGUUUCCAGCUUCGUCUUCAGGAAACAGUUUUUGAUUAUUGUCUUGUGAGCUUUCUGGAUGGACAGGUUUUAUUUACUAAAUAAGAUAUAAGAGUAAUUAUGAAUAUUUGUUCCAGAUUACAACCAAGCUACAACAAUUGAUAGCCUGGUUUCUAGAUUGUUUCAAUAGUAGGGAAUUUGUUGCAGUGUGCAGUGCAGCAGAGCUUAGCUAAGGCAGUAAGGCAGUGUAUGCAUGUGCUUAGCUGAUGACUUGAAAGCCUCACAGCCUAUGCUUACUUAAUUACUGCGCUUUUUUUAAGAUCGGGUUUCAGAAUUAUGCUACAACAAUUUGGUUUGCAGCAUGUUUCAGACUCAAGUCAUUUGUGUUUGUUUCAAGUUUCAGAAGUAACGAAGCACUAGCUAGUUUAAUGUAGUAGUUUUGCAGGCCUCAAAUUUCGACGCCUCCCAUGUUUUUUUUUGUUGUUGUCUGCUGCACACAGUUGAAUCUCCAAGUCACAAGAUAUUGUCAGUGUUGAUCAGUUGUGGGGAGUGAGGGCCCGUUCGGCAAACAACCGCUCCAACAUUUUAAGCUACUGCUCCAUCCGCUCCGGGAGAGGAGUGGUGGAGCCGGAGGGACUCCGAACAGGCCUAUUGUGUCCCUGCCAAGUGAAAGGCUUGAGAGUUUUCCUUAUCUGAAAGAUCUGGUGCUUUGUGGGUGCCUAGGUCUCAACUGACAAAUGGAUUGGCGCUGUUAUCAUCUCUCCAAAGGCCCAGCUUACAGUAAUCGGUUGAGAAAUUGGAGAUUAGGAAUUUUCAAAGUCUAGUUUCAGUUGGUGCUCCAAAGGCAGUUGAAUAAAUAAAUAAAUAAGGUGUUGAUAUACGAUUGUUCAAAGUUAAAGGAAGCGGAUGAGAUCAAUAGAAGAUCCCGCCUAAGGCCCCGCUUGGAACAUCGUUUUACAGCCGUAUACACCUGUAAAAUACUCCCCCGUAACCAAAAAUCGGGCCCCUUUCAGUUAGCCGAUUGGUUCGUCGUUUUGGGCCGUAAUUUCUACAUGUGUUUUCCAUAUUACACCCGUAACAGGCCGGUAUCUGAUACAGACAAGCGCCUGUCGUUUUUCCCCACCUCGCCGUCGCUGCGGCCUAGAUCGAGGCUGCGCUGCCGGGAGGCGCUGGGGCUGGUCUCCCCGAGGGGGUGACGCGAUGGUAUUUGCGACGGCGACGUGGUGAGCCGCCGCCGAUGUUGACCCCUGAUGGGGGUUAGGCGCGAUGACGGCGGCGACUCGCUCCUUACCGCGACGGCGACGCUGACCGGCAGUCCUGACCGUGACGGCGAAUCUCUCUGCCUCCUCCAAGCGGCCUCCUAUGCUCGACCAAGGUACCCUCCCUCCUCCUCUGCUCCCCCUCAGUCGGCGGCGGGGAGCUCCUCCUUGGCUACGUGGAUGAGCGUAUUACAACCAGGGAGCCAAGCAGUGUUUACAAGUGGAAAACAAGUACAACCGGAUUCUGCUGGUGCCUGGUAAGAUACAAGUGUAAACAUUUACAACUGGAAAAGAAAUCCGACAAUCCAAUCGCAGCCUAAGGUAUUUGUGCUAAUGCCUAAUGCUUGUUCAGUGUCCAGCUUUUCUCUCUGUUGCUCAAAAUUCCCUAUGGACUGUAAAUUAGGCAUGUACUCCCUUCGUCCUAAAAUUCUUGUCUUAGAUUUGUCUAGAUACGGAUGUAUCUAAUACUAAAACGUGACUUGAUACAUCCAUAUUUAGAAAAAAUUGAGGCAAGAAUUUUGGGACGGAGGGAGUAUUAUGUAGUAGCAAUUCCACUUAAAUCAAUAUCAGUAAAGUAGGGUAGACUUACUCAUUGGUGACACCUACAUGCAUUAUAUAUCUCGUUUCUGCUUGUUAGUUUCAAUGUUUAUCUGUUCAUAUUUUCCGAAAAGAAAUGUGUGAUGUGUACUGACAUUUUCAAAAGAAACGAAAAAAGUACCUAAGGGGGGCUAUUUUCAAAAAUGUUGAUUUCUUUUUGCCACGGCUUCCACGAAUGUCAUUCCCUGAUGAAACUUGGCAAGCACUCAAAACAUUUGUCAUUCUUUGCCAUCAAUUUUUUUUUAAUUUUUAGAUCUUAUUAUUCGUGGUGGUAUCAUAAGAGCUAAAACUCGGAUGGGCACUCACCAACACUUUUGUCAUGAAUGCAACUGACAUUGACAUACAUGUGAUGUUUUUUUGAACAUUUUGGUAUCUUAUUUGCAUUUUUUUAUUUAGUAUGAAUUUGUCAUGAAGUUUUCAAAGUGACGGUCAAACGGUCAAAGGGCUUAAGUACAAGACGCCAAAGUGGGUUGGUCAAGACCACGUGUUUUCAGAAUCUGGGGCCAAUCAUGACGAAGGGGACACAACCAAGGGUAUAAAACCAAUUAUUUCUUUUUGUCUUGUCAAAUUUUCUCUACUGACCAUGUUAUGUUGUUCUUCAAGGCAAAUGAAUGAUCUGACAACAUACAGUAACCUACACUGUAGGUGCAUUUCCUGGAAGUUGUAGACCCACAGACAAUUAGACAUCACGCCCUUCAUCUUUGCCGUCUCUAUAUAUCUAGCUAGGACACAUCUGUGCUUAUGCCCUUAUGUUUGCACGAUUCGUAGUGAAAUUUCAUAAUCUAUGACAUGCCGUAUCUGUGUGUUUUGGUGGAUCUUUUCUCUGGAAUUAUUUCCAAAGGAAUUGUGGUGUGCAGCAGAACUUAGCUAACGCAGUAUUUCCUUAUUUAACUCACUCAUAUAGUAAAUGUGCUACUUAUGAAGUUGCUGCUGGUGCUUGGGGUCAAUCAAGAGCCCGACCAUAGAUUGCAACUUCGUUUGGAUUAUGUGAUGGAUUUGAUGUUAGAUAUGUGGAUUUAAUGUUACAUAUGUGGAUUUCACGUUAUAUAUGUGGAUUUGAUGAUGAUCCAUCUUAUGUAUGUGGAUUAGGGCAUGUAGGUAUUUUAAAUUGCAGGGCGGAAGCAAAACAAAAAAAAAUGGAGUACUUAUAUGCUGACGGCAAAGCCCUUGGCAUAUCCCUCGGCAUAGCACCCAGUUAUGCUGAUGGCAAAGCCCUCUCCAAAGCGUCCCACCUGGGAGCACUAGGGCCCGCCAUGUGCCUAGUUAUGCCGAUGGUUUUGUCGUUGAUAACGCCUGACAUAUAUGCCGACGGCCAAGACCUCGACAAAGCAGCCCACAUGGGAGCACCAGGGCCCGCCACGUGCCCAGCUCUGCCGCGGUUUGGCCGUCAGCUAUGUCUGCUUGAUAUGCCAAUGGGAAAACCCUCAACAAAGCUGCCCACCUGGGAGUACUAGGGCCCGCAACAUGCCCAGUUCUGCCGACGAUUUUGCCGUUGGCAAAGUCUCUAGAAUGGCAGACAAACCUUAACGGCUAUUUUUUUCGACGAUCGUUCUGUGCUGAUGGCCGUUAGUAAACCAUCGGCAAACGUCCCUGUGCCGACGACCAUGUGGGCUUUGUCGAUGGGUAGUUGCCGAGGGCAACCGUCGGCAUAGCCCUCUGGCCGCCAUCUCCAGGGUCUCCGGUCACAAUGGCAGCAGUGUGAGCUUCCGCUCAGGCCCCACUGCCGCAGCCGCAUCGCCAUUAGCUGCUCAAAGAGACUGUCGUGUCGUGGCUGGCCGGUCCACCGCCCUCCAGGCGUGAGCACGGCCGCGAGUCGAACGGCUUGGCGGAGAACCCCGACGCGCUCGGCGGGCCAUAGAUAAGCACGACACUGAUCGAGCACUGCUGGACAUAAGCUCACGCACGCCCGCUGCAGCUUGCCGGGGGCGGCGGUGAUGGUCGAAAUCUGUCGGCCCCGCCCCCGUCUUCUUCCCCCGCGCCCUUCCCCUGUUCCCAAAGCCCAAAGCCCCAAACCAAGAAGGAAACCAGAGCCGCUCCUAAUCCAGAAAUCCCGCCCGAGCCCCACCUUCCUGGACCGGCAAACGCCACGAUGGACGCUCGUCCGGGCUUCCUUAGCUGGCUAGUGGGGCUUCCAUUCGGAGCCAGUUGCCGCGCCGGCAUGUUUUGCUUCUACUUUUGUGACUACUGCUGUGCCGAACAACCGGCCAACCACCAUCGCAGGCAGGCCAGCACGCUGUAUUUACAGGUACCAAUUGAUCCCCCGCCCACUUCUGAUUAUUGGUUUCUUUUCAUGCAGUGGUUUCUUGAUUUCUUGGAAAAACUUCGUUUCUCAAGUGAGUUCAUAAUCGAACCUCCUAUGUUCGUCCUUGUGUGAUUGCUCUCUUUCUCGUUCUACCAGCUUCUUGCUUCCUAGAAGAACUUCGUUUAUCCCAUGAGUUCAGAUUCGAACCCUCCUCUGUUCUUUUUCCAUUAAUUUUCAGCCAGCUUCUUGGUUUUCUGGAAGAAUUUUUUUUUGGUUCGUGCCUGUUCCAUCGAGGUCAGAAAGAAAAUUUCUUGCACAAUUAGGGGAAAUCCUAGUAGUAGCGUGGGUUUUGAGGCUAUCAGCGGCGCGGGCGGCCGCGCUACUACUACGGCGCUGCAGCUAACAGUUUGUAGUAGCGCGGUCAGCACCCGCGCUACUACUGUUGACUAUAUCAGCAGCGCUUUUCCCGAACGUGCUACUAUUAUUUAGCUAUAGCGCUUUCCUAGCCCCUCGCUACUGCUAUAUCUUUCAUCAUUUUCCCCCGCUUCCUACCCCGUUUUAUUUCGGUUUCAAUAAAAUGCAAUUUCCAGAUACUAGGUACUACCAUAUACUAGUACUCCCUCCGUUCCAAAUUACUCUGUCGUGGUUUUAAUUCAAACCACGACGAGUAAUUUGGAACGAAGGGAGUACUAGAUAACAAUUUCAUGCAUAGUCAACAUGCAUCCUCAAGCAGUACAAGGUCAUAUCAAUGACGAUCAUCAUAUGUAGUUCUAGAUGAUAUCGACGACGAUCAUUAUAUGUAGUUCUAGAUGAUAUCGACGACAAUCAUCAUAUGUAGUUCUAGAUGAUAUCGACGACAAACAUCAUAUGUAGUUCUAGAUGAUAUCGACGACAAUCAUCAUAUGUAGUUCUAGAUGAUAUAGCCACACACACACAUAUAUAUAGUUCUAGAUGAUAUCGAAGACGAUCAUCAUCCUCAAGCCUGGGCGGUUGGUGUUCCUGAUAGUAAUUAGGAUGGCCUGUCCAACACGAAGAUUCUUGCCAUCGAGGAAUUUUUUCCAUCCAACCGAGUUUAAGUGUGUGCGACCAUCCGUGUCCACGCGGUAAGUACAGGUUGUGACGGAGCCCCUUGCGGUAAGGCGUAGUCCAGUUGAGCCUUCUUCAUCAGGCUCGAUACCAUAACUCACAGAUAGGCUCUUUGCCAAUUUUUGAAUAAGAAAAACAUAUCAAUUAAUAAAUAGCCUCGCACAUACUCUUGCAAAUAAGUAUAUAUGGAUUAUCUACACUAUUAGUAGUUCCUUAGAUUCUACACUAAUAAGCAUGUGAUCGAACUCUACACUAAAGCAUAUCAUCGACUAGAUUCCACACAACAUACCAUAUCAUUGGACUCUACACUAAGCAUAUCAUUGGAUAAUUUGCAUUUGUAAGUAUAACAUACCAUAUCAUGUCGAUCGACCAUGGUACUUGUCAGGCGGGUCACGAAUGACACCCCGACAAAGUCAACACGUGGCGGAAUUAUGUCCCAUAGGUUGGACACCUCCUCCUCACUCAGCCUCAUUCUUUGAGCUGCGAUGGCUUCAUGAAGUGGGUCCUCAUCAUCUUCAUCGAGUGGGUCCUCAUUAUCUUCAUCAUCUUUGUCAUCUUCAUCAUCUUCCACCAGGUUUAUAUAAAUGACAGCCAACUUGGGUCUUUCUACUCUGAAGGAGAAGCUGAUCAACUCACCACCAGUAAGACGCAUGCGGGCGAGGAAAUGGACCCAUCCAUCUCCUCCAAUCUGCGAAAUAUUUCGUCCUUUCUCGACCUCCAUAGUGUACGGCCCCCCAGCAGCCUCAAAUGUCAUAGUGUCUCCUGUCAGCUUGUUGAAUUUCAACCUCACAUUGCAUGGGACGAUCUGUGUAAAAAAAAAAAGCAAAAUGACACAAUGCAGUAAUGCCAACACUAAAAAUAAAAUAGUUGUUACAUUUCAUAUAAUUUCCUACCACCGCAUGACGAAAACUCGGCUGGAAGUAGAUGCCGAACAGCUUGCCAGUUGCAAGGCUGCUGGUGCACCUUGACUUGCACAAUCGACAUGGUGGUGGUGGUGGUGGCGCCAUUUUCCUAAAGCAAUAUGCAGAGUGUCAAAUCUUCAGAGCUAUCAACUAGCAUACUAAAUCAAUUAAAUUAAAAUGUUCUAUAAAUCAACUAGAUCAAUUAGCCUAUUAAAUCAACUUGCCUACUAAAAAUCAACUAAAUCAAAAUGUUCUAUAAAUCAACUAAAUCAACUAGCCUAUUAAAUCAACUAAAUCAAAAUAUUCUAUAAAUCAACUAAAUCAACUAGCCUACUGGAUCAACUUGCGUACUAAAUCAACUAAAUCAAAAUGUUCUAAAUCAAAUAAAUCAACUAGCCUACUAGAUCAGCUUGCCUACUAAAUCAACAAAAUCAAAAUGUUCUAAAUCAACUAAAUGAACUAGCCUACUAAAUCAACUAAAUCAUAUGAACUAAAUCAAAAUGUUGCAUAUGAACUAGCCUACUAAAUCCAAAUGUAGUAGGGAGGAAGGGUUGUUGAUGGAGGAGGGAGGAGGGAGAAGGAGGGGCGACUGGAGGAGGGAGGAGAGAGUAGGACGGAGUAGGAAGGGCGGAGCGAGGAGGGGCGGGCCGGUGCGGCGAGUCGAGGGAGGACGGAGGAGGAGGGCGGUACCGAGUCCAGCAAGAAGGAGGAGGUGACGGCGGCACAGAAGGAGGAGUGGUAGGCGACGGCGGCCGGCAGGGGAGGACCGGCGCGGGGGGUUGAGGGGGAGGUCGAGGGGGAGUGUGUAAGUGUGAGUGUGUGGAUAGGAUAGAGGAGAGCGUGGGCGGGCGGGAGGUAGCUAGUUUUAGCAGUAGCGCGGUGUAGGUAAAUGCGAUACUGCUAAACUACCUAGCAGUAGUGCCCUUUUAGUUAACGCGCUGCUCCUAUAACUAGCUUCACGGCGGAGUCGUGGGAAUAGUAGCAGUAGCGUGGCUUAUCGGAGGAGCGCUACUGCUACUUUUAUUUCAGCAGCGCGUUGUGGUGGAACUCGCUACUGAGAAAUUGCAGCAGUGCCUUGUUUUAAAACUCGUUGCUGGUAAGAUCCUAUGUAUAGGCUUUUCCCUAGUAGUGUUGGAUCAAAUCAUGUUUGCCUCCUUUGAUUGUUUUGUUUGACCCGCAGGUUCGUAUGAUGAACAGAGGUUGCAGAUACAGCCUCAAUGACAUCAAGCGGAUUAAGCUGGGUGGUGGCCCAUUUUUGCCGUUACACCGGAGGCAGGCUGCGCACCUUGGCAAAGCUGUCGGGCACGACUACAUUGGUUGCGGGGAUACGCUACGGUCCAAGAAGUGCAACAUCUGCAGCUUCGACUGCAAGGUAUGAUGUUCUUCAGUUGGAUUCUAGUCCUUUUGGUGGUUCACCGUCCAUGGUAGGGGGGAAAUCAAACCGCUGUUUUUUUUCAGCUAGUCGCCGAGGUACCGCCGCAUCAUAGCCGGUCCAGAGAAUUUUUAGGCCUAGGGCGUUUGAAAAACAAUCUUUUUCGUACUAAACAUUUAUACUUAUUUGAAACUAAGUGUAUCAUAUCAUAACGGUAACUAAUAUAAGUUUAUAUUACUUUGAGCCAUAUAAUAAUGUUUUCAAAUAAUAAAUAUAUUAUUCAUUGCUAUACAAUUGUAAUGUAUAUUAUUGAAAAUUUUAAGUCUACAAAUUAAAAUUUUACGAUGUAUCCAAUUUUUUCCUUAUUGUUAAAAUAAUCUUUCAAAAUUAUUUUCCAAUAUUGCAUAAAUGAUGUGCAUACACAUUUGCAUGUGUACAUAUUACUUUUAAUAUUAUUGAAUAUCAAGGUAGAGAUUUCUAAAUCAUACACACACUAAAAAAUAUUUUACUAGUGGUUUCUAGAGUAUAUUGGGCACUCGUAUUCAUAGAAACUUCUAGGGCAUAAAAAUGUGACUUGCAAGUUGGGUUUACUAAUAGAAUCAUCAAAGAACCAAAAAUGUUGUCGAAUAUACUUUUGCGUGUCGACUAGCUCACAUGCUUGUCUAGAUUUAUUUCAUUUGAUUUCAUGCAAAUAAGAUGCCCUACCUGUUUCUCAAAUUAAAAAUUAUGCAUUGGUUUAAACAUUGAAAUUUGUUAUCAUAAUUUUCAUUAUAAUACUAAGACAUGCAUCGUAAAGAGAGACUAGUGUCUUUGAGGGCUUAUAGCUCCUGUGCGACACAUUUUAUGUGAAUUGGAAGGUGUGAGAAGUAGUUGCCAUAAAUAGCUCGUGUGCGCCGUCUUACAUGGCAAUAAUAGCGCCAAUACGACCAGGUGGUUGAAACACGGGUCCGGUCGUCAACAGGACUGCGAUUAAGGUAAAAACAGGGGGUCAAAACUAAUUAUUCCGUCUGGUGGUGGGUCCCACUUGGCAGUGCAUCGAUUCCCCGACUGAAUGAAGAAGUGCUUCUUCCUUGCUUCUGGUUGCUGCAUGCUCCCUUCUUCAUUCUCAUCGGCAGCGGCGGCGGAGCUUUAGUUUUUCCGGCAGAGCUUUCGUUUACAGAGGCGACUGCGCAUGUGGUGAGUGUAUUCGGCACCAUUCCCCUCCGCAUUGAGUUAGAUCUGACCAAGUGAGCCUCUGUUUGCCCCCGUUUUCUAUGGGAUCCAGAUUGUGGAGGUGGAUGGGACUGGAGAGCUAUGGCAGGGUGGCGUUGGGCUGAACAAAAUGGAGCCACGAGAGACAACGUCCACCAAGUAAUCAUCCUGUCCAACCUCUUGAACACUGCGAUGUGUGCCUCGUCGUCUUCCACUGCCUCAUAGUGCUUGCCAUUGAUAAACAGGGGCAACGUUGUUCGAACCUUCAAAUUCAAUAUUGAAUUCUUACCAUCUAAAGCAAAGCUAGUUGAUAGUAGCGUGCGAGACAGAGAGAGAGAUGCAAUUGUGAAAUGGGAGGUUGAAUUUACAGAGAUUGAUCCAUAGGAAAUACAGAGCAUGGAAGAGAGGGCCGCGAGGAAUGUUGUGGAGAAAAUUGGGGAGAGCAUUUUUUGGGGUCAAGAGCAAGAGGUAGCAUUGUUACGGUUUGAUAAUUGGAAGGGUGAGUAUGUGAGGAUUGAGAAUGGUGAAGAGAUGGUUGAUGAAAUCGAUCGACAAGACGGUUGGGCAAGCAAACAGACUACCUUUCAUGCAGAGCUCGUUGAUAUGAAAUCAGAUUCUAUGUUUGGAUAUGUGCCCUCAAAGUUGGCUUCACGGAUGGUAGAGGAUGAUUGGGAUUCACAUAGACAGAUAACGCCCAUGUGUACGGAUGAAGUGACAGUGAUAGAGGGGGCUGAUCAAGAUGCAGAAGAGGGUUGUGAUGGUGCUGCAAGGGUUUUUUGUGUUGAUUGGAAUUCAGUAAAAUUAGAAGACACUAGUGAUUUGGUCAUUGCACCAAUGGCUGGCACUAAGAUGGCCAAUUUUUUGGCAUUCCAGUAAAUCUAGUAGAUGAUCAAGAUGAGGAAGAGAGGGCUGAAUCGAGUUUGCCUAAUAAUGCUAACAUAGAUGCUUGUGAAGAUGCGGAUGGGCGGCUGAUGAAAGAUGAUGUAGAUAAUGCACAUGAUGAUGAGCUUGUAAGUGUGUAUGACAAAGAAAAUCAUGUUAUUGAAGUAGGCAAGUGUUGGGGAACGUAGUAAUUUCAAAAUUUUCCUAUGCACACGCAAGAUCAUGGUGAUGCAUAGCAACGAGAGGGGAGAGUGUUGUCUACGUACCCUCGUAGACCGAAGCGGAAGCGUUGACGCAACGUAGAGGAAGUAGUCAUACGUCCUCCCGGUUCAACCGAUCCAAGCACCGUUACUCCGGCACCUCCGAGUUCUUGACACACGUACAGCUCGAUGACGCACCCCGAUCUCCGAUCCAGCAGAGGCACGGGGAGGAGUUCCGUCAGCACGAUGGCGUGGUGACGAUCUUGAUGUUCUACUGUCGCAGGGCUUCGCCUAAGCACCGCUACAAUAUGACCGAGGUGUAAUCUCAUGGAGGGGGGCACCGCACACGGCUAAGGAACGAUCUCAGUGAUCAACUUGUGUGUUCAUGGGGUGCCCCCUACCCUCGUAUAUAAAGGAGUGGAGGAGGGGAGGGCCGGCCCUCUACUAUGGCGCGCCCUAGGGGAGUCCUACUCCCACCGGGAGUAGGAUUCCCCCUUUCCUAGUCCAACUAGGAGACCUUCCAUGUAUUAGGAGUAGGAGACAAGGAAGGGGAAGAGAGAAGGGAAGGAAGGAGGGGGUGCGGCCCCUCCCCCUAGUCCAAUUCGGACUAGGCCAUGGGGGGGGCGCGCGGCCUGCCCUAGGCAGCCCCUCUCUCUUUCCCGCAGGGCCCAAUAAGGCCCAAUACUUCUCCCCGGCGAAUUCCCGUAACUCUCCGGUACUCCGAAAAAUACCCGAAUCACUCGGAACCUUUCCGAACUCCAAAUAUAGUCGUCCAAUAUAUCGAUCUUUAUGUCUCGACCAUUUCGAGACUCCUCGUCAUGUUCCUGAUCUCAUCCGGGAUUCCAAACUCCUUCGGUACAUCAAAACUCAUAAACUCAUAAUAAAACUGUCAUCGAGACCUUAAGCGUGCGGACCCUACGGUUCGAGAACAAUGUAGACAUGACCGAGACACGUCUCCGGUUCAUAACCAAUAGCGGGACCUGGAUGCCCAUAUUGGUUCCUACAUAUUCUACGAAGAUCUUUAUCGGUCAAACCGCAUAACUACAUACGUUGUUCCCUUUGUCAUCGGUAUGUUACUUGCCCGAGAUUCGAUCGUCGGUAUCCAAUACCUAGUUCAAUCUUGUUACCGGCAAGUCUCUUUACUCGUUCCGUAAUACAUCAUCUCGCAACUAACUCAUUAGCUGAAAUGCUUGCAAGGCUUAAGUGAUGUGUAUUACCGAGAGGGCCCAGAGAUACCUCUCCGACAUUCGAAGUGACAAAUCCUAAUCUCGAAAUACGCCAACUCAACAAGUACCUUUGGAGACACCUGUAGAGCAUCUUUAUAAUCACCCAGUUACGUUGUGACGUUUGGUAGCACACAAAGUGUUCCUCCGGUAAACGGGAGUUGCAUAAUCUCAUAGUCAUAGGAACAUGUAUAAGUCAUGAAGGAAGCAAUAGCAACAUACUAAACGAUCGGGUGCUAAGCUAACGGAAUGGGUCAUGUCAAUCAGAUCAUUCAACUAAUGAUGUGAUCCCGUUAAUCAAAUAACAACUCCUUGUCCAUGGUUAGGAAACAUAACCAUCUUUGAUUAACAAGCUAGUCAAGUAGAGGCAUACUAGUGACACUCUGUUUGUCUAUAUAUUCACACAUGUAUUAUGUUUCCGGUUAAUACAAUUCUAGCAUGAAUAAUAAACAUUUAUCAUGAUAUAAGGAAAUAAAUAAUAACUUUAUUAUUGCCUCUAGGGCAUAUUUCCUUCAGUCUCCCACUUGCACUAGAGUCAAUAAUCUAGAUCACAUCACCAUGUGAUUCACAUCGAUAGUUCACAUCAUCAUGUGAUUAACACACAUAGUUCACAUCGCCAUGUGACCAACAUCAAAAGGGUUUACUAGAUUCAGUAAUCUAGUUCACAUCGCUAUGUGAUUAACACCCAAAGAAUACUUAGGUUUGAUCAUGUUUUGCUUGUGUGAGAAUCUUAGUCAACGGGUCUUUCACAUUCAGAUCCGUUAUGUAUUUUGCAAUUAUGUCUACAAUGCUCUGCACGGAGCUACUCUAGCUAAUUGCUCCCACUUUCAAUAUGUAUCUAGAUCGAGACUUAGAGUCAUCCAGAUCGGUGUCAAAACUUGCAUCGACGUAACCCUUUACGACGAACCUUUUUCCACUUCCAUAAUCGAGAAACAUAUCCUUAUUCCACUAAGGAUAAUUUUGACCGCUGUUCAGUGAUCUACUCCUAGAUCACUAUUGUACUCCGUUGCCAAACUCAGUGCAGGGUAUACAAUAGAUCUGGUACACAGCAUGGCAUACUUCAUAGAACCUAUGGCCAAGGCAUAGGGAAUGACUUUCAUUCUCUUUCUAUCUUCUGCCGUGGUCGGGUUUUGAGUCUUACUCAAUUUCACACCUUGUAACACAGGCAAGAACUCUUUCUUUGACUGUUCCAUUUUGAACUACUUCAAAAUCUUGUCAAAGUAUGUACUCAUUGAAAAAACUUAUCAAGCGUUUUGAUCUAUCUCUAUAGAUCUUGAUGCUCAAUAUGUAAGCAGCUUCACCGAGGUCUUUCUUUGAAAAACUCCUUUCAAACACUCCUUUAUGCUUUGCAGAAUAAUUCUACAUUAUUUCCGAUCUACAAUAUGUCAUUCACAUAUACUUAUCAGAAAUGCUGUAGUGCUCCCACUCACUUUCUAGUAAAUACAUGCUUCACUGCAAGUCUGUAUAAACUAUAUGCUUUGAUCAACUUAUCAAAGCGUAUAUUCCAACUCCGAGAUGCUUGUACCAUUCCAUAGAUGCACAUUUUGUUAACACCUUUAGGAUCGACAAAACCUCUUGGUUGCAUCACAUACAACUCUUCUUUAAUAACUCCAUUAAGGAAUGCAGUUUUGUUUAUCCAUUUGCCAGAUUUCAUAAAAUGCGGCAAUUACUAACAUGAUUCGGACAGACUUUUAAGCAUCGAUACGAGUGAGAAAAUCUCAUUGUAUUCAACAUCUUGAACUUUGUCAAAAGCCUUUUUCGACAAGUCUAGCUUUGUAGAUAGUAACACUACUAUCAGCGUCCGUCUUCCUCUUGAAGAUCCAUUUAUUUUCUAUGGCUUGCCGAUCAUCGGGCAACUCCACCAAAGUCCACACUUUGUUCUCAUACAUGGAUCUCAUCUCAGAUUUCAUGGCCUCAAGCCAUUUCGCGGAAUCUGGGCUCAUCAUCGCUUCCUCAUAGUUCAUAGGUUUGUCAUGGUCAAGUAACAUGACCUCCAGAACAGGAUUACCGUACCACUCUGGUGCGGAUCUCACUCUGGUUUACCUACGAGAUUCGGUAGUAACUUGAUCUGAAGUUACAUGAUCAUCAUCAUUAGCUUCCUCACUAAUUGGUGUAGUAGUCACAGGAACAGAUUUCUGUGAUGAACUACUUUCCAAUAAGGGAGAAGGUACAAUUACCUCAUCAAGUUCUACUUUCCUCCCACUCACUUCUUUCGAGAGAAACUCCUUCUCUAGAAAGGAUCCAUUUAUUAGCAACGAAUGUUUUGCCUUCGGAUCUGUGAUAGAAGGUGUACCCAACAAUUUCCUUUGGGUAUUCUAUGAAGAUGCACUUCUCCGAUUUGGGUUUGAGCUUAUCAGGAUGAAACUUUUUUCACAUAAGCAUCGCAGCCCCAAACAUUAAGAAACAACAACUUUGGUUUCUUGCUAAACCACAGUUCAUAUAUUGUCGUCUCAACGGAUUUAGAUGGUGCCCUAUUUAACGUGAAUGCAGCUAUCUAUAAUGCAUGAUCCCAAAACGAUAUUGGUAAAUCAGUAAGAAACAUCAUAGAUUGUACUAUAUCCAAUAAAGUACGGUUAUGACGUUCGGACACACCUUAACGUUGUGGUGUUCCGGGUGGCGUGAGCUGUGAAACUAUUUCACAUUGUUUUAAUUGAAGACCAAACUCGUAUCUCAAAUAUUCGUCUCCGCGAUCAUAUCGCAGAAACUUUAUUUUCUUGUUACGAUGAUUUUUCCAUUUCACUCUGAAAUUCUUUGAACCUUUCAACUAUUUCAGGCUUAUGUUUCAUCAAGCAGAUAUACCCAUAUCUGCUCAAAUCAUCUUGUGAAGGUCAGAAAAUAACGAUACUUGCCACGAGCAUCAACACUCAUUGGAUCGCAUACAUCGGCAUGUAUUAUUUCCAAUAAGUCAGUAGCUCGCCCCACUGUUCCGGAGAACGGAGUCUUAGUCAUCUUGCCCAUGAGGCAUGGUUCACAAGCAUCAAGUGAUUCAUAAUCAAGUGAUUCCAAAAUCCCAUCAGCAUGGAGUUUCUUCAUGCGCUUUACACCAAUAUGACCUAAACGGCAGUGCCACAAAUAAGUUGCACUAUCAUUAUUAACUUGCAUCUUUUGGUUUCAAUAUUAUGAAUAUGUGUAUCACUAUGAUCGAGAUCCAAUGAACCAUUUUCAUUGGGUGUGUAACCAUAUAAGGUUUUAUUCAUGUAAACAGAACAACAGUUUAUUCUCUUACUUAAAUGAAUAACCGUAUUGCAAUAAACACGAUCAAAUCAUAUUCAUGCUCAACGCAAACACCAAAUAACAUUUAUUUAGGUUCAACACUAAUCCCGAAAGUAUAGGGAGUGUGCGAUGAUGAUCAUAUCAAUCUUGAAACUACUUUCAACACAUAUCGUCACUUCACCCUUAACUAGUUUCUGUUUAUUCUGCAACUCCCGUUUCGAGUUACUACUCUUAGCAACUGAACCAGUACCAAAUACCGAGGGGUUGCUAUAAACACUAGUAAAGUACACAUCAAUAACAUGUAUAUCAAAUAUACCUUUGUUCACUUUGCCAUCCUUCUUAUCCGCCAAAUACUUGGGGUAGUUUUGCUUCCAGUGACCAGUCCCUUUGCAGUAGAAGCACUUAGUCUCAGGCUUAGGUCCAGACUUGGGCUUCUUCAUGGAAGUGACAACUUGCUUGUCAAUCUACUUGAAGUUCCCCUUUCUUUUCCCUUUGCCCUUUUCUUGAAACUAGUGGUCUUGUUAACCAUCAACACUUGAUGUUCUUUCUUGAUUUCUACCUUCAUCGAUUUCAUCAUCAUGAAAAACUCGGGAAUCAUUUUCAUCAUCCCUUGCAUACUAUAGUUCAUCACGAAGUUCUACUAACUUGGUGAUGGUGACUAGAGAAUUCUGUCAAUCACUAUCUUAUCUGGAAGAUUAACUCCCACUUGAUUCAAGCGAUUGAAGUACCCAGACAAUCUGAGCACAUGCUCACUAGUUGAGCAAUUCUCCUCCAUCUUUUAGCUAUAGAACUUGUUGGAGACUUCAUAUCUCUCAACUCGGGUAUUUGCUGAAAAUAUAUUAACUUCAAUUCCUGGAACAUCUCAUAUGGUCCAUGACGUUCAAAACGUCUUUGAAGUCCCGAUUCUAAGCCGUUAAGCAUGGUGCACUAAACCAUCAAGUAGUCAUCAUAUUGAGCUAGCCAAACGUUCAUAACGUCUGCAUCUGCUCCUGCAAUAGGUCUGUCACCUAGCGGUGCAUUAAGGACAUAAUCCUUCUGUGCAGCAAUGAGGAUAAACCUCAGAUCACGGAUCCAAUCCGCAUCAUUGCUACUAACAUCUUUCAACACAGUUUUCUCUAGGAACAUAUCAAAAUAAACAUAUGAAAGCAAUAACGCGAGCUAUUGAUUUAUAACAUAAUUUGCAAAAUACUACCAGGACUAAGUUCAUGAUAAAUUUAAGUUCAAUUAAUCAUAUUACUUAAGAACUCCCACUUAGACAGACAUCUCUCUAGUCAUCUAAGUGAUCACGUGAUCCAAAUCAACUAAACCAUAACCGAUCAUCACGUGAGAUGGAGUAGUUUUCAAUGGUGAACAUCACUAUGUUGAUCAUAUCUACUAUAUGAUUCACGCUCGACCUUUUGGUCUCCGUGCUCUGAGGCCAUAUCUGCAUAUGCUAGGCUCGUCAAGUUUAACCUGAGUAUUCCGCGUGUGCAAAACUGGCUUGCACCCAUUGUAGAUGGACGUAGAGCUUAUCACACCCGAUCAUCACGUGGUGUCUGGGAACGACGAACUUUGGCAACGGUGCAUACUCAGGGAGAACACUUCUUGAUAAUUAGUGAGAGAUCAUCUUAAAAUGCUACCGUCAAUCAAAGCAAGAAUAAGAUGUAUAAUAGAUAAACAUCAUAUGCAAUCAAAAUAUGUGACAUGAUAUGGCCAUGAUCAUCUUGCGCCUUUGAUCUCCAUCUCCAAAGUACUAUCAUGAUCUCUAUCGUCACCGACACGACACCAUGAUCUUCAUCAUCUUGAUCUAUAUCAAUGUGUCGUCACAUGGUCGUCUUGCCAACUAUUGCUCUUGCAACUAUUGCUAUCGUAUAGCGAUAAAGUAAAGCAAUUAUUUGGCACUUGCAUCUUAUGCAACAAAGAGACAUCCAUAGGGCUUUUGCCAGUUGCCGAUAACUUCAACAAAACAUGAUCAUCUCAUACAACAACUUAUAUCUUAUCACGUCUUGACCAUAUCACAUCACAACAUGCCCUGCAAAACAAGUUAGACGUCCUCUACUUUGUUGUUGCAAAUUUUACGUGGCUGCUACGGGCUGAGCAAGAACCGUUCUUACCUACGCAUCAAAACCACAAUGAUAGUUUGUCAAGUUGGUUAUGUUUUAACCUUCGCAAGGACCGGGCGUAGCCACACUCGGUUCAACUAAAGUUGGAGAAACUGACACCCGCUAGCCACCUGUGUGCAAAGCACGGCGGUAGAACCAGUCUCGCGUAAGCGUACGCGUAAUGUCGGUCUGGGCCGCUUCAUCCAACAAUACCGCCGAACCAAAGUAUGACAUGCUGGUAAGCACUAUGACUUAUAUCGCCCACAACACACUUGUGUUCUACUCGUGCAUAUAACAUCAAACCAUAAAACCUAGGCUCGGAUGCCACUGUUGGAGAACGUAGUAAUUUCAAAAUUUUCCUACGCACACGCAAGAUCAUGGUGAUGCAUAGCAACGAGAUGGGAGAGUGUUGUCUACGUACCCUCGUAGACCGAAGCGGAAGCGUUGACGCAACAUAGAGGAAGUAGUCGUACGUCCUCCCGGUUCAACCGAUCCAAGCACCGUUACUCCGGCACCUCCGAGUUCUUGACACACGUACAGCUCGAUGACGCACCCCGAUCUCCGAUCCAGCAGAGGCACGGAGAGGAGUUCCGUCAGCACGACGGCGUGGUGACGAUCUUGAUGUUCUACUGUCGCAGGGCUUCGCCUAAGCACCGCUACAAUAUGACCGAGGUGUAAUCUCGUGGAGGGGGGCACCGCACACGGCUAAGGAACGAUCUCAAUGAUCAACUUGUGUGUUCAUGGGGUGCCCCCUACCCCCGUAUAUAAAGGAGUGGAGGAGGGGAGGGCCGGCCCUCUACUAUGGCGCGCCCAAGGGGAGUCCUACUCCCACCGGGAGUAGGAUUCCCCCUUUCCUAGUCCAACUAGGAGACCUUCCAUGUAUUAGGAGUAGGAGACAAGGAAGGGGAAGAGAGAAGGGAAGAAGGAGGGGGUGCGGCCCCUCCCCCUAGUCCAAUUCGGACUAGGCCAUGGGGGGGCGCGCGGCCUGCCCUAGGCAGCCUCUCUCUCUUUCCCGCAGGGCCCAAUAAGGCCCAAUACUUCUCCCCGGCGAAUUCCCGUAACUCUCCGGUACUGAGAAAAAUACCCGAAUCACUCGGAACCUUUCCGAACUCCGAAUAUAGUCGUCCAAUAUAUCGAUCUUUACGUCUCGACCAUUUCGAGACUCCUCGUCAUGUCCCCGAUCUCAUCCGGGACUCCCAACUCCUUCGGUACAUCAAAACUCAUAAACUCAUAAUAAAACUGUCAUCGAAACCUUAAGCGUGCGGACCCUACGGUUCGAGAACAAUGUAGACAUGACCGAGACACAUCUCCGGUCAAUAACCAAUAGCAGGACCUGGAUGCCCAUAUUGGUUCCUACAUAUUCUACGAAGAUCUUUAUCGGUCAAACCGCAUAACUACAUACGUUGUUCCCUUUGUCAUCGGUAUGUUACUUGCCCGAGAUUCGAUCGUCGGUAUCCAAUACCUAGUUCAAUCUUGUUACCGGCAAGUCUCUUUACUCGUUCCGUAAUACAUCAUCUCGCAACUAACUCAUUAGCUGAAAUGCGUGCCAGGCUUAAGUGAUGUGUAUUACCGAGAGGGCCCAGAGAUACCUCUCCGACAUUCGGAGUGACAAAUCCUAAUCUCGAAAUACGCCAACUCAACAAGUACCUUUGGAGACACCUGUAGAGCACCUUUAUAAUCACCCAGUUACGUUGUGACGUUUGGUAGCACACAAAGUGUUCCUCCGGUAAACGGGAGUUGCAUAAUCUCAUAGUCAUAGGAACAUGUAUAAGUCAUGAAGGAAGCAAUAGCAACAUACUAAACGAUCGGGUGCUAAGCUAACGGAAUGGGUCAUGGCAAUCAGAUCAUUCAACUAAUGAUGUGAUCCCGUUAAUCAAAUAACAACUCCUUGUCCAUGGUUAGGAAACAUAACCAUCUUUGAUUAACAAGCUAGUCAAGUAGAGGCAUACUAGUGACACUCUGUUUGUCUACAUAUUCACACAUGUAUUAUGUUUCCGGUUAAUACAAUUCUAGCAUGAAUAAUAAACAUUUAUCAUGAUAUAAGGAAAUAAAUAAUAACUUUAUUAUUGCCUCUAGGGCAUAUUUCCUUCAGCAAGUUGUUCCCGAGCAUGAAGGAGUUUAUGAUGUGUUUCAAGACUUAUACAGUCAAACAUGAGUUUGAUGCCAAAGACUAUGUGGACUGAUAGAAAGAAAUUUUAUGCAAGGUGCUAAGUUUUUGAUGGAAGCGUCGGGCCGUGAAAGUGGUACAAUCUUCUAGAAUUCAACCUAAUGGAACACUGGUACAACGAGAUGUUAUAUAACGGUUUUUAACCCCUUUCCGUGAUGGCAUUUUAAACCGUCGCCAAGUGAGUGUGGGCGAUAGGGGGGUCCUUCCCACACGACAGAUAAACCAUUGGGGAUAGGGAGCCAUGAUGCAUACAUUUUUCAUAACUAAGCGUCUACGAUGCAGGCAUCUAUCCCAAACGCGAUUCUUCACACAACUGUUUGUGAUAUAUCGAAUAUCCCAAACGCUCCAUCUUUGCUACUCGUGUGUCCUGGCAUUACCAUUGCACACGUAUUAUGUGGUGCAACAUUUACGAUGUGCACUCCAUCACAAACAGUUCGUGAUUGCCAAGCGUGUGCGAUCAGGAGACUAUCACGCACAUUCACUUCCCCCGAACCAUAUGUGAUUUGUAAUUAAGAAGAUUACCUAAUCAUCGUACAAGUGUCAGAUAGGAUUACGAAAUGUCGGACCGUCGUACCAGUGUCGUAUAGGAUAACUAUCGCACAAGCUAUUAAGUUGUGCCACGUUUACGAUGCCUACGACAUCCGAAAUAGUUCAUGAUUGUAAACCAUGUAUGACAAGGCGACUAUCACAAACAUUUAGUUUGCUUGCAUCGUUUGCGAUAUUUUUUGACAUCACACAUGCUUCGCGACGGCAACUGUGUGCAUGGUCGCACACGUUUCCUCUCUGCAAACCGUGUCGGAAGUACAUGUAUAUCACACACGUUUGUGCUUUACAGACCGUGUGAGUCGUAAUGACCUGCAGAGCAUAUUUCGGCCCUAAUUAAAUCGCUGCUAUUUAAAAUUGUAUCAAAUUUGAAAUUUUUAGUUGGCUAUAACUUUAUUCAUAUCCAUCAGGUUAAACAACCAAUGCAUUAUUUGAUUCAGAGAUACACAUGUUCAAGAAUUACAUAAGCACCAAAUAAAGACUGAUGAAUCAGGAUUGUAUACUUGUACUAUUAAGCAUGAUAAAGAAAGAUCCAAAAGACAUUCUGGUUGCUGAACAAGGUGAAGCGGAACGCCCGUAUUGUGCUCUCCUUCAUGCAGAAGGCACGCACGACUUUGUCCAACCCCAUGUGAUGGCCAACCGCGCAUCCUUCAUUGUCUUCAUGACCCAUGUGGGCAUCUAGAUAGUCACCGUGUUAUGGUAGAAAUACUUUAACCUUUGCAUGCCCACCAAUCAUGUAAUUUGAGAGGUAAUCUUGAGUAAACUGAUUCAAGAACCAAUGCAAAGGAAAAAAGACUCAAUCAUUGUCAUCUAAGACAACUCAUUAUGGGCAGUAAAAAGAAGGCUAUAGAGUUCUUACUUACCACGUUGCAGUUCACUGUUAUGUUGCAUAAGUUGUAAACAAAUAGUUCGAUUGACAUCUUUUGACCCAUUCUAAUAACAAUCUUUAUCAGUUUCCUCUCUUGAAGCUGGUUCACGAAUACCUCAUUGCCCCAUACGCAGAAAGGGUCGAAGCACGGAUCUUUACCAAUGACGUGUACCUAAAAGCAACAAGUUAACAUUAGAAGCUAAACAUCAAUUGCAAUAUUAUGUACUACAACACUACCUCCAUCCCAUUAUAUAAGAUCUUAAAGCAUCCAAUAUAUUCACGGCGUGGAUGAAUAAACAUCUUAUAUUAUGGAUGAGGGGAAUCGGUAGAGGAGGUCGAGAAGAAGCCUGACAGGUGAGCUGCGACAGGGCGGCGCCGGAGCUGGCCAGAAUCAAUCGGCAGGAGAAAGGGGAUCGGGCAGUUGGGAACUUUCAUGUGGCGGUUGCGUUGGUGUGCGGCUGCUGCGUUUACAUCUACAGAUGGAGGUGAUGUAUAUUUGCAUCUCCACGUGUUAUAUUUUACAACACGAGCAACGGGUGAUAUAAAAAUUUAUACAUCUGCAUCAUGGUGAUGUAAACACUAAAAAGUGGUUAUAUAUAUAUAUAUAUAUAUAUAUAUAUAUAUAUAUAUAUAUAUAUAUAUAUAUAAGGUUAUAUAUACACACACACACACAUGAUCUAUUGGAGAUGCUCUAAAUUUUAUAAAUAGGCAAUCAGUGCAUGAUCAUUUUCACAUCACACGGACAGUGAGACACACACGUGGUUCUUCCCUCAACAUCUGGAAUAGGAGAAAGCAAUCACCUCCCUUCUUGGAUGGUGCUGAUAGUCAUGUCGUUGGUGCUGCACGAUCCGGUAAAGUGUGUCGACCGUGUCCCCGACCUACCCACUCGGUCCUCUUCGUCGUCGCUGGUGACUCUGAGGUGGAAAUGCGGCGGCCACCUCGGUUCCGGCAAGGGCACCUCGUCGUGGCCCAGCAUCGCCGUCACGUCCGACAUCGUCGGCCGAUCCAUGGCGUUGUCCUGCACGCAAAGCAGCGCCACCUUGACGCACCGCAUCAUGUCUGCCACCUGCUCGUUGCACUGGCCCAGCGACGGGUCUACCAGCUCCAACGCUCUCCCAUCCCUCCACAGCUGCCAUGCCUGUCGUCCAAAAAUCGUACGGCACAUUAACUAAUGAGGUUUUGCUUCAUAUGUAGUUCAAAUUGGAAUCUCUAAAAAGUCUUGUAUUUAGGAACAGAGGGUUCCUGUCAGUGCCUUAGGUUGCUGAUGCGAUAUUUUUGACCUUAUGGUGACGGAUAAGCCGCUCAUUUUUGUAUUUUGUCUAGGAACAAGAAGUGCUAGGAUUUGGGCCGGAAAUGUCUAAGUUUGUCAGAAGUGUGUGCCCCCAUAUAUAUUCUUGUUAACUCAUGAAACUAAAAAAUUCAGCAGAAGCUUACGUAGCUGAGGAGGUUGACAAAUUCUCCGUAGUGUUGGCCGUGACCGCUGCUGUUCCUCUUGCCGCUCACUAUCUCCAGCAGCAACACACCAAAGCUGAAGACGUCAGACUUGACCGAGAAGAGGCCCUCCGAAGCAUACUCAGGUGCCAUAUAACCGCUACAUAGAGCACAGCACAGAACGUGGAGCGGCAGGUGUGGUGAGCAAUCUUCAAAUCAUUCAAAAAGAUUCAAAAAAGGGAUAAAAAUGCUUCUCUUAAUUACUAGGUGCCGACGACCCUGUUGGUGUUGACCUCCAUCACAUUUGAGCCAAAGAUCCUGGCCAUGCCAAAGUCGGAGAUCUUGGGGUUGAGAUCUUUGUCCAGCAAUAUGUUGCUGGCCUUCAUGUCCCGGUGAAUGAUGCGCACCCGUGAGUGCUUGUGCAGGUAUAGGAGCCCCUGCGCGAUCCCUUCGAUUAUGUGUUGCCGUUUUUUCCAGUCCAACAAGGGCCCUCUCUCUUGGUCUACAUUGCACAAAGUGGUUAGCAUAUCAGGAAUUACAUUCAAGGGAAGAACUGAAGAUGGUCUUAAGAAAAGUUCUUGCACGUAGUUAGUAAUGUACCGAAGAUCCAUCGCAAAAAAAAAAAGUAAUGUACCGAAGAUAAAGAAGUCUAGGCUUCCGUUGGGCAUGUACUCGUACACCAGCAUCUUCUCCUCCUCCUGCAGGCAGCAACCCACGAGCUUGACGAGGUUCGUGUGCUGCAGCUUGGCAAUGAGCUGGAUCUCGUUCUUGAACUCAACAAGCCCCUGCCCAGACUGCGCCGCGAGCCUCUUCACCGCCACCUCGGUUCCAUCACAAAACAUUCCCUGAAAAGAAACACAAUGGUACCAAAAAGAUUAGCAUUCGAUCGAUUGAUUGGACACAUUACAUGGUAAAUGGCGCAUCCACUUGCCUUGUACACCGGACCGAAGCCGCCUUGUCCGAGCUUGUUCUCUUCGGAGAAAUAGUCCGUGGCAGCAGCGAGCUCAGGGAAGUCGUACAAGGUGAAUUCUGAGCUGCUCUCUUCGAUCUUCCAUAGCUUCAGUGCCUCCUCUGUCUUGGAGUUGUUCCUCUUAUGUGCUUGUUCUAAUUUUGACUUUCCUGAAUUGGAUAUUAAUUGCAGGUGAUGAGUUAAAUGGUGUCGAGAAAAAGCACGAAAUUUUCUUGCAAUGUGUUGUCUUCUCCUUACCAGCUCCUUUUCUUAGCCUUCUCAUGAGUAGAAGGCAGCAAACCAAUACAGAACAGAAUACCGUAAUGGACACGCAUAGAAGAAUUAUUAGGGUCUUUCUGUGCUUGCUUCCUGCGUGAUACAGAACAAAAUAAUUCAACAAAUUUCGUCGAAUAGUUCAACAAAUUGCAAAGGAGGUACACAAAAUAAUUCAACUAGAAAACCUAAAAUAAUUCAACAAAUUGAAAAGGAGGUACACAGUACACUCUCCCUUACCAUUGCUUUCUGUUGGUGAAGAUGAGCCACCCUGUAAGCCAAUCCUGACGUCGGCCAUGCCGUCGUAGAACUGGUAGCUUUCAUAGCGAAUAUUACACCGGAUGCCGAUGAUGCGGCCGCCCUCACGGCCAUCGUACCACUGGCGCGUCUGCUCCUGGAGGCCCUGGAAGCAGUGCCAGCACUGCCCCGGGGAGAGGUCCGGCGUGCACUGCGCCAGGCCGUACACCGUCGGCAGCUGCGGGUUGACGUACAUAACGGCGCUGGCAAACCGGCGCACCGUGGAAUUGUACGAGCCGUACAUCGCCAUCUCCCCGAAUAGAGUGCCAACCAGGGACAGGAAGAAGCUCCGGGACGUCGCGUUCCCGCUGUCCCACGCAGCAAACGUCGACCUGUUCACGUCCAUGGCGUUUAUGACCGGGCUGUUAUCUUCCGGCCGCCCCAGGAAGUCCUCGCCCGAGUAGCGGAGGGUGCAGAGGUCGUGGUAGAACGUCGCAUCCCUCUCGCCGGCGCAGAGCGCCCGCAGCUGCUGGAACGCGUUGUCGAGGCAGCCGGAGCAUGUGCUGGCGUCCGUGAUGUCACCGCGGCAGAGCGCGAGGGCGAAGACUUUAUCCGAGGAGGUGCCGAUGGCCGCCGAGGCGUAGAGGGAUGGAGAGGUGGAGCCGUUGAUGGGGAGCUCGGCGGUGAGGCGCGCGACGUUAGCCCCGAAGGCGUCGCUCGCCGUGUAGUUGCCGGUGGUGACAUUGCACGAGUACUCCGAGUAGGCGGCGGCGACGGCGCGCGGCUCUACGAAGAGGAGAAGGAGGAGGCAGGGCAUGACGCCAACCAUGCCGGCCUCUUUCAUUGUGAUGAAAAAGGAGAAUAAUGGCACUUCCCCUUAACUUGUUCUUCUCGUUUUAAAAUUUAUAAAUGCGUCGGCAAAGUCGAAGGCAGAUGGUGGUUGGUUGCUGUCAUUUGUGCUUUCCGAUUUUUCUGCGACGGUUCGUUCAGUCAAAGGCCACAAGCAGGAAUUUGAUUACCUAGAUACCCACUAAAGCAUAGCAGACAUACAUGACAAUUGACGAGUAUUCGCGAACCAACAUGUGGUUGCAUGAUUUUAGAGGGACAGUGGUGUCUCGAUUUCAUUAGGGUUUAAGUCCUGGUGCUCGCAUUAAUUUUGGAUUUAUUUCAAUAUUUCCGCCGAUGCGCUUUUAGUGGGAGGUAAUGUUUCCGUCGACGACGAGGCGCCUAGGAGGACUUCGUAAAUCUUAAGAUAAUAUGCCGGCUCAGUUUUUUGAAGGUGCUCCAAAAGAUAGGGUGUGCGUGUGUGCGUUCAUAAGAAUGAGUGUAAGCAAGUAUGUACGAGCGCUUGCGUCUGUACUGUGUUCAAAAAUAUUGACAAGCAUUCAUUUUACCGAAUUUUUGUCCAAAAGAACCAUCUGCCGAGUCAAAUUGACGAAAAAGACCAUCUCUGAAAAUAAUUGACAGAAAGGACCAGCUGUGCCGUGGCGGCAGGGGCGCCAGCCGACACGUGGCCCCUGCCGCCACGCGUGGUGGCGGCCGGACCUGCCGCCAUGACAGCAGGCGGCAACGCUGGAAUUACCAGCUGCCAGGCGAGUCCAGCUGCUGCAACGGAGUUUGGAUGGGCUGGUGGGCCCUGCCGCCACACCCUGCGGCGGCAUGUCUCGAGCAGUAGCAACUCGUGUCUCCCGUUCUGCUCUGUGUUCUUCCAGUGUUGUUAGCAAGUGUGAAAUAGGCAUGUUUGACUGAGAUUUGAAUCAAUUUGAAGGCGGAUUUUGAAGAUAUUGCAGUUGAAGAAAAGAUAGAUCAAGAUAAGAUGUAUCCGUUUUUGUAUCUUUUGCUCACAUCCAUGGUGGUUUUGCACUGUAUGAUUAGUCUCUAACUUUAUAUUCGCUGUUGUAUUUGGCAUUUGAUAAUAAUUUUGGGAGUGGUUUGGAGCAUUUAGAAAGUACAAAACGACCGUGCAUGUAAGCACAAAACAUAAAAAUGGAUAGAUCUUAACUUGAUCUAUCUUCUCUUCAACUGCAACAUCUUUAAAAUCGGCCUUCAAAUUGAUUUAAAUCUCAGUCAAAUGUGCCUAUUUUCACACCUGCUAACAUCGAGUAGAACAGAGAGCAAGCAGUGCUGCUGCUGGAGACCGGCCUGUGGCGGCAGGGCCUACCAGCCCAUCCAAAUUCCGUCGCAGCAGCUGGCCUCGCCUGUUAUUUGGUAAUUCGAGCGCUGCCACCUGCUGUCGUGGCGGCAGACACUGCCGCCUCCGGGCGUGGCGGCAGGUGCCACGUGUCGGCUGGCGCGCCUGCCGCCACGCCCCAGCUGGUCUCUUUUGUCCAUUCUUUUCAAAGAUGGUCUUUCUCGUCAAUUCGACUCGGCAGGUGGUCCUUUUGAACAAAAAAUCCAUUUUACCUUGCACGUGUAAACACGGACGACCCCGCUACGACCUGGAACAACCAUGCUGAGUUGAAAGCCAAUUUUUAAUAUUUUUUUGUAUGAUAAUAUGUGGCUCAUUUAUGUAUAUCAUAAGGAUCAUACUACAAGCCGUACGCACUGACCUGAGAAAACUGAAAAGAUAGUAAAACACUAGUUUUUACACAAAGGAACACUGGCCAAGAAGUGAAAUUAUAAUCAAGACCAAAGAAUCAUAUGUGCUUAAUACCAACGCAUGUCACCUUCCUCUGACACCACCAUAGCAGCCACCAAAGGAACAAAUGACGGAUCACCUUUAUACCCAAGCUCGACGCGGCCCAAUCGCCGACAUGAAACUUUGCAGACCUUCAAGGUUGCUCACCACAGGUAAAACCAUUGAUGUUGAACGAAUCAGACCGGGGCAACACCCCAGACACGCCAUCGAACUCCUGUUUUUGGUGACUAAGACCUCGGAUGAGGAAACCAUGCCUGCCAUCCACGAACUACGAACCCAGCACAAGAUCCACCAUCUUCCAGAUGCAGUCGAUGCAGACCACAAUCUACAUCCGCUCCUGGACUACCUCCCAAGCUCUGCGUCUGCAUUGGAGCGAACGCCGUCGCAAUGGCGAAGUCCAAGGACAUAGGUCCACCACGAGGAUGCCGCCUCCACUACGACAUCCUUCUUGAAUAGAUGGACUUCCAAAUCUGUCCCAGACCAUAGGACCGAUCACCUGGUCGGAGAAGAAUCUGAAGAAUCUUUAUUCAUUGUCGUCAUCACCGUUGCCGAGGCCAACACGAUGAACAACCUAAAAACCUUAACUUCGAGAGUCUAAAUAACGAUCCACACGCGUGUAUCUGGCGACCCUCCUCAGCACCGACGACCUUCUAUAUCUGGCGACCCCCCUCAGCACCGACGACCAAGGUCGUCGGCGGAGGAGAGCCAACGGAGGACGGCGUUGGAAGGCUGGACUCUCCUGGCGGCGCUAGGGUUCCAGUCUGCACGUGUCAAGAGGAAAAAGAACGAUUUGAUUACCUCUUCGUGGUCCUAUGGAUAAAGGUUUAAAUUUUGAUGUUGAACGAAAAAUGAUUUUUUUUUUGUCUCAGUGUGUCAAACAAUCGUGUGGCUGGUUGAUGUUCAGCAAAUACUUUAUCUGUAAACAAAUAUAAGAGCGUUUAGCUCACUAAAAUAGAGAUCUAUAUGCUUUUAUAUUUCUUUAUGGAGGGAGUACAGUCCAAAGGUUACUGUCGGGCUUGGAUGGAUGCAUCAAACUAAUUAUACGAAAAGGCUAAAAAUGUGACAUCAGAUUUUUAGAAUUUUGCGAGCGAACGCUUCAUCUGCUGCUCAUUUUGAGGUAAAAGAAUCUUGUAGCAUGGGGACCAGACACGUAAGCGCUUGAAACCGUUGGAUAAGAAAACAGUCGGCGCAAACGCUCCCUUUCCCAGCCGUCAUUUUUCCAGCAGAUUUUGUCAAAAUUGCCAUGGAUCCCUUAAAUUUAGCCAUGCCAUCAAGUUUGCAUGUCUCCAAUUUUUGUCAACAUGUCCAUAGAAUACUCAGUGCCUGCCAUGGUUGACGGUCUGCUCGGUUGGUUGGUCUACACCGCGGUGCACGUCCAAGAUCCAUCCACAUGCCCACCUGGACUCGAUGGUUGAAUGUAUGGUCGAGCAAGACUCUUAUCAUGCCAGGCUACUGUGCGCACGACCACUCAAACCGGCCGGUCACCCUACGUCGGGAACGCACUCAUCCUCGGCGACAUCCAUCCACAUGCCGACCUCGAUCGUUGAGGAGGUGUGUGGAAGUAUGGUCGAGUCACAGUCAUGGUGCACUCUGUGUGCGCACUGCAUGCGGUCUACAGAAUUUGCGUCUAUUUGUUCCGACGCACCACUCUUAUCAACGACGACGAACCCGGCCUAGACAGCUCGGCGAUGGCGCACCGUCCGCCGCCGUGGACGGAGACAUGGGCCUCGGCGCCUUGUUUUUUCCUCGUCAACGUCAACGACGACGGCUUGUUUUUUCCUCGCCGACGUCAACGACGACGACGCGUAGCUACCACUAUCUUGAUGAACUCUUCUCCCCCAUGGAAAUUCCUGCCUCCUCCCAAAAAGUUCCAUGGCGAGUGGUUGGUAUGUCGCCUCGGUUGGGUGGGCUGGUUGCUGUCGCACGCCCAUCGUCGUCUUUUUCCUGCCGUCCAAGAUCCUCUCUUACCUCGGCUUCGAAGCCUUCCCUCAAGUUAGAGCAUCUCCAACGGCCGCUGAACGCGCCGCGCGCUAAAAAAUACUUUGCAGCGCGCCCAUCGCCUGAAAAAGUGUGAUGGACAGCGCUGGCUCUAGCAGGCGCGCUAAAAUUUAGCGUGUGCGCAGCUCCAGCAGACGCGCUAAAAUGCAGGGCACGUGCUAUCGCACGAAACAUUGCAUACAUAUUUUUUAAAUAAAAAUGAUACAUAUUUCAUAGAUAAUAAAAACCAUACAUAGAUAAUUUACAUAGUUCAUAGCAUAGAUCGAUAAACAAUACAUAGAUAGAUAAAACUACAGUGCAACUAGAUGAACUAUGGUGCAACUACACCCUACUCCGAGUCGUCCUCAUCCUCAUCCGGACUGGUGUUGUCUGAAGUAUCGAUCCAUAUGUCCUCCCAACGAGGAUCAUUAUCCCCAAAGAUCGACACCCCACCCGCCUCAACGGUAUCGCACUGCGAUAUCGCCAGGGCCUUCCGCCGACGCCUCUCCAACCGCUCCACGCGGCGCUUUGCCGUCCUUUCCGCCCAGAAGGCGUUCUCCGCCGCGACGUCCUCUGGAUGGCGCCGGCGCCACUCCGCCAUGGCUCGCUCGUCCUCCUCAGGGACGAGGAGUCGGCGCUGCCGCCGACAGUGCUCCGCACGGUCCUGGUCCGUGAUAAGACGAGGCAGAGGGGCGGCGUUCUGCGUCUGCUCACGCGUGAAGACGUCGUGGAAGUUCAUCUGCGCUGGCGGCCUCUCUAGGCGCCACGCCGCCGCGUCAUACGCGCGGGCGGCCUCAUGCGCGGUCCCGAACGUGCCGAGGCCGAGCCGGACAUCGCCGGACCGGAUCUCGGCGUAGUAGGUGUCGGCCGGGCGCUCGCGAAUGCCGCGGUAGCCGACGAUCCAAUGCGGCGCGGCGGCAUGGUGGCGCAGUGGUGGCGGGGGCGAGGAAGCGGCGAGAGCGGCAGAGUGUGAGCGACAGAGUAGGGAGGAGAGCACGUGUGGCAGUGUGGAGGCCGCGUGGCGAGCGCGGCAAUUUAUAGGCGCGCUCAAAGUGGUGCGCUAAAUCUUGCGCGCGCUGCCGCCUUUUCCCGCGUGCGCGCAAUCGUUUCCCGCGCGCGCUAGUUUCCCUGCGCCGUUGGAGCGCGCCAAAACGUCCCGCGCGCUACAGUGAAAGUUUACCCCGCGCGCGUGUCUUUUGGCGCCGAUGUUGGAGAUGCUCUUAGAUCAUCAUAGACGUUCAACCUAACGAUGAUAAGCUACCUUGAAGGAUGGCGCCCUCGCGCCAUGAUGGCGCCAUCACCUACACCGGCACCAUGGUGCGUGGGAGCACGACGCUGAUGCCCGACGGCCUGUUCAGGAGCGCAGUGGUCGCGCCUAGGCUGCUACUGCUGCCCGCCGAUGCGGAUCACCGCAAGUACCUCGUGGCGGCGCCGGAUGGCCGGCUGAUUUUAUGAAAUAAGAAUAUUCGGACAUAUAAUAUGAGAGCUGGAACUAAAAAUACAUAUGGUUUAUUGUAUUUUUUUAAUGUUUAUAAGAUAUAUCAUGCAUGUUUACAUGUUGAGAUGGACUUUUUUUAUGACUCAUUGAAUGAUGAGGUUGGCCUUUUCUAAUAGAUGUUGCUUGAUGAGGUGUCAUGCUUGCAUGUUAAGAGAAAUUAGUUAAUUGGGGCUAGUUAUUUAGAUACAGAAGAUUCUAAUCCUACAAAAUUCCUAUGAUUUUUUUUUGUAUCAAAGAGGCCCUCAAAGUGUGCACUUGGAUAUGACGGUUCUAACAAUAAACACGAGUUAGAGGGCAUUGGAUGGAGAAUACUUCCUAAACUGAAGGUUCUCCUUUGACCGCCAAAACCCCCGGACGCAUGUUAAGCAUGGACCUUCAAGCAUCACAUUGGAAAUUUUUCACUUCACAGAGAAUUGUGGCUUGUAGGAGUUAAAACAAAAGAAGACCGAGAUUUUGCCAACUCUUCGGUUGAGUUGCAUGUAUUUACCGGUCUAUUUGAAACAAUGCUUUGCAUUCUGAUGCUUUUGCUUGUCCUAGGUACUAGUUGAGUAGUUCCUGACACACACGAAGGUGACUGGUCUUGUAGACCCUGAGCUCAUGCGAACCAUCCCUAGACAUGCAUGGAGUUCGGCCACCUCUAGAAACGGCGAGCCAUCGUCUCCCCCUUCUGCAAGCGACACAAAAUACACCUGGUUCCUUAUACGCCGGAUGUGAAGCUCAUAUCCCUUAGCGAGCAUCUUCUUCACCAGGCGCUAGUUGUGCACUUUAACCUCGUAGAUCAUGGCAUCUAGGAUGGUAUGGAGCGACCAAUGAUCAGAGGGAGCGGUGCCGACCACACGCGACAUUUCCGUAGUGAUGUGCUUUUGGUUGAAUGUGUGCAUGAUGUUUUUCUUUUCUUAUAUGUAAUAUGAUGGUUUGCUUUUGAUUGAACUUGUUCAGUUCAUGCAUUUGAAAUCUAUGAUAUCUUCAAAUUUGAAUUUAACACUUAAAAAUGUGGUUCAAAAUAUUUUUGAAGUGUGUGAUGUUGAACAGUGAGAAAUUCAACUUAUAUCUACGCCAAACUACGGAUAAAUUAGAGUGCAUAACUGUAUAUGCACGAACAUAAGAGAAAAAUGUGUGAGUGAAACAUAUGAAGGCUGUAGCUAAGAGUUUGCAUGGAGGCCCCGCAGGCUUAUAAAAAAUUAUGCAGCGCCUAAACCCUAAACCUAACCAAACUGCUCCAUCUCCCAGAUCGAUUCUUCCAAUGCGGCCAACUCCGGCGGAGGCCAACUCCAAUGCGGCCAACUCCAAGCCCGCCUGAGCCUCCUCGAACGCCUCGCCUUCGAUGCCGCCUUCGGCAAGUCGGGGUCGCCAUGGCUCGUCCUGCCCGGCAACUCCCCGGAGACCACCACGCUCUUCUCGCUUACCGAGUGCCGCUCCGCAGUCGUGUGCGCCGUGGACACCGACCCCGUCGUUCUGGGAUCCUCCUCCUUCCAUGGGUGGCUCAUCACCGCGGACGAUCGGGCCCGGCUCCGCCUCGUCAACCCGGUCACCGGCGAGCGGCGCGUGCUUCCGGCCAUCGACACCAUCCCCUGCGUCAACGCCCGAACUCAACCUGGGGGCUCCAUCUUCUCGCUCGACCUGAAGCGGUUCAUCAGGGCUCCCCCGCCGUACCCGGACGGAACCGUAUCGUUGACCCCCCAAAGGAUGCGCCACCGCUUCUACCGCAAGGUCCUCUCCGAGUCCUCCAGCAUCGCCAUGCUGAUCACCGAUCCACGCUACGGCGCCGUGGCCUUUGCGACGGGGGAGGGCAAUGUUGGGACAAACCCGGUACCAGCUCUCUUUCUCUCACUCGCACAAAUGAAGGUGGAAGAUGGAGCACACAUUUUUUCCGGUGCACAAACGCCUCCGCCGCACGAACGGCGCCUCGGCCGCACGAACUGCCACACUUACCUAGGCACAUACCCGGACACGGCAUCACACCGCAGCCUACCUAGAGGAGCUCUCUCACAGCCGACCGGGCGCAUACCACGGUCCCGGCGGAGACUACCUCUUCUCUAGCUCCUAGGCUCGGCUCAUACCGGCGCUCUACAUCAAUACACAGUGGGGUUUUUUAUACCCGGCUGCACACACACGCACACCACUACUGCUCAUCUCGCCCAGCUGCGCGUGCGAUCUGCACGCCACACUGUCCGCGUUCAAACGCAUGCCACGGCCUGCUCGGAUCGCCCCGGCUCCUUUGCAACCAACGCCAACUACCUGCAUUAACGCUUCGGGGGUGGGUGCUCUGGCGAUAGCCAUGGCGACCCGUUGACCGAGGGAGAUCGCCAUGGCGGCGCCGGCGCCGGGCCAGGUGCAGGGCAAGGCGGAGGGAGGAGUGAGAGGGGGGUGGCUGGCCUCUCCAGCGAGGAAUGGAGCACCUUCAAACAGUGGGGGAGAGAUAUACUACGGCAAGCGACAGAUCAGAAAGGCUGCUUGCGAAGAUUACAGGAGAAGGUCGAUGCUUUCCUCAAGAUGAAUCCGUCUGUGGCGAAAUCAAAGGGAGAUGGAGGACAGUCUACCCCCGGGCAUGCUGGGGUAGAGAUCUUGCCACCUGAUAUGGCGAGAUUGGAUCAAAUCAAGGAACCGAUGGCUUCCAGUCGUGAGGCCGACAUGGACUUGGACGGUGGCGCCAUGGGCCUCUCGGAUUUCGUUUUUUGAUUUUUACCGGGCCUGGACGAAAUGGGCGAAAUUCGGAUUUUUCGGAUUUUUUCGGAAAAUCUCGGACGAAAAUCAUAAAACAAAAUUUGAAUUUUGGGACGAAAAAUGAACGAAAAAUGGGCGAAAUUCACCUAAAAUUUUGAAAUACAACAGAACAACAGAUGAGUAUUCAGAACAUUUAGCAAAAUAUGCAUGUAAAAAUCAAACAGAUGAAUCUAUUCAUCAAAUCACUACGUAUCAGACUGAACAUCAACACUCCAGUUGCAACCAUUCAGACAAUAGCAUAGUGGAUCAAUUCGGAGAGCAGCAACCACUAGAAAAGCACAUGAUAGUCCAGAUUAACAUGUGACUUGAUAGUUCAGAUACUAAGAGUAACAUGCGACUUAAUAGUUCUACCAAGAGUUGAAACGAACACCCAUAAGGUUUAGAAUUACAGUCCACAAUGAAUUUAACACGGCAUUCGAAGUUCAAUUAUGCCGACCCCAAAAUACAAACAGAAAGUUCAAUUCAGACUUCAUGUUCUUCAACUCUUCAGUCUUGCACCAAAAGUAUUGAAUCGAACAGAGACCUUCACUUCGGACUUCCUGUUCAUCCACCCGUUAGUCUUCAUCAACCAAAAGCUCUUUUGCUCCCAUGCCGCUUAACCUUGCAAUUAAAGCAUUGUGAAUUAUAUAAACAUUACAAGUAGAUGGCAGAAACAACAACUCAAUGAUGGCAACCGCAAUUGGAACAACAUAUAAAAUCAUAUGGGCAGAAACAAUGUGAAUUAUAUAAAUAUUACAAGUAGAUGGCAGAAACAACUCAUAGAUGACAACCCAAAUUAAAACAACAUAUAAAUUCAGAUGGACUAAAGCAUUGUGAAUUAUAUAAACAUUACAAGUAGAUGGCAGCAAUAACUCAUCGAUGGCAGCCCCAAUUGAAACACCAUAUAGAAUCAUAUGGACUAACGCAUUGUGAAUUAUAUAAACAUCAAGUAGAUGGCAGAAACAACACUUAAUAGAUGGCAACCCCAAUUGAAACAACAUAUAAAAUCAUAUGGACUAAAGCAAACACCACAUGUUUAUGAUAGAAUAUAAGAAAGUGCAUAAAUGGGAAAUUAUUGAUGUCAUCACAAGGAACUUACUUGUCAAUUGUAAAGGCUGGUGACCUCCUUGACCUUCUUGGCUUGCCUAACCCGUUCAGAUCUACGGUUCACCAAACUACCAUCACUUGUUACCUCAACAUUGUUUCCAACUUGGCUUGUUAAAUCCUUUUCAAUGUGCAUUGGCGAAUCUCCUCCAUCAGAUUGACUUGCACCAUCAUCAUGGCUAUCAUCAUCAUCAUCAAUUUCCAGGUCCAGCUCCUCAUUUUCUUCAUCAUCAUCCUCACUAUCAUGGUAGUCAUCCACUUCUUCCUCUACCCUCUUUCUUUUCCUGCCAUUGUCCUUCCUUGCAAGACGAGAAACUUUCCUACUUGAGUUAAGCAAACGUAUUUUCUCAAACACGGCGCUAGCAGCAUCAACUCCAUCCAAGAUUGCAUGCUCCUCAUCCUCAUUCAACCAUUCCAUCAUAGGAUUUGUUGCAUCAAACAUGGUUGUAUCCAUCAUCAUUGCACAUGCAUCAACUUCCUUCUGCUUAUCAUUCUAUCUCACCGGGUCUUGUUCUUCUUCAGCACGUAUCUUCAAAAUAUGAAAACAAAAUCAGUCAAUGACAACGAAGUACAAGGAAUAAAAUGGAUAAAGUCGCUAUGUAUAAAACAAUGCUUAUUACACAGCAGCCUUUACUCUAAAUAUUGCUAAGUAAACAACUAAACAUCAACAUUUACUUUAAAUAACAACCUAGUAAAAGCCUUUAAUAAAUAGUAUCAUUUACUUAGUAAACAACAUCCUUUAUUUCAAAGAAUGCUUAGUAAACAACAGUAUGCAGGUGAAUCAUGUCAUAUGGGUGAAUAAUGGCAUAUGGGCAAAACAUAUUUCAUACCUUCAAGUUGUAGCGCACAGAUACAAGCUUGUGCAGCUUGCCAUAUAGAAGACGGUUUCUUUGCUUCGUGUGGACCAAAGCAAAAGCGCUCCAAUUCCUCUCACAGCCACUUGACGAAACGCAUUGUGAUACAAUCCUCAAGGCACACUUCUGCAGAUUAGGAACUUCCCCUCCAAAUUGGAACCACCACUCAGCUGCCAAGUUAAAACAAAAUUAACAUAGUGAGAUGAACUGAGUUGCAAAACUAGGGUAAUAGAGAAUAUUACAAGUGGGGUAUUGGAACUUACUUGGUGACAUUUUCUCUGCAGAGGAACGUGCCAACCUUGAGCCAAACCUCCCACGACAUUCCCUGUAAGUGCCGACUUCAUCAAUCGCCAAAUCAGGUAAAAGCUAACAAACAGAAUUAGAACCAUUUUAACUUUAAACAUAAUUAAUAUAUUUUUUAUUUAAAUGUUUCCUCUCUAAAAGUAUCACAAUAUCCAUACAAAAAGUUAAGCAAAUUAAGAAAAUGCAGAUCAUGGUAUUGACCUUUCCAAGCUGUCUCUCUUGGAGCUGAACCAUUCCCCAUCAGAAUGUUAUCUUCAUUGUCGGGGUUGACAUUUUCCCUCCUUCUGGCUUCAUUGAUGCUCACCCUACUAGCAUAAGGUGCACUUCCAUCACCUAUAAAUUCAAGCAUGAGAAGCAAGCAUGCGAUAAAGAUCAACUUUAUUUGCAAAAAAUGGCAAUCUUUUUUAACAAUGGCAUGCAACCAAAGUUGAGAACAUAUUAUCAUGUGUGGAAGAUGGCAUUAUCUAGCAUGUUCAGAAUCCGGAUCAGCAUUUGUAAAUUUACCACUGAUGGUAAAAGGGCUUGCUGUGUUUUGCAGAGAUAAAUGUUUGUACACAUUGUUUGCGUCCUCAUGUAUGUCAGCACUUGAACAAAGAGUGAAUCACAGAAAGACAACCUUGAUACAAUACAAAAAAACUGUGGAUUUAUGGACCAGUUAGUGCUGUUGAAAUUUUAUUGGGAUUUUUUUCUUCAUCAAGUAAUGUUGCAGGGUUGACGACAGCAGGAAAAAUCAAGGGAGAUAGCACAAGAUAGUAGAAAUAAUGCUACUGAACAAGCUAGUAAAAGAUCCUUCCUAGGUGCCUACGUGUGCUAUCAUCAACACUUGCUAAAUAAGCAUGCACGUACAGCUAACUACAGAUCAUGGCAAGGUGAGCUAUCAUGCACAAUUGUGCUCCUGUAUCAAGCAAGUGUGCAUGCUGAACCUAGCUACAGAUCUUCAAAAAUGAAAAGCUAGCUACAGAUCUUGCAAGAUGAGCCAGCAUACGUGCAUGUACAAGAUUAGAGGAACAUAGUUACAGUACGUAAGUACCAUGUCCAGCUUGCCGGAAACCAGCGUGUGCGUCCGGCGCCGGGGCACUGCCCAAGCCCGACUGGAUGCGCCGCAUGCUGCUGCUCCCGUGGAGCCGUUCAACGCCCGAGCCCACCUGCCCCGACAUGGAAGUUGUGCGGCCGUGCUCCAUGGCACUGCCACCACCAUCCAUGGACGGGAAAGAAACUGGGAGGGAGGAGAUUGGGAGGGAGGGAGAUGAGGGAGGAGAUUGGGAGGGAGGGAGACGAGCUGGAUGGGAGGAGGCGGCGCUGCACCGCGCCCCCGCCUCACUCGCUAGGGUUUCGUUGCUCACAGCCGCCGCUCAGUCGGAUGGAGACGGGAAAAGUGAAUUUUAGGGUUAGGAGGAGAUGAAUUCGUGCUUUUAUACCACAGGGGGGUUUGUGUGGGCUGUAGUAGACCAUGGGCUGGGCUGUGAGUUUAAAAGUGGCCGGAAUUUUUGGGCCGGUACACCCUAUUACCGGGCCCUAACGAGAUGGCCGAAAAUGGCUGGAAUUUCGGUUUUCUCGGACGAAAUCCAAAACUUUGGGCUCGGGAGCCAAGCCGGGCGCCCCGGUGGCUGGUUCGGAAGGCGACGUGGUCGCCGUUGGCGCGGCCUUCUCAGCCCCUGCAGCUACUGAAGUGGAGGCCGGGAGAGGAACAACUCUCCGAGGCUGGAGAAGGGGAAGGCCACUGUUGGUGGUCCGACAGGGCUGGCGAUCACCAACACCCCUAAAGCUGCUUUUGGCUUCAUGGCUACGGCGGCGCCUCCCCAACUCCGUAGAAACGGAAAGAGCAAGGAGGCCUCGAGCUCGGGGUCUCUAAACAAGCCGAUCGUCAUCAACCUGGAGGCAACUAUGCGGACGGUGGCGGGAAAGCUGGUGGUCGACCGAGUGCUCUCGCCGUACCCGGUUGAUCCCAAGAUGGUCAUCAACGAGCUUAGAGGCCCGUGGAGGCUGCGGGGUGAUGCUGUGGCCCAGCGCGUCACCAGCGAAGACCGCCGCUUCAUCAUCACCUUCAAGGAGGAGGGGGACCGGACUCAUGUGUUGCAAGCUGGGCCAUGGCAUUUCAGAGAUAAUGAUGUGCUGCUUGCGGCUUUUGACGGGAGGGGCAACCCAGCAGAUGUACCCCUCAACUCCAUCAAAUAUGGGUACAAAUCUGGGGCCUUCCGGUGCCGCUCAAGACGGUGGAGAUGGGCUACUUGGUGGGUGACAAGCUCGGCAAAGCUGUCGCAGUUUCCCACAAGGACAAGAUGAUCGUCGACGAGCACCUUCGUGUUCGGAUUGAGCAUGGCGUGGAUGAGCCUCUGAAAAAGUUCAUCGACACCAUCGAAACAACCUUGGAUGGCAACAAAACUGAGGUCCUAUAUGAUGUAAAGUAUGAAAAAUUACCUAAGUUUUGCUUUUGUUGUGGCAUGUUGGGGCAUACCACGGCAAGUUUCUGCAGCAUACCCAAAGAGCUCCGGCAGCCUACUUUCUCCAUCGACAUCAAGGCGUCGGCGCUCUGGAAAAGGCCACAGGCGGUGACUGGUCCGGAGCGACGUGGAGGACGGCCGCUCUCCAUGGUGGCCCAAGAGAGUGAGUCCCGGGAGCCAGUCAAGCUGCUAGAGAAGGUCGUCACGGCUGUGUCAACUGUUGUGCAGAAUCUGAUGGUGGAGGCUUUUCCGCUGCUGCGAGGUAAUCCGGUUCAUGGCGGACUGGAGGAUAACCACGAGUUGGGGUCAAGGGUUGCCCAGGUGGGGUGCCCUUCGUUGACUGACCCCAAUAAGGGACGCGACCAAGGCAUCGAUGGCGCCAUUCAGGUGCUGUCCAAGGAGUUGGCUGCUCAUAACAGCCAGCUUGCUCUGCUGGUGGUCGACGCGGAGGCGCAACCUGCUGCUGGUGCCGCGGAUGGGACGGAAGAUACUCCCUCUGAUCAUGUUGCACAUGAUGGAGGGCCGGCUGCUACUAUUGGCAGCCAACUUGGGCCUGAUGCUGCUUCCCUGCUCCUGGAUGGGGCGAAUGGAGCCAGUGUGAAGCCUGGAGCUAAUGCUCGGCCUUGCACUAAGAUGGACAAGGCUGCUGGGGGUGGCCAUCAUAGCCUGGCUGCCCCUGGUGGAUCGACAAACUUGGCGCGGUGGAGAAGAUUGCAUAGGGAGGAUUAAGAGGAACGAGAUGUCGUCCACGCGGCUUGCGCGACGCAUGUCCAGUUUGGGGUUCCUACACCCCCGAACAGUGGCAGCGACCUCUCCAGUGGCAAGGCGGCUUUUGCCCAAAUUCUCGUGAGCUCGACGGGCAACAAGAGACGCAUGUCUAACGGCCAGGGCCUUGUGGUUAGUUUUAAAAGUACUAGUUCUGAGAGUAUAGAGUCCAGGGGUGUCAAUGUAGUGCCUCCUGCAUGAAAAAAAGUGUGUGGUGAGAGGGUGGAAACUCUAAUAGGUAUAGAUGGGAAUAUGGUGCAUGUAACAAAAGAGGUAGAUGAAGGAGAGGAGGUGGCUGAGGGUAGAAGGAGGGAGUAAGUGGGGGAGGGAAAAGAGGAGGAGGGCCUGCUAAGGAUGCUACCGACUUAGGGGCUGUCGGCCAACUGACGGACGCGUGUGAUGACGCCCGUCAGGAGCCAUGAAAAUGAUCAUCUGGAACUGUAGAGGGCUGGGUCGGCCUCGUACAGCUCAAGAAUUAGUGUUCAUCAAUAAGUCUUACCGACCCAACAUUAUUUUCCUUUUAGAAACUAGAAAGAAUAAAGAUUAUGUUGAGAGUUUGCGGUAUCGUUUGGGUAUGAAAAAUGUAUUUAUUGUUUCGGGUAAAGGCAAAGGUGGUAGUUUAGCGAUAUUUUGGGAUAAGUGUUUCUCUGUGGAAAUAAAUAAAUUUGGUGACCAUUUUAUUGAUUUGUACAUAUGUAAGGGUGAUGGACCAAGAUGGAGAUGCACAUGUGUGUAUGGGAAACCAAAGGCGAGCCAAAGGUACGUCAUGUGGGAGCUUUUGAGACGAGUUAAAUGUCUUGGUUCUGGCCCAUGGUUCAUGGUCGGCGAUUUUAAUGAAGCUAUGUGGCAAAAUGAGCAUUUUUCUCGUAAUAAAAGAUCGUCUAAACUCAUGGAUAAUUUUCGGGAGGUUCUCUCUGAUUGCAAUUUAUUUGAUCUGGAUUUUCACGGAGUACCUUGGACGUAUGAUAACAAGCAGGAAGGUUGUCGAAAUGUCAAAGCGCGUCUUGAUCGGGCAGUGGCGUGCCCUCAAUGGUCUGCUAUGUUUCCCCAGUGCAAGGUUCAAAAUGUCAUUUCUUCCAGGUCAGAUCAUUGACCUUUGUUUAUUCAGUUGUUGGGUAGUCGGCCUAACAUCGCUUUUAAUAAGCACUUGAGAUAUGAAGCUUUUUGGGAGAGGGAAAGUCUGGCCUUGGAUGAACAGGUUAGGGAGUGCUGGAGCAAAAGUACGCAAGUUAGGGAUUUAAAGGAUGUGGCGACUAAUCUUGGUAAUUUAAUGAAAUCUUUGCACUCUUGGAGCCAAGAUCAUAUUGGUUACCUCCCAAAAAAGUUGGAGGCUGCUCGUAAAAGAUUAAAUAUUCUUUUCAAAAGAAGUGAUAGGGCAGCCGUGAUGGAGAGAAUGAAAAUUCUCAUGGAGAUGGAUGAGUUGCUUAUAAAGGAAGAGAUCAUGUGGAAGCAAAGGUCUUGCAUCGAGAAAAUGAUCUUGGGGGACCGUAAUGCAAAAAAGUUUCAGAGAAAGGCUUCUUGGAGGGCGAAGAAAAAUAAUAUUUCUGCGGUCAAGAAGAGUGAUGGGUCUAUCACGGAGAACUUGGAUGAAAUCAUAUGUAUCACAAAUUCUUUCUUUCAGCACCUUUAUACUUGUGAUACUAAUGUUGACCCAUCUCGUAUUAUUUCCAUUGUGAGACCUCUCGUCACUGAUGAUAUGAAUGCGGAGCUAUGUAAACCGUUUUCUGAGGAGGAGAUUAGUGAUGCUCUCUUCCAGAUAGGUCCGUUAAAAGCCCCAGGUCCGGAUGGUUUUCCUGCAAGAUUUUUUCAGAGUAUUUGGGGUUUAAUAAAGGACAUUGUAAGGGCGGUUCAGCAGUUCUUUAUCUCAGGUGUUAUGCCCGAAGGUGUAAAUGAUACUACCAUUGUCCUUAUUCCCAAAGUGAAGAAUCCUCAGUCCAUCAAGGAGUUUGGACCGAUCAUCUUGUGUAAUGUCAUUUAUAAAAUUAUCUCCAAGUGCCUGGUAAAUAGACUAAGACCUCUUUUGGAGGGUAUGAUCUCUCCCACUCAGAGUGCCUUUAUUCCUGGAAGAUUAAUUUCUGAUAACGCGCUUAUUGCCUUCGAAUGUAUUCAUUCGUUGAGUACAUUAAAAGAUAAGCGUGGAGAUUUUUGUGCAUAUAAGUUGGAUCUAGCAAAAGCGUAUGAUCGUGUAGAUUGGCAAUUUUUAAAGAGUAUGCUGGGGGCUUUUGGGUUUGCUCCAUCUUGGAUUAACUGGAUCAUGACGUGUGUUACAUCAGUGAAAUUCUCGGUCCGGUUUAAUGGACAACUGUUGGAACCUUUUUAUCCUUCGUGUGGGCUCAGGCAAGGGGAUCCCUUAUUGUCGUAUUUGUUCCUAUUUGUUGCUGAGGCACUUUCCUUGCUGUUAAAGAAUGCUUGUGACAAAGCUGCUCUGAAGGAAUUUCACUUGAACAGACAUGGGCCAGGUAUCUCUCAUCUUUUAUUUGCGGAUGAUAGUCUCUUGUCUUUCAAAGGGUCCAUAGAUCAAGCCUUAGUCAUUAAAAAUAUUUUGUCGUGCUAUGAGGUGGGAACGGGUCAGCUUCUGAGCCCCGAUAAAUGUUUCAUCAAGUUUGGCAAAAAGUGUAGUAUGGAGGAUCAGGUGGCCACUAUGGUUAUUCUUAAUAUUACUGCAGAAGGUUUUGAAGAUAAGUACCUUGGCUUACUGGUACCUGAGGGUAGAAUGAAGGUGGGCAAGUUCCAAUCAACAAAAGAUAAGGCAUUAAAAGAAAAAUAUGUCUCAAGUGGUAUAAAAGAAAAUCAAAUCAAGGCAGUGUUGCAAGCGCUACCAGUGUACGCCAUGGGUUAUCUUUAAAUUCCCAUGAAGAAGACAGAAGGAAAACACAUUGGCUAGCUUGGGAUAAACUCACUAAACCAAAAAGAGAGGGAGGCAUGGGCUUCCGAGAUCUUAGGUUGUUUAAUCAAGCUCUUUUGGCUAAGCAGGCGUGGAGGUUACUGGUGAGUCCAGAUUCAUUAUGUGCUAAGGUCUUGAGGGCCAAAUAUUAUCCUAAUGGUCAGAUCUUGGAUACUGCAUUCCCGCAAGCUACUUCUGUGAAUUGGCAAGACAUUAUGCAUGGAUCUGCUAAAAAAGGGGUGAUCUGGAGAGUGGUAGAUGGAAAAAAUGUUAAUGUUUGGAGAGAUAACUGGCUACCUGGAAAUUCCGGCCUCAGAGUUUUAGUCAAAAACAACCGCACUAGACUGAAAUGGGUCUCUGAAUUAUUUAUGAGUGGAACAAGAAGAUGGGAUGAAAACUUAAUAAGGCACUUGUUCUAUAGUCAUGAUGCUGAUGAGAUCCUAAAUUUACGUAUUCAGACUAGAGGUGAGGGUGAUCUAAUUGCUUGGCACUAUGAAAAAAAUGGCAUGUUCUCUGUUAAAAGUGUGUAUAGACUGGCAUUAAAUCUGCAGGAUGGCAAGGGUGAGAUUGGAAUGUCCAGCACUGCCGUUGGCAAGGAAAGGAGUGCAUGGGAUGUUAUUUGUAAGGCCAAUGUUCCUCAAAAAAUAACAAUUUUUGCAUGGCGAGCUGCAUCCAACAGUUUGGCUACCCAGGUAAACAGAGUUACUCACCACCAAACGGUGUCAGGCAGGUGCACUAUAUGUGGGGUGGAGGAUGAGAGUACCUUCCAUGCCCUUGUGUCUUGUCCAAAGGCGCGCGCCUUCCAUUUCGCAGUGAGAGAAGUUUGGAAUAUCCCUAGCGAGGAGCUAUUCAGACUUACGGGGCCCGAUUGGAUAUUGAUUCUGCUUGAUCAAUUGGGGACGCUGGAACGCGAUCAAGUAUUAUUCAUGCUUUGGAGAGCAUCGCAUCUGAGGAAUGACUUGAUCUUCGGAAAGGGGAAAGAAUCCUUAUCUGCCUCUGUUACUUUUGUGGAAAAUUACUGGAAUUCUUUCUCUAAAGGAAAAAAACUAUGCGCAAGUUGAUUUCAGCAUCAAAGGCAAGGAGGUGACACAUAAUUGGAGGUAUGUUACCCCAAACGUGAAUCUUCGUCAUGAUUGGGAACCCCCUGAUCAAGGGUAUAUUAAGAUAAACGUUGAUGCUAGUUUUGGGGAGAGCAUGAGAGCAGCUAGUGUGGGGAUUAUUGCCAGGAAUCAUCUUGGCGAAGUCUUGAUUUCUUCAUGGGAUUUUAUUCAGUCCUGCACCUGCGUGGACGAAGCAGAACUUCGUGCGGCUCUCGCCGGGUUAUACAUCGGUAUUACUCUUCACACACCGGUUAUUUUAGAAACUGAUUGUGUGUAUGUUGCAACUUCUCUAGAGAAAGAAUCCAUUGACAGGUCUCCUAUUGUUGAUAUGAAAAAGGAGGCGAUAAGCGUCUCAAAGCUCAUAAAGGAUUUCAAGGUUGCAAAGAUUGAUAGGCGGGCUAAUAGGGCCGCGCAUUAAUUAAUCAUCGCGAUACUUACAAUCGUUCGAUACAAAAUUCACCACAUAGGGCGGUACAUCAUUAACAAGAAUACUAUCGGAUCUAUUGUCAAGACUAAAUUUUGCUAUUAGAUGAGCCACCACAUUGGCGGAUCGACUAAUUUUAGCCAUUUGAAAGCUAUUUAUCAGCUUAGAUAAGCUCAGUGCUUCCUUCUUCAAAUCAACCAACGUUGACCUGUCAAGGUUCUCUAUUGCAAGAGUCGCCACAACAAAUGCACAAUCAGUCUCUAAAAUAAUAGGAUUGUGCGGAGAUAUACCUAUGUAUAGACCAGUAACGCAUGCCCUUAUAGUUCUGCUUCCUCCACACUCUGACACGAUCCAAUGAAGUCCCAAGAAGAGACAAUGACUUCCCCAGCCGCAUUCCUAACCACCACACCCACACUUGCUUCUCUAAUGCUCUCUACAAAGCUUGCGUCAACAUUAAUCUUUAAAAAACUAGUCGGUGGGGGAGUCCAGUCCAUCUUAGCUCCCACAUUAUCAGGUGCCCAUCUUAAUCCAUCUAUUGGACCUUUUCCUUUAUUUUUUGAGAUGGCAAAUUUAGUUCUCUGAAACCAUGACAACUUUGAAAAACCUAUAAACACAAAGCAGAGCAAAUUAAAAUUGAUUGUUUGACCUACAAUUGAUUGAUUACAGCAAGUACCUCGUGGUGACGCCGGGCGGACGGCUGAUGGUCGUGCUCAAGACCAAGGAGACCACGGGUUGGCGGACACCAUUGUCCUUCAAGGUCAGGUCCUCGGCGCGGGCGCCAAGGAGUGGAAGGAGACGGACGACAUUAGCGACGCAGCGCUGUUCGUCGGGACGAAGGGUUCGUUGUGUGUGUCGACAAGGGAGCACCCGGGGCUCAGGGCCGGCUGUGUCUACUAUGCCGCCCACGGCGGCGUCGUGGUGUUGAGCCUCAAGGGCGGCACAGUGAAGGAGGUCGAUCGCGUCUGGACGGACCACAGCUGGCUGGAGUGGUUCACGCCGUGCAUUUCACGAUAGGUUGAUAUCAUGAUUGAUUCCCUUGCUUGUUGGGUGGGCUAAAUUGCAAGGUUGAAGCUAAAAUUAAAUAGUUUAUGCGCAUUAUACACUACAUAUGUUUUUUUUUUUGCGAAUCUAUACACGACAUAUGUUCUUUGCUGGAGUGCUUAGAAAGCAAUUUUGGAUGCUUCCUUUUGCCAUCAAAUUGCAACACAGCAAAAGGUGCCCAUUGUAGGUUUGGUUUUAAAUUCUUUGAGGGAGACGUUAAAUUAUUUGACUUCAUGUAACAAAUACAUAACAAUAGAGAAGAGCUGCAUGUAUUUGGCAGCUAGGGAUUUUUUUUCUCGGGAAAGGGAUAUUAAAGUCUUGCCGCAAUGCCCCUUAUGCAAGCAAGGUGCUGAAGAUAUUCGCCAUUUGAUGUUCACCUGCAGCUGAGCUUGGGAAGUUUGGCGGCCUUUAGGUCUGCGUGACAUUAUUGAUCAAGCUUUGGCGGUGGACAGGUCGGGCUUGAUUUUGCUCGCAGAAAUUCCCAGGAAUCUGAUUAAAAAAUCACCAUUGCCUGGCCAGUUCGACUCUAAGAGACGGUCGAUGUGGAUGCGUGGUUCAUAUUCGGCAGUGACGGCGUGUCAAGAUGGCAACGGGGACGAAACCCACCAGGUUUUGCGCUCUGGCGGUGUUUCUUUGGGCCGCUUGAUUCAAGAUGGAUCAAUGGCAUAUGCUAAAAUAAUGUAUUUUGGCGGUAUUGUCGGGUUUCGAGUUCGGAUACUACUGAAACGGUUUAAACCCGUGAAACAUGGCGGGUUUUAUAAUGUACCCACCAGCAACCCCACAUGGAUAGAAAGACGCCUAUCUGUGUCCCCUAUAAUAGGGUAAAAACCCACGGGGCGGGUUUCAGGACCCAUUGCUAUCUUGAGCGACGUGCGGCAUGUGCUCAUUGAGCUCUGCUACUGAUGAUCUGCGUUUGUAGUUGUAAAUCUUGAGACAUCUCUCCCUCCCGAUUCACAGGUAUGUAUGUGCGAGCACAUAAUGUAUGAAUUUGCAACCGCAGGCACACCACCAACACUGAUGAAUCAUAAUAUCUCAAUGAAAAAACUGAUGAAUCAAUCACUUCUAGUUGCACCAUUCAGUUACAACAACAUCCUGUAGAUUGUUCAAAGAACAACUAAUCCCUGAUCACCACAUGCAGGGGGGCGGGGGGAGGGGGGAAUGCUGUGUUCUCAUCAUGCAUGGCAUGGCAAAAUAUGAGCGUUACAAGCUCCUGAAAAAUUUAGGCUAAAACACUUCUCGACUUCUGAAUCUUGACCACUCAACUUGGUUGAAGUUUGAAACAAACACAAAAUUAAGGUGUAAUCUGCUUACUUCUGAUCCCUCAACGUGUCUUAAAAAGCUUGCAUAGUAAGUAGAUUAUAUCAGGGAAACCAUCUGCAAUAUGGUACGCCAAACUAGAAAACAUCUCUGCACUUCUGAAACCUGAAACCAUCUGCCUGCAUGUUCAUUGUUCAGAAUAGUUAAUACUCCCUUCGUACCAAAAUAAGUGACUCAAAUUAGUACUAACUUUGUACAGGAGGGAAUACUAUUUUUCUCGGGUACACACCAAAGUGCGCGUCAUUUGUAUUUGGGAGAAAACGCCGAGACAGCGACACAUGUCUUCUUACAAGCAAAGAGCCAGGGAGAAAGGGGAAAGCAGCAAGGAAAUAAAGCACAAAGCAGAAACCCCAAAUUCCUAAAGCUUUCCAUCGGAGUGUUGCAAAAAGACUUGAAUUUUACAUGUUUGGAAGACCGAAAAUGUGGUGAAUUUCCCAUGCGAAAAUAUAGAAAUAUUUCUAAGUAUGCCAUGAGUAGAAAAACAUGAUUAUAAUGAUUUCUAAACAAGACUCCAUUAUUUACACAUUGUUGCCAUGAAUUAAAUUAGCCCGUGAAUUAGGUAUCAUACUGCUAAGUUUGGGAACAUGGCAAAUUUAGGAGUGUUUUCAUAGGGAUUUAGUCCUCUGAAACACAUGGCAAAUUUUGGUGAGAUGGCAAAUUUAGUUCUCUGAAACAAUGACAACUUUGGAAAUCUGUAAUGUACCUUGGAGAAGACACAAGCAUAGCAGAUGAAAAAAUGAUUAAUUGACCGAUUGAUUGAUUAUAGCAGCGACAAUAACACUGAACUAAGUGCAUGGAAAAAUUUACUUCAGAUGGAAACUUUGGAAAAAUGUAAACACAAAGCAGAGCAGAUGAAAAUUGAUUGUUUGACCUACAAUUGAUUGAUUACAGCAGCACUCACACAAACGAUGGACUCGAGCGUUGUAUUACGAGGACGAGUUUGUACAUUAUGACGUUUCAAGCGUGAAGACGCACAAUGUUAUCUUUGUCGUGUGGCCUAUGAUGUUUUGAUCCCGCAGAUCGUCGGAUUUGAUGGUUUGUUGUCCGGCGAGGAACAUAUGUUUAAAAAAAUCUUUCUUUUUUCUGGAUGCUGGGGAAAAUCUUUUUUAAAAAAAUUUGCAGGAGAAAAUCCUUUUUUUUUACAUCAUGCUGGAUAAAAUCCUUUUUUUGACAUCAUGCUGGAGAAAAUCUUAGUGGGAACGUAGGGAUUUGUCAUCAAAAAAACCAGAAGUGAGGCAUAGGCGGUUAAGGUAAACGUCCUUAAUAACUUUGAAAUCGUUAAUCUCCAAUCCGACGACGCAGACCAUCCUCCUCCCAAUCCCUAAUCGAUCCUUCCGAUGCGGCGAAAUCGAGCAAAGGCCGCCGUCGACCUCCCGCCGGACAUGCUAGCCAACAUCCACGCCCGCCUUAGCCCCCUCGACCGCCUGGCCUUUGCCGCCGCCUUCCCCGCCUCGCGCGGCGCGUUCAGGACAGAGGCGCCGUGGCUCGUCCUGCCCGGCGGCGACAACCCGGACACCGCGACGCUCUUCUCGCUCUCCGAUCGCAUUGCCACCACCCUGGGCGCCCCGGAGCCCGCGUUACGCGGCCACGUCGUCCUGGGCUCCUCCUCCGGCGGCUGGCUCGUCACCGCCAACGACCGGGCCCGGAUGCGCCUGGUCAACCCGGUCACCGGCGAGCAGCGCGCGCUCCCGGCCAUCACAACCAUCCCGGGCCUCUUGGAGAAGUGGCGCGGCUUCAGCUACAUGAUGCUCCAGCCGAAAGACUUCCUCAGGGGUCCCCCGUACCACGUCGGCGGCGACCGCCCGCCGCAGGGGACGUUUACGAUGGGUGCCGAGCUGAUGCGUCGCUUCUUCUAUCGCAAGGUCGUCCUCUCCGACUCCGACUUGCCGGGCCCUGCUGCCGCCAUGCUAAUCACGGGACCGCGAUUCGGCGUCCCGGCCUUCGCCACGGCGGAGGGCGGCGCGUGGAGGCUGGCUCCCUCGCGUGAAGGCGUGGAGGACGCCGUCCACUACAACGGCAAGUUCCACUCCAUCACCUACGCCGGCGCCGUAGAGGCGUGGGAGCAAGAUGCCAAUGCCGGCGGCGUGUUCACGAGCAUAGCGGUCGCGCCAAGGCCAAGGCUGCCCAAUGCGGACGGCGAUUCGUCGUUGUGCCGCCACAAGUACCUCGUGGCGGCGCCGGGCGGCCGGCUGAUGGUGGUGCUCAAGGAGUCCAAGGAGGAGACCAUGGAUAAGUACUCCCGCCCUCGGAGGACGUGCUCCUUCAAGGUGCAGGUCCUUGACGGGGAACAGUGGAAGGAGACGGACGAUAUCGGGGACGCCGCGCUGUUCGUCGGGGUGAACAGUUCGCUCUACGUGUCGACGAGGGAGCACCCGGAGCUCAGGGCCGGCUGCAUCUACUACACAGAGAACGAUACAGAACUGUGAAAGGAUGGCCACAACGCCGACGAAGACAACAGAGUCGGUGUGUACAGCCUCGAGGUCGGUUGGACGGAGAAGGUCGAGGGCCUCGGGCAGCACAGGAGCUGGCCGCCUCCGGCGUGGUUCAUUCCUGCCAUCCCAUGAUGAUGGAUAUAAUUGAUAGCCUAGGUUCGUGUUUUUUCAGUAAAGAAAAAGGCUUGACAACUAAGAAAACAGUUUAGUUUCCAGCUUCGUCUUCAGGAAACAGUUUUUGAUUAUUGUCUUCUGAGCUUUCUGGAUGGACAGGUUUUAUUUACUGAAUAAGAUAGAAGAGUAAUUAUGAUUAUUUGUUCCAGAUUACAACCAAGCUACAGCAAUUGAUAGCCUGGUUUCUAGAUUGUUUCAACAGUAGGGAAUUUGUUGCAGUGUGCAGUGCAGCAGAGCUUAGCUAAGGCAGUGUAUGCAUGUGCUUAGCUGAUGACUUGAGAGGCUCACAGCCUCUGCUUACUUAAUUACUGCACUUUUUUUAAGAUCGGGUUUCAGAAGUAUGCUACAACAAUUUGGUUUGCAGCAUGUUUCAGACUCUCAAGUCAUUUGUGUUUGUUUCAAGUUUCAGAAGUAACGAAGCACUAGCUAGUUUAAUGUAGUAGUUUUGCAGGCCUCAAAUUUCGACGCCUCCCAUGUUUUUUUUUGUUGUUGUCUGCUGCACACAGUUGAAUCUCCAAGUCACAAGAUAUUGUCAGUGUUGAUCAGUUGUGGGGAGUGAGGGCCCGUUCGGCAAACCACCGCGCCAACAUUUUAAGCUACUGCUCCGUCCGCUCCGGGAGCGGAGUGGUGGAGCCGGAGGGUCUCCGAACAGGCCUAUUGUGUCCCUGCCACGGCUUCCACAAAUGUCAUUCCCUGAUGAAACUUGGCAAGCACUCAAAACAUUUGUCAUUCUUUGUCACAAUUUUUUUUUUAGAUUUUACUAUUCAUGGUGGUAUCAUAAGAGCUAAAACUCGGAUGGGUACUUACCAACACUUUUGUCAUGAAUGCAACUAACAUUGACAUAGAUGUGAUGUUUUUUUUGAACAUUUUGGUAUCUUAUUUGCAUUUUUUUUUACUUUGUAUGAAUUAGUCAUGAAGUUUUCAAAGUGACGGCCAAACAGUCAAAUGGCAAAAGCACAAGACGCCAAAGUGGGUUGGUCAAGACCACGUGUUUUCAGAAUCUGUGGGUAAUCCUGACGAGGGGGGCACAACUAAGGGUAUAAAACCAAUUAUUCCUUUUUGUUUUGUCAAAUUUUCUCUACUGACCAUAUUAUGUUGUUCUUCAAGGCAAAUGAAUGAUCUGACAACAUAUAUAUAGUAACCUGCACUGUAGGUGCAUUUCCUGGAAGUUGGUAGACCCACGGACAAUUAGACAUCAUGCCCUUCGUCUUUGCCGUCUCUAUAUAUCUAGCUAGGAUACAUCUGUGCUUAUGCCCUUAUGUUUGCACGAUUCAUAGUGAACUAUCAUAAUCUAUGACAUGUCGUAUCUGUGUGUUUUGGUGGAUCUUUUCUCUGGAAUUAUUUCCAAAUGAAUUGUGGCGUGAAGAAGAACUUAGCUAACGCAGUAUUUCCUUAUUUAACUCACUCAUAUAGUAAAUGUGCUACUUAUGAAGUUGUUGCUGGUGCUUGGGGUGAAUCGAGAGCCCAACCAUAGACUGCAACUUCGAUUGGACUAUGUGAUGGAUUUGAUGUUAGAUAUGUGGAUUUAACGUUAUAUAUGUGGAUUUCACGUUAUAUAUGUGGAUUUGAUGAUGAUCCAUCUUAUGUAUAUGGAUUAGGGCAUGUAGGUAUUUUAAAUUGCAGGGCGGAAAAAAAACAAAAAAACAAAUAUGGAGUACUUAUAUGUCGACGGCAAAGCCCUUGGCAUAGCACCCAAUUAUGCUGAUGGCAAAGCCCUCUGCAAAUCCCCCGGCCUGGGAGCACUAGGGCCCGCCAUGUACCUAGUUAUGCUGACGGUUUUGCCGUCGAUAACGCCUGACAGAUAUGCCGACAGCCAAGACCUCGACAAAGCAGCCCACAUGGGAGCACCAGGGCCCGCCACAUGCCCAGCUCUGCCGACCGUUUGGCCAUCAGCAAUGUCUGCUUGAUAUGCCAAUGGCAAAACCCUCAGCAGAGCUGCCCACCUGGGAGUACUAGGGCCCGCAACGUGCCCAGUUCUACCGACGGUUUUGCCAUCGGCAAAGUCUCUAGAAUGGUAGACGAAUGUUAACGGCUAUUUUUUUCGACGACCGUUCUAUGCUGAUGGCCGUCGGUAAACCAUCGGCAAAUGUCCAUGUGCCGACCACCAUGUGGCCUUUGUCCAUAGCCCUCUGGCCGCCAUCUCCAGGGUCUCCAGCCACAAUGGCAGCAGCGUGAGCUUCCGCUCAGGCCCCAUCGUCGCAGCCGCAUCGUCAUCAGCUGCUCAAAGAGACUGUCGUGUCGUGGCUGGCAGGUCCACACCGCCUUCCAGGCUUGAGCACGACCGCUAAACUAAGCGUACACGCAUUAUAUCUUAGCCUACGCUUCGGCCGCCGAUCGACCCAACCAGCCGUACGCGCUAAUUAGCCGAACCACGUGCUCGCUCGUGAUCUACCGUAACCGCUUAUGACCAGACUCGAAGUGAUUUGCCUAGCAUGGGUCCCUCCGGGAAAAAUCCAGUAGUAACAAAUUACGAUCACCAACGCUAACUAAACUGGUUCUACAUGAAAUAGUAAUGUCACUGUCGCUGUUAUAUAACAGUAGGAAUGCAUUACCACAUCUGAGUCUAGAUUUACUAGGUCACUAUUAUCAAGCAGUAGUAAUGCAUUACUACAUGGGCGAAGUAUCAGGUGAAAACGUUAAUUCAGUGAAAAUCUGGAAACUUACCACCAGAGCCACCGGAUGGUAGAUGGACGGAUUAGAUAAGAAGUUAGAUGCCCCAUAGCCACUUAAACAUAUUUACAGAAAUCCCCUUGCUACACACGACAGCUCUAAAUCCGGCGAAGACCACGACAAAUGGCGGAGCGGCGGCGGCGGCGGUGAUGGUGGAUGCUUAAUGGCGCACGAGCCUGACGUGGUUGAGUAGCUCAUGCACCUCGCGAUAGCAGCGCCUCAUUUGGCACCCUGCCUGCCCGCCGGCCCAGCCGGUGCGUUGGCCGCACCCUCGGGCGGUUCCUCUUUUUUUNNNNNNNNNNNNNNNNNNNNNNNNNNNNNNNNNNNNNNNNNNNNNNNNNNNNNNNNNNNNNNNNNNNNNNNNNNNNNNNNNNNNNNNNNNNNNNNNNNNNUGACGCACCACAUCAUGUAUGUCACCUGCUCGUUGCAGUGGCCCAGCGUCGGGUCGACCAGCUCCAACGCUCUCCCAUCCUUCCACAGCUGCCAUGCCUGUCGCCCAAAAAUCGUACGGCACAUUAACUAAUGAGGUUUUGCUUCAUAUGUAGGCCAAAUUGGAAUCUCUAAAAAGUCUUGUAUUUAGGAACGGAGGGUUCCUGUCAGUGCCUUAGGUUGCUGAUGUGACAUUUUUUACCUUAUUGUGACGGAUAAGCCGCUCAUUUUUGUAUUUUGUCUAGGAACAAGAAGUGCUAGGAUUUGGGUUCUUGUUAACUCAUGAAACUAAAAAAUUCAGCAGAAGCUUACGUAGCUGAGGAGGUUGACAAAUUCUCCAUAGUGUUGGCCGUGACCGCUGCUGUUCCUCUUGCCGCUCACUAUCUCCAGCAGCAACACACCAAAGCUGAAGACGUCAGACUUGACCGAGAAGAGGCCCUCCGAAGCAUACUCAGGUGCCAUAUAACCGCUACAUAGAGUACAGCACAGAACGUGGAGCGGCAGGCAUGGUGAGCAAUCUUCAAAUCAUUCAAAAAGAUUCAAAAAAGGGGUAAAAAUGCUUCUCUUAAUUACUAGGUGCCGACAACCCUGUUGGUGUUGACUUCCAUCACGUUUGAGCCGAAGAUCCUGGCCAUGCCGAAGUCGGAGAUCUUGGGGCUGAGAUCUUUGUCCAGCAAUAUGUUGCUGGCCUUCAUGUCCCGGUGAAUGAUGCGCACCCAUGAGUGCUUGUGGAGGUACAGGAGCCCCUGCGCGAUCCCUUCGAUUAUGUGUUGCCGUUUUUUCCAGUCCAACAAGGGCCCUCUCUCUUGGUCUACAUUGCACAAAGUGGUUACCAUAUCAGGAAUUCCAUUCAAGGGAAGAACUAAAGAUGGUCUUAAUAAAAGUUCUUGCACGUAGUUAGUAAUUUACCGAAGAUAAAGAAGUCUAGGCUUCCGUUGGGCAUGUACUCGUACACCAGCAUCUUCUCCUCCUCCUGCACGCAGCAACCCACGAGCUUGACGAGGUUCGUGUGCUGCAGCUUGGCAAUGAGCUGGAUCUCGUUCUUGAACUCAACAAGCCCCUGCACAGACUGCGCCGCGAGCCUCUUAACCGCCACCUCGGUUCCAUCACAAAACAUUCCCUGAAAAGAAACACAAUGGUAACAAAAAGAUUAGAGUUCAAUUGAUCACAUUACAUGGUAAACGGCGUAUCCACUUGCCUUGUACACCAGACCGAAGCCGCCUUGUCCGAGCUUGUUCUCUUCGGAGAAAUUGUCCGUGGCAGCAGCGAGCUCAGGGAAGUCGUACAAGGUGAAUUCUGAGCUGCUCUCUUCGAUCUUCCAUAGCUUCAGAGCCUCCUCUGUCUUGGAGUUGUUCCUCUUAUGUGCUUGUUCUAAUUUUGUCUUUCCUGAAUUGGAUAUUAAUUGCAGGUGAUGAGUUAAAUGGUGUCGAGAAAAAGCACGAAAUUUUCUUGCAAUGUGUUGUCUUCUCCUUACCACCUCCUUUUCUUAGCCUUCUCAUGAGUAGAAGGCAGCAAACCAAUACAGAACAGAACACCGUAAUGGACACACAUAGAAGGACUAUUAGGGUCUUUCUGUGCUUGCUUCCUGCGUGAUACGGAACAAAAUAAUUCAACAAAUUUCGUCGAAUAGUUCAGCAAAUUGAAGAGGAGGUACACAAAAUAAUUCAACAAAAUAGUUCAACUAGAAAACCUAAAAUAGUUCAACAAAUUGAAAAGGAGGUACACAGUACACUCUCCCUUACCAUUGCUUUCUGUUGGUGAAGAUGAGCCACCCUGUAAGCCAAUCCUGACGUCGGCCAUGCCGUCGUAGAACUGGUAGCUUUCAUAGCGAAUAUUGCACCGGACGCCGAUGAUGCGGCCGCCCUCACGGCCGUCGUACCACUGGCGCGUCUGCUCCUGGAGGCCCUGGAAGCAGUGCCAGCACUGCCCCGGGGAGAGGUCCGGCGUGCACUGCGCCAGGCCGUACACCGUCGGCAGCUGCGGGUUGACGUACAUAACGGCGCUGGCAAACCGGCGCACCGUGGAAUUGUACGAGCCGUACAUCGCCAUCUCCCCGAAUAGAGUGCCAACCAGGGACAGGAAGAAGCUCCGGGACGUCGCGUUCCCGCUGUCCCAUGCAGCAAACGUCGACCCGUUCACGUCCAUGGCGUUUAUGACCGGGCUGUUAUCUUCCGGCCGCCCCAGGAAGUCCUCGCCGGAGUAGCGGAGGGUGCAGAGGUCGUGGUAGAACGUCGCAUCCCUCUCGCCGGCGCAGAGCGCCCUCAGCUGCUGGAAUGCGUUGUCGAGGCAGCCAGAGCACGUGCUGGCGUCCGUGAUGUCACCGCGGCAGAGCGCGAGGGCGGAGACUUUCUCCGAGGAGGUGCCGAUGGCCGCCGAGGCGUAGAGGGAUGGAGAGGUGGACGCGUUGAUGGGGAGCUCGGCGGUGAGGCGCGCGAGGUUAGCCCCGAAGGCGUCGCUCGCCGUGUAGUUGCCGGUGGUGCCAUUGCAUGAGUACUCCGAGUAGGCGGCGGCGACGGCGCGCAGCUCUAGGAAGAGGAGAAGGAGGAGGCAGGGCAUGACGCCAACCAUGCCGGCCUCUUUCAUUGUGAUGAAAAAGGAGAAUAAUGGCACUUCCCCAUAACUUGUUCUUCUCGUUUUAAAAUUUAUAAAUGCGUCGGCAAAGUCGAAGGCAGAUGGUGGUUGGUUGCUGUCAUUUGUUCUUUCCGAUUUUUCUGCGACGGUUCGUUCAGUCAAAGGCUACAAGCAGGAAUUUGAUUACCUAGAUACCCACUAAAGCAUAGCAUAGAUGCAUGACAAUUGGCGAGUAUUCGCGAACCAAUAUGUGGUUGGAUGAUUUUAGAGAGACAGUGGUGUCUCGGUUUUAUUAGGGUUUAAGUCCUGGUGCUCGCAUUAUUUUUGGAUUUAUUUCAGCAUUUCCGGCGAUGUGCCUUUAGUGGGAUGUAAUAUUUUCGUCGACAACGAGGCGCCUAGGAUGACUUUGUAAAUCCUAAGAUAAUAUGUCGGCUCGGUCUUUUGAAGUUGCUCCUAAGGAUAGGGUGUGCGUGUAUGCGUUCAUAAGGAUGAGUGUAAGCAAGUAUGUAUGAGCGCUUGGGCCUGUACUGUGUUCAAAAAAAAUAACAAGCAUUCAUUUUACCCUGCACGUGUAAACACGGACGACCCCGUGCGACCUGGAACAACCAUGCUGAGUUGAAAGCUGAUUUUGUAAAUAUUUUUUGCAUGAUAAUACGUGGCUCAUUUAUGUAUAUCAUAAGGAUCAUACUACAAGCCGUACACACCGACCUGACAAAACUGAAAAAAUAGAAAACACUAAUUUUUACACAAAGGAACACUAGCCAAGAAGUAAAAUUACAAUCAAGACCAAAAUAUCAUAUGUGCUUAACACAAACGCACGUCGCCUUCCUCUGGCACCACCAUAGCAGCCACCAAAGAAACAAAUGACAGAUCACCUUUAUACCCGAGCUCGACGCGGCCCAAUCACCGAUAUGCAACUUUGCGGACCUCCAAGGUUGCUCACCACAGGUGAAACCAUUGCUGUUGAACAAAUCAGACCGGGCAACACCCCAGACACACCAUCGAACUCCUGAUUCUGGCACCCCGUAUGACUAAGACCUCGGAGGAGGAAACCAUGCCUGCCAUCCAUGAACUGUGAACCCAACACAAGACCCACCACCUUCCAGAUGCAGUCGAUGCAGACCACAAUCUACAUCCGCUCCUGGACUACCUCCCAAGCUCUGUGUCUGCACUGGAGCGAACGCCGUCGCAAUGGCGAAGUCCAAGGACAUAGGUCCACCAUGAGGAUGCCGCCUCCGCUACGACAUCCUUUCUUGAAUAGAUGGAUUUCCAAAUCUGUCCCAGACCAUAGGACCGAUCACCUGGUCGGAGAAGAAUCUGAAGAAUCUUUAUUCAUUGUCGUCAUCGCCGCUGCCGAAGCCAACACGACAAACAACCUAAAAACCUUAACUUCGAGAGUCUAAAUAACGAUCCAGACGCGUGUAUCUGGCGACCCCUCUCAGCACGGACGACCAAGGUCGUCGGCUCGGCGGAGGAGAGCCAACGGGGGACGGCGCUGGAAGGCUGGACUCUCCUGGCGGCGCUAGGGUUCCAGUCUGCAUGUGUCAAGAGGAAAAAGAACGAUUUGAUUACCUCUUCGUGGUCUGUGGAUAAAAAUUUAAAUUUUGAUGUUGAACGAAAAAAGAUUUUUUUUUAUCUCACUCUCUGUCUCAGCGUGUCAAACAAUCGUGUGGCUAGUUGAUGUUUAGCAAAUACUUCAUCUGUAAACAAAUAUAAGAGCAUUUAGCUCACUAAAAUAGUAAUCUAUAUGCUCUUAUAUUUUUUUUACGGAGGAAGUACAGUUCAAAGGUUACUGUCCGAAGACGGCUUGCAUGGAUGCAUCACACUAAUUAUACGAAAAGCCUAAAAAUGUGACGUCAGAUUUUUAGAAUUUUGCGGGCGAACGCUUCAUCUGCCGCUCAUUUUGAGGUACGAAUCUUGUAGCAUGGGGACCAGACACGUAAGCGCUUGGAACCGUUGGAUAAGAAAACAGUCGGCGCAAACGCUCCCUUUCCCAGCCGUCAUUUUUCCAGCAGAUUUUGUCAAAAUUGCCAUGGAUCCCUUAAAUUUAGCCAUGCCAUCAAGUCUGCAUGUUCUCCAAUUUUUGUCAGACAUGUCCAUAGAAUAUUCAGUGCACGCCGGCCAUGGUUGACGGUCUGCUCGGUUGGUUGGUCUACACUGCGGUGCACGUCCAAGAUCCAUCCACACGCCGACCUGGACUCGAUGGUUGAAUGUAUGGUCGAGCAAGACUCUUAUCAUGCCAGGCUACUGUGCGCACGGCCACUCAAACCGGCCGGUCACCCUACGUCCGGAACGCACUCAUCCUCGGCGGGGCACGUCCAUCCACAUGCCGACCUCGAUCGUUGAGGAGGUGUGUGGAAGUAUGGUCGAGUCACAGUCAUGGUGCACUCUGUGUGCGCACUGCAUGCGGUCUACAGAAUUUGCGUCUAUUUGUUCCGACGCACCACUCCUAUCAACGACGACGAACCCGGCCUAGACAGCUCGGCUAUGGCGCACCGUCCGCCGCCGUGGACGGAGACAUCGGCCUCGGCGCCUUGUUAUUUCCUCGUCAACGCCAACGUCAAUGACGACGACGCGUAGCUACCACUAUCUUGAUGAACUCUUCUCCCCCAUGGAAAUUCCUGCCUCCUCCCAAAAAGUUCCAUGGCGAGUGGUUGGUAUGUCGCCUCGGUUGGGUGGGCUGGUUGCUGUCGCACGCCCAUCGUCGUUUUUUUCCUGCUGCCCAAGAUCCUCUCUUACCUCGGCUUCGAAGCCUUCGCUCAAGUUAGAUCAUCAUAGACGUUCAACCUAACGAUGAUAAGCUACCUUGAAGGAUGGCGCCCUCGCGCCUCGACGCCAUCCUCUACGAUGGCAAGUUCCACUCCAUCACCUACACCGGCACUGUGGUGCGUGGGAACAGGACGCUGAUGCCGACGGCGUGUUCAGCAGCGCAGUGGUCGCACCAAGGCUGCUACUGCUGCCCGCCGACGCGGAUCACCGCAAGUACCUCGUGGCGGUGCCGGACGGCCAGCUGAUUUUAUGGAAAUGAGAAUAUUCGGAGAUAUAAUAUGAGAGCUAAAACUAAAAAUACCUAUGGUUUAUUAUGUUUGAUUAUUGUAUUUAUUAAAAUAUUUAUUAAAUAUAUCAUACAUGUUUACAUAAUUUUAUUCAAAAAAAUUCUGAGCUGGAGCAUCUGAGCCUGGGCUCAGACGCGGAUUUUCGUGAAUUUUAUUUUUAUUUUUAUAUAAUCAAAUUUAUGCAAAUUUUAUUUGCGGUAACGUGAGGAAUAUAACUAUUUUAUUUGGCAACACAUAUAUGCAUAUUUGUAUAUUGAACAUAUAAUUUUGUGUUUGUGUAUCACAUCAUUUUUGUGGAAGAUAGGCAUAAGGCUUACUUUUAUUACCUUGCGUGAGUAUGUCUUUUAUUACCUUGCGUGAGUAUUGUGGUAUGGGAAUUUCAGCAUACCGAUUCUGACAAAGAUGAAGACAUAUAUGUAGCCACACCUUGCGUAAAAGUAUCAGCGAUUUCAUGCAUGUACCCAAAUCAUAUGAACUUUAAAAUCUCAGGCACAAAUAGAGUAAUAUCAAACCUACCUUUGCCUUGUAUCUGAAGGCACAAUAGAGCUACGUACUAGCUGCUGCCCAGGGAAUAUUUGCCUAAUCACUCAACCUCGUUCGGCACGCCUCGGGUCGGUAACCGCCGUGCAGUCUUCUUUUGAAUACGAUCUGCAGGUUUCCUUCUUUUUAAAGUACAUGUCAGUUAGUGUUUUUAUUUUUGUGGAGAUCACUUUAGGAGCCGUAAACAUGCACACUUCUAGGUUUUCUUUCUCUCAGAAAUAUUGAAACGUCUGCUUCUUCAAGAAUAGACAUUAAAUAAGAAUUAUAACUUGGUCGUUCAAAUUUACAUGAGAGAACUUAUGUGAACAGGCCGUUAACAUGCUUUCCGUGGGCCGGCCCGCCACCUUUUGACCAAGUCAAACGGGCCGGCCUUUUCACAGGAAUGGGCCUCUGUUGGGCCGUGCCACGUGUCGACGUAUCAUAGGCGCCUUCUGUCCAAUGAGUGGAUGAAAACUGUCACAACGAUGAGCAGACACGUGUUUCCUCCAGCCAAUGAUGAUUUUACACGUGAAAAAUCCCCAUUGGUCCGGGCUGUUAACGGGUUAUCGGAUCCAAAACCCGACCCUAUAGCUUAACGGUGUUCCGUUACGGUGGAUGUCACGUGUCGGUCACCCUUGACAAAAGCACUUCUGUGACGCGCGAUUUAUCGUCAUGGAAGUGGGCACUUCCGUGAUGAUAAUUUUGGUAAUGUCAUGGAACACUUCUACGACAGCACAGGUAUGACUAUCUUGAUUCUGUCAUAAAAUCGUCAUGGAUGUACAUGCAUGACAUAAAACGCGACCUACUGUGACAAACACGUAUCAUCAUGAAAGUGUAAUAUUUUGUAGUGAAAGGUCUAAGAAUUUCAACAAAACGAUUAGAAGCAUCUUCAUCUCUAUAUUUCACAACCUUACUAGGAAAUGGCAUAGGUUUUUGAACACAUGGUUCUCUUUCUUUACCGUGUUUUCUAGCAACAAAGUCUCUUUUAUCAUAUAUUUAUUUUAUAAGGUGGGUUAUCAAGCUCUUUAUUAUUGUCUAGUGGAGAGCAUCAUUAUGAUGAUCAUUAGCAUCAUCAUUAUCAUUAUCACUAGGUGUAUGCUCAUUACCAGAUUGUGUCUCAGCAUAAAAAAUAGACAUUAUUUGGAUUCUCAUAAGGCUUUCUACAACAGUUUCACCAGAAGCAUGCAAAAUCCUUAUUCUUUUUCUUCUUUCUAGGUGAACUAGGUGCAUCAUUCUUAAUUCUCCGAGAGUCUUUCUCAAUUCUUUUAAGAUGACCUUCAGGAUGUAAAGACCACUAGUAACUACUCUAAUAGCAUGAUCAUUCAUUUUAUUAUUCAUCUCAUUAAGCAAAUCAUUUUGUGAUUUAGAAACUUGUUCCGCUGAGUUUGAACCAUAGAAUCAUAUUUACAUAAGCCUUUAACAUCAUAUUAGCAAUUCUAAAUAUCAAAUAGCUCAUGCAUUCAAUCCUCAUAGCAUUACGUUUCAAUUGAUUACUAGUUUGCAUAUUGAAGUUUUCUUCCUUAACAAUGAAAUUAUCAAAUUCAUCCAAAAAUUGACUAGGAGAUUUUUUAUAUGGAAUAUCACCCUCAUCAAACUUAUAAAGAGAAUUUGCCUCCACUACCUAUGUCGGGAUGUCAAGUCCACGCAUUUCUUCAAUAGGUGGUAAAUUCUUAACAUCUUCAGAUUUAACACCCUUUCCUUUCAUAGAUUUCUUUGACUCUUGAAUAUCUUCUCCUCUUCUUUGGAGUUGGUCUAGGCAGUGGUUCAUGAAGUGUCCAAUCAUCAGCAUUCCUCAAUAGAUUACCCAAUAAUUCCUGAGCCCGUUAAACAGUUCAUUCCCAGAAAACAUAGCCGGCACAACUAUUUAGGUAGUCCGUAGAAGCAUCAGUUAGUCCAUUAUAAAAGAUGUCAAGUAUUUCAUUUUUCUUAAGAUGAUGAUCAGGCAAAACAUUUAAUAAUUGAAGCAACCUCCCCUAAGCUUGAGGGAGAUGCUCAUCCUCAAAUUGCACAAACUUACAUAUUUCCUAUAAGGUGGCUUGUUUCUAAUGAGCAAGAAAAUAUUUUUCGGAGAAGUAAUAUAUCAUAUCCUGGGGAGUGCGCACACAACCAGGAGCAAGAGUAUUAAACCAUUCUUUAGCAUCCCCUUUAAUGAGAAAGGAAAUAGCAAAGAAUAUAGUAGUAGCAAAUUUUUCCUCAUGAGCAAAAGGGUGGCUAUGUCAUUUAAUUUAGUAAGAUGUGGCACAACAGUUUCAGUUUCAUAACCAUGAAAAUGAUCGGAUUCUACCAAAGUAAUAAGUUUAGGAUCAAUAGAGAAUUCAUAAUCCUUAUCAGUAACAAAGAGAGGAGAGGUUGCAAACUUAGAAUCAUAUUUCAUUCUUUCUAUCAUAGCCUUUUCAUUCAGCUUACAAUCAAGAAAUUCUUAAGUAAUCUCCCCAUCCAUAUCAUAACCUUGAGGUACCUUAGGCAUUUCAAAUCUAGUAGGAGAGCUAGGCAUAAUAGGUGAAUCAUAAUUUUUAGUAGUUUCUGCAGUCUCAAGUUCUUUAGCUUUCACAAUUUGUUCAUCAAGAAAUUCACCUAGUGGCACAGAUUCGUCAAGCAAAGUAUUGGCAUCAUCACAAGUUUCAUUUACAACAGAAGUAGUAUCGUCAAUUACUUGUGACAUGUCAAAAUGAAUAGCAGGUGGUGGUGUCGCAAGCCUACUUAAAACAUAAGGUGAAUCAAGUGCGGAGAUAGAUGGCGGUUCCUUACGUCCCCUCGUCUUAGAUAGUACGAUCUUGGUCUUGGUAUCUUUCCGAUUCUUCAUAGUGAUCAACAGAUAAAUAAUUCUCAAGUGAACUCAAUAAAAAGAGCUAUGCUCCCCGGCAAUGGCGCCAAAAAAAAGGUCUUGGUAACCCACAAGUAUAUGGGAUCGCGACAGUCUUCCAGGGUAGUAUUUCACCCAAAUUUAUUUAUUCGACACCAGGGGAGCCAAAGAAUAUUUAUGAGCCUUAGUAGUUGAGUUGUCAAUUCAACCACACAUGAAAAGCUAAAUAUCUGCACUAAAGUAUUUAGUAGCACAGUAGUAUGAUAGUUUCAUAAUAGUGGUAACAGUAGCAUUAGUAACGUGACAGUAAUAGUAGAAGUAUUGUAGUGAUUGUAACAGUAGCAACAACAGUAGUAACUUAGCAAAGAUCAAUAUGAGAAAAGUGUAGUCAUUGGAUCGUCGAUGGAUAUUUGUGUUGGAUGGCAUUCAUCAUGUAACAAUCACAACCUAGAGGGACACACAAUAGCUCCAACUCAUCUAUUCAAUGUUGGCAUGUAUUCCGUAUAUAGUCAUACGUGUUUAUAAUAAAAACUUGCAUGAUAUAUUUUGUCCUACCCUCCCGUGGCAGCGGGGUCCGUAAGGAAAUCUAAGGGAUAUUAAGUCCUCCUUUUAAUAGAGAAUCAGAACAAAGCAUUAACACAUGGUGAACAUGAGCUCCUUGGAUUACAGUCAUCCCCGGAGAGUAUCCCAAUUAUUGUCACCUCCGAGUCCAUGGUUCAGAAUAGUAACAAGUGCAUACAACUAGCAGAUAGGAUCAAGACCUCAAAUAUAUUGACGAAAACAUAGAGGGUUUAGAUCCAAAAUCAUGGCACCCAAUCCCUAGUGACAAGCAUUAGGCAUAGCAAAGUCGUAGCAACAUCAAUCUCAGAACAUAGUGGAUACUAGGGAUCGAGCCCUAAUAAAUUGACUCGAUUACAUGAUAAAUAUCAUCCACUUCAUCACCGUCUAGCAAACCUAUGAAGGACUCACUCCCGGGGGUUAGCAUCAUGAAAUUGUUGAUGGAGGAUGGUUGAUGAUGAUGACGGCGACGAAUCCCCCUCUCGGGAGCCCCAAAUGGACUCUAGAACAGCCCGCGUGAUGAAGAACAAGAGGUGGUAGUAGCUCCGUAUAGUAAAACAUGAUGAACCUUUUUCUCUCUUUUUUUCUCGGGAAAAAGAAUUUAUAGGCUUGGAAUUUGGUCAGACGGCCACCUGUGUGACCCACAAGGCAUCAGGGUGCGCCCUAGGGGUAGGCGCGCCCUGUUGCCUUGUGAGCAAGUGAUGGCGCCUACCCAGUGGAUCUUCAUUCCAAUAUUAUUUGUUUAUUUAAUAAAAAAAAUCUUCACAAAGUUUCGUCCGAUUUCGAGAACUUUUAUUUCUGACAAAAAACAAUGUCAUGGUAGUUCUGCUAAAAACAGUCUCGGUCCGGGUUAGUUUCAUUCAAAUCAUGCAAAUUAUAGUCCAAAAAAUAGCAAAAGUGUUUGGAAAAGUAGAUACAAUGGAGACGUAUCAGUCCACGUCCAUGAGCUGGGGUAGGUUCAACAUGGUCUUCACUUCUCAGUUCGCCGGUCCUCACAGGCACGACGAUGUCAACAUCCUGGUGGCGGGGUGUAACCUGCUUAGCCGGCUUAGAUAAUGGGGCCGACUGAGCGGACGACACUGUCUUACUCGUGGUCUUCUUUUGGUGGGUGAAACUGGUCUUGUGCUUGUUGCAUUAGCGAGGAGACAACUAAGAAAUUACUUGCCUCUUCGUCACCAGAAGGCCUCCUCUUUUGAGGAGAUCCCUCAGCCAACCAAUAAGGGGCAUCUUCAGUCCGUCAAAUAGUUAGAAAUCUUUCCAGCGAUGAACAGUCGGGUUUGUCCAGUGAGAACUCAAUUGACUUGGGGGCUACUGUCGGGGUUAUACCCGGGGUAGGUCCAAGUAUGGAAAUAUCUCGGCUAAGAGCCAUAGCCCAUCAAGGAUACGGUCUAGAAGAAUGUGGGUCAAGGGCAAUACUUCCAGCCCACAAGCAUUACGGCCCAAGAUAGUGAAAGCUAAAGAGGUUCUCAUGAUCAGGCCAAGUCAUAACAGUUGGAUCCUACACCCCCAGAUGGAGAAGGCCCAACAGUCGGUCACCAUGAAGGCGGGAGCAGUCGGACAUUCUGCAGUCGGUUGCGACCUAGGAUAAAUGACCCCCACGAUGUCUUAACUACUUAUGUUACCUAACGGUGUUAUAAUCUAGUUAAAUAAGGCAAUCACUAGCCAGAAUGACUAUGAGAAGUCGGCCAUGAACAACAUUAAUACCAGCCCGUUAUGACACCCCUCCUAGCACACUCUAUAUAAGCCGGGAGGAGGGCACCGGACUGAGGGUUGAACUUUUUCAUAGUGUACCUUACGCCAAGUUAAGAGCAUCACAGAAGUAGGGAAUUACCUCCACUAGAGAGGGUCUGAAUAUGUAUAAAUCCAUGCGUAUACUCCCAUCCGUACUGAUCGAUAGAUAUCAUUGCCUCUACAUACAAACCCCUUAUAGCAUUGUCUGGAUUAUAUCCACGACAGCUUUGGACCUGGUGUAGGAAAAGACCGAUUUAAGCGUUCCUACUCAGCUAGACCCGUAGGAGCUUUAAACAUGGAACGGGCCAUGAUUUAGGUGCAAGGCAAGCAAUCAAACAGGCCAAAACUACAUGGCGCGGCCUGACGCAAUGUAGGCUACGGCUACCAAACACGCCAAUGUGUAUGGCUCCAUUUUGUUUCAUACCGGCAUACAAGUUUUUCUUUCUCUCCCUCUCAAUGCAUGCCGUAGAUUGGCUGUUCAAUUUUUCAACGUGUGCAAUCGUCUACCUAGCAGAGUACAACGGUGCCAUUAAAUUACUAUUGAGAUCCAAUCUCUAGCAGCUCUUUUGUUUGUUUUUUUUUUUUUUUUGCACGGAGCACUUUCUGAAAAAUACCAAAAUAUAUAUGUGUAAGGCCAAAAAAGAAAACCAAAUAUGUACUGUUUAUUCUAAGUAUAUACUUGUGCUACGGAAUAUUUAUCAGAAAAACUAACUGGCAACCAAUCGCUGAGAAGGGGUGAUAAGCGAACCCUUCUUAGUGGUAGUUUUGGUUUGAGAGAUGGGAUCAAAAGAUAGCCGUUUAAAAACGAAAACUGCUGACAGAAACUAUCAUGACGCUCUGAAUAAACAGUCAUCCACUCAAACUAGAAAUGACACCGAAAUCGUUUGCAAAUGCCACUCCCUCUGACAACCGUUUGCCAGCUAAAGGGUUCUUAUUUUAUUAACUUCAGGACAGAGGUCAUAUGUGUCAGAGAGAUCUUAGGGUGUUGGAUAGUCGCAUUGUCAGUUGGCUCAUCUGUUAUGAUACAGUGAAUAUAUAAAGUUAUAUGGCUAUACAUAGGGAGUUGCUGUGAGGCACGACGAGUAGUACCAAGUUUGGAGCUUCGAGCUUAAUGGCGCAAGGUAUGAAGUGAAUAUUUGCCUCUUUCUUACUCUGUUCAUUGCGUUGAGAAAAUAUUCCUUUGUCAUUCAUUAAUUGUACGAAAGAUUCAGUGAUCCAAAUUGCGAAAUGUGUGCACCAUGUGAUAUUCCUAGCUAGUUCUAGAGUGCUGGAGUGAUAGGAGUCCGGCCCUGCUAGAGAGCCAUCACGAGCCUAUUUUGUCACUGAAAUUUUUACCUAUAUAUGUUAUGAUGUGUCUGGGAUUUGGGAUCAUAUUCUGCUAGUUAGUUUGUGUGCUGACUAGUAAUUUUUGCGUGCAGACGCAGGAGUCCCAAAUGUUGACUCGCACAGCGAUUUGGAGGCAGGGAAGAAACAAGCGCCGGCCAAACAAUCUGAGAUGGCGCCGGCUGUCUCCAUCUACAAGGUCCGUAUGCAAUUCCGUGGUUUGGACGGCAACAGCUACACGCCGCAGUAUGUGCCGAUUGGCCCGUACCAUCUAAGCUGUUCGUCCCCACGGACUCAAAAAGAGAAGCUGUGCGGUGUCUCCUUCCUCAAGAGCCUCUCGGACGAACACACCCUAGCGCGACUAGUGGACAAGUUGGAGCCACGAGCGAGGGAGUGUUACACCGACGGCGUUGGCCUGCUCACGCCGGAGCAGUUUUCCGGCAUGCUGCUGCGCGAUGGGUGCUACCUGCUUCUUCUGUUUGUACAUUAUGUGACAGGGGCAUGCAGCAAUGGCGGCGCUUCGACGGCGGCCGGUGGAGUCUCCGACAGCGCGGUGGUGCGCGACACCGUGUUCCUUGUUGAGAACCAGAUACCUCUCUUCGUGCUUGAGAAGAUCCACGAGCACAUCACAGGAGGCGCCAGCAUGUCCGUCCUCGGAAACAUCGCCGUCUCUGUCCAGGAGCUUCUGCAGGCACAACUCUACAUCAGCAAGAAGCUACGGCCGGCGCCUCAGCAGGCGUCCCACUUGCUCCACCUGGUGCAUCACUACUUUCAGCCAACCAAUCCGCCUCCUCCGGAAAUGGCAGCGAGCACGGCACGGCGCACCGGCCGGUGGCGCCGGGCGACGGAGUACGGCAGGUACGGCGGCAUGCGGUUCAAGCGCCGGGCCUUCGUGAGCGGGGAGGAGUGGACCGUCCUCGACGUGCGCCUUAAGCGAGGCACGCUGUGUGUCCCCCACCUGCGGGUCGACAGCAACACGUGGGCCGUCCUACGUAACCUGAUGGCGCUGGAGGAGCACGUCCCACGGAGGCCCGUCACGGCGUACUGCAUCUUCAUGUCGCAGGUGGCCGGUACGGUGGAGGACGUCAGGCUACUGGUUAACGCGGGGAUUGUGGAGCACUUCCUGCCGAGUGACGAGCAGGUCGCUCAAGGCUUCGCGGACCUCUGCAAUGGGGUGGUCAUGGACGUUGACAACCUUCACCGGAACUACCUCAAGCCCAUCUGGCACAAGCUGCAGGAACGCUGCCAGAGCCGCGUGUUUAGAUUCAUGGGAUGGUUCCGCCAUGACCGGCACCUCUGCAUGGCGAUAGCGUUCCUUAUGGCUCUCAUCGUCUUGGUUUGCCAAGUGACGCAGACGUUCUAUGCAGUAACCGGGGUCCGGAGGUGAACGAGGACAACGUCCCAAACACUAGAGUCUGUAUAAUUAGUUCUCAGAGCAUGAGUCGAUCAUAUCAGACGACAUUUAGGGUACGUCGGGGUCGAUUGUCUCUUGUUUAUCAUGUGUGCUUUGUUCUUGUUUUUCCUUUUGAGGAGAGUGAGCUUUAUUGUUUCGUAGGUUGAAUGAACGGUAGUCUCUCAUAGUUACUUAUUUUUCUUUUCUUCUUCGGUUCCCUCUCUUUUGAAUGGUCAGCUGGUUUUAAAGACAAUCUCGCGUAACUCUUUAUUAGCUGGUCACAAUAUUUACGGGGACGGAAGUAAGAUCACCAGAAUGGCCCAGCCAUACAUGACGGCCGGCUCCUAGCAAUUUCACUAAAUUGUGAACCUCGGUGUUGGAGCUCAUAUACUCAUGGCUAAAUAAGCAACUAGUAAAUAAACUAGAAUGGUCUAAAAUUUCACGAACAGUUGUACCAUAAACUUCCGCGCUCCCCUACUUGAUAUCAUCGAUGACAACCUUGGAAUCCGAGGCAACGUAGAUCCUUCGUACAUAAAGGUCGUCUACAAAAGCUAGAACUUCUCUUACUGCCAUGGCUUCCAGCGUUGUAGGCUCAUUGAUUCCUCCAAUAAUUAUAGCUGAAGCUCCUAUAUAAUUCCCAAGGGGAUCUCUACAAACCGCGGCGACCGACCCUGCUAAACAUAAUCUAGUAAGAGCUGCGUCAAUAUUGAUCUUGCACAUGUUUUCAGCCGGUGCAACCAAAUGAGUUGGCCUUAUAGGAAUAAGCCUUGGUAGUGCAUUAUCACCUGGAGAUCAGCUAUGAAUGAAUUCACAAAGCCGUGGGUGGCGAUAGGGGGCUGGAAGGUCUCUUCAUGUAUCACUUUCCUCCUCGCACUCCAGAUCACCCAUAGGGCAACACCCAGCCCUAUAAAAUCAUCAUGUGAUAAUAGGUCUUGCAUGUUGAAGAACCAACUUCUUGCAUUCGGGUUUUGGUCUAGAGACAUGUGUUCCACCAGGUUUCCGGAAGAUAAUGUCCAUACGCACCUCGCCCUGGCACAUUCGAGCAAAGCAAGCCUCCAAGAGUCGGAUGCGCCGCAGAGGGGGCAUGCAGGUGAUGAUGCCAUGUUGCGGCGAUGCAAUACCUCCCCUGUUGGGAUGGACGCCCGCGCUAAGAGCCAUAGGGAAACCCGGAUUUUGUUCGGCACUUGGGUACUCCAUAGUGAGGACCAUCCAUUGCUUUCAGAAUAGAAGUACGAAGCCCCUCCUGUUUCAUAUAACCAUCUCUCCCUGUUUAAUUUCGUAUUAUGCAUCAUCAUAUAUGCUGAACCGACGGUGAAAACAAAAUAAGUGACUCAACUUUGUACUGGGCCAGUAAAGGNNNNNNNNNNNNNNNNNNNNNNNNNNNNNNNNNNNNNNNNNNNNNNNNNNNNNNNNNNNNNNNNNNNNNNNNNNNNNNNNNNNNNNNNNNNNNNNNNNNNNNNNNNNNNNNNNNNNNNNNNNNNNNNNNNNNNNNNNNNNNNNNNNNNNNNNNNNNNNNNNNNNNNNNNNNNNNNNNNNNNNNNNNNNNNNNNNNNNNNNNNNNNNNNNNNNNNNNCCAGGCACCCCCGCCCGCCUCCUCUUCCCUCCGCCGUCGUCGGCGGCCGUCCCGGGCUUCGCCCAUGCGGUUGCUGGCGGCGGCGGGGCGUCCCUGCGUGCUCCCCUGCCCGGAUCUGCGCCCCAUCUCCUCCCGACGGCGACCCUUCCUCUCCAGCAUCCUCUCCUGGCGCGGUGCUCGGCCCUGGAGCUGGCCUCUGCGGCGUCGGCCAUGGCGGCUGCCGUCCCGGCCGUGCUUCGGGGUGGCUUGAGAUCCACCCGCCCGUCUGGCCGCCAUGGUGGCCUCCCUUCCAGAUCCGCGCUGGUGGCGGCCUGUGGUCCUUCUCUUGACCGGCGGGGGGACGACUAGGGGAUGUGGCCCCUCUGCUCGGCCUGGGCGUGCUGCCCCUGCUCCGGUUCUUGGGGUUGCCCUCCGGCUGGAUCUGGGGUUUUUGAGCGCCGCAGGCCCCUUUCCCCGGUGGAUGUGGUGGUGGUCUGGUCCGCCGUUCUGGCGUGGUGCCGAGGCUGCUCCCUGUGUUGGUGGAGAUGCUCGUGGUGGGUGGAUGCCGGGGCGGCGGCCCCGGGCUGUGAGGGCGGCGCCGGCUCUACGGCGAGCGGCAGCCGCGAGGGCUGUUCCGCAACCUCGGUCGUGCGGGCGACGAGGUUGUGGCGAGCGUGCUCUGUCUGGUGAAGAUCGACUCCCUCCGCUCGCAGAUGCACCCACCGGCCUGAUCCGGCCAUGGCGGCUUUGUCGCGUCAGCUCGUGCUCUCGGGUUCGGGUGGUUGGGAGUGGAGUGUGGGACCGAGGGAAACCCUUGGCCUUUGGUGGCUACGGCGAGGCCGUCUCCAUUUUCUUGGAGUCGGUCCCCUUCUUGGAGGCCUCGUCGAGAUCCCCAUCUGCUUCCUUCUUCCACGCUCCUGCAUGGGGCGAAAGUCCUAGAUCCCCUUGUGGGCGGCGGCGACGUGUCGACGUCGUUCCCUUCUUGGAGGCGUCGUCUGGGGUUCGUGGAGUGUGGAUGGUGCUUUUCUGCUUGGUGAGGGCAGUGUGGCGGCGAGAUGUUCCUUGUUCUUCGUCUUCUCCGUGCGGUCUUCAUCUUGUGUAGGCGCUCUUCAUCUUGCGUCUGGUGCCCAGGUGGUGGUGAGGUCGUGGGAUCCUAGCAGAGGUGCUGCUCUGCUCCCUCAUGCCCGAGCUGCCAGGUGGCAUUGUCCAUUCGGCUCUAGGGUGAGCACUCUACCUUCCGACGGUUCGGCGCCCUUCGAGCCAGGGCGAGAGGAUUGUUGUCUUCUUCGGAGGUAGAAGCGAGUGGCUUGUCGUCCUUGGCAUGUUCUGCGGGAGUAGGCGAGUAGAUGUUGGUUGUCGAUGCUGGUUUUCCUGCCCUCACCCUGCUGCUGGUGUGGCUUUGCUCAUGGCAUCUGACCUUGGUGAUCUUGGCUAGGCUCCUAUUUCUAUCUCCUGUUUGCCUGUAUCGCAAAUAGGUCAUUAGCUGCUACAGCUCUCUGUAUCUUUGCCGUUUCAGUUUCUAUCUUGUUGUACGCUUGCUUGUAUUCCUGGCCGGUUGAUGGCUUUGUUAAUUCAAAGCCGGGUUAGGUUCGAGCCUUUUCUCGGGCUCGGCCGACACCUUUUCUCUAAAAAAAACCGACGGUGAAAACUAGAUCACUCAACAGAAAAUCGUUGGGCUCGAGCACGGGGGCGCGCACCUGCCAAGCCUUGCCCGGCCGCUCGAUUGCCUCGCGAUUCGCAAAGUAGUUGCCCACACAAGGGCACAGUAAAUUUUAAAUUUCAACGUUGAAACUUGAUUUUUUUUUUGGGAUCUGAAAAUUCCUAUUUUCUUGCUCGCUUGUACCAAAUUUUGGAGAUAAAAUUUUAAUGGAUUUUCUCUGUCGGUCGUAGACAUAAAAUACCUGAUUUUUAUCAGUCGCUCGUACUAAGUUUCAAGAUUGAAACUUAACAUAUUUUUAAAAAUUCAUCAAAAUAUAUUCAAAAUGGAUCUUAUUUGAAUGCGGUGGUCACAAGAAACAUGAAUAUGAUAGGACAACUUAAUUUGGAAUUUUUGUUCAAAAAAUAUAGAACAUUGAAAAUCGGAAGCCAAAAUAAAAAUACCACACCAGGGAACCAGCACUACUAUUUCUUGUAUUUGUAGCUUAGGACUGCAAAGACCGCUUGCAGCAAUCCACAGGCAAAGAGGAUGGCGGUGAUAACGAAUGCUAUGGUGUACAACCCGUUGCGGCAGUGCUGUUCGCGGCACGUUCCCAUGAAUCUGUUCACCCAUUUGUUGCAGCGCAUGUCCAGGUCGUGCCAUAUGGGCUUGAGGUAGUUCUGGUCGAGGUUGUCCACGUCCAAGACCACCCCGGUUAAGAGGUUGGCCAAGUCUUGGGCGACCUGCUUCUCACUUGACAAGAAUUGUUGGACGAUCCCGGCACGAACUAAGAGCUUCACAUCCUCCACCGUGCCCGCCACCUGCGACAGGAAGACGCAGUAGGCCGUCACGGGCCGCCGUGUCAUCUGCUCCUCCAGGGCCAUCAGGUUACGUAGGAUUGUCCAUGUAUUGCUGUUGACCUGCAGGCGAGGGAUCCACAGCGUACCUACUUGAUAGCUCACGUCCAGGAUGGUGGACUCCUUGCCUUCCACCAAGUCUUCGGGCUUGAAACGUACGUUGCCGUGGCAGCGGUACUCCGUCGCCCGGCGCCAUCGGCCUGUGCGCCGUGCCGUGUUCCCUGCCCUUUCCGGAGGCGGAUUGGUUGGCUGAAAGUAGUGAUGCACCAGGUGCAGCAAGUGGGACGACUGCUGCGGCGCCGGCUGAGGCUUCUUGCUGAUGUAGAGUUGUGCCUGCAGAAGCCCCUGGACAGCAACAGAUAUGCUUUCGAGGACGCAACUAUCGGUGUCUCCUGUGACGAGCUGGUGGAUCUUGUCAAGCACCAAGAGAGGUAUUUGAUUCUCAAGAAGAAACACGGUGUCGCGCACCACCGCGCCAUCGGAGACUCCACCAGCUGCCGUCUCGGGAUAUUGAGGCGCGUUGUUGUUGGACUCGGAUGGAUCGCGCACCACCGCUUUGUCAUCGCACCUUGCUGCCGUCGAGGCGCUGUUGCCGCAUGCCGCUGUCUCAUAUUUUACAAACAGAGAUAGCAGAUAGCAGCCAUCAUGCAGCAGCAUAUGUGAGAAUGAGGACUGCUCCGAACACAAAAUGGGGUCGGGCAGAUGGGCAUAGCACCUCCUUGCUUCACCCUCUACAUUUUCCAGCUCCCGCAUCACCUCAUCCACUUCACCGUGAAACAGGUCGACGACGGCUUUCUCCUUCACGUCCGUCCAUUGGGAAAGACCUUUACGGUGGUUGUAAAGGCCGAUCAGCACGCCGUGCGGCGUGAAUAGUUGCGGACGGACCCGGGAGAUCGCUACGCGUAUGGUCGCCAUGCGCCCGGUUGGCAUGGGACUCGUCUCAGUUCCACGCCUCGCUCCUGCAGCCUCCACAUCAGGCUCCGCUUUGCAUGACAUUAGGAUGUCCUGUAUCAGCAUGCAUGCCACAAUAAUCAGAAUAUAGUGUGCAGUAUCGGUUUUUUUAGUCUAUAUGCUGCCUGCUAGGUUGCUACAUGAAUCCAUGAUCAUCUUGUCGUUAUUUUUCUGAUGACUAGCAAAAAAAGCUCGUGUGUCGUAACGGGAUAAUAAAAUUGUGGUCUUCAAAUCAAGUUCCAAAUAUUCACACUUCAUGUAUAUACACGUAUUCGAAUAUUUGUGCAUCAACCAGCAUGCAUGCGGACGUAAGACACGUGCAUUCUAACAUGCUCACAAUGAAUCGAUGUUGGACUUGAUCAUUGAUGCGUGUAUUUGUUUGAGUACAUCCUUGAUGCGUGUGUGAGAAGGAAAGAAAAGUUCAGCCUCAUGAUGGAUGAAAAACUGAAGGGCUCUAUGGCUAAUGAAUAAUUCAGAGGAACGCUUGUUCUUUUUUCAUGUUCACGAGUGACAAGGUGAGUAAUUUAUCUCAACAUUAGGGACAAUUUCAGUUACAUGCAAAAAAUCAGAGAAACAAUUAAUGAAGAGUUUUUUUUUCAUUUAUGGGUGGCAUGGUGGGUAAUUUACUUCAACUUUAUGGGCAGCUUAGGAUUAGGAUAGGUAGACCGACCAAAAAAUCGGAGAAACGCACCGUCCUUUAAUAUUAGGUAUAGAUUAAGUAACCCUAGAAGUUUUGUCCACAUUAGUGUCCGGAAACUCAUUUUAUAAAUCAAUCCUACAUUGCUUUCCCGAUAAAGUGAAAUAAUUUUAGUGAUAGUGACGCAUGUGCGAGUGUAUGAAACUUAAUUAUCCGUCUUUCAUAUCAAGUUAUAAUAUUUGAAUCUUAUUGAAAUUUUAAAACUUGUGUAUUCAAGAAUGAUCUUUUUUUCCAAAGUCCUCAUUUGAAGGAACACAACUAUCCAAACAUAACAUAGAAUAGACUUUGAGUUCAAUAGGCAAAAUAGAUUCAAAAUUGGAAGUCACAUGAAAGCACGGGAAAUUGAAAAAACUGAUAGGUGGAGCAUGCAGUCUACGAAAAAAACAUGCAGGUAUGUGACCCCCCGCCGCCUUCUCAAUAGUAAUUGGGCGUAAACCAUCCACGGAACCUGACAACUUUCCCAAUCACGGCCAAAAUGUGGGGCCCAUGAAGUGUGUGCACGAGCCACUGAGUGCCCGUGCUAAUUUCUUCCUUAGGCGACACAAAACAAACAAAGUCCAUCGAGCGUGCACAGGAUUCUGUUGAAGCGCUUGGCACAUCGUUAGGCAUCGACACGAGUAAUGUGACCAUGAAUCAUGUCCAUGCCGCGAGAAUAGACAGGAAUUAUAUCCUGACAUCUACCAUAAACGCCCUCAAUCGAGAUGGCCUAAGGCCUUGACCGUGUCUAAUGCAGAAUUUGAAUGAAUGAGUUUUUCACAUUAUGAGGCCUCAUAAUCUAACACUUUCUUGGGGAUUUAAAAAUGGUGGCAUGUUCUCUCUUUUUUAGCGAAUGCUAAUAAAAAUGUGCCAUAUUCAGAAUUUAGCAAAUGGUUUUUCACAUUAAAAAUUUCUACUCAUAGAUAGAUCGGGUGAUGACCUAGCUUCCUCUUCAUUUUAAUAGUCAUCGUUCAUGGCACUCAGUUCAUUAUGUUCAUACAUCUAAUGAUAUUGAAAUUAUCACAUGCCAGUGGAGCGGAAGUUAACUAGCUAGCACCCUUGAUGAUGGGAUAGGUAGUCUAGAUUCCUAGGCCGGGGUAAAAUAAAAGCUACUCUAGAUUUUAGUUCUCUUUAACUUGAAAGUCGUUGAGUCUUAAUAAUGGCUAGCAUCACAAGUUGGUGGGCUAAAUGGAUCGGGUUAGAGCCUCACCACCUCGAUUUAAUCUGGCAUGUCUCAUUUAAUUUGAGCAUAUCCCUUCCAUUGCUCAACUCAUGUUCUUUUUACUUCUCUCUACCUGUUUUGGGGUGCAGGAGAAUUCUUUCCUUCAUACUAUAUGUUCAUGAUAACAAAAUUUUGAAGGUUGAAAAAAAAAGUAAAAUAUUUAGUUCUUCGUCCUAUAGUUUAUCGAGUAGCUUCAUGACCAUGUAAAGCAAGUAAGCUUAAAUUUUAGCUCAUAGAUCGAUCCAGUGCUGGCCCUACCUUCUUCUUCCUUUUAGACUAACAGCUACUUUUCCUACUGUGUUGGAUAUCGUGUGACCGCAAUCUAGCAUUUUGAAUUGGAGAUAAUUUUUCAUACAAAAUAGAAAUAUCAUCAAGUAAUCACCGCCAGAACUGCAACAAAAACGUGCGUCGUCCUUUCCAGCCGAAACGUACACCCUUUCAAACAAAUAGCAAAUCCAAUACGGUAUGUUUAAAUUAUUAUGUUAUAACAUAAUGAAGAAGCUGAAUUAGGAAUACGAUUCAGUUUAAGACUAGAAAAGAAUAUGAGUACAAGUCAUCAAAAGUGAAAUUUGCAAGCAAGCAAGUGUUAAAAUCAUAAGAAAUAUAACUUUUCGUAAUAGCACAAAACAUAGGCAAAUAUUCAUGUCUUACCUUGAUCCAUUGCAACAUUGGUAGACCAAACUUCAAAGCUAAAUCACCCUCGGUUCUUCUGGUACGUGUUCUUGCUAGUUUUGUUCAUUGCAACGGUAGCUCAGCUCUAUCUAUCUACGUAUAUAUAAGCAGACCCCAUUACAGAAGUUAGUCCCGCCGAUCUAGCUUUGAUGCUGGCACAGACGCGCAAAGGAUUCCUUUGUCCUUUCCUCUGGCGCAGUCAAAAGUACAAAAACAACCGUCAACGCUGCAGGCUUAUACUCUGGGUUCUGGGAAGUUGCCGGUCUUGUUCGAGCCUCUGCUCUCUUGAUUUGCAUUUGAGAAGUACUCCCUCCUUUCCUAAAUAUAAGUUUUUAUAGAGAUUUCACUAUGAACCACAUACGGAUAUAUAGAUGCAUUUUAAGUUUAGAUUCAUUCAUUUUGCUUCGUAUGUAGUUUAUCUAGUGAAAUCUCUACAAAGACUUAUAUUUAGGAACGGAGGGAGUACUUUGAUUUGUUUCCUAGUUACGUGCGUGGUUUUGUUUUCUUGCAGGAGUCUCGUGCGUGACAGCGUGAGUUGUUAACCGAAUCUGAUAGGAAAUUAAGAGUAGCUCAUGUUAUUUUUGGGGCAAAAAAUCACUCAGAUCUACUUAGCCAAACCAGAAAUGGAGACGCUCAUAGGGAACAAAUAAAAUGCAUCAAGUAACUGGUGCUGAUUGUCUUCUUCCUUCCUAACAGGCCGAUGACAUGCCACUACAUCGCCCAAGCCAGUAUGUCAUUGUUGAACGCAGACAGGAAGUCAUUCAUGUCGGACUAUCACCCUGGACAAGAAAGCCACAUAUCCAAGAGCCAAACCUCCAUCAUUUCUCGCAUGCCUUACACCAACACUAGGGACGCAAUCUGAACCCGAUAGGCAUGUGGCUUAAUUAAUUAGUGUGUAUUCAGUGGGCCACGCAUGUGUUGAUCAAACACUACAUCGUUUAACUAAAUAUCUCUUAGUUCAGAUGCUAAGGACAAAGGGCUCACAUGACAACUAAACUGAUAGGCGCGAAUAUACAGGGAAAAGACAAGCUCACUCUCUCACACGUGAACAUAAGGGCACCUCCAACGUCAACCCCUAAAUUUUCUUCCGCAUCCAUCCGCGGAUAGGGAGGUACCAGUCCACGGACACGGAUGUGGGAAGACGUCAUCCAACCAUAGCCGCAUGCAUUUUGGCAACAGUUCGAACUAACCGGGCGAUAUUCGUUCAAACAUGGCCGGUUUUCAUAUAAACAGGGCUGAAUUUUAUAUAAACAUGACGGAUUUCAUUACAUUUACAUCAACUAAGCGGACGGCUAAUGCUCCCAGGUUGAUGCGAUGUAUUCCACCAGUUGACUGUGUAGAAGGACAAGAUAUGGGUUCUGCAAUCUCGAUGUAUUGAUCGGUGCACUAGGAACGUAUAUAUGAGUACAGAGGUGGGCCACAACCUCAACUAUACAAAGGAAACAGGUGGUGGGCCCUACACACAAAUAUACACGUACACAAUAUACUCAACACCCCCCCACAGUCGAAGCAGCGCCAGUGACGCAGAGACUGGAAGGGAACUCCUCAUAGGUAGAAGUCGGCAGUCCCUUCGUCAUCACAUCGGCGAACUGCUGAGCGGUCGGCACAUGGAGAACCCGCAUGCGUCCAAGAGCCACCUGCUCGCGCACAAAGUGAAUGUCCAGCUCGAUGUGUUUAGUCCGGCGAUGAUGAACGGGGUUGGCGGAGAGGUACACCGCAGAGACGUUGUCGCAGUAGACAACCGUAGCCUGGGAGACGUCGUGAUGCAGCUCCUGAAGUAACUGUCGUAGCUAGGUGCACUCGGCGACAGCGUUGGCUACAGCUCGUACUCAGCCUCCGCGCUAGAGCGCGAAACCGUGGGUUGUCGCUUGGACGACCACGAGACGAGUGAAGGACCGAGGUAGACGCAGUAGCCAGAGGUGGACCGACGAGUGUCAGGACAGCCAACCCAGUCUGCAUCGGAGUAGGCCACCAUCUCUAGAGAAGUGGACGCCGUAAGUGUCAACCCGAGGGACAUCGUGUAGCGGAUGUAGCGAAGGAUCCGCUUCACGAGAGCCCAAUGAGAGUCACGAAGGGCGUGCAUGUGGAGGCACACCUGCUGGAUAGCAUACUGAAGAUCCGGUCUGGUGAGAGUCAAAUACUGGAGAGCGCCGACAAUAGACCGGUAGAAAGGAGCAUCCAACGCAGGCGAACCCUCAAGAGCAGAGACCUUGGCCUUCGUGUCCACAGGAGUAGCAACAGGAUGACAGUUGAGCAUGCCAGCAUGCUUAAGAAGCUCAUGUGUAUACUUCUGCUGAUGAAGAAAGAAACCGUCCGGACGCCGAAUGACCUCAAUGCCAAGGAAAUAAUGUAGAGCACCCAGGUCCUUGAUAGCAAACUCGUCACACAGCCGGAGAGUAAUCUGCUGAAGAGCGGUUGCGGAGGAGGCUGUAUGGAUGAUGUCGUCGACGUAAAGCAGCAAAUAAGCAGUCAUGUCACCGUGACGAUAAACAAACAGUGAGGCGUCCGAGCGAGUAACGCUGAAGCCCAGUGUCUGAAGAAACCCGGCGAUCCGCUGGUACCAGGCUCGGGGUGCCUGCUUGAGCCCGUAAAGAGAGCGGGACAGCAGGCACACAUGGCCGGGAAGUGAGGCGUCGACGAAGCCGGUGGGUUGCUCACAAAACACAUGCUCCUCAAGAUGGCCGUGGAGAAAGGCGUUGGAGACAUCCAUCUGGUGAACAGGCCAGCCGCGGGAGACGGCGAGCUGGAGGACGGUGCGCAUCGUGCCCGGUAUAACAACCGGGGCAAACGUCUCAGUGAAGUCAACUCCAGCGCGCUGGCGGAAACCGCGGACCACCCAGCGAGCCUUGUAGCGCUCGAGUGUACCGUCUGAGCGGGUCUUAUGACGAAAGACCCACUUGCCGGUGAUGACGUUGGCGCGAGGAUGUAAGUGCAUCUAGUGCCCCUUAGUGAUUUUGGUGUAUUGAAGACUUAUAGGUUAAGAGACUAAUGCGUUUGUGAGUGUACACAGGUCUAUAAGUCUAUGAGGAGUUUGAUAUUUACAGAGAAAGUCGACCCCUAAAAAUGAAGUUCUUCGACUGAAGACUUUGACAUUCUGAAGACUUUCUGAAGACUUUGAAAGUGAAGAAAUUGGUGUGACCUUGAAGACUUGGUAUUCAUUUGUGGAACAUGAAGCGUGAAGACUUUUGUUUUCGUAAUUUCAUUUUCUCCUUCUUGAGUCAUAGGAAACACCGUACUGUUAAAGGGGGUCGAGGAAAUACUAAGGAAAAAUUUCCAUGUGAUGCUCAACUCAAAAUCCUACACCUACCAAUCCCUUCGAGUGAAGCCUUUGGAAAUCUCAUACAGUUUAGUCACUUUCUUCAGUGACAGAGACGAAGUUCUUCUGGUCGCUGAUGGAUUUGUUCUAACUGAGGAGUUAGGAAUUCGCCAGUGUGAAUUGCCUACACAGUGAGGAACAUGAUAGCCCUGAGGAAUUUGAGAGUCAAAUUUCCGACCGUUGUUAUGCUGCGCGCCAGCUGUCCCAAAAUAUCUUAUCCACCUAACGGUCAUAUCAUUGAAGGGCAUUUAUGUCUUAUCAUGUCGGGCUGCUCCCUAGGCUAUAAAUAGCCGCCCCCUACAACCACUAGCUGGUUGGCUGCUCCGCGAGAACUUGACACUUGUCAUUUGAGAGCAACCCAUCCUCCGAGGACUUUGAGCGAAAAUCAUCGAGUGAGGAAAAACCCAAAACCAAACCCCUACAAACCCAAAGUGAUUGAGCAUCACUGAAGAGAUUGAUCCUGAGUGGAUCCGACGCUUGUUACCUUGGAAGACUGUGCUUCUUCCAAACGGUUAGGCGUCAUGGUCUAGAGCAUCCAAGAGGAAUUGUGGAUCGCCGAGUGACCAAGUCUGUGAAGGUUUGGAAGUCGCCUGAAGACUUACCACGAGUGAUUGGACGAGGUCUGUGUGACCUUAGUUCAAGGAGAAUACGGUGAGGACUGGGUGUCCUGAGCUGCGUGCUCAGCGACUGGGUGUCCGGGACUGUGUGUCCUCGAGUUUAAAUACUCAGCCGCUCCAACCAGACGUAUAACUGAGACAGCAGUUGGAACUGGUCUACCAAAUCAUUGUCUUCACCAACCUAACUGGUUUUAUUUUCUCAACCUUUUCAUUUCCUCAUUACUGUGUUGAGUGUUUGUUCAUAUCUGUGUUUGAAGACUUCGACUGAAGACUUUCUCAAUUUCCUCAGAUCAAUUUCUUCAGUCUGUUUGUCUUCACCUUGUGUUAUCCUGUGAUUACGCUCUCUGUACUCAGUGCUUGUCUUCAUUUCAUCUUGAUGACCAUGCUUGUAUUCUGUUAUGCUUACUUCUGAGUACUUAUUCCGCUGCUAGUAGUUCUUCGCUAAGGAAUUUCCUCACUGGCAAAUUCCUCAGUGAAGAAUUCAUAAAANNNNNNNNNNNNNNNNNNNNNNNNNNNNNNNNNNNNNNNNNNNNNNNNNNNNNNNNNNNNNNNNNNNNNNNNNNNNNNNNNNNNNNNNNNNNNNNNNNNNNNNNNNNNNNNNNNNNNNNNNNNNNNNNNNNNNNNNNNNNNNNNNNNNNNNNNNNNNNNNNNNNNNNNNNNNNNNNNNNNNNNNNNNNNNNNNNNNNNNNNNNNNNNNNNNNNNNNNNNNNNNNNNNNNNNNNNNNNNNNNNNNNNNNNNNNNNNNNNNNNNNCGAUAUAACGCACUUUCAAUUGGUAUCAGAGCAAGGUACUCCCUUGUUCUGUGUGAUUUUGGUUUAACCGCCUAGAUUUUUAGUUAUGUCGACCGCAGGUAUGAUCAAGGUCUCGGCUGGGUGUCCUACCUUUGAUGGGACGGACUACCUGUACUGGAAAAAUAAGAUGCGAAUGCAUCUUGAGGCAAUUGACAACGAUCUCUGGUAUGUUGUGGAAAAUGGUGUUCCCUCUGUCUCACCCUCACCGAACACUACCGAUGUGAAGAGAUUCAAGCAACUCGACUCUCAAGCGAAGAAUAUCAUAUGUGGCCAUCUGAGUAAAGGAUAGUAUGGAAGAGUGAGUGCUUUGGAAACUGCUAAGCUUAUCUGGGAUAGGUGUCCAAAGUGAAUGAAGGAGUCUCAACUCAGCGUGACUCUCGAGUUGAUGUUCUUCGGAAUCUCUUCAACCGCUUCAAAAGACUCGACAAUGAAAAUGUCCAACAAACCUUUGAUCGCCUCACUGACAUCUCAAAUGAGCUUCAAGCCCUCGGUGCCACUGAAAUCACUGACCAUGAGGUGGUGAAGAAACUGUUGAGAUCGCUUGAUUCCUCAUUUGAUACUCUGGGACUGAUGAUACAAUAACGGGCUGACUACAAGUCUCUUGAUCCUGCCAAUAUCCUCGAAAGGCUAAAUACUCACGAGUUCCAGCUUGCUGAAAAGAGAGAUCUCUAUGGUUCGAGCUAUGGCAAACCACGUGCCCUGAAGGCCAAGGUUGUGUCUGAGUCUGAGUGUGAGGAUUCUGGUAGUAGCCUUGGUGAUCCUAAAGAAUUGAGCCAGGAGCUAGCACUGCUCGUGAAGAAAUUCCAGAAGUUCUCAAGACGUGGUCGCUUUGGAAAAUCCUCAAGAAGCAGUGAUUCCUCAUCAAGUGACUAUAAGAGAAGGCUGUGCCACAAAUGCAAGAAACCUGGUCACUAUAUUCAAGAUUGUCCUCAGUGGGAAAAGGAAUUGAAGAAGAAGAAAUACAAGGAUUACAGUUCUGAUGAUGCGAGAAGAAGAAGAAAUCAUUAAAAUCUUCGUCAUCAAAAUCCUCGAAGUCUUCAUCUCACAAGAAGAGCAGCUCCAAGAAGGCUCGGGCAUUCAUUGGCAAGGAAAUGGACUUUGAAGCUGAAUCUGAGGAACAUGAGGAAGAGGAGGCGUCCGAAGAAUCCGAAUCUGGUGUGGCGAGUCUGGCCUUUGCUACUGCUUUCGUUAGCAAGUCCAUCUUCAACACUGAAGAAACUGACCCCACUGACAAGCCUGAUGAAGAUAAUGAUGACUACGCUCCCACCUAUUGCUUCAUGGCGAAAGGUGCAAAGGUACUCAAAUACACCUCCUCUGAAUCUAGUGAAAAUGAAUCUGAUGAGGAUCUCAAGUCCAGCUACUCUAAACUUGCUAAGAUUGCUGUAAAACAACAAAGGGCUUUUGAAAAGGUUCAAAACAUGCUAGACAAAAGUGAUGAUAUGUUGGGUGAAGAAAUGGAUCGCACUAAAGCCCUGACUGAAAAUCUUCAGAGACUUCAGUCUAGGUUUGAUAACCUUCAAAGUCAUCAUAACACUCUCUUAUCUGAUCAUGAGAAACUUUCUUAUGAAUUUCUUCAAAGAAAGCAAGAUCUUGAGAAGCUAAGAGUGAGUUAUGAAGAUCUUCAGAAGGAGCGCGACUCAUUACUAGCUCAACAAAUCAGCGCUUCUCAGGAACAAUUUGAUCCUCCAUGCUUAAGUGCAUUAAACGAGAAUCUGCUAAUUCUUCACCUGAAUGUUCAAAUGCUUCAAAUGUUACAAAUUCUUCACCUGCCUCUUCUAUCACUAAUUCCUCAUCUGAGGACAUUGCUAGUAUCACUGACGAUGCAGGGCUGAAGGAAUUGUACAUGACAGGCAUGUACAAAAGCCUCAAAGGGCAUCAGACUCUCUGUGAUGUGCUUAAAAAGCAGAUCCUCAACAGAAACCCUAGGAAAGAGGGUAUUGCCUUUGAGAGGAAACUCAAUGUUGAUGGAACAUAUUGGAAGCCUGAGCAGUACUCCAAAACCUCAUGGGUUGCUGCAAAGGGACCUCCAGUUGAUCCAUCUAACUUAUCUGGCUUUACAUGUGAAUCUCCUCAUUCUUCUGAUGAGUCAUUUGACUCCAACUAUAAACUGUUCAAAAAUCAGAAUGGUGAAGUAUUUGCUAGAUAUGUUGGCACUAACUGCAGGAAUGGUUCUCCUAUGAAGAAAAUCUGGGUUCCCAAGAAGUGCCUCGAAAGUCUUCAGAUGAAUGUCCUCAUGACACCACCUGUGAAGAACAGGAACCCCAGAUCAAAUUCUUCAUAUGGACCAAAUUAUUCAUAUGGAUCCAAGUCCUCAUACGGACCAAAUUCCUCACGUGGAUCAAAUUCCUCAAAAGGAUCAAAGUCCUCAUAUGAUUAUCAUCAUGCUAAAAACUCUGUUUCGCAGGGUAGAGCUAAGGGCUAUGAAUAUGUGCAUUAUUCUUCAAAUCAUUAUGUUCAUAAGUCCUCGAAGAAUUUCUCUGCUUAUUCAUAUGCUUACCCUAACCCCUCUUAUGUGAAACGAAAUGGUUUGGCCUCUAUGCCACCAUUCUCUUAUGGUGCUCGCAGAGUGAUGGACUCUUUGCCACCCCUUCAGAUGUGGGUGGUGAAGAAAAAGAACUAAUCUCUUCUGCAGGGUCAGGUCUCCAGACGUGCUUUAAACGUCUGAAGAAUUUGCUGGGGACCUGACAAAAUUGCCUGAAAGGACGCAGGCGAAUCAUGAUGAAAUGAACCUUCAUUUCACACGUCCUCAUACUGCUAUAUCUGUUUACUGAUUGAUGAAAUUCAUCUGAUGAACUUGAUAUCAUAUUCUUCACAAAUGAAGCAUAUGAGAUUGUAAGCUACACUAAUUCAUCUACAGGAUGAUCAACCCAAAGCCACUGAGUGGGUCCUCGAUAGUGGAUGUACGAAUCACAUGACUGGUGACAAGAAUCUAUUGAUGGAUGCUCCCUUAUCACCGUCACAUCUGAAGCAUAUCAUCUUUGCUGACAAAGGCAAAAGUCAGGUAUUGGGUCUUGGUAAGGUUGCAAUCUCUAAGGAUAAACACAUGGACAAAGUCAUGCUUGUUGAGUCCUUAGGAUACAACCUCAUGUCAGUCUCAAUGCUUUGUGAUCUUGAUAUGGUUGUUGUCUUUGGCAAGUAUCGUUGUGUUGUGAUUAUGGAAGCUGACAAUUCCAAAGUCUUCGAAGGCUUUAGGAGAGGAGAUUUGUAUAUUGUUGAUUUCUCUACAGGACCACAGCCAUCCGUGUGUCUACUUGCAAAAGCUUCAGAAGGCUGGCUAUGACAUCGAUGACUUGGUCACGCAGGCAUGAGGAAUUUUCACACGCUUGCGAAGAAGCAUGUCAUUGGCAUUGAGAAUGUCAAAUUCCUCAAGGAUCACUUAUGCGGAGCCUGUGAAGCUGGAAAAAUGACCAAGGCCAAGCAUCCAGCGAAGACUAUCAUGACCACUACUCGUCCAUUCGAAUUGCUUCACAUGGACCUCUUCGGACCUAAUCAUUACUCAGCAGUCACUAAUGAUGCAUCUCUAUAUGGUUUUGUCAUUGUUGAUGAUUACUCUCGAUAUACAUGGGUACACAUUGUUACUUACAAACAUGAAGUGCAGGAAGUCUUCAAACGUGUUUCCUCGAGGGCUUCAACCAACUUUGGUGUGAAGAUCAAGCACAUCAGAAGUGACAAUGGAACUGAGUUCAAGAAUUCCGGUCUUGAUGACUAUCUUGAUGAACUUGGUAUUACUCAUGAGUUAUCUGCUCCCUAUACUCCUCAGCAAAAUGGCGUCGUGGAGCGCAAGAACAGAACUCUUGUUGAGAUGGCUCGCACUAUGCUUGAUGAAUACAAAACGCCUCAUCGUUUUUGGAUUGAUGCAAUUGAUACUGCGUGCCACAUCAUCAACAGAGUAUAUCUUCACAAAUUCUUCAAGAAGACGGCCUAUGAACUCCUCACUGACAAGAAACCCAAUGUGAGUUAUUUCAAAGUCUUCGGUGCUAAAUGUUGGAUUAGAGAUCCUCACCACAAUUCUAAAUUUGCACCGAAAGCACAUGAAGGUUUUAUGCUUGGUUACGGAAAGGACUCGCACACCUACAGAGUCUUCAACAUUGUUCUUCACAAGAUUGUUGACACUGUAGAUGUGCGGUUCGAUGAAACUAAUGGCUCGCAAAGAGAGCACCUACCUUCUGUGUUAGAUGAACCAGCACCUGAGGAUUCUAUCAAGUUCAAGGCAACUGAGGAUGUCAUUCCUACUGAAGAAUCUGCUGAAGAAUUCAUUCCAGUUCAUGAAGAACGUCGAGCUGAUGCACCUAAAGAAAAUGCUGAGGAAAAUGGUGCUGAAGAAAAUGCUGAUCAAACUCCUCAGCGACAACCAGCUCAUCCUCGCAUUGCAAAAGAAGUGCAAGUGGAGAAGAUCAUCGAUGACAUUAGAGCACCAGGUCCUCUCACACGCUCAAAAGCUUCACAUUUAUCUAACUUUUGUGGGCACUAUGCUUUUGUCUCUAUCACAGAGCCCACUAAGGUAGAUGAAGCAUUUUUGGAGCCGGAGUGGAUUCAGGCUAUGCAAGAAGAAUUACAUCAGUUCGAGCUCAACAAUGUCUGGGAACUGGUCAAACGUCCAGAUCCUCGCAAGCAUAAUAUCAUUGGCACAAAGUGGAUCUACCGCAACAAGCAAGAUGAAAAUGGCCUUGUGGUGAGGAAUAAGGCACGACUCGUAGCUCAAGGCUACACACAGGUUGAAGGAAUUGAUUUCGAUGAAACUUUUGCACCUGUUGCUAGACUUGAGGAUAUUCGCAUAUUACUUGCUUAUGCUAACCAUCAUGAUAUCAUCUUAUAUCAAAUGGAUGUGAAAAGUGCAUUCCUCAAUGGUAAGCUUGAGGAAGAAGUAUAUGUUGCUCAACCCCCAGGUUUUGAAGAUCGAAAGAAUUCUGACAAAGUCUUCAGACUUAAUAAGGCCCUCUAUGGCCUAAAGCAAGCCCCUCGGGCAUGGUAUGAUACAUUGAAGGAAUUCUUCGUGAAGAAUGGCUUCACACCCAGUUCACUCGACCCUACUCUCUUUACUAAAUCUUAUGAUGGUGAACUGUUUGUGUGCCAAAUAUACGUUGAUGAUAUUAUCUUUGGCUGUACUGACCAACGUUAUAGUGAUGAAUUUGCCUAUAUGAUGAGUGAAGAAUAUCAAAUGUCUAUGAUGGGAGAGUUGAAACUCUUCUUAGGUCUUCAAAUUCGUCAACAGAGCAAUGGUAUAUUCAUAUCUCAGGAGAAAUACCUCAAAGAUGUACUGAGGAAAUUCGGCAUGCAAGAUUGCAAAGGCGUCAAAAUUCCUAUGCCCACAAAUGGCCAUCUAUGCACUGAUGAAAAUGGUAUUGACUUUGAUCACAAGGUAUAACGCUCCAUGAUUGGUUCUUUAUUGUACUUAUGUGCAUCUAGGCCAGAUAUAAUGCUUAGUGUUUGCAUGUGUGCCCGAUUUCAAGCUGCACCGAAGGAAUCACACCAUAAGGCUGUGAAGCAUAUUCUUCGAUAUCUAGCUCACACACCAACACUAGGAUUAUGGUACCCCAAGGGCUCUGCUUUUGAUCUCAUUGGAUAUUCUGACUCUGACUAUGCUGGUGAUCGUGUGGACCGCAAGUCAACAUCUGGCACUUGUCAUUUCCUCAGACGAUCUUUGGUCUGUUGGUCCUCGAAGAAACAGAACUGCGUAUCACUGUCUACUGCGGAAGCUGAAUACAUUGCUGCUGGCUCUUGCUGUGCUCAACUGCUUUGGAUGAAGCAAACACUCAAGGACUAUGGCGUCAAUGUGAAGAAUGUGCCUCUCCUCUGCGACAAUGAGAGUGCCAUCAAGAUUGCUCACAACCCAGUUCAGCACUCGAAGACAAAGCACAUUCAGAUUCGUCAUCAUUUUCUUCGUGAUCAUGUGUUGAAGGGCGACAUCUCCAUCGAGCACGUGAAGACUGAAGAACAGCUAGCUGAUAUCUUCACUAAGCCUUGGAUGAGAAGAGAUUUAGCAAGUUGCGGUGUGAGCUAAAUAUCUUAGAAUCUUCGAAUGUUCUUUGAAAAGGACACACACCCUGACACUUAUGCAAAAUUGAUGACUUAGAUGUGCAACACAUGAAGAAACGUUUUUCUUCAAUCAAUGAAGAAUAAAACUCUAAGUGUGAAGAAAUUAAUGAAGAAUUUGAUUCUCAGAACCCUACGACAAUUGUACGCGGUGUCUGAAAUCAUCGUUCUUAUACGGUGGGUCACGCAAAGUUAAAAAUCUUUAAUUUGAGUUUUUCCUUAGUUUUGAAAUUCUUCAGUUUUUCAAAUUCUUCAACUUUGCAAAAUCUUCACUGUUUUGUCGUUUUUCUUCAUUGGCUAUAUAUGUGUAUAUAUAUAUAUAUAUAUAUAUAUAUAAGUUUAUGUCCUCUACAACAUUCACUUAUAGCUAUUUCUUCAAGUUGCUUUUUCUGCUAAGUGAAUGUGAUCGGACCCUUCCCCCUCUAUGCUAUACUCAACCAAAUCUAUUCACAAAUUCUUCAUGUGCGUUCUAUUUGAAACUCGUUCAAAAUCUUCACUGUGUCCUUGUCAGCUGAAGAAAUUGCGAACGAAACUUUAAAACAAAUCUUAUCCAAAUUUUCGGUUUUGCCGCUCAAACCGUUCCGCAUCCCACAAUGCAUUAUUCUAUUCACCCACGAUCGUACACGAUCUCAACUACACAGUACGUGGGUGACACAUGUCGCGAGAAGGAGAAAGGGCAGGGGCACGUUCGUCCCAAAUCUUCGGGCGAACAGUUUUUACCGUGUCUAUAAAUACCCCUCUCCCCUUCCUCACUUCAUUUACUCCGCUCGAUCGCUACUCUCUCACUCGAGCUCCUCAAACCCUAGCGCCGCCGCUACUCCAUCGUCACCGGUGAGGAAGAGCUUCGCUGCCUCGACCUCGUCGCCGUCGUACUCACGCCGACCGCGGAAAUCUUCACUCCGCCGCCGCCGUAGCUGUCUUCCUCUGCCAAGUUAGGGCGUGGGAGAUCUAACCUGACGAACUUCACAUCUGUUCUUCUCAGUUCGUUGUGUACUUCACUUCGGGUAAUUAAAAGUUACUUUUAUUACUCACUUUGAUUCUCAAACUUUCCUGAAAAUCUUCAAAGGUGUUUAUUCUUCAAAUCUUCACACAUAUGAACACCUCACACAUCAUAUGAUCUUGAACUAUUUCUCUAAGCAAUCAUUUUCUUCAAGAUUCCCUAAUUGUGUGGAUCUUCGAUCUGUACAACUCUGGAACCUAAGACAAGAACGCUUAGUGAAAUUCCUCAAGGUUCAUCUGGUCAAAUUCCUCAAAACUUGUUCUUUUCGAAAAACCUUCUGACAACGCAUAUGACCUCUCCAAAUUCCUCGCACCUAUACUCUGUUCACAGGUACUCAUGUCUGCUGCUGAAUCACUAGGUUCUCAUCAACUUAACUCAUUUGCAGCGUUCCUCGAAGAAAAACUGCAUACUUCUUCAGAGAAUUCGAUUGUUCAAAUUCCUCAACUGAAGAAUAUGGCAGACGGUAAGAAGUCGCAGAAAGGAGGAAAGAAACCUGAGGUUAUGACUGCGUCUGAAAUCCCUGAGGAAAUUUAUGCUAACUAUUGCACACCUGAUGAAGCAAAAUUUGGCAAAGAAAACAAAAAUCAGUGCAAGGUGCGCAUACAGAGGAUUGAACGGAGAUGGGCAAGGGAAUGGAGGGAAUACAGAUAUGUGACUCCAAAGUACAUGAGGAAAUUCGCCCUCAAUCCUCCAUGCCCAAGAGCUCCAUUGGCACCUGGCCAAGAAGCUGACCCCACCAGCAUCAAGCGUGGCGAGGACUUUCCUGAAGAAUGGGCUAAGCGCCAAGCUAAAUUGGCAAGACAAGCCAAGGAGGCAGUGAAGAAAUUCAAUGAGGAUUCUGCCACUGCUACUGCUACUGAGGCCUCGGUCAAACCGAGGAAAUCCAUGCCAAAGAAGCCUGCUCGUAAGCCAAGUGCUUCACCAACAGCGCCCUCACGGCCAAGUUCCUCAGCAAUGCCCUCACGGCAAAUUCCUCACACUGCUACUGCUCCACCAAAGUCCUCAGCAGCUCCUUCAAAGUCCUCAGCUCCUAUGCAUCUGGCUACAUGUCAAAGAACUGCUGCUUUCUCGAUUGCCUCUGGUGUUUUAGCAAGUUCCUCACCUGCACCAAUUUCCUCAUCAGGCCCCACACUGUUGAAGACUAAAGCAACAGUUAGACGCAGUCCUCGGCCAAGUCCAAAGAAGAAACAGGUCGCAUUCCAUGUGCCUUCUGAUGAUGAAGCCUCUGAUGAUGAACUUGCAGAAAUCAUCAGAGACAGACAAGUGAAGGCCGCUAGAGCAAAAGGCACAUCUGUGCCACUGCUUUUGGAUCCGAGGAAGAUCCUCGACUACAUUGACCUCUGGCACAAGGAUCCAAACACCCCAAUGCCUGAUUUUCAUCUGACCUCUGGUCAAAGUCACAUGCUGACUGAAAGUGCAACUAAUCCCCGGGUGGUUUUGGUAAUUAAUAACAACAUAUGUAUCAUUGAACUAAUAGUUACUUGAGAAUCAUUUUAGAGAGUUCAAUGAUAUGGGUAUGGCAAGGACUGAAGAAGUGGACCCCCCAAAAUGCUAAGGCAAGCAUUGGCAAAAGCUCAAGACUCCAUUUUUGGUUUAGUGAUCCAAGAUCACAUUGAGUCCAUAGGAAAAGCCAAUACUAUUAAAAGGGGAUGAGGUUAUGAUGAUGAUCUGGUUGCUCAAGUGCUUAGUGAUACAUCUCCUAAACUAUCAGCAACUUUCACUGCCAUAGACACUCAUAAGUAGUCUCGGUCCCGCCGAUAUUCCAAACUCAGUCACACCGAGAUGAACCACCUCAGCCAUAAGCCAAACCCUAGUAAACUCAGAUUUUCCGAUUCUGAACUCGGUCUCACCGAAACAUGAGUUGCCAAGUUUCUGUAACCUUCUGUCAUCAAAUCGGUGUCACCGAGAUGAUGAAGUCGGUCCCACCGAAACUGGCAUGCUCUUGUCAUUGCACGAAUCGGACUAACCGAGAUUGUAUAUUCGGUCCCACCGAAAAUCCCAACGUUCACAUUAUUUGAACUAUCGGUCUCACCGAGUUGUCCACUUCGGUCCCACCGAGAUUGCUCAAAUGUGUGUAACGGUUGGAUUUUGUGUGGAGGCUAUUUAUACCCCUCCACCCCCCUCUUCAUUCGUGGAGAGAGCCAUCAGAAAGAGGUACCACUCCUACCUUACAUUUCUGAGAAGAGAACUACCUACCCUUGUGUUGAGAUCAAGUUGCUCCACUCCCACCAUAUGAAGCUUGAUCUCUAGCCUUCCCAAGUUGCUUUCCACUCAAUCCUUUCUUCCACCACAGCCAAAUCAGUGAGGAGAGUUGAGUGUUGGGGAGAUUAUCAUUUGAAGCACAAGAGCAAGGAGUUCAUCAUCAUCUACAACAUCUAUUACCUUUUGGAGGGUGGUGCCUCCUAGAUUGGUUAGGUGUCGCUUGGGAGCCUCCGUCGUCGAGAUGUGGAGUUGAACCAAGAAGUUUGUAAGGGCAAGGAGAUCGCCUACUUCGUGAAGAUCUACCCCGAGUAAGGCUAGCCCUCCGUGGGCGUAGGCCAUGAUGGAAUAGACAAGGUUGCUUCUUCGUGGACCCUUCGUGGGUGGAGCCCUCCGUGGACUCGCGCAGCCGUUACCCUCCGUGGGUUGAAGUCUCCAUCAACGUGGAUGUACGAUAGCGCCACCUAUCGGAACCACGGGAAAAAUCACCGCGUCUCCAAAAUUGCGUUUGCUCUUCUCCACCUCUCUUUACUACAUGUGCAAUUUACUUUCCGCUGCCUAUACUCUAGAAUUGCAUGUGUAGGGUGAUGCUUGACUUGAUCAUAAUUGUGAAUCUGCCAAAAACUGUUCUUUGUCAAAAGGCAGAAUUUUUAUAUUGACAAGUAGUCUAAUCACCCCCCCCCCCUCUAGACAUACUUUCGAUCCUACAAGUGGUAUCAGAGCUUUGGUCUCCAUUGUAUUGGUUUCCAUUGCAUUGGACUCCAUAAGCUUGGUUUCACAACCUAGGAGAGUAUGGCGUCUAGUGAGGGUAAUUUUCGUAGAGGUCCUUACUUUGAUGGUACAAAUUUUGCUAGUUGGAAGCAUAAAAUGAAAAUGCAUAUUCUUGGUCAUAACCCAGCCGCAUGGGGCAUUAUUUGUGUUGGUAUGCAAGGUGAAUUCUUCGAGGAAGGAAAAGUUCCGGAUUGCGAAGCUACACCGGAAGAAUUGCGGAUGUUGCAAAACAAUGCUCAAGCUUGUGACAUUCUCUUCAAUGCCUUGUGUCCCGAGGAGUUCAACAAAAUCAGCCGUCUUGAGAAUGCAAAAGAGAUUUGGGAUACUUUGGUUGAAAUGCACGAAGGUACCGAGUCCGUGAAGGAAUCAAAGCUAGAUAUUCUUCAAGGUCAACUUGACAAGUUCAAGAUGAAGGAUGGUGAAGGAGUCGCUGAAAUGUACUCUAGGCUUGCUCUCAUCACAAAUGAGAUUGCCGGCUUAGGAAGCGAAGAAAUGACCGACCGAUUCAUCAUCAAGAAGACUCUCAGAGCUUUGGAUGGAAAGUAUGACACCGUGUGCACUUUGAUCCAAAUGAUGCCAAACUACAAGACUCUCAAGCCAACCGAAGUCAUUGGAAGAAUUGUUGCUCAUGAGAUGACACUUAAGGAUAAGGAAGAGCUUCACAACAAGUCAAGUGGUGCUUACAAAGCUACAAGUGAUGCUCCCACAACCUCAAGUGACAAGUUAGUUUCCAAUGAAGAGAUAAGCCUAAUGGUCAAGAACUUCAACAAAUUCUACAAGAAUAGAGGCAAAGAGAGAAGCUCAAAGUCUAGAUCAUAUGAUGAAAAGAGAUCUUCUAGUCGUGAUCGAAACUGCUACAAUUGUGGAAGACCCGGACACUUCUCAAAUGAGUGUACGGCUCCCCACAAGAGAAGAGAAGAAUCUCCAAGAAGAAGAAGCUCAAGAGAUGAGUCACCUCGGAAAGAGAGAAGGAGCAGAUAUGAUCGUUAUGAACGAAGACCCUCUCGGAGAAGCAAGGAUUCGGAGAGGAAAGACAAGUCAUCAAGGAGCUACACAAGAAGAAAACAUCAAGCUCAUGUAGGUGAAUGGGUCUCCGGCUCCGACUCCGCCAAUCAAUCCGAAGGAAGCUAUCACUCCGACUCCGACUACAGUCAAGAUGAAGGUGUUGCCGGUCUUGCUCUCGUAUCCUCCAACUCCAACUCCUACGACUUAUUUGAUUCACCAAAUGAGGGAAUUGGAAGAUGCUUCAUGGCUAAAGGCCCCAAGGUAUCACACCCUGAAUUCAUUGACUUCGAUAGUGAUGAGGAUGACUUGCUUGGUGAAGAUGAGCUCUUGCAUGAUAAAUCCAGUGAGCCUAGUAACGAUGAACAUGCUAGUAGUCUUUAUAGUCGAGAAGAGUCGAAUGACAAUGCUAUGAAGGAGAUUGAGCGUCUAACUAAAGAACUAAACACUCUUAAGUUAGCUCAUGAAACAACUCAAGAAGAUCAUAGAGAGCUCCUAAGAUCUCAUGAGAAGCUACGCUUCGAGAAGCUCACUCUAGAGCAAGAACAUGAGUUUCUAAAAGCAAUCAAUGACGAUCUUCGAAAGAAGAGUUCUUCAUAUCUUGCCAAACGACUUCUCUUGUCUAAUUUCUUGCCACCCAUUAAGACUAAGCAUGACAAGCAUAAGAAAAAUUCUUCCUCUAGCAGUAACAAUAACCAUGCUAAAUCCAAUGUUGUUGCUUCUAGUAGUUCUCUUGAUUCCACUAACAAUGUUUCAAGCCAAGUUACACUUGAGCAAGAGAAUAGUUUAUUGAAAGGGAUCAUAGAGAAAGGUGUCUACAAGAGCCUUGCCGGAAGCAAGAACUUUGAGGAAAUUGUUCGCAAGCAAGGAAGGCACCGGAAGAAUCAAGGAAUUGGUUUUGAGCGAAAGUUCAACGCUGAAGGCGUUGAGUGGGAAGAAGGUCAAUAUCCUACUCCACAGUUUGUUCCUCAAAAGGAGAAGUAUGAUCCUACUUCUUCCAAUGUGGAACAAGCUCAAGAUGACCUUCCACCACAAGACCACAAGCUAAAAGGCAAGGACAAGCUUGAAGAGGAGAUUGAUGCAUUUGUUGAAGCACCUCAAGCCAUGGUCAAGUGGGUUCCCAAGGAAACGUCAAGUUCUACUUCGUCAAGAUCAACUACAACCCCAAGGAUUCCCAUCAAGAUGAUGUGGAUCCCGAAGAAGAAGAACUAGAAAGUUCUUGAGGGUGACUCCGCCAACAUACUUCACUCACAUUCAUUUUGGCAAAAACUUGUGCAAUCAACUUCCACAUCGUGCACUAGUUCAUGGAGUCACAAACCCUCUUGUUGGUAAGUCAAGGGACAAGGUAAUCAUUGCUUUCAUGGACAUCAUCUAUUGUGAACUUCAAUCUAUGUCCAUGGAUAUCCUUGUUUGUUCCUUGUGGGACUAACCCAUGUAGGUAUUGAAAGUGCCCGAAUCCAAAGGAUAGCUCCCAACUCUUGAUGAUCUCCAUCAACAUUGAGCAUCCACAUCUUCAACAUCUACAUGAAGUCUUCUACGACAACCCAAGGUUAGUUUGACCCUUUAAAAGGGGUUCUCACAUCUAGGGGGAGCUUUGCUCUAAAAAUUGAGCUAAAGCAUCUUCAAAUGAUGUGAACACACCAAUGCUUUAUGUAAAAGUGGUAACCCCACUUGUGCUUAAACGAUGAGUAUGACCUAUGAUCAAAUGUUCUCAAUUGGCUCCUAAGUCAAUAUACUCAUAUAAAGAUGACCUAGUCAUCGACAAAUUGUGUGUUAGUUGCUAGAGUUUUGGUUGUGCAUGUUUGACACAUAUUUCAUUUGCUAUCUUAUUGUGUGAGCAUGUUGGAUGCAUGAUUUUACCCAUUCAAGGACAUCCAUUUGUUGUUUUGGUCGUUUUGAGUUUUAUGACCAAAUGGAUGGACAAGAAUGCCUAAGUACCUCCCCUAGCUAUCUAUGCUUUCUUGUCUCAAAUUCUAUUCAUGCUUACAUCACAAAUUUUGAACAAGUCAUUUUCGGACCCUCCGGGUGAGGAGCACUCGGAGCCACCGAUCCGUCAAGGGCUAAUUUCCAAAACCUUCUAAUUGAUUUCGGUCAGACCAACUCACUCAAACUCGGUCGAACCGAAAGCAUUCAGACUGAUCUAGGUUUUCAUCUUGGUGAAACCGAGUUGUGAUUUUCGGCGUGACCGAAGUGCAUAACUGCCUAGCAGUUAUCCAUCUCGGUGCCACCGAGUUUUACAACUCGGUCCCACCGACAGCGAAGGGGUAUAUAUUCCGAGGGCCGCGCGCGUUGAUUCCUCCUUCAAACGUUUCGCCCUCACACCCCUUGUUGCCGUCGCCUUGGUCUCCGGAUUGUCGCCGUCGUCGCCUGUGCGCCCUCGCCACAGGUCUCCGUCGCCGUCAACGGCCAUCUCCUCCGAGCCGUUGCCGCCGUAGAAAAACUCCACCAAGUUAGGGUGAGUUUUGAUCCCACUCGUGCUCCCAUCUCCGAUUCAAUGCACGUUUGGAUUGCCUAGUAUCUUGCCACGAUUGAAAUCCUCCUGUACACCAGAUUGGUUCGUUUGAACUAGAUUCGAGUAAAAGUUUUAGGGUUAGGUUUCCGCGGAACACAUCUCGGUGAGACCGAUUUUAUAUUUUCGGUAUGACCGAUUUGGCCUAUGGCCAUUGCACUGCACCCUUCGGUCCAACCGAGUUGUGCAAAAUCGGUGUGACCGAAAUGAAGAUUCUGUGAAACCCUAGUGUUUUCGGCAGGACCGAAACCCACUUCGGUCAAACCGAAAGUGGUGUGCCAAGCUCCUGUUUAACACUUCGGAUUCACCAAACCUUAAACUCGGUCUGACCGAAAUGUCUUCUGUGAAAACUUAAUACUAGAAUUUGAACUCAUUUUUUUUUUGCAAAAACUUCUGCAUUUUGUGAUGACUCUUCUUCUCUGCCUACACCUUAUCUAUUCACAGGUUGUCAGCCAUGUCAGAUGCCAGUGACAGUGAGAACAGGUCAGAGACACCCAUUGCAGACAUUCCAGAGGCAGGCACUAGUCCUGAUCCUAGUAGCUCAUCUGAUGAUGGUGAUAGGAGUACACCAAGUGGCAUGCCUCCUGCAGCCACCAGAGCUAGAAAGAAGAGGAAUUCAGAUGAUGAGGAUUCAGAUUUUGUUGUUGAGGAAGAGGUGACCUCAAAGCCUAAAAGGAAGGUUGUUGCCAAAGAGCAACAAGAUCAACAAUCUAAGAAGGGCACCAGCAAAGUCAAGCAGUCAACUGUUGCUAAGAAGCUGAAUUUGGGAGAGGCAGCUGCAAGCAAAGUGAAGAAAACCACCAAGAGAAAGAGGAUAGUGCAUGUGUCAGGAGCUAGAGCAGAUAUGUAUAUUGAUCCUCAUGCAGAUGCAGCAGUAGAGGAUGAGGAUGGGGAAGCACCCCAGCCUCCUCCUUAGAAGCCGAAGCUCAUGGGUGAUGCCAUUAAGGCUGGAGCCACAUCAAAGCCCAAGAAAUCUGCUCCAGCUAAGGCAGCUCCAGCAAAGCCUGCUGCCAAGCCCAAGAGGACCAUCAGAAACAUUCCAGCAUCUGAAAAGAACAAGGAUGAUGUGCCACCAGCUGAGUCUGACGAUGAAGGACCAGUUUUACUGAAACUUCGUCCAAAACUGCCACUCCAUAAUGAUGAUCAUCCUCAAGCUGAGGAUAUGAAGGCAAGGAAAGAUAGAGGUCUCAGGCUAUGGAGACAAACUGACCCAUAUGCCGUGAGGAGAAGAACUGCUGUAGAUCCCAGAUUUCACACCAGAGAGCAGCAGGACUUCUAUGAGACCGUGCUGAUGGACAAGAAGCCCAUAGUCGCAGACACCAGAUAUGUUGACUGGAAGUACAUUGACAGCGAAGAGCACAGAGAUUUCUUUCCACAUGUGCAUGAAAGUUUCACUGCAUGUGGAGUUGCAGAUUUUGUAGGUCAGAAAUUGACCAGUUGGAACAAUGAGAUGAUAAUGCAAUUUUAUGCCACAGCUCACUUCUACCCUGAUGGAAAGAUUAUGUGGAUGACUGAAGGUCAAAGGUUUUCUUCUUCUGUUGAAGAAUGGGCAGAAAUUCUGAAUGCUCCAGUGCAACGAGAAGAUGAUAUUGAUGUAUAUGGGAUUCCAAAGAAGAAUCAUGAAUCCAUGAAAAACAUGUACAAAGAGGUUCCAGCAGAGGAUUUGAAAAUCUGGAAGCUCGGCUCAGUCUACCAUCUCCAGGCAGGCUUACCUACCACUAAUACCAUUUUGAGGCAUACCUUGAUGCCCAAAUCUGGAGAUGAUCGCAUGAUCAGAGGAUACUCUAUCAACAUGCUGCACAUACUUGAUGAGAGAGCACCUUUCAAGGUGAUGGACUUGAUGGUAGAGACCAUUAAGAGGACUGCAGCUGACCAGAAAAGGUCAUGUGGAUUUGCCCCGCAGAUUCAGAUGCUUAUCAAUGCCAAGUUUGGCACGGGCACAUUCUUGUUGGAUAGAGAACAUUUACCGUUGCAGCCAGAGCAUGAAGACAAUGUUGUUGUGAUGGAUGAGGAGGAUCCGACAUCUGUUGAAGGUCAAGCCAAGAUCGCAGCUGCUAAGAAAGCCAAAGCUGACAAAGCAGCAGCAGCAGCAGCAGCUAAACCAAAGAGUUUCGGAGAGCAAAUUCUUGAAGCUACUCAAAGGAUUGAACAACGCCUGGCCAGCAUUGAACAGUCUCAGGAGAGCUUAGAGAGGAUUGUUGACGAGAAGAUCCACGCUCUGGACGUGAAGCUGACUGAAGUACAAGUGACCGUCAACAAGCUCGAGGCAGACAUUGAGGAAGCAAAGCAGGACAAGGCAGAGCUUAUGCGUGAGUUGCAGGAUGACUUAGUCCAGGAUUCUCAUCAACAGACUGCUCCGGUUCCCAAAGGAUCCCGAUCAGCUGCUAUUCCAGUGACUGACACCAGGACUACAGCUUCAGCACCUCCCACAGUUCCAGCAGUUGCUCCUACUCCAGCUCCAGCUCCAUUGUCCACUCCUCCAGCACAGACAUCAGCUGAAGUCUUCGCCAAUGCUGUCAUAUCCACUCUGACAUCAACCCAGACGGGAGCCGCCAGCAGAGUCCACAGUGACGCUUAGCUCUAUGCUUUUUCGAACUUUUUGGUAACUUGUUGCCAAAGGGGGAGAAAUUGUAUAGAUCAUAGGGCUUCGAGAGAGAGAGUGUUGUUGUCUUUGCGCUUUUGCUCUUUCGUUCUUUUGCGGUUUCUUUGAGAUACUUUUGGUUUUCGAGACAUUCAGUGUGUUUGAUACUCCAAUGAGUGCUUGGUCGUACUAUGCUUUAAUGUGUGCUUAAUGCUUAUCAUAUGCCAUUCCUAUCUCGUAUGACCAUUUACUCAUGUCUUGGUGAUUGGGUGCAUGCUGUUCAUUCUUAUCAUUUUGUGCGCUCCACCAAGAUGUAUGUGACAUGGAAGAGUGACCCAUGAUCCUAAUCGAUUGUGCAUUUGCAUUUGAACGCAAAUCUUAAAUAAUGCACAAAUUUAGGGGGAGCUCUUGCUUAUCACAUACUUCUCAAAGCGACGAUAUUAUUCAUUGAUUAUAUCCUUUGUCGAAGCUUUGAUCUAUAUGUUGUCAUCAAUUACCAAAAAGGGGGAGAUUGAAAGUGCAACUAAUCCCCGGGUGGUUUUGGUAAUUAAUAACAACAUAUAUAUCAUUGAACUAAUAGUUACUUGAGAAUCAUUUCAGAGAGUUCAGUGAUAUGGGUAUGGCAAGGACUGAAGAAGUGGACCCCCCAAAAUGCUAAGACAAGCAUUGGCAAAAGCUCAAGACUCCAUUUUUGGUUUAGUGAUCCAAGAUCACAUUGAGUCCAUAGGAAAAGCCAAUACUAUUAAAAGGGGAUGAGGUUAUGAUGAUGAUCUGGUUGCUCAAGUGCUUAGUGAUACAUCUCCUAAACUAUCAGCAACUUUCACUGCCAUAGACACUCAUAAGUAGUCUCGGUCCCACCGAUAUUCCAAACUCAGUCACACCGAGAUGAACCACCUCAGCCAUAAGCCAAACCCUAGUAAACUCGAAUUUUCCGAUUCUGAACUCGGUCUCACCGAAACAUGAGUUGCCAAGUUUCUGUAACCUUCUGUCAUCAAAUCGGUGUCACCGAGAUGAUGAAGUCGGUCCCACCGAAACUGGCAUGCUCUUGUCAUUGCACGAAUCGGACUAACCGAGAUUGUAUAUUCGGUCCCACCGAAAAUCCCAACGUUCACAUUAUUUGAACUAUCGGUCUCACCGAGUUGUCCACUUCGGUCCCACCGAGAUUGCUCAAAUGUGUGUAACGGUUGGAUUUUGUGUGGAGGCUAUUUAUACCCCUCCACCCCCCUCUUCAUUCGUGGAGAGAGCCAUCAGAAAGAACUACCACUCCUACCUUACAUUUCUGAGAAGAGAACUACCUACCCUUGUGUUGAGAUCAAGUUGCUCCACUCCCACCAUAUGAAGCUUGAUCUCUAGCCUUCCCAAGUUGCUUUCCACUCAAUCCUUUCUUCCACCACAGCCAAAUCAGUGAGGAGAGUUGAGUGUUGGGGAGAUUAUCAUUUGAAGCACAAGAGCAAGGAGUUCAUCAUCAUCUACAACAUCUAUUACCUUUUGGAGGGUGGUGCCUCCUAGAUUGGUUAGGUGUCGCUUGGGAGCCUCCGUCGUCGAGAUGUGGAGUUGAACCAAGAAGUUUGUAAGGGCAAGGAGAUCGCCUACUUCGUGAAGAUCUACCCCGAGUAAGGCUAGCCCUCCGUGGGCGUAGGCCAUGAUGGAAUAGACAAGGUUGCUUCUUCGUGGACCCUUCGUGGGUGGAGCCCUCCGUGGACUCGCGCAGCCAUUACCCUCCGUGGGUUGAAGUCUCCAUCAACGUGGAUGUACGAUAGCGCCACCUAUCGGAACCACGGGAAAAAUCACCGCGUCUCCAAAAUUGUGUUUGCUCUUCUCCACCUCUCUUUACUACAUGUGCAAUUUACUUUCCGCUGCCUAUACUCUAGAAUUGCAUGUGUAGGGUGAUGCUUGACUUGAUCAUAAUUGUGAAUCUGCCAAAAACUGUUCUUUGUCAAAAGGCAAAAUUUUUAUAUUGACAAGUAGUCUAAUCACCCCCCCUCUAGACAUACUUUCGAUCCUACA